Molecule: long non-coding RNA, 249607 nt
Filed under: Vitis vinifera (wine grape)
Lineage: Eukaryota; Viridiplantae; Streptophyta; Magnoliopsida; Vitales; Vitaceae
Description: long non-coding RNA (VVIN_LNC002832)
Source: RNAcentral
AAAGAUGAAGUUGAGUUUGUGACCAAGAACAGGCGUGACUUCUACAGAGGUGGCAUCCUUGAAUUCAUGUCUGGAUUGGACUUAUCAUGUAACAACUUGACAGGCGAAAUACCUCAUGAACUUGGAAUGCUAAGUUGGAUUCGUGCAUUGAACUUGUCUCACAAUCAAUUGAAUGGCUCCAUUCCAAAGAGUUUCUCCGAUCUUUCUCAAAUAGAGAGCUUAGACCUUUCUUAUAAUAAAUUGGGUGGAGAAAUUCCUCUAGAGCUAGUUGAACUCAAUUUUUUAGCGGUGUUUAGUGUGGCUUACAACAACAUCUCUGGUAGAGUUCCAAAUGCCAAAGCACAAUUUGCAACAUUUGAUGAAAGCAGCUAUGAAGGUAAUCCUUUCCUUUGUGGGGAACUAUUAAAGAGGAAAUGCAACACAAGUAUUGAGUCACCAUGCGCACCAUCACAGUCUUUUGAAAGUGAGACAAAAUGGUAUGAUAUCAAUCAUGUUGUUUUCUUUGCAAGUUUUACUACUUCAUAUAUCAUGAUCUUGUUAGGAUUUGUUACCAUCCUUUACAUCAAUCCUUAUUGGCGUCAUAGAUGGUUCAAUUUUAUUGAGGAAUGUGUAUAUUCCUGCUAUUAUUUUGUUUUUGAUAGUCUUUCCAAGUUCUCAGCAUAUUUGUAUAAUUAGAUACUUUUAAUUGGAUGAUGUUUGCAUAAUUAACUACUAUUUGUUUCCAUGGGAUAAAAAGAAAUGGGAUUAUAAUUGCUAUGAGUUGAAACUUACAUACUUUGCUCAAAUUCUAACAUCUUUUGAUUUUAUUUUCAAGUUCCGUUAUUUAUUAUGUAUUGUUUAAUUCAAGAUUUAACCAUAUUAUGCUACUCUUAUAAAAACAAAUUCAAAUUUUUAGGAACUUAGCAUUAAAAUAAUUUCAUAGUCAGAUUUUUAAAAAUAAAGAAGAAAGAAAAUAAUAAAUAAUUAGAAAAACAAUUCAAGGGAGUAUUAAAUUAUUAUCUUAGAAUUGUUUGGCGUAGUAUGGGAAUUCAAAAAUAAUCUUUCAAUUUGUUAGAAAUGUUUAUUUAUUUAUUAUAGCAAUGAUUGAAAUAUCAAUCACAAAGUAAUGUUUUCUUUUCUUUUGUAGGGCACUAACAUUUUUUCUUUGAUUGUAAUAAUUGAUAAAUAUAUUACACAAUUAUUUGUUUUAAAGAGGGGAGGGAUGACAAACAUAAUAACAUGUGAAAUAUUUCUAAAACUGUGAUGGGAAAUAAACCAUCUAAUUAGGGUGCAAUAUUAUUCAUUUUAAUUUAUAUGAAUUUACUUAUUUUUAUUUCCAUCAUAUUUUGAACUAUUUUUUGAAAUUAAGGGAGAUUAAAACAUCAUGAAUUUCUUAGUUUAAUUUAUAUUUUUAAUAAUAAAGCAUGAAAUAUUUAAAAAAAAAAAAGAAAAUCAUGAAUUUCUUUAAUUCCUUAGGAAACCAAUAUAUAAAAAAAGUUGAAUAUAUUAUUAUUUUAUAUCCUAAAUUUCUAAAUUUGUUCAUCACGUAUUUAUUUUUAUAUUAAAUUUAUUAUCAAUAAUUAUUUAUUAUAUAUUAUUAUUUUAUAUUUAAAAAUGUUCAUAAAUAAUUAAAAUUAAUAAAUAUAAAAAAUGAAAUAUUAAAAAAUUAAAUUAAAAAGAUUUCAUCAAGCUAACAUAUUUUGAUAAAAAAAAAAAGAGUAAAAAAGAAGAUGGGGAUAUUAUAGAGGUGGGGAAAAAGAUAAAAGAAAAAUCAUGUGGUAUAAUAAUUGCCACGUGUUAAAGUUAUUUUCUUUAAAAAUUAAUUAUAGUAAUGAUGAACUCAUUUGUCUUAUCAAAGUAAAUAAAAAUAAAUAAAUAAAAGAAAAAAAGAAAAAGAAAAAAAGUGGUGGUUGAUUGGAGGUUAGAGAGGAGGGUUUGAAGGUAAAUUUGGAAUAUUGAUUAUUUUCACUAAGUAGAUAUUUUGAAAGUUAUUUUCAAUGUUUUAAAAACCGGACCGGCCGGUCCGACCGGUCCAACCGUCGACCGGUCACCAUUCCGGUCCGAUCCGGUCAUUUGGACCGGAUUGAGAUCGAACCGGAGUUGAACCGCUCGAACCAGCGGUUCAACCGCUGAACCGGACAAACCGAUCGGUUCCAAGGGAACCGGCCAAUUCAAAUAAUUUUAAUUUUAAAAAAAAAAUUACACAAUAAAAAUAUUACUGUGGGUAAGCUGCAAGCAUGAAAGGUAGGAUUCCAUGUUGGGCCUGUCUUGUGACAAGCCCACACACCCACUCCAAUUACCCUGGGCCUCUUUUUUGAGCCCACAAGAUCAUGCCAAGGCUUUGCUGAGGAUGGCUUUUAUAGGAGUCAUUUGACUCCUUGUUCCUCUCAUAUUCCGAUGUGGGAUUGCAUUUUAUCAAUGAAAAAAAACAUAACAAACAUAACAAAACUCCACCAACAGAAUUUGAACCUUGGACCAAUCUUUAACUCUAGUCCACCUAGGAAACCACUCGGCUACAUGUGUUUUAUCAUCUAAUGUGCCAAACAAAAUAAUAUAUAUUAGAUUUUAAAUUUUUUUAUAAUAUUAAAUAAAAAUAAUAUAAUAUUUUUAAAAAUUAUGAAAUUAGUUUAAAUUUUCAUUUUUUUUAUAUUCACAUUUAAAUAUUAUACAUAUUUCAUUUAAUAAAAUUUAAAAUAUUAAUAUGAUUUAAUUUGAUAAUAUCAAAGAUAUAAAAUAAUAUUAUUGAUGUUUAAUUUAUUCAUAUAUAUUUUAAAAUUUUUUAUAAUUAUUUUUAAUUUUAAUAAUAUAUAAAUUAUAUAUUUAUUACGUCACCGGUUCGAUAGCGGUUCGACCGCCGGUCCGACCAGUGAACCGUGAACCGGUAACUUUUCCAGUUCGAUCACCGGUCCGAUUCUGAAAACAUUGGUUAUUUUGCCUGAAACCCAUAUUGUUUGAAAAUAAAAAAUCAAAGUUUUAAAAAAAUACAAUUUUUUUGAAAUGAUGCAUGAUUAUAUCAUUCCCCUAAUAGAUUAUUUAUUCCUUUAAACUUUACUUCAAAUAAAAUAGUUUUAAUUAUUUUCUUUUUGGAAUUAUAUUUAACAUAUUAUUAAAAAUAUAAAAAACAUUUUAAUAAUAUUGUUAAUGAGUUUAUAUAUAUAUAUAUAUAUUGUAAAAUAAUUAAAUUUAAAAAUAUUUAAAUUUAGUUAUGGGCUGCCCAUUUCAAAAUAAUAAGAAUCUCGUAACCUAAUUUUUCCAAAUUCCAGGUAAAUAUGCUAAUCUAAAAAUAAAAAAUAAAAAUUAGGUUUUUAUGCUCUCCAAUCUACCACUUAAGCAUCCGACAUGGCUAAAAUAAAUUACAAAAAAAAAAAAAAAAAAAAAAGGAAAAAAAACAAAAGUGUGUGAUCCUCUUUCUCGAGUCUUCACAUUUUGAGACACUGAAACCAAAUCAAAAUUAAUCCUUCAAAUUAAUUUUCACCUCCAAACAUGGCUAUCCGAAAAACCCUAACGUCUGCCUCCUCUUCCUCUUAUCCCGGAAACCUAAAUUCCGUGACCCUAACCCCUUCUCUUUCCGAAAACCCUCCGGAAUCGGAAGAUUCAUAAUUCUUCAGAAUUAAUUUUCACCUCGAAGCCAAACCCUAACUGCCUCAUCUUCCUCUCAUUCAUAUCCCAAAAGUAGCUUCAACAGUCAGGCCUGUAGCCAUGAAAGCCGUAGUGAUCACUACUUCCGGUGAUCCCCAAGUUCUCCAAGUGCAAGAAGUCGAAAACCCUGAAAUUGGAGAUGAUGAAGUUCUAAGUAGAGUGGACGCCGCUGCCAUUAACCGAACAGAUACGCUCCAGAGGAAGGGCUUGCACCCUUCCUCAAAGGCGGCAGUCCCUACCCGGGUCUCGAAUGUUCUGGAAUCAUCGAAGCUGUUGGAAAAGCCGUCGUUCGAUGGAAGGUUGGCGAUCAGGUAUUUCAAUUGCCUAAUAUUUUGAUUUCGUUUCUGUUCCUCUGUUUUUCUCGGCUAUCAAACACUAGGAACGUGUAAAUAAGGAGGUUAGUUGAUUGCGAAAACGGGAAUUUUUUGUUCGUGUCUGUGUUAAGGAGUCUUUGUUGAGAAUUUUGGGGAAAUUUAUGAUAGGUUAAAUUAUUGAGCUUAUUGGUUUUCAAAUUUAUGGUUGUAAGAAAAUUGGUCAGUGUAAGGUUAUGGGUUCAUUACCAAUUUGCUUAGUGAAAAUUUUUCCACAUAUUGUGGACCGGUUUGGUAGCAGAAAUAAGAACUGUGUUUUGUUUUUCAAAACGGAAAUGGAUGCAGAAAACAUGUUUGGUAGCCUACUUUCAGAACUUGUUUCCGAAAAUAUUUCCUGAAAAUGAAUUAUUUCAGAACUUGUUUUUAAAAAAUUCAAACACUUUAUCAAUUUAAAAGGUUCUGAAAUGGACAUGUUCAUGGUCUUCAUUUUUUAAAAUUAAAGCUUUUAUGAAAAAACCAUUUUCCCUUCUACUAAACAAACAGGCUCUAUAUUGUAACAGAUCGAUUGGCCAUUUCCUUUGUCAUGUUUUGUGAAUCAUGGCAACACUGGAAUCCACUCCAUUACCAUCUGUUAGUGAUUAGAAGACAAAGCACCAAUUUUAAUGAUAUCCUUUAUGUGAUUUUGCUUCCUCCUGAGUACAAGUUCAUAAUAUACAUGGUACAUGGUGAAUCUGUAUGACAGUUCAUGGUAUACAGGUGUGUGCUCUUCUUUCUGGUGGAGGGCAUGCUGAAAAAGUGGCUGUUCCAGCUGGGCAAGUUCUCCCUGUCCUAUCUGGUGUUUCUCUGAAGGAUGCUGCUGAGGUUGCAUGUACUGUUUGGUCAACUGUUUUAAUGAUGAGCCGACUGUCUGCAGGAGAAACAUUCCUGGUGAAUUUUUUGUCUUUUUUAUUUUCUGAUGCCUGAUAUAUUUACCAGCACAAAUUUACCCUGUUGCUGUUUAAUGUGUGUGCAUCAAUAUUGGAUUAGGGAGGUAGAAGAGCCAUGGUUCUAAUUAAAUCAUUACAUCAUCAUAUUCUUAUUUAGAUACAUUGUAUCCCACAAUUUCAUUGCAUCCAAGGCUAUGUUGUUUUUUAUUGCACGGUUUGUCAUGGUAAUUUCUCAACCCUUCUCUGGAAAAUUAUGUUGGAUGGCUGCUAUUAAUUACCCCAAAAGAAGAAAUUUUAUGUUGAAGUAAGAUGAGUAGCACAAAGAGUUACUUGUGGUUGAUCCUAUCAUCAAAUGGGCGAUUGAUGCACAAUCCAAAUGGUAAAUUUUUUUCCCCCUUUAUCCAGAUGGAAUUUUUAUGCAUGGUUGAAUAGUGAAAUGAGAGGACUGAUAAUAUUUCAGGUUCAUGGGGGUUCAAUUGGAAUUGGUACCAUCUAUUCAAAUAGCGAAAUACCGAGGAGCAAGGGUAUUUGUUACAGCAGGUUUGCCAUCACUGUUCUACCUCAUCUCACAGAAUGCUUAUCUCAUGGCACCAAUUCCUUUUCUUCACAUGUUUUCAACCAUUUUUUCCACCCAGGAACGAGGAAAAAUUAGCUAUUUGUAAGGAUCAUUGAGCAGAUGUGUGCAUCAAUUACAAGACUGAAAACUUUGUUGCAUGGGUGAAGGAGGAAACAGGAGGGAAAGGUAUAUUCUAUUGUAUCUUAACGAUAAUUUCAAUUGAAGGUGGAAUUGCUUUUUAUUUUUUAGUGCACCAAAUCCACUAGUCUGGAAUGUUUGAAAAGAUAAAUAGUCAUCUUCCACUUGAUUCCGAUUGUGAAGAUCUAACCCCAAAAAUGUUGAAUGACAGGUGUUGAUGUUAUACUGGAUAAUAUUGGAGGGGCCUACUUUUGGGGAGACAUCAAUGGUUUAAAUGUUGAUGGAAGGCUUUUUAUUAUUGGUUUUCAGGGUGGAACAGUGGUACAAGUAAAUCUUUCAGGUUUACUUGCAAGGCGCCUUACAGUGCAAGGUACUGCUUUCUCUGUAGAAGAUUUUUCUGUAGUUUUGGAGUUGAAUCAAUUUGAUUAAUCUCAUCCAAGUUCAGAACUGAGGUGGAUUCUGGCAAGCCAAGGAAAAACCAAAUUACCAUAAAUUCUUUUUUUUUUUUCUGGAUCGUUUUACUUCUUGGAAAUCCUGUUUCUCGAUCUGUUAAUCACAUGGUUUGUUUUUCUUUAUUGUCCCUCUUUCUUUUCUUGUUGGUACCAAAUCCCUAAGAUGUGGAAGCCAAGUGAGCACUUUCUAUCUUUUCUUGUUUCAAUCUCUCAUCCUCUUGUGCACAUUGAGCAAUAAGCUCAUUCAAAGUCCAUUUUUCCUUUUGUGUGUUGUAACUGAUUUUGAAUGGACUGAAUUGUGUAGGCAGAGAGAUCAAGACCAAGUGCACGAGUAUGUCUUCCGAAAACUCUAACUUUAGUGCCUUUAGUCUAGUCACAAGAUUAGACAUUUCCAUAAUAUACUCCCUUAUAUUCUCUUUCCCUUUAUACCGCAUAGAGACAAGCUUACUAAGAAUAGUGUUUGUCUCAACCUUUUCAUUUGCAGCGAUCAAUUUGCUAUCUGGUCUAAGAAUGCCUUGGCUCGAGUUUUCUCAGGUAUUGCACCCCUUAUAACUUUUGGAAUUGAGUGCUUCGUUAUUAUUAGACUCAUGCGAUUGGAUCGCUCCCAUUUUUCCAUAGUAGACCUUUGCUCAGCAGUGCUGGCACUAGUAAGAUCUGGAGGGCGAUCCUCUCUUAAUGCAUAGUCUAAAUCCAUGCACCCGAGCACAAUUAUAGCGUGUUCCUUCCAUUUCUUGAAGUUUGUGCCAUUAAGGGCAGGAAUGUUAUUGACAUUUGCAGAUAUAGAAUAUGUUGAAUUCAUAAUAAUAAAGCUCACAAUCAGCCACAUAAACAUCAUACAUACAUGAAAAAUAACAUCAUACAAGAUACCUAGUACAAACAUUAAUAUUCUGUCUUUUGACAAUAAAUAUUAACUUGUAAUUGGUAUCCUUAUACAAAAUUAAUUCAUAAAUAUUGACAAUAAAACCAAAAACAAUGUGCCUCUCUUUGGACUAACAUAUUGAAUGCAAGAUAAACUUUAUAUGUCACAUAUUUAUGACUACUUUAUUUAUUAUUAUAUUAAAAUAAUCUUUCUUUGGGUCGCUUAUUUUAAAUAAUAAUAAUAACAUGUUUAGAUAUUAUAAAAUAAAUAAAUUAUAUAAUAUAAGUUACUUUGGCAACUAACAUACAUAAUUCAUUUAUUUUUUGUUGUUUCCUUCCUCUUGGAUCUUUUGUUUGUGUUUUAAAAAAAAAAAUGUUUCAGUGAAAAUGGGAAAUGCAACCAGGCUCUAAUACCAUUUUGUGGGACGUUCAUUCUCCAUUAUCAUCGAACACAUGCAGGAUAUAUUUAUAUAUAUCUAUCAAUUCAUUCAAAAUAUGCCGAUGGGAAGCCAGAGAGAACAAGUUCUAUUUUUAUUUUGAAAACAUUGUUAUCCUUAAAGAACAAACACUAUUAUUUGGAUUUAUACUCUCCUGCCUUAGGGACCAUACCCUUUGGCUAUUAGGCCUCACGAGUCUUAGGCCCAUCAUCUAAGGCUCGUGAUGGCACUGGGCUCUACAUAUAAGGUGGCCCAUACUCUGGAACGAAUAUAAAUCAUAUGUAUAUAUAUGGAUAGCUAAAUCCUGAAUAAUGGUUAAUAUGAUGUCGGUUCACAUUUAUUAUAUCAUAUAGACUUCCCAUCUGAAGAAAAUCGACAACAAGUAGCUUUGCCAUUCUUAGUUCGUAUACAACCAACCUUAGCAAGGGUUGAACCCUUUUAUGCUUAGUUGUGCCAUACAGAUCCUUACCACCGCCUACAACAUGUAAUUGAAAUGAUUCGAUAAUAUCAUCUAGUGAACCAAUACCUCCAAAUGAGAGACCAUUGCCUCAGUAACUAAGACUCACGACUGAGAAUUGCGUGAACCCCUUUGCUUGGGUUGGAGCUUGACUGAUGCACAAAAUAUUCAUAGGCCUCUUCCCAUAACAGGCACCUUGUGUUUGCAACAUAAUUGAACAUGUAUUGAAGUGAGUUUUUUUGCAUCUUUUUGUAAGAAAAUUCUAAACAACAAAGAUUGCUUAGUGUGCCUGACUCCUCAAGGAAUCAAGGUUCAUUCCUGUAGGGCCAGUUUUUUCACAGUCGAACUAGAUAACAUGGAGAGUAUGUUGCAAUGCUUCAACGGGGUAUUUCUUAGGAAAAUCCACCUGAAGCUGGUACAAUUCGUUGGCGUACUGAGUUCCUAAAGCUCUAUUGACUUCAAUCACCCAUCUCUGUAGAUUAUCGGUGACUUUAUGCUCGGAUCCUGUAGGAGGAUUGACUUGACAUUCCACUAGUUUUUUCUGGAAGGCGAUUUUGUUUAACACCUUGUGAGAAGAGGCAGGGGAACUGGUCAUUGUUUCUUCGAGAAGAUCAGUGGCCGAGGAUGGGUUUGGACCAGAAUUGCUAUAUGGGUUUUCUUUGGGUGAACCAAUUAGUGAAAUAGGUGGCUAUAUAGCAACUAAAGGGUGGUCAUACUAACGAGGAGCUAUUAUUUCAUGCAUGUGGAGAGGAAAUGACUAGCUUCUUCAAGGAUAUAUGAUUAUUCAUCUCUAGCUUACGUUGACUAUCUCCUAACAAAUUUCUGCUUUGAAGCUCCCUUAGUUUCACUACAGCUAAUUGGCCAACUUGGUUUCAUCAUGUUUCCUACAACCUCUAAGCAAAGCAUGCCAGAUCACCGAAUCAGGUUCUAUUCGCAUUUUGUCCAUAAACUCCUUUGCCUAUUGACAAUAGACUGCCCCUCAAAAUUUGAUGAGAUAACAUCAACGCUGACAUGUUGGCCAUCCCCAUAAGCAUCUUUAUAGAGAUUGAUUCUAUGUUUAGAUAUUUCUCUCUCCUCAAGUGAGUUCAACUUUUCUGUAGCAUCCUUCUCCUUCUCUACUAAUAGUCUUAGUUGAACAUCCAACCUAUGUUCCCAAAGUGCCAGCAUCUCAUAUCUGAUGACAAGCCAACAACCUUGCCCUUGCUGAGACCCAAAUAAGUAUCCAGAACCAUCAACAUCAACCCUUUCAUAGGCCUUUGUAUUUGAAGGUCGGAUUGGGAUUGCUUUGAAUGCACUGGCACUACAAUACACAAUUGUUUCUUCUCCGAUAAAAACACCACAAAGAGGUGAGGGGACUGGUAUUAGCAAAGAAGUGUUGUUAUCUAUAUUGUUCUAAGCCCGAUUACCCUCAACAAAAUCCUCAUCCUCAUCUGUACUCUUCCAUUACAUCCCUAGGCUUUUCAAUGUGAUCCACAUGGCUUACAGGAAUCCAGAAAUACUGAUCUGUAUAAAAGUUGCUCUUAUGGGGCUCUCCUAGAAAACAUCCCAAUCAAGAUGAUCAACCUAGCUUAGAUGCUCAGCACCCCAAACUUACCAGAAAUAGAGGAAUAAAAAGCAAGGAUAGGAGCCAAAGUAAAAACUAAGGGAAGAGCAAAUAGGAAAUCAAGCAAAACAUGAAUGUACAGAGCCUCAUUUCAGGUGACAUCUUUGGGCUAAUAAUAGGUGGAAUUAACAAAGUAGAUAAGCAUGAUUGUUAUAAAUAUCAAGUUCAAGGAUGAAGUCGUGCAUCAGCUACUUAUAGGGGGAGUCAAGGAAACCAAGAUAAGAUCAAAGAGAGCAUGUAUGCAAAUAAACAGAUACGACAAAAUAGACCAAACAACUCGUGAAUAUCCUCCUACAAAAAACUACUACACGUGGCAAAAAGUGAUGAAACAAAAAGAGUUGGGUCCGCAUAUACAUAUCCUAUUCUAUCCUAUUCCUUCAAAUCCAAAGCAACCUGUAUUUUCAAUGGGAUUUGUUGUGAUGAAUUUUACUGGAUUGUAACAUGUAAAUAUGUUAAAAGAGGCUUGGGACAUUCCUAUAUAGUAACGCAUAAAGGUACUUCCAUUGUGAAGUUGUCAAAAUUGCAAAUUUAAAUUACAAAAUUUGAAAACAUAGAGAUGAAAGAUGAUGAAACCUUCUUUGAAAUUUUAUAUUGAACUCAUUAAUAUUAUUAAUUUUCAUUUCAGUCUAGGGGAAAGAAUUCUUUACUCUAAAGUGGUCACAAAAAUAUUAAAAUUCCUUGUCGAGAGAUUUAGACCUAAAGUGAUCAAUAUAGAAGAAAGUAAAAAUAUUCUAAGUGUAGGUAAACUUGUAGACUCAAAUGACUCUACCUUCUCAUAAAAAAUCCUCAAUUUUAUAAAUUAUAUUGAUUUCUUCAUUUGAUACAAAAUUUGAAUAAAGAUUUUUCAAAUGACAACACAAGGAAAGGGAAAAAAAAAUUCUCUCCAAAUCAUAUUAUUUAAUCACUUAAAUUAUUUAAAAAUAAAAAUGUUUACUGCUAACAUUAUUUAGGUUCAUCUUUCUUUUGAUGGAGGUUAAAAUUCAUAAUUUUGAGGAAAAAGAUGAGGAUUCUCAUUUUUUUUCCAUAUAUGAAUGGGAUUCUCAUUGUGUAUAUGUGGGUUACUAAAUGGCAAAUUUGGGGGCCACCAGAGUCUGCAAUAUGAGGGAAAAAUGAAGUUGAGUUUGUCACCAAGAAUAGACAUGGUUCCUACAAAGGUGGCAUCUUUAAUUUCAUGUUUGGAUUGGACUUGUCAUGUAACAACUUAACAAGUGAAAUCCCUCAUGAACUUGGAAUGUUAAGUUUGAUUCAUGCAUUGAACUUGUCUCGUAAUCAACUAAAAGGCUCCAUUUCAAAGAGUUUUUGCAAUCUUUCUCAAAUAGAGAGCUUAGACCUUUUUAAUAAUAAACUAAGUGGAGAAAUUCCUCCAAAAUUGGUUAGACUAAACUUUUUAGCAGUGUUCAAUGUGACUCACAAUAGCAUCUUCGGAAGAGUUUUAGAUAUGAAUACAUAAUUUGCAAAAUUUGAUGAAAGUAACUAUGAAGCUAAUCCUUUCCUUUGUGGACCACCAUUAAAGAGAAAAUGUAGCAUAAAUGUUGUUGAACCACCUUACCAACCAUUAGAGUCUUCGGAAGAAAGUGAUGCAAAAUGGUAUAAUAUCAAUCUUGUUAUUUUCUUUGCAAAUUUUACUACAUCAUAUAUCAUGAUAUUAUUAGGAAUUUCAACCAUUCUUUACAUUAACCCUUAUUGGUGUCAAAGAUGGUUCAAUUUUAUCGAGAAAUAUAUAUACUUUUGCUAUUAUUUUGUUUCCUAUACUCUUUCCAAGUUAUUAACAUAUUUUGAAUAAUUAGAGAUUUUUGUUUUCAAUAAUAUUUACAUAAUUAACUACUAUUGGCUUCCAUGACAUGGAAAGAAAUGCGAUGAAGGCAACAACCACUUUUUUUUCUCCUCUACUAGUGCAUGAUUGAUAUGAGUUAAAACUUGCACCCUUAUCUUUGCUUAAAUUUUCUCAGCUUUUGUUUCAAUUCUUAAUUAUCAUUUCUUUUAUGUAUUGUUUAAUACAAUAUCCUAAACACAUUGCUUUGAAGGUUACUUAUUUAUUAAGCAUGAUAUUGAUUUUCAUAAAAACAAAUUCAAGUUUUUUAGGAAUUUUUAGAAUUAUUAUAAUUUGGAGUUCACAUUAGAGGAAAAAAGGAAAGAAAAGAAUAGAUGAUUAAAAAAACAAUUUUAGUAAGUAUAAUUUGUCAUCUUCGGUAUAACAAAUGGGAAUUCCAAAAUAAUAUUUCAAUUUGUUAGUCUAUUCCUUAUAGUAUUAAUUGAUAUAUCAAAUAGGAAGUCACGUUUUGAUUUUUUAUUAGCUUGAAUUGCAUGUCACAUAUAUUUUAAAAUCAAGCAUACAUCAGCCGGGAAGUUCUUGUAACAUGCAUGAACAUGAUAUGAUGAAUUGAAUAAUUUUCUUAAUAUAUGUGUAUAUACUACACAUUAUUAAAUCAUAUAUGUAUAUUUAUAGUCGUAUAAUAUAUUUAUAUAAGUAACAAUAAAUUAUAUUGUAUAAGGUAUCGGUAGGAGUUUUCAAUUCCCUCAUACAAUAAUAUCUAUCAAUAAUUGGAUUGGACACCUUGCUGGCCAUGAGAAUGGACUUGACAUUAACACAUAGCCUUGAGUGGUGUUGAUAUUAUUACUUUGAACCAGAACUGCAGUCAUCUCAAAAACUAUAUUAUAUAGAAAAGCAAAAUAAAAACAUUAGUUAAAACAAAUGUCAAGAUCCUUGAAAUCACGUUUCAAUAUGUUAAAUUACCAUUUUUUUAAAUAAAUAUUUUAUAGGUUGUGUGAAUAAAUAUAAUUGCUAUGAAGGUUUCAAUUUAAUUUUACUAGCAAAUCCAUAAUAGGUGAAAAGACAAAACUACCAUUUUUGUUUUUUUUUCUUUAUUUACCUUUUUUCUCUCGUAACCUUACUCCUUUCACCUUUUUGUUUUUUCCUUUUUCUCAACUAACUAUUUUUUUCUUGUAAUUGUUAUUAUCAUUUUUUAUUAUAAAUAUUAUAACCUUAUAUUAUAAAUUUUUAAUUAUAUUUAAACUAACUAAUGUUGUGGUUUUAAUUGACAUGGAAAAGAAUGUGGUUAUACAUGUGAUUGUCGCCUUUUUUUUUUUCCAAUUAGUUAACUAUUGAUACAAGUUAAAAGUAAAAAUUGCAAUAUUAUCUUUAUGUCAAUUUCACCGAUCUUUUGUUUUUAUUUUCAUGUAUCAUUCCUUUUUUGGUUAUUUAAUUAAAAGGAUUAAAAAAAAAAAAUCACAUAUUCACAAGAAUAACCUUCAUAUUUUAAAAACAUAAAUUUUUAUAAAAAUACCCUCCAACUAUAAUUUUUAUAUGUCCCUAUUUCAAAUUCAAACACUUCUUUUAAUAAUAAUAAUAAUAAAAAAGGGCAAAAAUGUCAAACUGGGAUUAUAUUUAUAAUUUUCAAUAAUUAGAGGUUGUUUUUCCAAAGUAAAAAUUAUUUUGUUCCUUUGGCACAAAUAUUUCUUUCUUUUUUGUAUUUUUUUAUUCAAAAUAUUAAACACAUUACCCUCAAGGUUACUAUUUAUUAUGAAUGGUGUUUACUUUACAUUACGACAAAUUCAAAUUUUUUAGAAUUUUUUAAUGUUAAAAUAAUUUGGAGCUUAAUAGGGAAAAAAAGAAUAAAUAAUUAGAAAAGCAAUUCAAAAAAAUAAAAUUUAUCCUCUUAAAUUGGUUUUGUGUAAUACUAUAGAAGCCAUUUCUUGAGUUUGAUAUGGUAGAAUUUGGAUUCAUAUUUAUUUUAAAAUCAAGAAAUUCAAGUGUUGGUAGCAUCAAUAGAAUCUUAAAAAAUUUGCAAAAAAAUAUUUAGGUAGAUCACAUUUAAAUAUAACUAAUAGAAUAAAAAAUUAGUAUUAUUAGGAAGACAUGAUCAAUUAAAUCUUUUUUCUUAUCUAUGACACCGACUUUAUUUUUUUACAUAGUCAAUAUAAUUUAUUACAACUUAUAUGUCAUUAAAUUAUACAUGUUUAUAUUAAAUAUAAUAUAAGAUCAUUAAUGGAAUAAUUAUGCAAGUAAUAUAAAUUGUAUAUAAUAUAAAAAAUUUAAAGUCCAUCAAACUAAUGGAAUCUAUUAUAAUAAGUAGACUAGACACCAUGUUGGCCCGAGUUGGAGGCCUAGGCCAGAUUUUAAAGGCUGGGCUUUGAGUUGCCCGUGGGCCUGAGCCAAGGCCUUCUCUUGGUAUCAUCAUUUUGAAGAAAUAAAUUGCUGAUACAGAGAAAAAAACUAUACUAAAUAGAAAAAUAAAUAAAAGCAUUGACUAAAAUGAAGGCCAAGGUCCUUGAAAAAUAAUCUUAAAAUUGUUGCAUAUAUAAUUUCAAUAAUGCAUAAAUAAUUGCAAUAUAUAUGAUGUGAUAAAGAAUUUGGAAUUAAAAGAAGAUUGAUCUAUUUUAAAUGUGGUUGGAAUAUUUCUAAAUUUGUGAUGGGAAGUUAGACAGCCAAUUAGGGAUCCAUAUUAUUUAUUUUCAAUGAUAUGAAUUUAUUUACUUUUAUUAAUAUUCUUAAUGCAACAAUAUAAAAUAUGUCAAUUUUCUAAAAUUAAAAAAGUAAUUGUAAAAGAAAAUUUUUAAUUAUUUUUAUGAAAUUGAGUUUAUUAUAGCAUUUUUCUUUACAUAAAUUUCUUUUUUAUUUUUAUUUUUUUAAAAAUGAGAUAUGAAAAAAAAAGAUCAAUAUUAGUAAAAGUAAAACCCAAUAUAUAAAAAAUAUGAAUAAAUGUUUAUGAAAUAAGAUUUAAAAGUGAGAAGGUAAUAAUUUUUUUCUCUUUUAAUUCCUAUUCAAUUCAUUACAAAAAAUAUUUUUGGUUUUUAUGCUAAAAUUUAUUGUUUAUUAAAAAAUUCUAGUAUAUCUAGCUAUCAUAGAAGAGCUCCAAAAUUUUAUUGUUUAAGAGAAUAUGUGUUGCCACUUUAAAAGAUUUAUAUGCAAAAGGGAUUGAUAUUUUUUUCCUUUGGAUAUGUUUAGUUCCCGGAAAAUUUGAGGGAAAAUGUGAGGGAAGAAAAAUAGAGAAGAAAAGUAUAACGAAAUAAAAAGUGAAGGAAAAUGAAAAAUAGAUUUAAAGUUAACAAAUUAUUUUCAUUGGUUUUUUCAAACUUAUUUUACUUAUUUUAUUCUAUUAAAUAAAGAUUAACUAAUUUUAAUUAUAUUUGGUUUGAUUUUUAUUAUUUUUCAAAGCAAAACCAAAUAUGAAAAAAAAAACAUUUUUUUUUUUUGUUAUUUUUUUCUUUCCUUAUUACUUUUUAGGACUCAAACAUAGCUUUUAGAUUUGGAGCAUGGAAAGAUAAGAGUAUUGAAUAAUGGUUCUAUAUAUGCCCAUGCCCAUGCCCAUGAUACCAUUGAAAAAAAUGGAGAGAGGGUGAAACCUUUACUAGAUGAUAAAUUAUUCUCUUCAAUGGAAAUCAAAUAUAAUUAUUUUUAUCUUGUAUUAAUUGAAUGUUAUACUCCAUAAACUCAAAAUUAAAAUAAAUAAAAAAUUUAAAAACUAGGACAAUCCCAUUUUUUUUCAAUUUCUUAAAAAGAAAUUAAAUUAUAUUUAUUUAUAUCUAUUUUCAUCCCUACCCAACAAAAUAAAAAAAAAUUAACAAGGUGGGACAUGUAUGAGAAAUUCUCACACUAACUCUCACUAGUUUAUUUUUUUUUAAAAAAAAAAAUAAAAUCAAUUUCUUUUAAAAAAAUUAAACUACAUAAAAAAUAAACAAAUUUUACAAUUUUUUUUAAGAAAAGUAAAUUUCUUAUUUUAUAUAUGUUAAAAAUAAAUAUAAUCUUUUAUUUUUUAUAUAUAUAAUCGGGUAAGGUAGAGUGGGACAAAGAAAUAAUCCCCUUCGAUUCCAAUCCGAAUUUUUAAAAUAUAAAAUAAAAAUCUUAAACUCAUCCCUAAUCCAUUUAUUUUUAAUCCUAAACUUGUCUUAUUAAGAAUAAGGCAAAGUGAGUACAUGAAAACACUUCUUUUAUCAUCAUCUCUACAAGUUCUAAUGUUUAGAUUGCAAUCCAUAUCAAAGAUUUAUAAAGAAAGAACAACAAUGAAUUUCAUAAACAUUUGAAAGCAUAAACAAAGUUUUAAAUAAUAUUGCUUGAGGUGCAAAUAUUAUUUGGCGCACAUGUUGAGGGACUUCAACUGGUGUAGUCUAGGUUUUUUACACUAGUAAGUAAUCUUGAAUAUCUAGAGUAACUUGAUCAAAAUCUCUUUAAUUUUAUUUUCUUUGAUGGUUGUAUGAUGAAUUAGAAUGCUUAUAUAACAUGAUUAAAAAUUUUAAGAAAAAAAAACUAAGAAGAAAGAAAGAAGCAUCGAUCUUCCAAAUAUUGCUUCCACUUUAAUAUCUAGUAGGCUCUAAGAAAAGAACUUUAUUCAUGAAUCAUAACCCAAGUCGAAAAUAAAUUGAACCCAUUUUCUAAGUUAAAUUUUGAAUUUUUUACUAGUGAAUGCAAAUUGGGAAAAUGUAUAUAAAUAUAAUCAAACUAGAAUAGUAGAUUAGGUUUGUAGGUGGAGUUUGUUUGAAUUGUUGGAACUUCCAAGUCGUUGUGGGUCUAGUGGUCCCAUAGCUCUCUAUUAAUUUCCACCAUCAAUUUUUUGCAAUAAAGUCAAGUCAUUCCUAACCCUUAUAUUAAGUUGGCCUUAAAAGUCAAGUCAUUGAUCAUAGUUACAUUCAUGAAUCACAACCCAAGUCGAAAAUAAAUUAAACCCAUUUUUCAAGUUCAACUUUGAAUUUUUUAGUAGUAAAUGCAAAUUGGGAAAACAUAUAUAAAUAUAAUUAAACUAAAAUAGUAGAUUAGGUUUGUAGGUGGAGUCUGCUUGAAUUAUUGAAACUUCCAAGUCAUCGUGGGCCCAAUGGUCCCAUAGCUCUCUAUUAAUUUCCACCAUCAAUUUUUUGCAAUAAAGUCAAGUCAUUCUAACCCCUAUAUUAACUUGGCCUUAAAAGUCCAAUCAUUGAUAGCUAAAUCCCAACCCAAGUCAAAAAUAAAUUGAACCCAUUUUCUAAGUUCAACUUUGAAUUUUUUUUAAUUGGAAAAAUGUAUAUAAAUAGAAUUAAACUAGAAUAGUAGAUUAGGUUUGUAGGUGGAGUUUGCUUGAAUUUGUGAAACUUCCAAGUCGUCGUGGGUCUAGUGGUCCCAUAGCUCUCUAUUAAUUUCCACCAUCAAUUUUCUGCAAUAAAGUCAAGUCAUUCCUAACCCCUAUAUUAAGUUGGCCUUAAAAGUCAAGUCAUUGAUCAUAGUUACAUUCAUGAAUCACAACCCAAGUCGAAAAUAAAUUAAACCCAUUUUUCAAGUUCAACUUUGAAUUUUUUACUAGUGAAUGCAAAUUGGGAAAACAUAUAUAAAUAUAAUUAAACUAAAAUAUUAGAUUAGGUUUGUAGGUGGAGUCUACUUGAAUUAUUGAAACUUCCAAGUCAUCGUGGGCCCGGUGGUCCCAUAGCUCUUUAUUAAUUUCCACCAUCAAUUUUUUUGCAAUAAAGUCAAGUCAUUCUAACCCUUAUAUUAAUUUGGCCUUAAAAGUCCAAUCAUUGAUAGCUAAAUCCCAACCCAAGUCAAAAAUAAAUUGAACCCAUUUUCUAAGUUCGACUUUGAAUUUUUUUUAAUUGGAAAAAUGUAUAUAAAUAGAAUUAAACUAGAAUAUUAGAUUAGGUUUGUAGGUGGAGUCUACUUGAAUUUGUGAAACUUCCAAGUCGUUGUGGGUCUAGUGGUCCCAUAGUUCUCUAUUAAUUUCCACCAUCAAUUUUCUGCAAUAAAGUCAAGUCAUUCCUAACCCAUAUAUUAAUUUGGCCUUAAAAGUCCAGUCAUUGAUAGCUACGUUCAUGAAUCCCAACUCAAGUCAAAAAUAAAUUGAACCCAUUUUCUAAGUUCAACUUUGAAUUCUUUUAAUUGGGAAAAUGUAUAUAAAUACAAUUAAACUAGAAUAGUAGAUUAGGUUUGUAGGUGGAGUCUGCUUGAAUUUGUGAAACUUCCAAGUCGUCAUGGGUCUAGUGGUCCCAUAGCUCUUUAUUAAUUUUCACCAUCAAUUUUCUGCAAUAAAGUCAAGUCAUUCCUAAACCAUAUAUUAAUUUGGCCUUAAAAGUCAAGUCAUUGAUAGUUACGUUCAUGAAUCACAACCCAAGUCUAAAAUAAAUUGAACCCAUUUUCCAAGUUCAACUUUGAUUUUUUUACUAGUGAAUGCAAAUUGGGAAAACAUAUAUAAAUAUAAUUAAACUAGUAUAGUAUAUUAGGUUUGUAGGUGGAGUAAGCUUGAAUUGUUGAAACUUUCAAGUCGUCGUGGGUCUAAGGGUCUUAUAGCUCUCUAUUAAUUUCCAUCGUCAAUUUUUAUGAAUUAAGAUUUAAAAGUGAGAAGGGAAUAAAUUUUUUCUUUUUCAAUUCAUUACAAAAAAUAUUUUUGGUUUUUAUGCUAAAAUUUAUUGUUUAUUCAAAAAAUUAAAGUAUAAAAAUAUAAAAAAAAAUAUAUAUCUUGAUAUUAUAGAAGAGCUCCAAAAUUUUUGUGUUUAAGAGAAUAUGUGUUGCCACUUUAGAAGAUUUAUAUACAAAAAGGAUUGAUGUUUCUCCUUUGACUAUGUUUGGUUGCCAAAAAUUUGAGGGAAAGAAAAUAAAAAAAAAUAGUAAAAAAGAAAAAAUGAAGGAAAAUAAAAAAUAGUUUUCAAGUUAAUAAAUUAUUUUUAUAUGUUUUUUCAAACUUAUUUUACUUAUUUUCUUUCAUUAUAUAAAGAUUAAAUAAUUUUAAAAUGCAUAAUUUCUAACUAAUUUUAAUUAUAUUUAAUUUUUCUUUUAUAUUUUUUAGACGGGAUCCGACACAUGAAAAAAUCCUUUUUUUUAGCAUCUUUUUUUCUUUUCUUAUUACUUUCCAAUAACCAAAUAUAACCUUUAGAUUUAGCCUUUAGACUUGGAGUAUGGAAGGAUACUGAGUAUUGAAAGAAGGUUUUGUAUAUGGCCAUGAUACCAUAGAAAAAAUGGGCGAGAGAGAAAAAACCUUUAUUAAAUGAUAAAUUAUUUUACUACUUACUACAUAAAUAGAUAUUCAUGGAGUGCAUUCUCUAAAAAGCUCCAGUCUCAUGAAAAUGGAAAGAUGGACCGGCCAGUGGACCGGUUCGAGUUUGGAUUUAUGGGCUGCCUCAGCCUAACACGCAUGAUAGGCUGUUGCAGGUGAAGAACUAAUUAAUUUAAAGCCUUCUUCUAUCCUCUCCUAUUCCUCUUUCACUCCAAAUUUUCCACAUGAUAAUGACAAUUCUUUUGUUAAAUGGUAAAAAAAAAAAUUUAACAAUUAAUUUAAAAUCAUUUAUAAAAUCAUGAACUUUGGCAUCCUAAUUAAUGCAAUUUAAACUUUUUUUGUUUACAAAUGAAAUAAGAGGCAACAUAUAAACCCAAAAGUUAAUUUUCCUACCAUCUCUAUGCACCAUUUUAGCUUUACUCCAAUAUAUUUUCUAUGAUUAAUUAUUUUCAUUCAAACAAUAAUAUCAAAAUAUUUUAAAAUUAGACAUAUCAUAAUCAAAUAUCAUUAUAUUAUUAUUGAAUAAUAUUUAAUGUAAUUUAAUAAUCAACGUAUACUUAUAGAAUUUAUAUUUUUUAUUAAUGCAUAUAAUAUUAUUAUCAAAUAUGAUAAAUUAUAUAUAUAUAUUUCUUUAACAAAACAACUUUAAAAUAUCUAUUAUACUUUUAAUUUCAUCUCUAAGAGGUUUUUUUUUUUUUCUUUUUUUUUUUUACAUUUUUAUAAGUUUUGAUCAAUUGUAGGCUAACCAAUAUUUUUUUAUCAAAAUAUCCACCAAUAUAUCUCCGAUAUAUUAGAUAUAUCCGUAACAUCGAAAUACCAAUAUAUCCGCGAUUAUCGAUAUUUUUAUCCUUGAGGGAUAACAACUAAUAUAGUUUUUGCACUUAAUGAUAUUCCUCAACAUUUAGAUUGAUUUGACCAAAAUCUUUUUAAUUUUAUUUUCUUUGAUGGUUAUAUGAUGAAUUAGAAUAGUCAUAUAACAUUAACAGAUUUAAGAAAAAAAGGAUAAAAAAGCUCGUAUUUUUCAAAUAUUGGUUUCAACUUUGAAUAUUUUUAUUGGUAAAUGAAAAUUGUGAAAAACCUACUAAUGCUAAUACUUUUCACCACAUAAUUAAAUAUAAUAAACUAGAAUAGUGAUUCAUUGAUGUCUUAUAAAGACACAUGCCUUCUUUGACUUGUUAGUUGAUUUUUGUAGGUGGAGUCCAUUUCCAUUUGAAUUGUUGAAACUUCCAAGUCCUUGUGGGUCUAGUGGUCUCUCUAAUAAUUCCCACCAUUAAUUUUUUGUGAUGAAGUGCAGUCAUUGAUAGCUACUAUAUCAAUUUGCUAUUAAAAGUCAAGUCAUUGAUAACUAAUAUUCAAUCUUUUUCAAUAUGGAAAUUGGAAUCUCUAGCACUACUCUUCUCAUUGUUCAUUUUUAGGUAAUGUGAGAAUGUGUGAACAUAAAUGUCUUCUAAUCAACCAAUUUUUUUGAAAAAAACAUGUACAAAAUUGCAAAACUUGCAAAAUCAAACUUUCUUGUUGAAUAACCAUAGCUUGAUGGUUUUGAAGAAUCAAAGGAUGAAUCAUAAAAGGGUAUUUGAUAAAAAAUAAAAAUUUAAAAAGUUAAAAGACAACUACUCCCUUAAGUGUAAUAAGUGUAUUUGGUAGCACAAAUUUCCUACCACUUAUUAUUUUUUCCUUUCUUAAAAAAUUAUUUACUCUAUUAAAUAAACUAACCUUGGCUUAGCACUUAUAGCAAAAUAGGUUAAGUAGUUUUUAAAAUUUUAUAAUAUUAGAUUUACAUUUUUAUCCUUCAAAAUUUCAUUAAUGCUAGAUUCUUCUAUAUGCUUAACUAAUAAAUAAUUUUUAGCAUUUUUCUUUUCUUAUAAACAUAAAAAAAUAAAAAUAUUAUUAACUUAUUGGUAUAUUUUAAAAUUUUAAUUAGAUUUAAGCUUUUAUUUGUUUGGAUUACCAAUUAUACAUAUAAAUCCUUUGUUAUUAUUGUUAUUAUUGAAAGAAAGGGGUUGAAUAGGUAGUCCCUCAAUCCCCAAAUUAAAUUCUUUAUUGCCUACUUUUGGUUUAUUCCUUUACAUGAAUUCCUUGGUGAGAGUAAACAUUUCAUUAAUAGAUAAAUAAAAUUGAUUCCAUAUCAUAGGGUAUAAUGUGGAAAAAUCACCAGUCUCAUGUGUUCCUUAGUGGAUCCUUUGGAGCCCUAUCAAAGUUUCAUGAUGAAACCAUUGACUUUUGUUUAACCCAAAUGUGCUUUCAAGACAAAUCUUGAAAGAUUUGAGAGAUGGAGGUUCAAGUCUUUUAUGAACGACCAUGUUCUCUUAGGGUUCAUGAAAUUCACACCUUUUGAUAAAUAAAACUUAUCUAUUUAUACGUCUAAAACCCAGUAUUUAUUUAUUUAAUUAUAGAAAGUUUCUUAGUUUUAAAAACAUUUCAAAAAUCAUUUUUAGAAUCAAAUAAGAAUUUUAGAGAUAAACACAAUAUUAAAAUUUAACAAAAACAAAUUUUCGAAUUAAAAACACAAUAUAAACUAAAUUACAAAAUAUAAAGUAAUUUUUACCCUAAUUUCUUGUUGCAAAACCAAAUGGAACACCUAGAAGGGGAGUGAAUGGGUGAUUUUAAAUUUUUUCAAUAAUUAUUUAUAAGUUAUACCCAAUUCUUUUACCCUGCAAGUUGUUAGGGACUAUCAAUUCUUUCAUUUUGGCAAUUCAAACAAUAUAUCAAAUAAUAAAAAGAUAUAAAUAAUGAGACAUAAAUAUUUUUACGUGGAAAACCCCCCACACUAACCAUGGAGAUAAAAAGCCAUGGAGUCUAAGACCUAUUAAUCUAAAUUCACGGUACGAAAUCAAGUUACACAAAUUUAUUUGACAACUUUACCUUAAAGACUUACUCUACAGUACUGACAACUUGAUUCACAUCCACGACGUAGCAACCCUCGAUUACUCCAAUGGAUCACUUCAAGCUUACUAAAAGGAUGAAGGCCUUCAAACCAAGAUUCAAAAAUCAAUUCCUUGAAUGAGAGAUCAGGAAUGGUGUGCCACUUUAGGCUUUCUCUCUAAGAACUCUAAAAUGAUCUCCUCAAUGAAAACCUUUUAAACAAAAUGAGAUAUUUCUCCACAAUCUCUAACCCUCAAGGGGUUAUAAUGAGAUAUUUAUAAGCAACUAAGUUGAAGAGUUUCGGUUUUGGAAGGUUUCUCAAUUGAAUUUGUGUGAAAAACUCGACAGAAUCAACAUGACCGCUCGAGGCAGCACACUUCCCACUUGAGCGUUUCGGGCACUUGAGCGGUAAGGCUUGCUUGAGUUGUCCUAAGCGCUUGAGCAUUCCAGGCUACUUGAGCAAUCUUGCUCUAUUUCAAAAGUUAAUUUUAAACCAUUUUAAGUUCAAAACAAAAUUGAUUCCCUUUAUACCUCAAAGGAGCCUAACUUGCCACAAACCAAACUUUUUUAGAUAUACUUGUGACUUCCUGGUUGGACGAACAACAACUCUUAAUCUUCAAUGGAGAGCAAGUCACUAUCUAAAAAGAUUUAUAUGGUCAAACAUAAAAAAACAAAAAAAUUGCCAACAUAACAACAAGACUCAAUGUCCAUGCAUGGUCACCUGAAAGGUGACUCCGACCACAAUAUAAUGCAUGUUCUCAUAGAACAUGUGAACAAGAUGGGGAUAGGAAGUCCCCUAGAGAGAAAACAGAGUCUCCUAACCCUACUCUUGAAUGAUGAUAGGGAAGACAGUGUCCUGAAAAGCUUAAAGGUUAAUGGCAUGCUCAGGCUCGACACACCGAUAUGUGAAAGAAGCGUAAUAAUGGUCCCGUGCCACCUGGUAGUGAAAGCGCUCAACCGGAAGUGCAUCUAGGUUAAAAAGACCCUAGAGUGGGAUGCCCUAGACGGUUUCAGUGACCUAGGAAAGGUCACCUCCCUUUGACAUCUAUGACUAGCCAUAUCUAAGGUAUAUAAUAUGAAAAAACAAAAGCUAAAGAAAAUCCAGAGAAAAGCUAAACCACUAAAAAUGUUAAACUCAAUGCGUCGAACAAUACUAUACAAAUGGAAAUGAAAAAUAUGAAGCGAACUGACCUCAGAAGACAAAAGGACAGUAACCCAGAGGGCUCGAAGAGGAAUAGGAAAGAUUGAAAUGAAUAUGGCGUGAUGGAUGACCUUUAUAUAGCUUAUAAGAGUGCUUGAUGCAGAUUAGCACUUGAGCGUCAUGACUAACUUAAAUCAAAUUAUUUAUUAAUAUGGAAAUAUUUUAAAAGUUUCAAAGGAAGUAUUCAAUUUAGAACCUUUUUAGAAUUUUUUUGAAAGAAACAAAAAUAAAGCGUGAAAUAUUAUGUGUUAAAGGUGUUAGAAGACAAUAUUGUCUAAUCCAAAGCCUUACACAUUCCUAAAAAAAAAAAAAAAAAAAAAGGAAAAAGAGAGAUAUUAUAUAAGAUUUUGAUCACAUCUAAUAGAAACUAAUAUUUAGCAACAUAUCACCAAGCACUAUCUUAUCAGAAAGCUCUAACAUGUUGGAAAUUUAUGUAAGGUUCCAUAACAGCUAAAAACUUUUUCUGACGACUCGGUAAUGGACCAUUUGCACUUUAACUACAUUAUUGAAUUUAAAUCAUAUUAGAAUUGUAAUUGACUUCUCUUUUGUGAGACUACAUAUCUUGUAGGAUGGGAUAGGUGAUUCAUUUCAUAUAUGAAAUUUACUUAAUUUAGUAAUGCUUCCAAGUUCAUUAUGAAUCUAAUGGUAUCACAACUCCUUUAAUAUUUGUAAUUUUGUAAUCUUUGUUUCAACUUCUCAAGUCUAGUCAUUUUAUUGGCAUAACUAGUUUGCUUCAAUUAUCUCUCAACUUUAUUAUAAAACUAAGGGAAAGGAUUAUCACGCAUUUUAUAUUAACUUAACCAAACAUCUUUAUAUAUCUUACAUAUAUAUAUUUUUUGUAAAUUUAGGAAAAUUUCAUCCAUUAGCCAUAGUAAGUAAGAAUCAAAUAAGGGAUAUGUAAGCCAAUGGUGAUAUUGAUGGCGUCAAAUCAAUGACAUAGUAGAAAAGUGGAUUGUCUAUUUUCAAACCUUUAUAUUUUCAUCCAAUAGUAAAAAGGUUUAGGCAUCACUUGAAAAGUAGUUCGUUUUUUACCUUGGACUAUGAUUUAUGAAUAAAGUUCUUCUGUUGUAUACCUUUUGUGAUGCCCCAAACCUAAUUUAGGGGUAAAAAAAUAAUUUAGAAAAAAAUAAAUAAAAAGUUAAAUAAAUUUAAUUAAGGUAAAAAUGUAUUUUUGUAUUUAAAAUUCCUAGGUAUCAAUUAUAUAUUUCUUGUCUUCUCUAUUCAAAAAACCCUAUUACACAAAAAUCAAAUAUCAGAGAACAUAGGACAACGCAGGGUUGAAGAUUUGGAGGUUUAGGGUUGAAGAUUAGUUUUCCAGGUAAGAUUCUAACCCUUAAAUUAGUAUUUUAGAUUCGUUAAUUAGUUUGAACACUUUAGAUAUUCUUUGAAAAAUCUGAAUCUACGUUAGGGUUUGUUAAUUUAAUUUUUAAAUAAAAAAGAUUCAAAAUUUAUGAACAUAAGUAGAGUUAUUAUUAAAGAUUGAAAUUUUUUGAAUAUUUGAAUUAAAAAUCUAGAAAAAAAAAGAAGAAAAUAAAUUAUAGCUUUGGAUGUGGAAAAAAGUUAAUAUUAAUAAAUAAAUAAAACUUAUGAGUACGGAGGUAGAAAAAUAUGAGAGUUGAAAGCAAAGAAAAAAAAAAGAGAAUAAGGUUUUGUGGUUGUACGUGUCUCCUUAGUGGAAAAAAGAAAUACAAGGUUGUUUGCAAUAGGAUAUGACAAAGAGAGAGAGAUAAAUGCUUAGAUGUUGAUUUUUGUGGGGAAAAAAAGAUUGGGUAAUGUAGGAGAGAAAUAGGUAGCACUUGUAGAGUUGGUGGGGUUGUUGUAAAAGCUCGUAGGGUAAUUGUUAGGUAGUAGUAGGGUAUGAGAUUAAUUGUUAGGAAACAUUAGGACUUGAAAUAAUAAUAAUUGCUUCUAGUAAAAGUUUUAACUUAGUUUAAGUAUAUAAAAGAAAUAGAUGAUUAGAAUAAGAUUUGGAAGGAAUAUGAAUUCAUAAAAAUUUCGAAAUUUACUAAUUUAGAUUAUUAUUUUUUUGGAAGUUGAAUAUAAUAUAGGUGGUAAUAUUAUUAAUAUAGGAAAUGAUUAAGAUUCUCAAACCUACAAUUUUAGAUAAAUAGUUAAUAGUAAUAGUUGAUUUUUUAUUUUUUUUAUUUUUUAUUUUUUAUGUUAUGUUAAGUGAAUAAUGGAUUCUUUGAUUAAUUCUCUAAGGUUUCUAAGUGCUUCUUUAAGAUAAGGGAUAUUAAUACUGAUUUUGUAAAUGAAAAUAUUUCUUUUUAUAAGUUAUUUUAAAUUAUGAAAAAUUUUAUUUUUAUUUAUGCAUGGAUCAAAUAUAUAUUUUUUCAUGAGAAACAUGUUUGGGCAAUUUCUUUGUUUAUAAAUAAAUAAAUAAAAAAUGAGAACUUUGGAAAUAUAAUGUUUUGUUUUGCAAGUUUAAAAUAAUGAAAUAAAGUUUUUGACUCUGGUUUAUAUGACCUUAGUUAAUGGGUUAUAAUUGUUGACAUUUUCAGCUCUCCAAUCAAUGAUUAUAAUUGUUGAGAUUUUCAACCCUAGCCAACGGGUUAUAAUAGUUGACCUUAUAGCCCUAGUCAACAGAUAUAAUUGUUAACCUUUCGUUUUUCCCAUCUUAAAAAGAACAAAUUUAAGGCUAACCAUUUAUUUGUAAAGUCCCACCUAACUAAGUACCAUUUGUUAUUUAAUAACCAGAGUAAAGAUAUUUUGAAUGUAUUUGAUAUGAAAUUAUUUUGAUAUAAAUAUGAAAAUGUUUGGUUGAAAAGUUCAAAUGUUUAAUGCAUGUUGAAUUCAAAAGUUUUUAUGAAAAUGAUUAUAUGUUAUAUCUCCUAUUUGUAAGUUUGAUCCAUAAAACUGUAUUAAUAUUCCUUAUUGGACUUUGAGCUCAUUCCCCUUUGUUGAGAAUUUUUUUUGGUAUUCUCAGUUUGGGCAAGGAGUGAUGACUGGGUUGGGGAAUUUUCUUUACUAUGAUUUUGGUUCAAUCUUUAUUUUGGACAUUGUAAUUUAAUUCCCAUUUAAAUUAUUUGGGUUUGGAGUUAUUUGGACGAUAACACUUUGAUUGAUGUGUUAGUUUUAAAGUUGAGAAUUGAAAAUUAUAGAAUUUAUUUAUCUUUCUACUUUGAAUAGAAAUUUAGUAAUUGGAGAUCAUCCAGUUACAAGAUGAAUAUUAGAUGAAUAUUUGUGUCGUUUCCACAUUGAGUGUUCAGGCUUAGGGUGUGAAAUGACCGUUAUGCCCUUGGAGUGGGUAUAUUGUUUAUUUGAAUUUAAUGGUCCCCGAACUCCUUAAUUACUCAUAACUUUAUAUCACCUUCUCAAAGUUAAGUUGUUUUACAACUACUAUCUAGCUACUUUUCUCUACUAUGACAACUUUAUUACAUAGUGAUUAAUUGAAAGAAUCUACAUGUCUUAUUUCAUAGGAUAGUUGAUUUUUUUACUCAAUGAAUCUUGCUUUUAUUAUUGAAAAUUUCAAAUCAUUGUAGUCCAACAAUUUACUAUCCUUUGGUAAUUUCAUAUUACAUUUCCAAAGUCUAAUCAUUUAAAAACACUUGUAGUUAAUAUAUUGGCAAUUGCAUUGUGGGAAGUUGUUCACUUGAUUUUAAUGUUGAAACUUUCAAAUUGUUGUAGUCCAACAAUUCCCUAUCCAUUGGUAAUUUCAUAUCACAUUUUCAAAGUAUAAUCAUUUACAAAUACUUGUAUAUAGUAUAUUUGGUGAUUGUAGAGUGGAAAGUUGAUCGUUUUCAUGAAGACCUCUAAAAUAGAAAUUUUUUUCAUUCCAUUUAAUAAAGAAUUUCAUUAAUUGAACAUAUAUGUUUUUUUAACCGGAAAGUAGAGGCCACAUUAUACGAGGCCUUAGGUGACAAUACUAGGUGAGGGUUUUUUUUUUUAAUUUAUUUAUUACUAAAUAUAAAUAAUAUUAUUUAUUGUAUAAUAAAGAUUAUUAUAAUAUAUUUUUUAUAGAUGAAAAAAAUAUUAAUUGAGUUUUAUUUUUUUAAAAUAAUUGUUUUCAAUAAAUAACUUAUUUGUAAAAAGAAAACUAUAAAAUAUAUGCAUUUGAAAAAUAUUUAAUUUUUAUUUGAUUUAGUAUCAAUUAAUAUUUGUAAUAUUUUUUAAUAUUAUAGAAGUUAACAUACUCAAUCAAGAUAUUCAAGAUCAAGAGAAUAUUUAAGAUUGAAUUAAUUUCUUUAUUGUUUAUGUUUUAGUAAAUUUUUAUAUCCAUUACAAAUUUUUUAUUGUUUAUUUUUCAUUCAAUGUUUGCAUUUUUUAAUAGAUAUUAAAACGAUUUUUUUUCUUGUAUGUUAAAAAAAUAUUUCAAUGUCUUUAAAAAUAAAAUAUUGCAGUAAAAUCAAAAUUACAUUGUGAAACUUUAAGCGAAUGUUUUAUACUUAAGAAGUGCCAAUUAAAGUAAGCAUGCAUCUACAAUUGUAAUUUAGAUGUCAUACUGAAACAAUAGUUCUCUUUGACUAUAUCAUAAAAUUUGGUUCGAAUUACUUUAAGUCGUCUUGUAGAUUUUCAAGUUCCAAUGAUAUGCAUCAAGUAUGUGCAACAUACUUGAUAUAACUAAUAUUUUCUUAAGUAAUUGGACACUUUUUUCUAUAAAUUUACUUGAUUAUCAAUGAAUACUUUUAUGUAAGGUAUUGAUAUAAUUCGAUAAAUAUUUUAAAAUAGUAUUAGAAUAGCUUUGCUCUUUCCCAAUUAACAAAUUUACUAAAUUAACUUAUAUAUAUUUGUUUAUUUGAAUUUACUGGUAUUUGACUCAAAUUGUUAUUAUUUUUAAAAUUAUAGGAAAACCAUUAUUUAUAGAGUUUAAUUAUAUUUGGUAAAUUAUCUUUUUAAGUUUGGCUAGGAUUAGGAAACUAUUAAUUUAAGAUUAAUCCAUAAGGCUCUAUAAAUUUGCAGUUUUAUUUAGGAUUUAAAAAAAGAAAGAAAAAGUAAGAAAAAGUGAAGAGAGAUAGGCAAAGAGUGCAUUGGGUUUUAAAUAAAGAAAGGUUGAGAGAGUUUUGAUUACUACUCAAAAAGAACAUAUUUUAGAUAGUAAUUCUCAUGGGUUUCACAUCUUUUGAGUAUUAAUUAUGCCUAAAAAUGCUCAAUUAACAUGUUGUUGCCUUUGCAAGAGUUACUAACAAGUUUUAUAAAGUUUUGGAGUCAUUUCAAGUUAUGAUUUUAAUAAAUUGGUGACGAAAGAGAUGAAUUGAUUUGAAGAAGGCAAAUAAUAUUGAUGAUGAUCCAAAUGCAUAAUGAAAGAAGCAAUAUAAUUAGUUUGAUCGGGAUUUGCUGCUAAUUUGGAGGUAGUUAAGGUGGAGUCAAAAGAAGAAAAUGGAAGAAAUGACAAAGAGGAGCUUAAAAACCAAAUGUUGCAGAUUUGUAUGAUCAUGCAAAAAUUACAUGACUAUGCGAAAUGGAUUAGAGAAGGAAAAUUGACUAUAGUAUAAGGAGGAUGCUUAAGUUGAUUUCGCAUGAACAUGCGAAAAUUUUGCACAAUCAUGCGAAAUGGUCCAGAAAGCUCUCUAAUGUUGUUGUUGCUCCACUAAUUUCACACCACCAUGCGAAAUUGAUCUUUUCAUGCAAAAUGGCUGAAGCUCAUGUGAAAUCAUGAUUUUGAUGCUAAACUCUAGAUUUGUGAAUUUGGAAGGUUUUAGAAGAUCAAUGAGAAGUUGCCAAGUGUCCACUUGACCUUGGUCUAUAAAUAGAAACUUGAAUUUCCCAUGUAAAGAGCUUUGUGAUACUUUUGAUUUUAGAUUUUUCUAGGAACUCUUUCUCUAAAUAGAAUUCUAUAUUUUCUUUAAUUUUCUCUCAUUUUCUCAUUCGCCAAACAUGCCUAGUGAGACCAAAUCUCCAAGUAUGAGUGGCUAAAUCUCGUUUUUCUCAAAGGAAUGAGGAUCUAGAGUCAAGAUCUAUGGUGAAUUAUAGAAAUGAGUUUUAAUCGGAAAUGCAAUUUGAUUCAAUUGAUUGAUUAAUUGAAAUUUGAGGAUUUUUCUCUUCAAAUUAUCCUAAAUGACUAUUACAUUGCAAACUAGGUAGAUUCAUUAAAUUCUUAAAGCUAGAUUUAAUGAGACUGAAUAGUUGCAUUGUAUGAAUCAUUGGAAGAUAAUUUAAGAUGAAUUGAAUAUAUAAUUUAAAUUGAUCUCUUGGAUUAAAUAACCUAAUUUGAAGAGAAAUUAGGUUUAGACUUAAAGGUAAAUCUAAAAUCGAUUUAGAUAAGAAUUUAGGUUUUCAAUCUAACUUGAUGAAAAAUAAAUCUCAACAUCUAUUCACCAUGGAAAUUGUUUUCUAAAAAAUAUUAACUCCGAGAAUUCCUUUUCCUUAUCAAUUUUCUUAUAUUCUACAUUAUAUUGUUCUUUUCGAUUAGAAAUCAUUGUUAUUUUGAUUUUUCAUGAAUUGUCAAAUCAAUUUCACUUGACCAUAAUCAUUUCUUUUCCUCCCAUUUAAGCCUUAAUUAUCGAGAAUAAUCCAUCCCAAUAGAAGACACCUAAGACCACUAUACUACCGUAGCUUUUGCUAAAAAACCUUUUUGAUCGGGCAAGAGUUACCUUAGCAUAGUUGAAUUAGGUUAUAAUUUUUUUAUCCAAUAAACAACAAAAAAAAUCAAUCGAUCAAGUUUGCAUUGUGUAUUCUUGAAUUUUAUUAAUAAAUUUGAUCCCCCUUUUUGAAGCGAUUACACCAAACCAAGUAAAUAUUUUAUAUACUUCAUUUGCUUUAUUUUUUCUAUUAAGUUUAGGUGUUGCAAUUUUCAAGAGUCAUGGUGAGAAGAUUGUGGGAAAAAUUAUUUUAAGGAUGGAGUCGAACAUAAAAUAUGAAAUUGAGUCCUUUGAUGGAAAUAAUAAUUUUAAUAUUUGAUAGAGUAUUAUUAAAGAUGUUUUGAUACAACAAAGACUUCUCAAAGCAUUACAAGGCAAAAAAACUAGAGAGCAUGACAAAUAAAGAAAUGAAAGAAUUAGAAGCAAGAGUUGUAAGUACUAUUUGUUUAAGUCUUAAAAAUGAAAUACAUUGUUUUGAAUGAAAAAAAUAUUCUUUUAGGGGUGUCAAUUGCUCUUUUAGAGACCAAAAAUAUUAAGCAGUCAAGUAGUUCAUCUCAUAUUGGACAAACUGUUAUGAUGAAUUCUAAACCACAUCAUCAUAGGAGUAAAUCGAAAGAAAGUAUCUGAUAGGAGGAUGAUCAUUCCAUUCACACUUAUGGAGGAAUAUGAAGUAUUAUUACUGUGAAAAAAAAAACAUAUCAGGAGAUAUUGUAAAGAAUUGAUGAAGUACCUAGAAGAAAUGAAAAUUUUUAAAUCCCAAGAGACUUCAAAUUUUACUAAUAUUGUUGAUGAAAAUUUUGAAAUAUUGUAGUAAAUUAAAAGUUACAUUAUGGGACUUUUAGUGAGUGUUUUAUGUUGAAGAAAGGCUAAUUAAAGUAAACAUGCAUCUAAAACUAUAAUUUAGAUGUUGUACUCAAAUAGUUGCUCUCCUCGAUUAUAUCAUAAAAUUUGGUUUGAAGUCUAAGUCAUCUAAUAAUUUUCUAAUUCAAAUUGCAUGCAUCAAACAUGUGUGUUAGGAAGUGUUGCAAAUUACUAAUUAAUAUAGAUUCUUUUUUUUUUUAAAGAAUAUUGUAUUGAAUAUUUCUAGGUUGAUAUAUUAUUGUAAUAUUAGACUUUCUUAUAGAAUAAGGAAGGUUGUUGAAAAUAUCCCUAUAAAUAUUCUAGUUCAUAAGGGGAAAAAGUUAUGAGAUGAAGAUGGACCCAUAAAGACUAUACAAGGUGGAUAGAGACGUGAAGAAAAACGAGAGGUACCCGGUGGAGCGAGAGGGCUCGUGGUAGGGUAUAGGUACAAAGAGUGAGAAAACAUGGGAUGUUUUGGGAACCCAAUAAUUGUAUCUGGUUAUGUCCUCUAUAAGUUCUAGUCCUGUCAUCUGCAUUGUUCUCUAUUUUAUAGUGGAAUGAUUCUCUUUUAUCUGUGGACGUGGGCAUGGUUUUCGAACCAUGUUAAAACCUUGUGUACCGUUUGUGUUGAUUUUUUUUUUUAUCUUUAUUUUAUUGAUUAAUGAAGUUUGCAUCAAAGCUUCUGUCAACGUAACAAACUUGUAUCAAAGCUUGGGUUAAAGAUUUCUAGAAGAGUAAAAGAUCAUAGAGCACACAAGAUGAAAACAAAAGGAAUUUUUAGUGAAAAUGGAGUCAAUUGCUCUCUCAUGGUGAUAUGAUAUAAAAAGUUUGUGUCAUGGAAAGUUUGAAGAUUUACUUCAUGGAAUCUGGUCCAAAAUGGAGAUUGUUAAUAAGUAUCCCAAAUUCCUAAUUAGUUUAGAUUUUUUUUUUUUGUAAAGAAUAUUGUAUAGAAUAUUUCUAGGUUAAUAUAUUAUUGUAAUAUUAGACUUCCUUAUAGAAUAAGGAAGGUUGUUGAAAAUAUCUUUAUAAAUAUUCUAGGUCAUGAGGGAAAAAAGUUAUGAGAUGAAAUGGGCCUGUAAAAACUAUAUGAGGUGGAUAGAGAUGUGAGGAAGAACAAGAGGUACUCAAUGGAAUGAAAGGGCUCGUGGUAGGGUAUGGAUACAAAGAGUGGGGAAAUAUGGGAUGUUUUGGGAACCUAAUAGUUGUAUCUGGUUCUGUCAUCUAUAAUGUUCUAGUUAUGUCCUCUAUAAUUGAUUCGUUCCCAAUUGGUGUCUCAGCUGAUUCAUGUCCUCUCCAUGGUCCCUGAUAGUGGUGCCAUUUGAUUCAUGUCCAGCUGGUGUCCCUUGAUUUUGGUCUUCAGGGAGUAAUCAACAAAAUUUAUAACCUAUUACACCAUGUACUAGGAUAGCCUUAGCUAGCAUAGCAUAGUGGCUCUAGGGUCGUUCACUGGGAUGGGUUUUCACUUCACAAUUGAUAUUAAUUCAAAGAUGAAUUGGUGCUUUUUCAUUUCAAGGUUAGCUUUAAAAGAAAACAUAAAGAUGUUUGAAUGAAAAAGGUUUUGUUUUAAACUAACCAAAAAUAAUAACUGAUUUUACUUACAAAGAAAAGUGUUUCUUGGAGUUUAGAUCACUGGGCUCAGAUUCCUUGUACAAAAAGGGAGUUCCGGUCACUUGUUUCUUUUCCUCGCAUUAGAGAAUUAACAUAUAGUUAAUUCUCUAACCGGUGUGGUACAGAUGCUUCCCCUUAAUGGGUUCAAACACUAAAUCCCUCUCACUGAUGCAACUUGCAAUGGCUCGUGCCUCUCACCUAGCAUUUGCCAUUCAAGGUGAUCUUUAACCUUGGAUUACCCUUCACAAGCUCGCAAGAGAUAACUAAUGGAUGUCUCCUUAGAGUCCAAAAGCUUACCAAGUGUUGGCAAUUCUAGAAAAUCAUACCUUCAAACCACCUCCCAAAAGCUCGCAAGAGGUAAACCAGUGCAUCUCCAUUGACGGAGAUCACUUGCCUAACCAAGUGUUGGCUCAAGUGAAUUGAAGGUGUUUUAAGUUAACUAAAAAGAUAAAAACCAUUAACGGGUCACACUUUCUCUUCAUUAAAAACUAAAACAACAAAACUUCCAAUUUAUGCAUGAGGAAACUUACCCGGCUUUCUUUCACUCCAAGAGACGAAGAGCCUAGCCUCUCAUCCUCUGAGAAAAAAUCCUCAGAGUUUGAUUGGCUAGAAAGAAAACUAACGAGAAAACAAAAAUAUAUAUAAGAAGCAGAGCAAAAGCUCUGUUCGUUGAUUACAUAUAUGAUAUAUGAUAUAUGAUGGAUCCUCUUCUUUACAUUGGUUCAAAGAUAUAUAUAGAGAAGAUAUUUUCUAAGAAAUAUCCCAAUAAUAUCUUUGACUAAUUACAAGGAGAAAAUAGAAAUUUACACAAAAUAUCUUGAGAGAAAAAAUCUAACUUAGUCGGUGGCAAAUAUCAGGAAGCUUCAGGAGAAUAUCGCGUCACUGUGCAAAAAUCCGGGUAAUCUGAAAUGCCGGCCGCGGAUGCUCUCCGGGUUAGCGCUAUUAGAAGAUCCGGACAUGCCUGUCUGGGGAGGUUGAAAUGCCUCUUCUUCCAUCCGGCGUCAGGCGUCGGAUUUGAAAUAUCUGAUCAGAGGAUCCUGACAUGUCUGACCGAACAGAAUUUCAGAUGUGAGAUAUCCGGACGUCGCAAGGGGGACCGUUUGCGUGUACAAGGUGUAGAGACCCUUCCCCCUGAUGACACGGAGCACGCAUCGCUAUCCAGAGCAACUCCAUCCGGAUUUCCCAAGAGGACACGCACCGCCAUGCUAUCCGGCACUCGUGAACAUCACACUCCGGAUGAUAGCAUAUCCUAUCCGGAUAUGUUGUCUGGAUCAUUGACUAAAGUGAGCAAGCCUUACUACAGCCCACGUUCCGCCGCUCUUCCAAUGGUGUGUCCGGACGCCCUGUCUGGACAUCUUUUUCCAUGGAUUCCAAAGAACUCUCCUCAAUCUCGGAUUGCUUUGGUGAUAAAAAAGCUAUCAAAACACCAAAACUUAACACAAUUUGAUUAGAAUUGAUUGCAAGGGUCCUUAAUAUGUUAAUUGGGUUAAAAAGUGAUAACUACUACUCAAAAGUGUUUAAAAGAGUUAAUUACAAGCUAUGAAAUAACACUUUUUGAGUAGUAAUCAAUAAUGUUCUCUAUUGUAUAGUGGAAUGAUUCUCUUUCAUUCGUGGAUGUAGGCAUGGUUGUCGAACCACAUUAAAACCUCGUGUACUGUUUGUGUUUUUUUUUUAAAAAAAAUUAAUCUUUGUUUCUUGAUUAAUGAUGUGUGCAUCAAAGCUUCCAUCUACGUAACAAACUGGUAUCAGAGCUUGGGUUGAAGAUUUUUGGAAUAGUAAAAGAUCACAAAGCACACAAGAUGAAAACAAAAGGAAUUUUUAGUGAAUGUGGAGUCAAUUGUUCUCUCAUGGUGAUAUGAUACAAAAAGUUUGUGUCAUGGAGGGUUUAAUGAUUGACUCCAUGGAAUUUGGUCCAAGGUAGAGAUUGUUAGGAAGUGUCCCAAAUUCCUAAUUAGUAUAGAUUUUUUUUUUAUAAAGAAUCUUGUAUAGAAUAUUUCUAGGUUGAUAUAUUAUUGUAAUAUUAGACUUCCUUAUAGAAUAAUGAAGGUUGUUGGAAAUAUUUUUAUAAAUAUUUUUAGUCAUGAGGGGAAAAAGUUAUGAGAUGAAGAUGAGCCUAUAAAGACCAUACGAGAUGGAUAGAGAUAUGAGGAAGAAUCGAAGGUACCCAGUGGAGCAAGAGGGCUCGUGGUAGGGUAUGAAUAUGAAGAGUGGGGAAACAUGGGAUGUUUUGGGAACCCAAUAGUUGUAUCUAGUUUUGUCAUCUAUAAUGUUCUGGUUCUGGCAUCUAUAAUGUUCUGGUUUUGUCCUAUGUAAUGUUCUUUAUUGUAUAGUGGAAUUAUUAUCUCUCAUCUGUGUAGACAAGUUGCUAAACCACGUUAAAACCUCGAAUACCAUUUGUGUUGAUUUUUUUUAUCUUUGCGUUCUUGAUUAACGAUGCUUGCAUCAAAGCUUCUACCAACGUAACAAUGUGCAACAUAUUUGAUAUAACUUAUAUUUUCUUAAGUAAUUGAACACUUUUUCUAUAAAUUUACUUGAUUAUCAAUGAAUACCUACAUAUACGGUAUUGACAUAGUUUGAUAAAUAUUUUAAAAUAGUAUUAGAAUGGCUUUUCUUUUUCCCAAUUAACAAAUUUAUCAAAUAUAUACAUACACACACACACACACACAUAAUACUCAUUAGUAUGUCUUUUAUGAAAAAACUAUAUUUGUUUAUUUGAAUUUAGUAGCCAUUCAACUCCUUAGUUACUCAUAAACUUUUUAUCACCUUCUUAAAGUCAAGUCAUUUACAAUUAUUUCUAUCUAGCCUUCUCCAUUAUAACAACUUUAUAAGAUAGUGAUUGAUUGGAAGAAUCUACAUGCCUUUGUUGAUAGGAUAAUUGUUUUUCUUUUUUUUUCGUAUUCAAAGAAUCUUGCUUCUGUUAUUGAAACUUUCAAAUCCUUUAUGUCAAGUUGUCUUAUAAUUCCCUAUUCAUUGGUCUUUCAUAUUACCAAUCAUUUUGAAAAUGAGUUAAUUUCAUUCACAUCCUCUGAGAUUUGAUGUAAAUUCGCUUAGUUACCAAUGAUUUCAAAUUUCAUUAAUUAGUACCCCUAUAGAUGUAAUUUGUGUACAAAAUUUAUUUUUUAAAAGAGUUUAGGUAAAAAUAUUUUAGGUAUAUGUCUUUAACAAUUCUCUAAAAUAAAUUUUACUUGCUAAAAAAUAACUUAUAUAGAUAGAAUACAUCUACAGGAGUUCUAACUAACGAAAUUUAAAACUAAUGGUGGUUUAGUGUAUUUAAACUAAACAUUAGGAAGGGUGACUGAAAUUAACCCUCUAGGUAUAUAUGUUUAACAAAAUUUUUAUUGUUUAUUUUUCAUUUAAUGUUUGCAUUUUUCAAUAAACAUUGAAAAGGAAUUGUUUUUCCAUAUGUUAACAAAAAGAAAUUUGAACACCUAUAAAAAUAAAAUCUUGUAGCAAAAUUGGAGUUACAUUAUCAGACUUUUAAUGAGUGUUUAUGUUUAGAAAGACCAAUUAAAGCAAGCAUGCAUCUAGAAAUUGUAACUUAGAUGCAUCAAACAUGAGCAACAUAUUUGAUAUAACCAAUAGUUUCUUAAGUAACUAAACACUUCUUUUUCUAUAAAUUUACUUGAUUAUCGAUGAAUACUUACAUAUAUUUACAUAGUUUGAUAAAUAUUUUAAAAUAAUAUUAGAAUAACUUUGUUUUUUCUCAAUUAUAUUAGAAAAUAAUAUAAAGUUACUUAUAAACUUUAUAUCAUUUUCUCAAAGUCAAGUCAUUUACAAUUAUUUCUAUCUAGCCUUCUCCAUUAUGACAACUUUUAUAUGAUAGCCGUUGAUUGGAAGAAUCUACAUGUCUUUUUUGAUAGGAUAGUUGUUUUUAUUUUUUUAUUUUUUUUAUUCCAAAAAUUUGCUUCUAUCAUUGAAACUUUCAAAUCUUUUAUGUAUAUUACCAAUCAUUUUACAAGUGAGUUAAUUUCACUUAGGGUAGAUAUACUUAGCCACACCCCUAUAGAUGUAAUUUGUGUUUAAAUUUUAUUUUUUAUUUAGGUAAAAAUAUCUUAGGUAUAUGUGUUCAACAAUUCUCUAAAAAAUAAAUUUUCUUAUCUAAAAGUUUAUAUAGACAAAAUACAUCUAUAGAAGUCCUAAUUAAUGAAAUUUAAAAUUAAUGGUUGUUUAGUGUAUUUACAUUAAACCUUAUGGGGUAUGAUUGAAAUUAACUCUUUUACAAGCACUUGUAGCUAAUAUGUUUGUAGUUGUAGUGUUGGAAAUUGAUCAUUUUCUUGAAGGCCUCUAAGAUAUUGAAAAUAUUGCCAUAGUUUUAGACUUUUUUUUAUUACACCUAAUAAAAAAUAUUAUUAAUUUAACAUAUAUAUUCUUGACUUAAAAGUAAAGUCUCUCCAUAUUGUAUAAGCCCUUAGGUGGCAAUAUUAGGUGAAGUUUUUCUUUCGUUUAUUACAAAAUAUAAAUAAUUUAUUAUUGUAUGAUAAAAUUUUAUGUAAUAUAUUUUUAUAGAUGUAAAAUUAUUAAUUGGGUUUUUUUUUUACUAAAUUGUCAUUUCAAUAUAUAAAACUUAUUUGUAAAAAGACAAUUAUAAACUAUAUGAAAUUGAAAAACAUUUAGUUUUUUUAUUUAAUUUAGAAUUUUAUUUGGAUUAAUAAUUGAUAUUUGUAAGAUUUUUUAAUAUUAAAAAAAGUUAGCAUACUUAAGAAAGAUAUUCAAGAUCGGGAGUGUUUGAUAUUGGAUUAAUUUCCUUAUUUUCUCUAUUUUAAUAAAUUUUCACGUCCAUUACAAAAUUUUUGUUGUUUAUUUUUCACUUCAAUAUUUUUAUUUUGUAAUAGACAUUUGAAAAGAUUUUUUCCUACAUGUUAAAAAAAAAAAUAUUUGAACACUCCUAAAAAAGAAUAUUGCUAUAAAAUUAAAGUUUACAUUGUAGGACUAUUAGCAAAUGCUAUAUACUUAAAAUAGACCAAUUAAAGUAGAAAUACUUCUAAAAUUGUAAUUUAGGUAACAAUAAUAUAAAAAGAUAAUAUUUUUGAAACAAUAGUUCUCUUGGAGUUUUGGGUACGAUGGACUAGACUUUAUGUACAAUAGAUAUACAAACUUUCCAUUAACAUCUUGAGAGACAUGAUGAGGAGCAAAGUCAUCCAAGAAGGUACCAUAGAGGUACCUUAGCUCCAUUCAUCUAGACUACAUAAUGUUUAAAGAUCAAAUUCAAUGACUAGAUUUCAAAAAUCAAUAUAAGCUUUCUCAUAUUCUACUCUAUAUAAGACAAUGGUAUGAUACCUCUCUUGUGUCGUAGAAUGCACCAUGAAAACCUUAUCAUUUUAACAUCAGUUUGAAACUUAAAAGUCACUUAGCACAUUCUAGUUAUUAAUCUAAGAGCAUUAAAAGAAAAUAUAAAAAAAGUUACUUUAUCCUUGUGAUUUUGAUUUAGGACUUUUAAUGAUAUUAAAAAAAAAAAACAAAACAGAAAAAUAAAUGGAAAUAAAAUCAACAAAUUAAACAAUUGAAUUAAGUUAGUUUAAUUCUUGCAUCGUUAAAUGGGUAAAUAAAGACUCUUAGAUUUGAUAUUAAUAUGAACAUCAUGACUUCAGUGAAUCUUACAAGAAAAUUUUAGUUUGAAAGACUUCAUUCAUUAAACGUGUGGCACAUAUUAAAGUAAAACUAAGUCUUCUCUAUAAUUUGUACCUAUCAUAGUUUCUUUCCUUAUAAAUAGCCUUUUUUGAAUAUAAUAUAGACUUCAACAUGCAUGGUGGGGCCAAUCAAACUACUAGUCAAGACAACUCAUGGGCAACAACGAUGUACCAACUACAUUUAAAUACUCUUCAUCUAUUUACAUAUCAAGAGUAAUUUAGUAGUGUCUUAUUUAUGUACCUCAUAUCUAGACUUUCAAUGGAGAGUUCUUCAUCUAAAAAUUUGACUUGGGUUUUCAUACUAGUUUUGGUUUAGACAUGUGGAUGCAAAGGUUGCAUCAAAGAAGAGAAGUAGGCUAAAUCAUCUUACAAAUUUUAUAGUUCAAAUUAGAUGCACCAAACAUAUGCAACAUAUUUGAUAUAACUAAUAUUUUCUUAAGUAAUUGAAUACAAUUUUUUUUUUAAAUUUACUUGAUUAUUAAUGAAUAACUACAUGUAUGGUAUUGACACAACAUGAUAAAUCUUUUAAAAUAGUAUUAGAAUAACUUUGCUAAAAAAAAGUAAAAAUAAAAAUAAAAAUACAUCUAUAUAUAAAAUUAAAUUAAAUUAAAAAUUAAAAAAGAAUAUAUAUUCUCUGUGUGUGUGUGUGUGCAUGGUCCCACAACUCAUUAGCUACUCAUAAGCUUUAUAUCACUUUCUCAAAGUCAAGUCAUUUUGUAAUUAUUUCUAUCUAGCCUUCUCCAUUACGACAACUGUAUAGGAUAUUGAUUGGUUGGAAAAAUCUUCAUGUCUUUUUUUAUAAGAUAGUUUUUUUAUUAUUAUUAUUAUUCAAAGAAUUUGCUUUUAUUAUUGAAACUUUCAAAUCCUUUAUGUCUAGUGGUCCUACAAUUCCCUAUUCAUUGGUAUUUCAUAUUACCAAUCAUUUUACAAAUAAGUUUAUUUCACCCGGUAAAUAUACUUAACUACUAAUGGUUUCAAAUUUAAUUGAUUAACACACUUAUAGAUGUAAUUUGUUUUUAAAUUUUAUUUUUUUAGAAGAAUUGUAGGUAAAAAUGUUUUAGGAAUAUGUGUUCAAUAAUUCUCUAAAAACAAUUUAUAUAGAUGGAAUACAUUCAUGUAAGUUCCAACUAAUGAAAUUUAAAACUAAUGACAAUUUAAUGUAUUUGCACUAAAUCUUAGGGGAGGUGUACUAAAACUAGCCCUUUUACAAAUAUUUGAUAUGAAAUUAAUUAAUUAAUUUUUUCUAUUUAAAUAAAUUUUUGCAUCCAUUAAUAAAAUUUUAUUGUUUAUUUUUCACUUCAAUAUUUUUAUUUUGUAAAAUAAAUAGAAAUAAAAUCAACAAAUUAAAAAAUUGAAUUAAGUUAGUUUAAUUUUGCCACCUUUAAAUUGGUAAAUGAAGACUCUUAUAUUUGAUAUUAACAUGAACAUCAUGACUUUAUUGAAUCUCACAAGAAAAUUUUAGUUUGAAAGAUUUUAUCCUUUAAACAUGUGACACAUAUUAAAGUGAGACCAAGUCUUCCCUAUAAUUUGUAUCUAUCACAAUUUCUUUCCUAAUGAAUAGCCUUUUUGAAUAGAAUAUAGACUUUAGCAUGCAUGGUGGGGCCUAGCUAUCAAACUACUAGUCAAAACAACUCAUGGGCAAGAAUGAUGUACCAACUAGAUUAAGUAUUCUCCAUCUAUUUGCAUAUCAAGAGUAAUUUAGUAGUAUCUUUCUUGUGUACCUCAUUUCUAGACUUUCAAUGGAGAGUUUUUUAUCUUAAAAUUUGACGUGGGUUUUCAUACUAGUCUUGGUUCAGAUAUGUGAAUGCAAAGGUUGCAUCAAAGAAGAGAAGUAGGCUAAGUCAUCUUACAAAUUUUCAAGUUCAAAUUAGAUGCAUCGAACAUGUGCAACAUAUUUGAUAUAACUAAUAUUUUACCAAGCAACUAAAUACUUUAUAUAUAUAUAUAAAUUUAUUGAUGAUCAAUGAAUACCUACAUGUAUGGUAUUGACACAGUUUGAUAAAUCUUUUAAAAUAGUAUUAGAAUAACUUUGCUAAAAAAAGUAAAAAUAAAAUAAAAUAAAAUAUAUAUAUAUAUAUAUAUAUAAAUAAACAAAAUAAAAAAUUUAAAAAGAAUAUAUAUAUUAGUGGUCCCACAACUCAUUAGCUACUCAUAAGCUUUAUAUCAUUUUCUUAAAGUCAAGUCAUUUACAAUUAUUUCUAUAUAGCCUUCUCCAUUGCGACAACUGUACAAUAUAUUAAUUGAUUGAAAAAAUCAUCAUGUCUUUUUUGAUAGGAUAGUUUUUUUUUUAUUCAAAGAACUUUCAAAUUCUUUAUGUCUAGUGGUCCUACAAUUCCCUAUUCAUUGGUAUUUCAUAUUACCAACCAUUUUACAAAUAAGUUAAUUUCACUCGAUAAAUAUACUUAACCACCAAUGGUUUCCAAUUUGUAGCAUUCUUAUAGAUGUAGUUUGUUUUUAAAUUUUAUUUUUUAGAAGAAUUGUAGGUAAAAAUAUUUUAGCUAUAUAUGUUCAACAAUUCUCUAAAAACAAUUUAUAUAGAUGGAAUACGUUCAUGGAAGUUCCAACUAAUGAAAUUUAAAACCAAUGAUGAUUUAAUGUAUUUGUACUAAAUCUUAGGGAGUGUGGACUAAAAUUAGCCCUUUUACAAAUAUUUAUAACUAGUAUAUUUGUAGUUGUGGUAUUGGAAGUUGAUCAUUUUCUUAAAAGGUUUACCAUUGAAGUUAGUUGAAUAUAAAGUUAGGUGAACUUUACCAUUGUUAAAUUGGUAAAUGAAGACUCUUAGAUUUGAUACUAACAUGUACAUCAUGACUUCAUUGAAUCUCUCACAAGGAAAUUUUAGUUUGAAAGACUUCAUCUUUUAAACAUGUGGCACAUAUUAAAGUGAGACCAAGUCUUCCCUAUAAUUUGUAUCUAUCACAAUUUCUUUCCUCAUAAAUAGCCUUUUUGAAUAGAAUUAAUAUAGACUUUAGCAUGCAUGAUGGGCCCUAUCAAACUAUUAGUCAAGAUAAUUUGUAGGUAAGAACGAUGGACCAACUAUAUUAAAUACUCUUCAUCUAUUUGCAUAUCAAGAGCAACUUAAUAUUGUCUUUCUUUUGUACUUCAUGUUUGAACUUUCAAUGGAGAGUUUGUCAUCUAAAUAUUUGAUGUGGGUUUUUAUACUACUCUUGGUUCAAAUAUGUGGAUGCAAAGGUUGCAUCGAAGAAGAGAAGAUGGGUUUGCUUGAAUUCAAGGCUUUUCUUAAAUUGAAUAAUGAGCAUGCAGAUUUUCUUCUCCCUUCAUGGAUAGAUAACAACACUAGUGAAUGUUGUAAUUGGGAGCGGGUUAUUUGCAAUCCCACCACAGGUCGAGUUAAGAAGCUUUUCUUCAAUGAUAUAACGCGACAACACUUGGAAGACAAUUGGUACUAUUACGAAAAUGUCAAAUUCUGGUUACUAAAUGUCUCCUUAUUCCUUCCUUUUGAAGAACUUCACCAUCUAAACUUGUCUGCAAACUCAUUUGAUGGGUUUAUUGAGAAUGAAGGUAUGUUACCUCUCACCUUUAAAUUUUCUUUUCACUUAUACUCCAAACAUUCUAAAGGAACUACUAGCAUAUGUUCUUAAAAGUGUUCAGGUGGAGAACAAAUGGUCACUAGUAACUAUUGAAUUUAAUAUAAGAACAAUUACUAAUUAUUAAAAUUUAUAAUGUAAAUUAACAUUUAAACAGAACAAUAAAAAAAUUAUUAUUUUAGAAAACUAUAGAUUACAUUAGCCUUAUAUAUAUAAGCAUACUUGUUAUUUAUGUCAUCAUUUCACACUCAACCCAAUAAGUGGGAUUCAACUAAGAGUGAGCAAUUUCACAAUUAUUAAUUAACAGGAACACUUAGGCUCCCAUAUCCUUAUCAUUUUUGCUGAAUUGUCUUUCCUUAUCUUCCAUUCCUAAAAAGCUUGAUUUCUAUAUUCCAAAUUGAUAGAGAUUGGUUAAAGAAAGGUGAUCACAAAAUUUGACUAUUGCUUUCAAAUGAGGAAUCACCAUCUUCAAAAUUUCACAUUUACAAAAAAAAUAAAUAAAAUAAAUAAAUAAAUAAAACUAGCCUCGGGUAAGGUCCAAGCCUUAUUGUUUUAAGCUGAUGUCAGAUUGGUUUAAUAAUGAACAGAGUAAAUCCUAACCCAUGACCAUCUACGCAUUUCCAAAUUCCACCCAUCCACAACCCAUUAAUAUGACAUUUUCAGGGACAAAAUUUAAUCAAUUAAACCUAUUAGAUGGAUUCUCCAUACAAUGUUAAAAUGAAUAUAAAAACUUUAAUUCAAAAAAUAAUUUCCUUUAUUUAGUUAGGAUUCAAAUUAUAGGGGCACAAAACAUGAAAAUUUUCAUGUUUAAAAUUCACAAAGAUCACAAAAGCUCUUUGAAGCUCUAUGGACUUUUUUAUUUCUAACAUUUAAACACAAAAAUCACCAAAUUUAAUUAGAGAUUUGGAUGCAUAUUCUUAUAUUAAAGACAUGUAAGCUUACAUAUUUAAAUAUGAAGAUCUCAACUUGUAAUUACAUGCUUCUAAUUAAAGUUAUAUUACUCUAUUUUACAGGAUUUAAAGGGUUAUCAAGUUUAAAGAAAUUGGAGAUCUUGGACAUAAGUGGUAAUGAGUUUGACAAAAGUGCCUUAAAAUCUUUGGGCACAAUAACAUCACUCAAGACAUUGGCUAUUUGCAGCAUGGGACUGAAUGGAUCUUUUUCCAUUCGAGGCAUGUUAUAUGUCCACAUUGUUUCUUUGAAAUUAAGUAAAAUAUAUUUCUAACUUUUAAUGUUCCUUAGUUAAUCUCUCUUUUGAUUCAUGUUUGUUGCAGACUUAGCUAGUUUGAGAAAUUUGGAAGUGUUGGAUCUAAGCUAUAAUCAUUUGGAAAGCUUUCAACUAUUGCAAGGUACUUCAUUAACUUGCUAAAAAAACUUACGAUAUUUUGUUAUUAAAUUAAAGGUAAGAUUAACAAACAAUUUCUUCUCAUUAGUUACUUUUCUUUGUAAUAUCAUUAAAUUUGAUAUAAUGUAGUCUAAAUCAUCCUUUCAAUUUAUAAGUUUUAAUUAAAACGCAUCAAGCAUGCACAAGAUGUUUAAUAUAACUAAUAUUUUCAUAAGUAAUUGAAUUUUUUUUAUGAAUUAAUUAACUUGAUUAUCAAUAAAUGCUUACAUGUAUAAGAUUAAUAUAGUUUCAUAAGUAUUUUAAAAUUGUCUUACAACACACACACACACACACAAGGAAAAUGAAAGGUAUGUGAUACCUUUAUGCUAUGUUUGGUUCUCAAAAAAAAUUGAGGGAAAAUGAAAGGAGAAAAAAAUAGAGAGGAAAAGUAAAAGAAAAGAAAAGAAAAAAAGUGAAGAAAAAUAUAAAAUUGAUUAAAGUAAAUACAUUAUUUUUAUAUGUUACUUUAACUUGUUUCACUUAUUUUAAUUCUUCAAUGUAAAGAUGAAAGAUUUGAAAAUGCAUAAGUUUCUAAUUAUUUUUUUAUUUUAUUUUAUAGUUUUUACAAUACAACCAAACAUAAUAAAAUCAUUUUCUUUAAUUUUUUUUCUUUUCUUAAUACUUUUCACGAACCCUUAAGUUAUGUUUGGUUUGCAGAAAAUAUGAGGAACAGAAAAUAGAAAAGAAAAUUAAAAGGAAAGAAAAAGUGAAGUAAAAUAAAAAUAAAUUUAAAUUUAAUAAAUUAUUUUUAUAUGCUACUUUAAACUUAUUUCACUUAUUUUAAAUUAUUUAAACUCAUUUCUAAUAAAUAAUAAUGGAAAUUGUAGAGAAGUUUGUGUUAUUCAAGCUUUGCAAUGACUUUUCAAGGUGAAGGAAAAUAUUCUUGCUGAAAUUGAAGAAGGAAAUACCUUCUUAAAUAGCCUAUUGACCGAAAACACAUUACCCUAACAUAUACACACACCUUUAUUAUUUAUACAAUCAUUUAAUACUUAAUCCCGUUAGUGGGAUUCUAGUGGUUGUUUCUAUCUUGGUUUCCAAUAUUUCUGAUUGAUAGUGUUGGAUUAAUGAAAUAUCAUAAAUUUUGACCCCAAUAAGGACCAAUCCCUAUUAAAUGUAAUUGGGUUGACCUAAGACUAAAUGUUAGACCCAACUAAUAAAAACCCAUCUGUUUGUUGGAGUCUAAAUAACCCAGCCUUAGGUAGGGCCCAUGCCUUAUUAUUUUAAGAUGUAGUCCAACUGGUUUGACACUGGAUUGAGUAAAGCCCAACUUAUGAGCAUCUGUGCAUUUCCAUCCAUCCACAACCUACUGGCAUGGACAAACUUUGGUCAAUUAAACCUAUUAUAAAUGUAUACAAAAUUUUAAGUUCAAAAGAUAAUUUUUCUUAUUUAGUUAGGAUUCAUAUUAAAAAGGCACAAAGCACGAAUUUUCAUGUUUAAAUUCACAAAUAUCACGAAAGCUCCUUCAAGCUCUAUGGACCAUUUUAUUUGUAACAUUAUAUUACUCUUAAUUAUCAAAUUAACCAACAAAUUCUUCUCAUUAGUUAUUUUUCUUUUGUAGUGUCAUAAAAUUUGAUGUAAAGUAAUAUUGGUCAUCAUUUCAACUUUCAUGUUCCAAUUAGAUGCAUCAAGCAUGUGCAACAUAUUUGAUAUAACUAAUAUUUUUAUAAGUAAUUGAAUUUUUUUUUCUAUAAAUCAAUUAACUUGAUUAUCAAUGAAUACUUUCAUACAUGAUAUUGAUGUAGUUUCAUAAAUAUUUUUAAAUAGUCAUAGAAGUCUUUUAUCUGAUUCACUAGAAAGAAAAAUAAACUAUUCUAAUGAAAAUACUUGAUGAUUUGAAGUGAUUGCUUUUGAUUUUAUUUGAUUGCUACCAUUAUUAAUUGUUAGAAAUUGGCAACAAAUACCCAUUUUGCAUCACUUCUAUAUGCAUCGAGGGAAUGAAUUAUAUUUCAUAGAGCUAACAGGGCAAAACUCAUACUUUUGGAAUUAUGGAAAAGGUUGCUAGAAAGCUAAUUAACAAUUUAUAUUAUGAUUAAGACUAGUUGGGUUAGAAAUAAUUCAUAUGGAGAUUAAAAAAAACUAUGUAAUUUAGUUUAGUAGCUUGGGUGCUAUUGUAAUGAUUAAUGAUCUGCAACUUGAACACAUCUACUAGUGCUUUCUACUUGUAUAGCUAAAUUUAUGUUACCACUUUGAACUACAGUACUUACAUGAGAAGAAAGCUUUUCCUUAGUGAUAAUGCAAAAGAAAUUAAGUAUCAAUUUUUGUUAAACUAACAAGUGAUAGUUUAGAUAUGUUUUGAAUACACUUCCUUUCUUCUAUUUUUUUAUUUUGAAAAAAAAAACUCUUUAAUGAAAUAUAAGAAAUCUUAUAUGUAUAAAAAGUAAAGACUUAAACAAAAAAAUUCUUCAAAUUUUAAAAAUUUCGAGAAGUAUUUUUAAGAAUUUGUAUUUUUAGUAUAAUAAUUCCUAUAUUUUGUAUAAAAGCUUUUGUUCAAAAAAAUAGAAGUGUAUCCAAAUUAAAAAUUAAUGGUUAAAUUAAGAAUGUUUCUCAGAUCAAGGGAUAAUGAAAGUUGUAGAGAGUUUGCAUUACUCAACCUUUGCAACUACUUUUUGAAGGUAAAAGAAAAUACCUUCUUACAUAACAUACAAUGGCAAGUUCUGGUUUGUAAGAAACUAAUAAAUGAUUAAGAAUAUGAAUAAGACUUCCUUAAUAAUAGAUAUGUAGAGAAGAAUAGUGGAUGAUAGGAGGUGAAAAUCUUGUAAUAAAAUAUCAAUAUCGGUUAUAAGAUAAUCAACAUUUUCUUGUACCUAUGUGAUUAAGAAUCUUGUAGCUCCCUUAUUGAAAUAUAAUAUAAAAAUAUAAAUAAACUAUUUAGAAGUGCAUGUAGUUUUCAACAUGAGGAAGUUCAAAAGCAAGUUAAUUAUGAUAAUUUUCUAUAGUCUAUAUUGAACACAAAUUAUUUUUUCUAAAGGUUCAAUCGUUCUAUGAAGGUUAAAAGUUUGAAUUGUUUACAUAUGCAAAUGUGAAAUUUGAAAUUUUAUAAUGUUUUAUAAUUUUCUUGUAGAUUCAAAAAACUUGUCCAUAUUCAAAAAGCUCGAGACCUUGAACCUCAAUCACAACAAGUUCAAAAACACUAGCCUACAACAAUUGAAUAUAUUUACAUCCCUUAAAAAUCUUUCUCUAAGACGGAACUAUGAUGGAGGAUUUUUUCCGAUCCAAGGUAUGUGUAAUUAUUAUUAUUAUUUUUAAUGAUAAAAUAUUAGAAUUGUCAACAUCUUUUAUCUUUUUUCCCCUCAAUGGUGUUGCAGAAUUAUGCACUCUAGAAAACUUGGUGAUGUUGGACCUAAGUGGGAAUUUCUUUAUUGGCAUGCAAGGUAAAUACAAAGUGAAGUUUUGGUUAUAUAUAUAUAUCAUGUAAGAACAUAACUAAAAUCAACAUUCUUUGCCUAUCAAUUUGUGCAUGACUAUUAUUUAGUUAUUCUUCGUAACAUAAUUGAAAGAAUGUUUAGGUGUAUAACAUUUAAGAAUUUUACAUGGCACAAUGAAAAACAUGGUAAUCAAUGUAUGCAAUAAAAUUCUAAUAGUUGAAAAAGAAUUUUCUUGUAAUUUUAUGUUCGUGUAUAGUAAUCAAAGAGAAAAUCAUGAAAAUGUAUAUUAGUUAGACUUUAUAUAUCAAUAGACAAAAAAGAAAGAAAAAAGAUUAGUUCCUUAACUUAUCCUAAAAUUUUCUAGAUAACAAGGAGUUUUUUUAUUUUGGGCUAUAAGAUUUACAACCUGAAAAGUGAAGAUGAUUAAUAUUAGUAAUAUAAUUUUGAAAUAUAAAAAUUAAUGAAAUAAUGUUCUCUAUAACUAUAACUGCAACUGCAACUAUUAAUAAAAGAUAAUAAAAGUACUUUAGACUUUGAAUCCAUGGUUAGGUUUGCAAUUUUUUGAUGAUCAAUAAAGCUACAACUUAUGCUGCAAAAGGCUAUACAAAAUGUAUUAGGAGCAUUGCUAAGCUCAUUUAUCAAUAAAAGAAAUCCAGUAAUACUUUGAUUGGAAAAAACCUAGAAUCAUGUUUGAUAUAUAUAAUAGGAGAAGAAACAAAAUAACAAUUCCAUGGUAUUAGUUAGUUUGAUAUCCCUUUUGUUAUAUGGAAUAACUAUUCCAUUUUAAAAUAAUUAUUUCAUCUUAUCGCUAGAACAAAAAAUUUCAAGCAAUUAUAUGCGCUUUUGGGUUUCUUAAGAAUUUAAGCAUUUAUGGGUCACCCAUAUAUACAUAUAUAUAUAUAUAUAUAUAUAUAUAUAUGUAGGAAGAAUAAAAAAAAAUAUUAUACGGAGACAAGGGUAGACACCCAUAUAUAUAUAUAUAUAUAUAUAUAUAUAUAUAUAUGUAGGAAGAAUAUAAAAAAAUAUUAUAUGGAGACAAGGGUAGACACCCAUAAAUGUACAUAUAAUUAUUUAAAUAAAAAAUCAAUAAGAAACAAUAUACAACAAAAUAGAAAAUUUUAAUCUUCUUAAAUUUUAAAAAUAAAAACUAAAUGAAAAAAAAUUAAGAAGUAAAAAUAAUAAUAAAAAGGUCAAGAAUACAAAUAGAGAAGUAAACAAAAAAAAUACAUAAAUUAAAAUUAAAAUUUAAAAGAAAAAAUACAUAGAUUAAUAUGAACACUAAAUGAGGUUUUUUGAGAUAGACUUAGUUAGACCUGAACCAGAUGGAUAUUAAAAAAAAUAAAAAAAAAUUGAAAGAAAUAAAAACUAAUUAGAUGCUAAAUAUUGGAUUAAAAUAACCAAAUGAAUAAAGAGUAAUUAUUAAUUUUUAACAUUUUUUAUUCCCUAGAAUUAUUAUUUUGUGUAUUAAAUGUAUUCUGAGUGUAGUGGUAUAAAAAAUGUAGUUAAGAAUACUAUGAAGAAUAAUAAUGGUGAUGAUAAUGGUGACGACACUUAAUACCUUUUAUUGUACGUUUAGAAAAAAUGAGGUUCUUGAUCUUUAUGGAGAUUAUCAUUACUCAUCCGCAAGCAUGUUGAUAGUUGAAACUACUCAAUUAUCAAAAAUUGAAUUUCUAACCUUCAAUUUUUCUCUCUCAAAUGUAUAUGUGGGUGAGAAAGCACUAGGAAGAUUAUAAGGUCUCACAUGUAUAUGAGUCAUAGGAUAAAAAAUAUAGAGACAAUACUAGCAUUUAUUUGAUCUAGUGGCAAAUAGAGAAAUAUAAAAUAACCAUAACCAUAAUGUUCUAACCUUAUAUAUACCAGAACCAUGUUUCCUUCAUUCAAUGUUGCAACUUUUUCUUUUCAAAUUAGAAUGUAACUUGUAGGAUCCAUUGCCCAUCAAAAUUUUGAAUCGAAUAUUAUAAGAUAUUUCACAUUUCUACCUACUAAAGCAUGAGCUUCAAUGUUCUCAUGCACUUUUGGCUACUAAGUUAAAGAACCCUUUGAGGAUUAAUGGAGUUUCUAUGAGUAGCAAAGCAUUAUAAUCAGAAAGUCUUAUCAGUGAUAUGCAAUUUGACCAAGAACUUAUUCCCAACUAUUUUAUGAAUUUUAUGACUUUUCUUGGCUACUUGUAGGCAAGCUAAAGAAAUUUUCUGGUUUGUUCAAGUCUAAAAAGUGGUUUCAAGUUUAGGGCCAAGCUUGGGCUGCACCUAGGUCCUUGGGCCUUGUUCAGCUCCACGUUUAAACCAACCUUGAGUCCAUCUUUGUAAUUUUUCUCCCAAUUCAUUGAUUAAUAUUAGGAUUUUAUAGAGCCUAUAAAUUGACCAACUAAAUAAAGUAGGUUCAUAAACUUUUAGGUGAAAAUUUUCUCUUUAAUAAAUGUUAAUUCAAGAGUCUCCGUAAUCUUUUUAUAUUCAUAUUAAUUGGUAUUUAAACCGACCUUACUAUAUUAAAGUCAAAUACCAAAUAGUGAACACUAUAUCUACUACUACCACUAUGAUGGUCACAAACAUAGAAUGCUCCAUUUUUUAGAGUCAAUUGAUGCUUAUAAACAACUUUGUUUGAAAAUAAAACACAUCGAGUGAUUGCAUCAAGAGAUUGAUGUAAUAAUUGCAUACUUGAUCUAGAUAAUGUUAAUAUGAGUUGACUAAAUAAAUGAGUAUUUACUUAUAAGGUAGCCCAUAGAACAUUAUUUGUGGAAAUAUUCAUGCACCUCUACAUAUGUUCAUGAUAACUUAGGUUGAUAAAUUUAAGAAGAACAAAUUCAUAACCUUGGGCAUAGUUAGUAAGAAAUUUCACCAAUAGAGUUUGGUAUCAUGAUUCUAAUUGUUCAAAUUGUUUUAAAGGAGUAUUUUAAAUUGCAUGUUAAUUUGCUUCUAAUAAAUGGAGAGAAACCAAUUCAAGAAGAGAAUUGUACUCAAGCUAUGUAUAGCAUUCAUGAAGAUGUAGAAAAUAUUGAUGAACUUACUUUUGAGCAAGUUGAAAUCAUAAUUAAAUAAAAUAACAAACCCAAGGGUUAAGAUUGUCAAGUAAAACUUUAAUUAAAAUUUAUUGAUUUUUUAAAUGCCUAUUAGAGGAGCAAUAGAAGUUCUAGAUAGAAAGUAAGAACUUUUCUAAGGAAUCACUUGUUAGAUUUUAAGUGAUCAAUAAAUAUAAUGUCCAAUUUAAAACUUUUAUAAAAGCAAUGGUUCUAAAGAAUAACUUGAUUUGAAUUUAAAGUUAUUAUUGAUAUUUAUUUAUAAUGGAUGUAGUUAAUCAAUUGAACAUAGUAAAAAACACAUAAUUUUUUCAAAAUACCUUCUAAUUGUUGGGUAUAUUUAAGUAGUUAUUCAUAUCUCAUUAUCUUUUUACUCACAUACUAAUCUCCUUAUUGAGUAUUUACCAAUUACAAGUAGGUUGAAAGUUACUUGAAUUUAAGUCACUAAUCAAUGUUAACUUGAUGACAAAUAAGUCUCCCUUUGAAACUUGUUUUAUAACAUAGCGAAAUGUAGUCGAUCAAUCAUCAAAACAAUGUUUAAGCAUUGGGAUUUAGUUGUUAAUUUUUAUUUUUUAUUUUUUGUGCUUAAACAAAGACAAAAAUUAUAAAAACUCCUGAAAAGUACAUAUUAAUUGAAUUUAAUUUAUACAUCAAACAAGAACAAACUAGUCUUGGAUUUAAAAUUCAAUAGGUUUUGUAAUUAUAAUUCCUAAAAAUUUGUAAGACAACAAAAUUAUUGGACACUAGGCUAUUGGGUGUGUAUGACUAAGAGGUGAAGGAGGGUUCAUCUUAUACAAAGGAUGAUUUGAUUAAUUUUAAAGAUUGAAUAAACAAUAAUUGCAUAUUCAAGUAAAAAUAACAUUGCUAAAAAGGAAAAUAAGUAUUUUAGUCCUCAAACCUAAAAUGGCUAAAAAAUUUAAUUAAUACAAUUACAACUUCACCUACAAAAAAAAAAAAAAAAAAAUACCCAAAACUUUUCAAUAGCACAACUAAGUCCAUUUAUCAAAAGCUCUAUGAACAACAACAACUAUCAAAUCACAUAAAUCAUGUUGUUUACAAAGUGCCCUUGAUGUUUUAAAACAUAAGAUAUUACAUAAAAAUCAACCAAUAGUGUAUGACAUUAUAAAAAACAUAUCCAAAUCCAUUGUCGAACUUAAACUAAAUUCAACUUUAUAUACAUAGUCGCAAGUGGGUCUUUUUGUCUUUCAAUUUGGGUCAAAUUCAGAUGUUAGUUUUUUACACAACAAGGGAUUAUCAAGGUGAUAAUUCAUGCAUAUAAAUAGUAUUACUUAUAUAAAAAAAAUGGUAAAUGCAAUUUUUUUGUAUUCACUCACCAUUUGGCAUAUCAAUAAGAAAAAAAUAUAUACAAUAGGUGCUAUCAAUAAUAUUAUGCAUCACUAGAAAUUAUAAUUUUUCAUUUGUUAUCACUACUUGUGCACUUUGGAAAGCUUGCUAGGUACAACAAAUUAGCUCAGUGAAGAAAUUGAUCAAUUCCUUCAUUUCUAAAUAAAUUUGCAUAUACACUAGAAUAAAAACAACUUUUUAACUUAACAAGUUGACUGAGUCUCAGAACUUAGUAGGUUGAAGGCAUAGACUUCCAUCCAAGCUCAUUUACUGGCACCACAUGUUGGAAAAAUAAAGAAAAAUCAAAACACUUGAGUAUAGUUGCAAACCAAUCUAAAUAUAGAGUGAGAUCUACCUUUCUUUGAAAGUUUAGAACAAAUUUUUAUUUUUAUGAUAAGACUAUGCAGUACUUAUCCCUCUCUAACAAGUCUAUAAUCAGUCCAAAGCAUGGGAUAUUGCAUAUUUCUUGAACUCAAUUAGCCUUUAAUCCAUGCAUUUCAAGUAAAUUUAAAACCUGGUGUACUUGUUCUUGAUUCACAUCCUUGUCACUAUUAUCAUUACUUGUUCUUGAAUAUAGAACCUUAUUGUCCAUUAACAAGCGGGCCUAUGUUCCUCCAUGAUUCAAGAGUAUUAUGUUUUGUUCAUCAUCAGUUGGUCUUGCUCUAAAGCUUCUUUUUUAUGACUAUCAAUAACCAGACUUAGAUACCAAAAUUUAUGCAAGAGAGCAUGUACUUUAUACAGUCAAGAACUUGUGAGUCUAGACUUUGUUAUCUAGGUAAAAGAAUAAAUUGGUUUGUUAAAAUAGCUAGCAUUAGGUAUCUAUUCAAUUCCUAUCUUAGACAAUAAAGAUACAAAUGAUCAAAUACAUUCUUAUUAAGAAACAUUUGAUACCAAAAGUGAUGUAAGACAACACAGUUCCUCUAUUCAAUCAAGUUUAAGGCUUAGAUGAACCUAUGAAUUUAUAUUAAUUAAUUGGGAAAGAGAAUAAAUAGGCUAAGUAGAAGUGAUAGGAUUGUAAUAGCAUUAAGUUAAUGAUCUUGUUUAGGUCUUCUACUAAAUUAGAGAAGAAACAAACAAAAGUAAUCAAACGUGUUAGUGAUAAUUAUAUCUACUUAACAUUGAGACAAUAGUUGUACUAAUGGUAAUUAUAUUAUUUCUUGAGAGUUUAAACAAUAUAUAUUGAAAAUAUUUUUAAAGGUUUAGCAACUACCAAGGUUAUAAUCAACUACGAGCUUUUUAUUUUUAAAAAUAUGAAAUAUUAAUAUCUUUACUUUCUUUGAUCUUCUUGUAGGUUUUAAAAGUUUGUCUAAGCUGAAAAAGCUGGAAAUCUUAAACCUUCGUGAUAAUCAGUUCAACAAGACCAUUAUAAAACAGUUGAGUGGACUCACAUCCCUUAAAACACUAGUUGUAAGCUACAACUAUAUUGAGGGACUUUUUCCUUCCCAAGGUAUUGCUUAUUCUUUUAAUAUCCUUAGUAACCACUCUACCAUGAUUUUUUUUUUUUUCAAUUUUAUUUUCUUUCUUGAACCAUACAGAAUUAUCUAUUUUUGGAAACUUGAUGACACUGGAUUUAAGAGAUAAUAGACUCAAUGGCUCCCUAUCAAUCCAAGGUAAAUUCUAAUCAGAAUUAUCAUUAUAUUUAGGGCAUAUAAUAAAUUAAUUAAAUUAUUUUAUCUAUUAUCAUUACUUGGUUAUUUGGAUUUUCUUGAUAUUGUUUAGCAUUUUACAUAGGAAAAUGAAAUGGAAAAAUCAACCCAUGCUUAGUGUUUAAGCACUGGGCUAGAAGUAUAUUUGUCUUCCCAAUUUAAUCAAAGAGAAAAGUCAUAAAUAACAUAAUUUAACUUAUACCUUAUAUUGAUUGAAGAGGUUAGACUACUUUUGGAUUUAAUGGUCAAUAUUUGUUGAAGAUAGGGUUUCCUAAAUUUGAUAAAAAGAACUUCAAUUUAAAUUACCAUAACUACAUAAAGGUGUGACUAGCAUAAUUAAACUCUUUUAUUAAUAGAUGUUCAUAGACUAGUAUUAUAAUCCCACAUGCACAAAUAAUCAAAUUUUGAAAUUAGACUUCAAAUAACUAUGCAAUAUACGAAACUACAAAAUGAAUGGUAGGUCAUAAUUAAUUAAAUUCGUACUAUAUUCAAUGUUGGUCAACACGUGUCAAGUAAAAGUUUUGGCCUAAGUGUAAGGGCUCACUUGCUCCAAUAUAUAUGUUAUUCACUUUGGGUCAAGGCCUACUUUAAAAUAUCUAUACAUUUAUGAGAUAUUUUAAAAUGUAAAAUGAUAGGUUUUGAUCAUUUUUAAAGGUAGCAAACAUUUUAUUUUAUUUGUAUUUAAGAACAACGUCUUUUCUUAUACAAUGUUUAUUUAAUUUUCUUUUGAUAGAUUUUGCAAGCUUAAGCAAUUUGGAGAUAUUGGAUUUGAGUUAUAAUUCCUUCAAUGGAAUUGUUUCAUCAUCUAUAAGAUUAAAGUCUUCUCUCAAGUCUUUAUCCUUGGCUGGAAAUAGACUCAAUGGUUCUUUACAAUGUCAAGGUAGGAAACAUUUAAUUUUAUUUGUAUUUAAGAACAAUGUCUUUUCUUAUAUAAUGUUUUUUUAAUUUUCUUUUGAUAGAUUUUGCAAGCUUAAGAAAUUUGGAGAUAUUGGAUUUGAGUUAUAAUUCCUUCAAUGGAAUUGUUUCAUCAUCUAUAAGAUUAAAGUCUUCUCUCAAGUCUUUAUCCUUGGCUGAAAAUAGACUCAAUGGUUCUUUUCAAUAUCAAGGUACAUAUGUUAUGCUUUCUUUGUUUCAUAAAGAUUAGACAAGAUAAACAUUGUGAAAAAAAGGUUGUCAUAGUUAAUGUAAAAUGAUAGGUUUUUGAUCAUUUUUAAAGGUGGCAAACAUUUUAUUUUAUUUGUAUUUAAGAACAAUGUCUUUUCUUAUACAAUGUUAUUUUAAUUUUCUUUUGACAGAUUUUGCAAGCUUAAACAAUUUGGAGAUAUUGGAUUUGAGUGGUAAUUUCUUCAAUGGAAUUGUUUCAUCAUCUAUAAGAUUAAAGUCUUCUCUCAAGUCUUUAUCCUUGGCUAGUAAUAGACUCAAUGGUUCUUUUCAAUAUCAAGGUACAUAUGUUAUGAUUUCUUUGUUUCAUAAAGAUUAGACAAGAUAAACAUUGUGAAAAAAAGGUUGUCAUAGUUAAUGUAAAAUGAUAUGUUUUGAUCAUUUUUAAAGGUGGCAAACAUUUUAUUUUAUUUGUAUUUAAGAACAAUGUCUUUUCUUAUACAAUGUUAUUUUAAUUUUCUUUUGACAGAUUUUGCAAGCUUAAACAAUUUGGAGAUAUUGGAUUUGAGUGGUAAUUUCUUCAAUGGAAUUUUUUCAUCAUCUAUAAGAUUUAAGUCUUCUCUCAAGUCUUUAUCCUUGGCUGUAAAUGGACUCAGUGGUUCUUUACAAUAUCAAGGUACAUAUGUUAUGCUUUCUUCGUUUCAUAGAGAUUAGAGAGGAUAAACAUUGUAAAAAAAAAAAAGUUGUCAUAGUUAAUGCAAGCUAAAACUAAAAAACUUGCUUUUUCAAUUAUGUAAGCAUGUUUUGUUCUUGAUGAAUCUUUACAACAUUCAAAGUUACUAAUAUUUAUAAUUCAUAGAGACCUCAUUAACAACCACUAACAACUAAUUGUAAGUAACUAUGAAAAAAGUAAGGACAAAAAUGAGGGAAAAGCAAGGAAAGUGACAAAUUUUUUCAUCCCCAUAAAAAAUGCUAAGGAAGAAAAAGGUGAAGAAAAUUUAAAGAAAGUAUAUUUUUCAAAAAUUAAAUUUUCUUUCCCUUAAAGUUGGUAUGGACAACCAAACAAGAAAAUGAUUUUGAAAUUCUUUUUUGACUUUUUUCUUUCAUUUUUUUUCCUACUCUAUUUUCUUUCCCUCAAACUUUCUAGGUAGUAAACAUUACCUAAGACAAAUAGGGAAGAAAAUAUUUUAUCAUUUAUUUAUUUAGCAUUUUUCUUACAUUUUUUGUAUUUUAUCCAAAUAUAAGAAAACUAUUUUUCUUUAUUUUUUCUUUUCCUUGUUGCGUUUCAAGAAUCAAGCAUACUUUAAACUCUAAUUAAGAGUUACAUAGAUUUACGAAGAAACGAUGCAACUGGUAACAAAAAAUUAAGGAAAUUUAAUUUUUGAGAGUAAGUAUAAUGAGAUUGGUUUGUUUGAUACAAAAUUUGAAUAAAAAUUCUUUUAAUGAAAAUUCAAGGAAAGGAAAAAAAAAACAACUUUAUCUCUAGACUAUAAUACUAAAUCAAUUAAAAAAAAUCUCCUAACAUCGUUUAUGUUCAUCUUUCUUUUUAUGGAUUUGAAAAACUCAAUAAUUUGGAGAAAACUGAUUUAAGGAAGAAUAUUUUUUAGAGUAAAAGAUUAUUAUUUAAGAAUAUCAUAAAUAUUAUAGUCAUUGUUGAAUAUGAUAAAUGAUAAAUAAAAAAUAAAAAAUAAAUAAAAAGUCGUUGGAAAUUUAGAUACUUUUAUGGAAAGAUAGACAAAGUGCUCUAGUUUAUAAUACUAAUGCACUUUUCUAAUUUGAUAUGAAAAAAGGUAAAACGAUAGGUUUUGAUCAUUUUUAAAGGUAGUUUGUUUAAAUCAUUUUAAUUUAUUUUGAUUUAUGAACAAUAACUUUUAUUACACUAGUUAUUUUGAUUUUCUUUUGAUAGAUUUUGCAAGCUUAAGCAAUUUGAAGGUAUUGGAUUUGAGUUAUAAUUCAUUUAGUGGGAUCGUUCCAUCAUCUAUAAGAUUGAUGUCUUCUCUCAAGUCUUUAUCUCUGGCUGGAAAUGACCUCAAUGGUUCCUUACCAAAUCAAGGUACAUAUAUUGAGAUUACAGGUUUUUCUGUUUUCUUUUUUAAUAUCUUGUUUGUUCUUUAUGCCAAUGAAGUCAUGCAUGUCUAUUAAUUUUUGGUAUUUAAUGAAAAACUUUAUUCUUAAUUCAUAAAGACCUCAUCAACUGUGAGUAACAGCUAGUUGUAAGUUUGGGGGCAUUGACAAGACGAGGAGAUGAUUGGUUACAUGUCUUAUUCUCUUUUGUAGGCUUUUUCCAAUUGAAUAAGCUUCAAGAGUUGGAUCUUAAUUACAACUUAUUCCAAGGGAUCCUUCCUCAAUGUUUGAAUAAUUUGACAUCUCUAAGGUUAUUAGAUCUCUCUUCCAACCUAUUCUCCGAAAAUCUUUCUUCCACUCUGUUACCUAAUCUCACAUCCCUGGAGUACAUUGAUCUCAGUUACAAUCAAUUUGAGGGUUCAUUCUCUUUCAGCUCUUUUGCUAAUCACUCCAAGCUUCAAGUGGUCAUACUUGGAAGUUAUAACAACAAAUUUGAGGUAGUUGGAAGGGAUAACAACAAAUUUGAGGUAGAAACUAAAUAUCCAGUUGGUUGGGUUCCCCUGUUUCAGUUGAAACCUCACCGGUGACCUUCCUGGUUUUCUUCAAUACCAAUUUAGAUUAACGGCAGUUGAUCUCUCCCAUAAUAACUUGACAGGAAGUUUCCCCAAUUGGCUGCUUGAAAACAAUACGAGAUUGGAAUUUCUGCUCCUGAGGAAUAACUCUUUAAAGGGUCAACUACUUCUCCUAGGACCUAAUACCCUGAUCAGUUCGUUGGAUAUCUCACACAAUCAGUUGGAUGGACAACUUCAAGAAAAUGUGGCCCAUAUGAUUCCAAAUAUUUGGAAGUAUUCCCAAUUCAAUCUCUAGACUUCUAGAGCUAAGGAUUCUUUUGCUAAGAGGAAACCUUUUAAGUGGUUUCAUUCCAUAUCGACUUUGUCAUUUGACUAAAAUAAGCUUGAUGGAUCUUUCAAACAACAAUUUUUCUGGGUUAAUUCCUGGAUGCUUUGGUCAUAUCGGAUUUGGAGAUUUCAAAACUGAGCACAAUGUGUAUAUACCGAUGUUGGAUUCAUAUUCAGAAAGCAAUCCUUCUAUAUAUACGGGUUACUUAAUAAAAUAUUUAUUUUUCUCUAGUGAACUCCCUGAUAAAGUAGAUGAAGUUAAGUUUGUUACCAAGAAUAGGUAUAGCUCCCACAUAGUAGAUAAAAAUAUUUGUUCGGAAUUUAGAUAUUUUUAUAGAAAAGUAGACAAGUAUUCUAAUUUAUAAAAACAAUGCAUUUCUUUAGUUUGGUAUAAAAAAAUGAAAUGAUAGGUAUUGGUAAUUUUUUUUAAAGUAGCAAACGUUUUAUUUUAUUUGUAUUUAAGAAAGAUGUCUUUUCUUAUACUAGUUAUUUUAAUUUUCUUUUGACAGUUUUUGCAAGCUUAAGCAAUUUGGAGAUACUAGAUUUGAGUUCUAAUUCCUUAAGUGGGAUUAUUCCAUCAUCUAUAAGAUUGAUGUCUCAUCUCAAGUUUUUAUCGCUGGUCGGAAAUCACCUCAAUGGUUCUUUACAAAAUCAAGGUACAUAUGUUAUGAUUUGUUUGUUUCAUAUAGAUUAGAGAAGAUAAAUAUUGUAAAAAAAAAAAGUUGUAGUUAAUGUAAGUUAGAAAAAAGUAUCUUGCCUUAUAAAUUAUAUAAGCACGUGUUUGUUCUUAAUGAAUCUUUACAACAUUUAGAGUUACCAAUCUUUAUAAUUCAUAAAGACCUCAUAAACACUGAGUAACAACUAAUUGUAAGUAAUUGUGGAAAAGUAAGGAAAACAAAUUGCUUCAUUUGAUACAAAAUUCGAAUAAAAAUUCUUUUAAUGAAAACUCAAGGAAAGGAAAAAACAUUUUUAUCUCUAGAUUAUAAUACUAAAUCAUGUAAAAAAUCUCGUAACAUCAUUUAUAUUCAUAUUUCUUUUUAUAGAUAUGAAAAAUUCAACAAUUUGGAAUAAACUUAUUCAAUGAAGAAUAAUUUUUAGAUUUAAAGAUUAUUAUUUAAGAAGAUCGUAAAUAUUACCAUCAUUGUUGAUGUCUAAGAAGAUCAUAUUCAACAAUUUUUUUAAUAUGUUGUUUUCUAUGGUAAUUAAUUGAUGUCUUGUAAUUUUUAAUAUUUAAUGAAAAACAUUAUUUUAAUUCAUCUAGAGCUCUUAAUUCAUGAAGACCUCAUUAACGGUGAGUAAUAGUUGGCUGUAAGUUUGGAGUCAAAGACAUUUCAAGGAGAUGAUUAGUUACAUGUCUUGUUCUCUUUUGUAGGUUUCUGCCAAUUGAAUAAGCUUCAAGAGUUAGAUCUUUCUUACAACUUAUUCCAAGGGACCCUUCCUCCAUGUUUGAAUAAUUUGACAUCUCUGAGGUUAUUGGAUCUCUCUUCCAACCAUUUAUCCGGAAAUCUUUCUUCGCCUCUGUUACCUAAUCUCACAUCCCUGGAGUAUAUCGAUCUCAGUUACAAUCAUUUUGAGGGUUCAUUCUCUUUCAGCUCUUUUGCUAAUCACUCCAAGCUUCAAGUGGUCAUACUUGGAAGUGAUAACAACAAAUUUGAGGUAGAAACUGAAUAUCCAGUUGGUUGGGUUCCCCUGUUUCAAUUGAAGGCUCUUUUCCUAUCCAACUGCAAGCUCACCGGUGACAUUCCUGAUUUUCUUCAAUACCAAUUCAAAUUAGAGGUGGUUGAUCUAUCCCAUAAUAACUUGACAGGAAGGUUCACCAAUUGGUUGCUUGAAAACAACACGAGACUAGAAUUUCUAGUCCUAAGGAAUAACUCUUUAAUGGGUCAACUACUUCCCCUGAGACCUAAUACCCGUAUCCUUUCAUUGGAUAUCUCACACAAUCAGUUGGAUGGACGACUUCAAGAAAAUGUGGGCCAUAUGAUUCCAAAUAUUGUGUUUCUAAAUUUAUCCAACAAUGGUUUUGAAGGUCUUCUCCCAUCCUCAAUAGCUGAAAUGAGUUCCUUAAGGGUGUUGGAUUUGUCUGCCAAUAAUUUCUCAGGAGAAGUACCAAAGCAGUUGCUUGCAACAAAAGAUUUGGUGAUUCUAAAAUUAUCAUAUAAUAAAUUUCAUGGUGAAAUAUUUUCAAGGGACUUUAACAUGACUGGGUUGGAUAUUUUGUAUUUAGACAAUAAUCAGUUCAUGGGAACUCUGUCAAAUGUAAUCUCCGGAAGCUCUCAGUUAAUGGUGUUGGAUGUGAGCAACAACUACAUGUCAGGUGAAAUUCCAAGCGGGAUAGGUAACAUGACAGAAUUGAGAACAUUGGUCAUGGGCAACAAUAAUUUUAGAGGCAAAUUACCACCUGAGAUUUCUCAAUUGCAACAGAUGAAGUUUCUUGACGUUUCUCAAAAUGCUCUUUCAGGAUCUCUUCCUUCUUUGAAGAGCAUGGAGUAUUUAGAGCAUCUACAUUUGCAAGGGAACAUGUUUACAGGAUUAAUACCGAGAGAUUUUCUCAAUUCCUCAGAUCUAUUGACUUUGGAUAUGCGAGAUAACAGGUUAUUUGGAAGUAUUCCCAAUUCAAUCUCUGCACUUUUGGAGCUAAGGAUUCUUUUGCUAAGAGGAAACCUUUUCAGUGGUUUCAUUCCAAAUCAUCUUUGUCAUUUAACUAAAAUAAGCUUGAUGGAUCUUUCAAAUAACUCUUUUUCAGGGCCAAUUCCCAAAUGCUUUGGCGAUAUCCGAUUUGGGGAGAUGAAAAAGGAGAAUGACGUGUUUAGACAGUUCAUUGAUUUUGGGUAUGGAGGGGAUUCUCGUAAUUUAUAUGUUGGAUUCACGGUGAAAAAAUGGGAGUUCGAUAGUGAUGUAUAUGAUGAAAAAAAUGAAGUUGAGUUUGUCACCAAGAACAGGCAUGACUCCUACAGUGGUGACAUCCUUAAUUUCAUGUUUGGAUUGGACUUGUCAUGUAAUAACUUAACCGGUGAAAUCCCUCACAAACUUGGAAAGCUAAGUUGGAUUCAUGCAUUGAACUUGUCUCACAAUCAAUUGAAGGACUCCAUUCCAAAGAGUUUCUCCAAUCUUUCUCAAAUAGAGAGCUUGGACCUUUCUUAUAAUAAAUUAAGUGGAGAAAUUCCUCUAGAGCUAGUUGAACUCAAUUUUCUAGAGGUGUUCAGUGUGGCUUACAACAACAUCUCUGGUAGAGUUCCAGAUACAAAAGCACAAUUUGGGACAUUUGAUGAAAGAAGCUAUGAAGGUAAUCCUUUUCUCUGUGGGACAUUGUUAAAGAGAAAAUGCAACACAAGUAUCGAGCCACCAUGCGCACCAUCACAAUCUUUUGAAAGUGAGGCAAAAUGGUAUGAUAUCAAUCAUGUUGUUUUCUUUGCAAGUUUUACUACUUCAUAUAUCAUGAUCUUGUUAGGAUUUGUUACCAUCCUUUACAUCAAUCCUUAUUGGCGUCAUAGAUGGUUCAAUUUUAUCGAGGAAUGUAUAUAUUCCUGUUAUUAUUUUGUUUUUGAUAAUCUUUCCAAGUUAUCAGCAUAUUUGUAUAAUUAGAUACUUUUAAUUGGAUGAUGUUUGCAUAAUUAACUACUAUUUGUUUCCACUAGAUAGAAAGAAAUGGGAUGUAUAAUUGCUACAAGUUGAAACUUACAUACUUUGCUCAAAUUUUGACAUCUUUUGAUUUUAUUUUCAAGUUCCGUUAUUUUUUAUGUAUUGUUUAAUUCAAGAUUUAACCAUAUUUUGUUACUCUUAUAAAAACAAAUUCAAAUUUUUAGGAAGUUUUAGCAUUAAAAUAAUUUCAUAGUCAUAUUUUAAAAAAUAAAGAAGAAAGAAAAUAAUAAAUAAUUGGAAAAACAAUUCAAGGGAGUAUUAAAUUAUCAUCUUAGAAUUGUUUGGCAUAGUAUGGGAAUUCAAAAAUAAUCUUUCAAUUUGUUAGAAGCGUUUAUUUAUUUAUUAUAGCAAUGAUUGAAAUAUCAAUCACAAAGCAAUGUUUUCUUUUCUUUUGUAGGGCACUAACACUUUUUCUUUGAUCGUAAUAAUUGAUAAAUAUAUUACACAAUUAUUUGUUUUUAAAAAGGGAGGGAUGACAAAUAUAAUAACAUGUGAAAUAUUUCUAAAUGAUGGGAAAUAAGCCAAUCUAAUUAGGGUGCAAUAUUAUUCAUUUUAAUUUAUAUGAAUUUACUUAUUUUUAUUUGUAUCAUAUUUUGAACCAUUUUAUGAAAUUAAGGGAGAUUAAAACAUCGAGUUUCUUAUUUUAAUUUAUAUUUUUAAUAAUAAAGCAUGAAAUAUUUUUUUUUUUAAAAUCAUGAAUUUCUUUAAUUCCUUAGGAAACCAAUAUAUAAAAAAAUUGAAUAUAUUAUGAUUUUAUGUCCUAAAUCUCUAAAUUUGUUCAUCACGUAUUUAUUUUUAUAUUAAAUUUAUUAUUAUUAAUUAUUUAUUAUAUAUUAUUAUUUUAUGUUUAAAAAUGUCCAUAAAUAAUUAAAAUUAAUAAAUAAAAAAAAUGAAAUAUUAAAAAAAUUAAAUUAAAAAGAUUUCAUCAAACUAACAUAUUUAAAAAAAAAAAAAAGCAAAAAGAAGAUGGGGAUAUUAUAGAUGAGGGGAAAAAGAUAAAAAAUAAAUAAAAAUUAUGCGGUAUGAUAAUUGCCUCGUGUUAAAGUUAUUUUCUUUUAAAAAUAAUAAUUGUAAUGAUGAACUCAUUUGUCUUAUUAAAGUAAACAAAAAUGAAGAAAAAAAAAAAGUUGUAGUUGGCUAGAGGUGAGAGAGAGAGAGGAGGGUUUGAGUGUAAGUUUGAAAUAUUAAUUAUUUUCACUAAGUAGAUAUUUUGAAGGUUAUUUUCCCCAAAACACAUAUUCUUUUAAUAAAAAAUCAAAAUUUUAGAUUAUUUGUUCCUUUAAACUUUAGUUUGAAUAAAAUUAGUUUUAAUUAUUUUCUUUUUGGAAUUAUAUUUAACACAUUAUUAAAAAUAUAAAAAAAUAUUAUUAGGUUUUUAUGUGCUGAUUGGGUUUUUUAAAUACCCAAUAUGCCCUCCAAUCUACCACUUAAGCAUCCGAUAUGGCUAAAAAUAAAUUAAAAAAAAAAAAAAGGAAAAAAAACAAAAGUGUAUGAUCCUCUUUCUCGAGUCUUCACAUUUUCAGACACUGAACCCAAAUCAAAAUUAAUCCUCCAAAUUAAUUUUCACCUCGAACCCAAACCCUAACUGCUGCCCCGUUUUCUCCUCAAACAUAGCUAUCCGAAAAACCCUAACCUCUGCCUCGUCUUCCUCUUAUCCCGGAAACCUAAAUCCCGUGACCCUAACCCCUUCUCUUUCCGAAAACCCUCCGGAAUAGGAAGAUUCAUAAUUCUUCAGAAUUAAUUUUCACCUCGAAGCCAGACCCUAACUGCCUCAUCUUCCUCUCAUUCAUAUCCUAAAAGUAGCUUCAACAGUCAGGCCUGUAGCCAUGAAAGCCGUAAUGAUCGCCACUUCCGGUGAUCCCCAAGUUCUCCAAGUGCAAGAAGUCGAAAACCCUAAAAUUGGAGAUGAUGAAGUUCUAAUUAGAGUGGACACCGCUACCAUUAAUCGAGCAGAUACGCUUCAGGGAAAGGGCUUGCACCCUCCCUCAAAGGCGGCAGUCCCUACCCCGGCCUCGAAUGUUCUGGAAUCAUCGAAGCUGUUGGAAGGGUCGUCGUUCGAUGGAAGGUUGGCGAUCAGGUAUUUCAAUUACUGAAUAUUUUUUCCUGUUCCUGUAUUUUUCUCGGCUAUCAAACACCAGGAACGCGUAAAUAAGGAGGUUAGCUGAUUGCGAAAACGGAAAUUUUUUGUUCGUGUUUGUGUUAAGGAGUCUUUGUUGAGAAUUUUGGGGAAAUUUAUGAUAAGUUUGUGAUUUUAUGAUUAAUUUUGUGUAUCAAUAAAUGUUAAUUAUUGAGCUUAUUGGUUUUUCAAAUUUAUGGUUGUAAGAAAAUUGGUCAGUGUAAGGUUAUGGGUUCAUUACCAAUUUGCUUACUGAAAAUUUUUCCAGAUAUUGUGGGCUGGUUUGGUAGCAGAAAUAAGAACUGUGUUUUCUUUUCCAAAACGGAAAUAGAUGUAGAAAACAUGUUUGGUAGCCUACUUUCAGAACUUGUUUCUGAAAAUAUUUCCUGAAAAUAUUUCCUGAAAAUGAAUUAUUUCAGAACUUGUUUUUAAAAACUGCAAGCACUUUAUCAAUUUAAAAGGUUCUGAAAUGGACAUGUUCAUGGUCUUCAUUUUGUAAAAUGAAAGCUUUUAUGAAAAAACCAUUUUCCAUUCUACUAAGCAAACAGGCUUUAUAUUGUAACGGAUCUAUUGGCCAUCUCCUUUGUCAUGUUUUGUGAAUCAUGGCAACACUGGAAUCCACUCCAUUACUCUCUAUUAGUGAUUAGGAGAGAAAGCACCGAUUUUAAUGCUAUACUUUAUGUGAUUUUGCUUCCUCCUGAGUACAAGUUCAUAAUAUAUAUGGUACAUGGUACAUGUCUGUAUGACAGUUUGUGGUAUACAGAUGUGUGCUCUUCUUUCUUGUGGUAUACAGUUUGUGGUGGAGGGUAUGCUGAAAAAGUGGCUGUUCCAGCUGGGCAAGUUCUUCUUGUCCCAUCUGGUGUUUCUCUAAAGGAUGCUGCCGGUAUUCCUGAGGUUGCAUAUCCUGUUUGGUUUUAAUGAUGAGCCGACUGUCUGCAGGAGAAACAUUCCAGGUGAAUUUUCAUUUUUUUUUAUUUUCUGAUGCCUGAUAUAUUUACCAGUACAUAACUUAGCUUAAUGGGGUUGUGCAUAUUCUAAUGGUUUAAAAAGUCCAAUGCGCACAAAUUUACACUGUUGGUGUUUAAUGUGUGUGCAUCAAUAUUGGAUUAGGGAGGCAGAAGAGCCAUGGUUUUUAUUAAAACAUUACAUCAUCAUAUUCUUAUUUAGAUACAUCGCGUCUCACGAUUUCAUUGCAUCCAAGGCCAUGUUGUUUUUGAUUGCAUGGUUUGUCAUGAUAAUUUCUCAACCCUUCUCUGGAAAAUUAUGUUGGAUGGCUGAUAUUAAUUACCCCAAAAGAAGAAAUUUUAUGUUGAAGUAAGAUGAGUACCACAAAGAGUUACUUUUGGUUGUUCCUAUCAUCAAAUAGGUGAUUGAUGCACAAUCCAAAUGGCAAACACUUUUUCCCCCUUUAUCCAGAUGGAAUUUUUAUGCAUGGAUGAAUUGUGAAAUGAGGACUGAUAAUAUUUCAGGUUCAUGGGGGUUCAAUUGGAAUUGGUACGUUUGCUAUUCAAAUAGCGAAAUACCGAGGAGCAAGGGUAUUUGUUACAGCAGGUUUGCCAUCACUAUUCUACCUCAUCUCAUGGCACCAAUUCCUUGUCUUCACAUGUUUUCGACCAUUUUUUACAACUGAAAACGAGGAAAAAUUAGCUGUUUGUAAGGAUCUUUGAGCAGAUGUGUGCAUCAAUUACAAGACAGAAGACUUUGUUGCUUGGGUGGAGGAAACAGGAGGGAAAGGUAUAUUCUAUUGUAUCCUAACAAUAAUUUCAGUUGAAGAUGGAAUUGCUUUUAAUUUUUUAGUGCACCAAAUCCACUAGUCUGGUAUGUUUGAAAAGAUAAGUAGUCAUCUUCCACUUGAUUCCGAUUGUGAAGAUCUAACUCCAAAAAUGUUGAAUGACAGGUAUUGAUGUUAUACUGGAUAAUAUUGGACGGGCCUACUUUGAGGGAGACAUCGAUAGUUUAAAUGUUGAUGGAAGGCUUUUUAUUAUUGGUUUUUAAGGGUGGAACAGUUGCAGAAGUAAAUCUUUCAGGUUUACUUGCAAGGUGCCUUACAGUGCAAGGUACCACUUUCUCUAUAGAAGAUUUUUCUGUAGUUUUGGAGUUGAUUCAAUUUGAUUAAUCUCAUCCAAGUUCAGAACUGAGGUGGAUUCUGGCAAGCCAAGGAAAAACCAAAUUACCAUAAAUUCUUUUUUUUCUGGAUUGUUUUACUUCUUGGAAAUCCUGUUUCUUGAUCUGGUCAGGUAUAUGGAAAUUCCAAGGAAAAUAUGUUUUACAUUUUCCAUAAUUGGAAACACUCAGGAAUUUAAUAUUUUCCUCUGAAAUAGCAAUGGUUUUCUAAUUACGACAUUUGUUUUUCUUGUAUCAUCCCAAAAUAUUUUUUAGGUGUUUGUUCUCUCUUGACACAGCUUUUAAUUGGGUCUGUCUUGCUUUUUGAUAGAUCUCUUGACAAGUUGCUUGUAUAUCAUACUUUCUUUAUUGUUUUCGGAUCAUGAACCUUGCUUCUGUCAGCCCUGUUAUCACUACCCAAACUAGUAAAUUUAUGCACAAAACUCCAUGUGUCAGUAACAGUGGUUAUUUGAUUGUAUUAAAUAAUUUGUAAAUACAUUGGAUAAGUUUGUACUAAAUGGCAAUUGUUUCUGCAGUGGCUGGUUUGCAAAACAGAAGUCUGGAAAAGAAAUCUGUAAUUGUGAGUGAGGUGGAGAAGAAUGUUUGGCCUACAAUCACAGGCGUACAAGUAUUUUCCAUUGACGGAAGCAGUAGAGGAUCACCAGCUCAUGGAAAGCAGCAAGCAUAUUGGGAAGAUACCACAUAUUCCAUUAUGUUAUGGUUAUGAAUGAUCUUAUGCCUCAGAGGGGGAUGACAUGAUUUUAAAACUCUUAAUGAGCAUCUACUAUCUGAUACAAUGUGUGAUGCGCGCAGGCCUAGAUGGUCAAUGCUUAGUUUCUUAUGUAGCCCUGUCAUUUGAGAAUAAAAACCAGCCUUCCCGUCCAAACAUUUAGACUACUGGAAUCUAAAGCCUCAAGAUGGUUGACAAUGAAUUUUCAUGUGGAAACAGAUCAUAACUCUCCAACCUCCACAGACGAGCUUACCUUCCUUAUCUGAAGUUUGAACAAAACUGUAUAAAACUGUUAGGUAGGUAGAACUGUCUAAGAAACCAGAGCUUGGCUAGUUGAUCACCUUAUUUACAGAGCUUGGAUGUGAGAGAAACCAGCGCCCCUAAAGGUCAGGACAAGAUCCAUUCCACCAAAGUUGAGCCUUGCAUGUAGUCACCUGGUAUUUUCUUUUAUUGGAGUCUUCCCCUCUACCCUGGCACUGGGAUUGAAAGCGAAUGAAAAACGUGCACAGAUUGAAGGUGUGCUGCUUGAGUUGAUUGUGGUUUGAGCAUGAAAAUUUGAAGAUCCAGAACAGCAAAUGAGGAAUGCCUAUCAAUUUGAAACCAGCAUGGGUGGAUGAAUGGAGAGGUUCUUCACUGAAUUUGUCCAUGAAGCUUUUUAGCACUCUAGGGCAAGGGUCUCCAAGACUAGCUGUUGAUUGCACAUCCCUCCUGCGCAAUACGAAGAACAGAGUGAAAUGCAAAUGCAGGAAAGGGUGUUUCUUAGCUGUUCAACAACUGACAAUACAUUGGCAUGACAAUUCCCUGGAUCGAUGCCCUCUUGGAGUUCCAAAGCUUGUUCACAGGUCAAUUGAACUUGAGGGUUUUGGGACAUGUACUCCAAGUUUGGUUGCCAAGAAUCUCCAGGUGGAGGAUCAGCUUCUGACACGUGUGCACACACCUCUUGGCCAGUUUGUGUUAUUGCAAUUUUAAUAAAUUGCAAAAAAAAAUUAUUGCCAACAAUUUUUUCUUUUUUUCUUUUUUCUUUUUAAACAAACUGCAAAAAUCCUUUUUUUUUUUUAUAAAAAAAAAAAAAAAAAAAAUUUCUCCAACAAAGUGAUUUUUUUUUUUUUGUGGCAUGACUCGGUUUGACCACUAACUCGGUGAACUGGUCUACCGGCUCAAGUUUGGAUCCCUUAAUUUUGUGGCAAAUUGGGCCUCAAGCCCAACAACCUAACUUCCACGCGGGCUAUCUAUAAUAGGUUAAUAUUGCAAACCAAAAUAAUAAUAGACAUGAUUCUUUUCAAAAAUUUUAUAAUGUAAUAUUUUUUAAAAUUAUAAAAUAAUAGGUUAUAUAAAUUUUAAUAUAUAGGUAAAAUUAAUUAAAUUUUAACAAAUAUCUUCACAUUUAGACAUUACAUAUCUUUUAUUUAAUAAAAUGUUAAAAUAUUAAUAUAUCUAAAUAUAAUAUUAAAAAUGAAAAAUAAAAUAGUAAUAAUUUUUAUUUUUUUUAUAUAUUUAAAUUUAUAUAAUUAUUAUUUAUUUUAAAAACAUACAAAUUGUAUAUUUAUAAUAUUAUUAGUUCAACUGUGAUUCAACCAUCGCUCCGAUUAUUCAAUUGUGAAUUAAUAAAUUUUUUAAUUCAAUGAUAGGUUUGAUCAUAAAAAUAUUAUGUUUUUUUUAUGAAAAGUACUCAAGAAAUAUCAUUAAUCACUAAGAUCACGUGGUUGGGUUAGGUGUAUCCGAAACAUAGGUAUUACUCUCUUCCUUAGUUAGGGCUUAGCUUUUGAAAAUGUAGAUAGGUAAAGUGGAUGGAAAGUCUAUAACUACGUAGAGAUUGAGCUUGGAGGCCAAUCUAGCAAAUGUGGAGAUUAGAAAUAGUUUACCAUCUAGAUAGUCAAGCAUAGCAAUUUACCAAACCCUUACCAACCAUCCAUACUAACCAAUUGUGGUUAAAUGUUUACAAAAAUGUACAUUAAAUCAAAGAGAAAAAAGAUUAAAAACGAACAAGAGAGAAGAAGUACGUCACCUAAUUUUGGUAAUAAAUGAAAUUAAAAUAAAUUCAUAAAUUUUUUAAAUUAAAAUGAAUUUGAACUUUAGAGAUUUGUGUAGAUAUCUUAUUAAAAAACCAAAAAGUUUGUUGCAUAUAUAAUUUCAACAAUGCAUAAAUAAUUACAACAUACGCAAUACAAUAAUAUUACACAAUUAUAUUUUCAAAUAUAAUAUAAGAUCAUUAAAGUGAUAAAUUGUAGUUGUAUAAAAUAUUUAUACAAGUAAAGAAGAAAUUAUGAGAUUAAAAUGCUUGUUGGAUUCUAAGUAAAAAAGAAAUGAGAUAUAGAAAUUGUCCCAUCAGACAUAUAAAAUUUCAUAUACAUAAUUUUCCCUUCAAGAAAAUUUAGGGUCAAAUUGAAAAAAUUUCAUUCAUAGAUUUUGGUAAAACCUCUAUCUAGUCCCCCAAGUCUUGUAUACAAAAGGAAAUAACAUUGGUAUGAGGGGUUUGAAUGCUUAAUUUUAGAUUGAAAAUGGUUGAGAUAAUUUUUGAUCGACUUCACAUGUGUUUUUGAUAAACUUGGAACAUUCAAACUUGUAUUUGAAGAAUCUUCAAAUCUUCAAUUUGCUCUUAAAUAAUGUUGAAACCUUUGAAAUUUGAAUAGAAGAAUCUUUAAGCAUUUGAAUUUUGGUUUAAAGAAUUUUGAAAUUUGAGAUUGAAGAAUCUUCAAAUUUGGGCCUGAAGAUCGAAGGCUAAGCUUGAAGAGUUCUUGAAGCUUGAGUGGUAUCUCUGAUUUUGUAUUGUAUUUUAUAAAAACUUUUAAAUAUAUUAUAUUUAUAGGUUUGAAGAGACAUUGAGAUUUUGUAUACAUGUUUGGAGUUUUAAACCUUGAAAUAUUACUCUUUUAUGAAAUUAACAUUUAUAAAAUUUGGAAGAACAUAAUUAGAUAAUAUUUUAAGUUAUUUUUAAUGAAAAUUGAUAAUUACCUUUUAAUUAUCAAAUUCACUAUUUCUAUUUAUUUUUGUAAUAUAUAUUAAUUACUAAAAUCAUUUAUUUCCUUUAUUUAGUUUGAAAGCAAUUAUAUAUCUUUUGUUUGUGUAGAGCUCAUGUGACACGACAAAUUUUAUUUUGUAACUUGCUCUGAAUGAAUGGCCAUUAUAAACUUCAUUUUAUCCUCAUCUGAUUUUGACGUGGGAAUAGGAGAGAUGAGGAUUUGACAUUUGGACCUAAGCCUCAGAGGGUUUUAACUCCACUCAACUACUUUAUGCCUUGUAUUUAAUAUUGCAAACCAAAAUAAUAACAGACAUGAUCCUUUUCAAAAAUUUUAUAAUAAUAGAAGUGUAAAUAAUAUAAGUAAAAAUAAUGUAAUAUUUUUUAAAAUGAUAAAAUAAUUGGUUAUAUAAAUUUUAAUAUAUAGGUAAAAUUAAUUAAAAUAUUUAAACAUUACAUAUCUUUUAUUUAAUAAAAUGUUAAAAUAUUAAUAUAUUUAAAAUUGUAUAAUUAUUUUUUAUUUUAAUACUAUAUAAAUUGUAUAUUUAUAAUAUUACUGGUUCAACUAUAAUUCAAUCACCGGUCCAACCAUUGAACCAUGAAUUAGUAAAUUUUUUUAUUCAAUGAUAGGUUUGAUUCUAAAAACAUUAUGUUUUAUAUAAAAAGUAUUUAAGAAAUAUCAUUAAUGGAUUAUCACUGGUUGGGUUAGGUGUAUCUGAAACAUAGGUAUUACUCUCUUUUUUAAUCGGGGCUUAGCUUUGGAAAAUACAAACAGGUAAAAUGGAUGGAAAGUCUCUCAUAUUAAGUUGAUUAAUUAAGUCAAAACGUUGUUACAACCAUGGAAGAAAAUAUCGGUAAUCACGGAUAUAUCGAUACUUCGAUUUUACGGAUAUAUCGGAUAUAUCGGAGAUAUAUCGGAUAUAUCGGAGAUAUAUCGGCGGAUAUUCUGGAAAAAAAUAUCGGUAGACUUAAAAUUGUUAAAAACUCAUGGAAAUGCAAGAAAAACCUCAUAAUAAUAUAAUUAGAAGUAUAAUUGACAUUUUAAAGUUGUUUUAUUGAAAAAUUUGAUAUAUAUAUAUGAUAUAAUUUACGAUAUUUGAUGUAAUUACAUCAUGUCGAUCUAUAAGAAAUGUUAAUUUUGUAAUUGUUCUCAUUAUAAAGUCACAUAAAAUAUUUCAUUUUAUUAAAUAUCAAUAAUUUGUACACAUUAAAUUCAUUAAAUAAACAUAUUUCAUAUUCAAAAUAUACUAUUUCAUGUUAAUUAAAUUAAUUAAAUAAUUUAGCUAAGUUAACUAGUUUAAUUUAAUUCUAAAUGUGAAAAUAAAUCACAAAUAAUCAUCUAAAAUAAACAUAUCAAUUUAUAAUUAAAUAAUCAAAUUAACCUAAGUUAAUUCAAUAAAAAUAUAAAAAUUAAUUACAAUUGAAUGUAAAAAUAAUAUUAAAUCAUCCAUAUUGCAAACAUACUAAUUAAACAAUAUAAAAUAAAUAAUGAUAUAUAUAUAUAUAUAUAUAUAUAUAUAUAUAUAUAUAUAUAUAUAUAUAUAUAUAAUUUUUUAAUAUUUAAUUAAUUAUUAAUGAUAUUAAAAACAUUAUGAAGAAAAUUAUAUAAUUUUUAUAUUUUUGGUAAUUAAUUAAAAGACUUUGCAUUUAAUUAUAAAAUAAUUAUAAUUAAUUUGCUAUUUAAAAUAUUCUUAUAUUUUCUUUAUAUAAUGAAUUUAAGUAUAUAUAUAAUUGUUGCAUAUUAUAUAUCAAGGGCAACUUAGCUCAGGUGGUAAGCGGAUGAACCCCAAACCUUUUGAUUUGGGGUUCAAAUCCUCUCAGCAGCAAGAAAAUAGAGGCACUGUAGCGCGUUGACGGGCACUGUAUUGCCGAAAUAUCGUGACAUUUUCUACUACUUCUUUGACUGCUUUAUGUGAAUUGGAGUAAUUACUUGCUCAUUGUGAAAUGUUUUCCAAUAGACUAUCAUUUAAUGGAUAACUAUGGAAGAGGAGUUUGGUUGAAAGAAAAAGAUCAAUAAAGUCAAAAUAAAUUAUUAAAACUAUUUUUUUUGAUGGAUUAUAUCAAUCUAGAUAAUGUCAAAGAUAUUACCAAUUUGAUAUCACCAAUUGAUAACACAAUUAAAAAAUAAUAUGAAUUUGAACAUAUUUCAAUUCAUUGUAAUCAUAUCCAUGACCUAAUUUUACACAUCCUUAAAUCAUGGUUGAGUUAUGAAACAAAUCUAUACCAUCAAUAGAAAAUAAAUAAAUAAAUAAAUACAAAAAAAUAUAUAGAUAGUCAAGCAUAGCAAUUUACCAAACCCUUAGCCACCAUCCAUACUAACCAGUUGUUGUUAAAUGUUUACAAAAAUAUACAUUAAAUCAAAGAGUAAAAAGAUUAAAAACAAACAAGAGAGAAGAAAUACAUCACCUAAUUUUUGUAAUAAAUGAAAUUAUAAUAAAUUCAUAAUUUUUUUAAAUUAAAAUAGAAAUUCAAAUACAUGUAACUAUUGUUUUUGUCUUGUAAAUCAUCCAAUUUUUCAAUGAAUUUAAACUCCACAGAUUUGUGUAGAUAUCUUAUUAAAAAAAGCAAAAAGUUUUCACUAAAAUCAUAAAAUUUAGAUUAGAAAUGAUUUACUAUAUUAGUUCAAAAUUCAUCUCCACAAAAAUUGAAAUAAAUUAAUUAUCUUCAAUUCAAAUAAAAUUUCUCCAAUUAAAUUUCCAAAUAUGUGCCUUAAUACCUAUAAUGUAAUUUGUAAUUUUAAUUAAAAAAUAAAUAAAAAUAAGGAUUUGAUCUUUUUCUUACCAUUUGAUGAAAAUUAUAAAAUAUAUUAAAAUUACAAGUGAUCAGACAUUUGAAAUUUGCAUCAUUUCUACCAUUGCAAACACCACCAACUCCAUAUUUCCCAUUUUUCUACCUGCUGCCAAUUCACUCAUCUCUCUAGGAAGAUUUUUGAGGUUAUCGUCAUGCUUGAGAUAAUCCAGAAAGUUGAUUUGGAAAAUUUCUUUUGUAAAAUUCCCCAUUAUCAUGCCCUAAACCAAGACAUAUCAUGAUUGGAUGGCCCCUUCACCAAUUUCACAAUAUCCAAUAGCAUAUCAUCUACUUCCAUUUUGUCAAUGGGAAUUACCAUUUUGCAUGGGAAGCACCAACGAAGAUGGGGGUUUUCAAAUUGGAUCACUAGCAAGGAAACCCACCGCAACAAUCUGAAUUAUUGAGCACAACAUCGGCUUUAGAGAACCCCUCCUGAAGGCGAAAUCGUCAUCUUGGCUAAACGUAGUCAUAGUUGGGUUGUGAGAAAUGGAGAUGAAUCACAGAAGGCUUUCAGUUUGACAGCAACGAAAAGGUAAAUGUACUCUAGAGAAGUUUUGACCUUGGGAGAAGUGCUUUUGAAUCCAAGUCAAGGUCUGUUCUGGAUCCCUUUUUGACUCUUUCUAUUAAAGGAAGAUAAUCUGCCUAGGAUUUGGAUGCAAGCCUGCAAGGCCAUGUUUAGGAGACUUAUGCAAAAUAUUUAUCCAUAGCUCCCCGCUUGAAACAUCUACAUAAAGCGUCUUCCAAGUGUGAACCAUCGUCUUGGGUCCUUGAGAUGAACCCAACUAUUUAGCAAAUUCUAGAGCUCUCAUUCCAAAUCCAUCAGUUUUCCUAGAUGAUUGGCCAGUGGAGAUCCAUGGAUAUAACAUAUGAAAUGUGCACAAUAAAAGUAACCAAACGGUUGGUUGGUUUGGCUGAAUCCCACAAUCGCAAAGACUUAUCAUACGAAACUGUUACCAACUGAGUUGAAUUUGGCAUAAAAAGGAUAUUCGUUACUACAAACUAGCGUUCUUUCGUGGUGCUCUCUUUUUGUAGGCUAUCCAUGUUCCAAAGAAAAACCCUCGUCAUGUCUGGCAUUGGGUACUGAUUAGAGUGUGGGAUGUUCAUUCUCCAUUAUCACCAAACAUAUGCAGGAUAUAUAUAUAUAUAUCCUGCAUAUGUUUGGUGAUAAUUCAAAAUAUGCCUUCAUUUUAUGGAACAUACCCGAAUCCAUUUUGUUUGUGUUGAAGAGGUGUAGAUCUUCUAAGGCUAUGAAGGGCACCACAUUUUCUAAGAAUUCUCUCUGACGAUGGGAAGUCAGAGAGAACAGGUUCUGUUUUUAUUUUGAAAACGUUGUUAUCCUUAAAGAACAAACACUAUUCUUUGGAUUUAUACCCUCCUACCUUAGGGAUCAUACCGUUUGGCUAUUGGGCCUCACGAGUCUUAGGCCCAUCAUCUAAGACCCGUGAUGGCAUUGGGCUCUACACAUAAGGUGGCCCAUACUCUAGAACGAAUAGAAAUCAUAUGUAUAUAUAUGGAUAGCUAAAUCCUGAACAAUGGUUAAUAUGAUGUCGGUCCACAUUUUUUCUAUCAAUCUCCCACUUGGACCACAUAUAUUACAAAACAAUGUUCAUGAUAGUACUUUAUUGAGCUCAUAUUUGCUAUCCUAUCCUAAUAUCCUUAAACAAUCCGGUCUACUAGUUAUGCUAACAUAGGAUCAAAGUGGCCUUCAUUAAUCAUAAUUAUAACUAGACCCAUCAAUGCUCACAACAUUAACAAAAUUAGUAACAUGGAUCAAGUAUGGAUGUGUAGCAUGGAAAUUACAUAAAAUGUGAUCUUUAUUAUGUCUAUUUCCAAUUGGUCCUACUUUAUGACUAAAAAAUAGUCAAAUUCCACUUUCAACACUUGAUGCUAAACUGCUUCUGAAAGUCAUCAUUUCAAUUCAGAGAAUUCAAAUACAAUAGUCUUUAAAAUCAAGGUUUGUACAGAUAACACAACAUAAUAUCAUAUCAAGAAAAUAAACACAAAAUCUAAAUACUAACUCCCACUAUACUAGAACAUCAUCAAUAUGUACAACACCCAUAUGUGUGACAUGCUCAUGAUAUACUUUGGGUGGCAAACCCUUAGUGAGCGGAUCCGCAAUCAUGGAGUUUGUGCUUGUGUGUUCAAUCGAUACUUGAAGACUCUGAACUCUUUCUUUCACAACCAAGAACUUGAUGUCAAUGUGUUUGGACUUUGACAAACUUCGGUUGUUCUUAGAAUUACAAUUCUGUGGCUUUAUUAUCAUAAUUUAUUCUUAAUGGUUUCUCAAUCUCAUCAAUGAUUCACAACUGAGUGACGAAAUUCCGCAGCCAUAUCCCAUGGUUUGAUGCUUUGUAGUAGGCUAUGAAUUCUGCCUCCAUGGUGAAAGAAGCAAUAAGUAUUUGUUUAACACUUUUCCAUGAAACUGUUCAUCCAACCAACAUGAAAAUGUAGCCUGAAGUGGAUCUCCUGCUGUCAAGACACCCCGCAAAAAUGGAGUCCGAAUAUCCCAUGAUCUCUAAAUGACUAGAUCUACGGUAUGUGAGCAUAUAAUCUUUAGUUCUUUGUAAAUAACGCAUAACCUAUUUUGCCUUUUUCCAAUGAUCCAUACCUAGGUUACUCGAAUAUUUGCCUAACAUUCCAAUAAUGUACGCAAUAUCCGGACGUGUACAAACUUGUGCAUACAUGAGACUUCCUAUUGCUGAGGCAUAGGGAAACCUCUUCAUAUCCUUCUUUUUAAGUUCAUUUUUCGGACAUUGGUGCAAACUAAAUUUAUCGCCUUUUGCUACAAGCAUGUCUCCUGGUGCACAAUUGCUCAUGCCAAAUCUACUCAACACCUUAUCGAUGUAGGCCUUUUGUGAUAAUCCAAGUAAAACGAUCCCUAUAGAUCUGUAUACCCAACAAAAAAGAUGCAUUACCAAGAUCCUUCAUGUCAAAUUUACUAGACAAAAAUCGUUUGGUUUCAUGCAAAAGUCCCACAUCACUACUUGCAAGUAGAAUAUCAUCAACAUAUAGCACCAAGAUACUGAAUUUGCUCCCACUGAACUUGAGAUAUAUGCAUUGAUCAAUGGUGUUUUCCUUAAAACCAAAUGAAGUAAUCAUCUGAUCAAACUUUUGGUACCAUUGUUAAGAUGCUUGCCUUAAACCAUAUAUGGACCUUUUUAAUCUGCAUGCAAGUUGCUUUGAAUCAUUAGACUCAAAGUUCUCCAGUUGCAUCAUGAAUAUUGUUUCAUCAAUGUUACCAUUAAGAAACGCAGUUUUAACGUCCAUUUGAUGCAGCUCUAAAUCAUAAUGAGCCACAAGUGUCAUGAUGAUUCUAAAUGAGUCAUUUGAUGAAACCGGUGAAAAGGUCUUGUAGACCCUCAAUUUUGUCCAUUUAGCACAUGUCUUUAAAUUCACAUCCAGUGCUCCACGGUAGUUCCUUGGUGGCCCAUUACUACUCAUAUGGCUUACCUUUUUUUAAGUCACCUCGGAGACUUUGGUUGAGGGAUUAUCUGACCCCUUAUUGUGAUCCUUGGCAAUCCUAAUUUAGAUUGGGCUUGAAUUAGAUACACUUAGCCCAUUUAGGCACCUUAGGCCCACUUAGGCAUCUUAGGCCCGUUUAGAUACACUUGGCCCACUUAGGCUCACUUAGACCCACUUAGGUCAUCUUUUAAAUAUUUUUUUUACAUAUUUGCAUGAUUGCAUUUUUUUGUAUGACUUGCACGGUUGCAUGGCUCAUGGGGCCUAAUUUUUGUUAAUUUGUUUGUUUUAUUUUUAGUUUUAGUUUUAUCAUUAUCAAUCACUCGUUUAUUUAUUUAUUUAUUUUAUUUGUUAUCUCAUUCUUUAUAUUAUUUUCCUUAAUUUAUUUAUUUAUUAUUGUUUUAUUGUUUUCUAAUUUGUUUGCUUAUUUAGUUAUUCAUUCAAUUAUAUAAUUUCAAAAAUUUCAUGUUUUUGCAAGGAAACUUACCAUUGGAGACUAAGGAAAGCGGGACUCUCCUUGGAAAGUUUUGGAGGGGAAUUUGAAGUUGGGAAGAUUGCUUUUGAAUUAGAAGAUUUAGAAAAAGGGAAAAAGGAAGAAGAGAAGAAGAAUGGAAAUAGGGGAAUUUUCUUUUUUUUUGGAAACAAAUUUAGGUCUUGAGGGAUGAUAUAUAUAUGUGAGAAAAGAAAGAGAAAGGGGGAGUGAACAAGCACGCAUUGGAGGAUUGGGAGAAAUUCUGGGAAAAGGUGGAGAGACGUAUUGGAGGCAUUGGAGGAAACCAUUUAAGAGGAGAAGAAGAAAGAAGCACAGAAAAACCAGUGGAGAUUUUCUGAGGAUAGAAACCAGUGCAGAUUUUUUUUUUUUCGUCAAAAGGAAGCAUUCCCAGGUAUGUCUACUGUAGAUUCCUUCUUCAUUCCCAUUAUCCUUUUGUUAUGUACUAAUCUUUGCCGGGUUUUGAGUCUUGCUUGGAUGCUAGGGGGGCAGAAUGACGGAGGUCACAUGUUUGUCUACAUUGAUACUUGCUUCUAUAGAUGUUAUUGAUUUAUCCCUUAGGAGUUCUCUAAUUUUGAUUUAGUGUUGCUAGGUUCCAUUUAUUAUUAUUUCCUGUGCAUUACAUGAGAACUGUGGUUGUAUUCGUUUGUUGGAAUCUGCUCGUACUUAUCCCAUCAUUCCAAACCCAUUGAACCUAACAUGAAAUGGGUUUUCAUUUAAUGGAUCACUUAUUUGUUCAUCCAUUUUUUUUUAUCAAACUCUAUUUUGGCGGGGUUGUUUUUCUACAGUUGAGCAUGCUUCAAAUUGCUCUGUUUUGCUUCCCGGGUGUGUCUUCCUAUAUUUAUGAAUGAAUAAGGUAUAGAUUUGUGGGCUUAUGAGCUGUAAAGGUGAUUUCAGUGGGGUUGAGAUUCUGGGUCCACAAGAAAAAAAUAGAAUAGCAGAAGAGAAAAAUCUGUAAGAGAGUUGGGAAGUCCAGAGUAGUGCAAAUCCUCUUGGGCGUCUUUGGUUCAGAAAUAUCAGAAAAGUUAGAAGGAUGAGAAAAACAAGAAAGAUUGUUUGCCUUUGAACUUUUGAUUGCUUAAAGAUGUUUGACAAUGACCACUGUAAACAACCUGCUACUUUAAUGGUUGUGAUAUUUGAAUGUCAGUAUGAAGAUGUGAUUGGGGUGAAAGUGCUGAAAUCAGAGCUCAGGAGAAGAUCAUUGACUAUUGAGUCUGAUAUGGAAUACAAUUGAAAUGCCAACAUUGAGAUAUUUGGAAGAAGGGGUCUUGCUCCAGGAGUUAGACUUGGUGGGGUGGUUGGUGACUCACUUACCAGAGUUGUAGGAAUGCAAGCAGAUGCACUUUUGUUUGCAGAGGCCAGAAAAUAGGGUUUUGAUUCUUUGGAAAGAGAAGAUGACAAAUAUUUGGAAAGAUUUAAAUUGUUUCAGUUGGAAGCUACUGAAUUUUACCAAGUCUUGAUCAAGAAAAUAAGAAGAUGUAGUGGGCGUCCAGAGGAGCCAUUGUUUUAAUGAAAGUCAGAGUUCUAUAGUUCUAUUCUACCAAUAAAAGUGCAUGAUUUUUGUUUGUCUUAAGGAUCUUGCUAGGUGCAGAGAGCUCUAUAACAAACCUGAUGUUCAGAGUCGCAAUUGGUCAAUUGCUGCUACCUGUUAUAGAGAAGUAACAAUAAUUUGGCACUGGUGCAACUGAAAGAAGAGUACAUGAGGAAAUUCCCUUUCUGGAAUGAUCCAUAUGUUCUAGUGAGCUUGCUUUCUGCUAGCCGACUGCGUGGAGAUGUUGUAAUUGGGGAGUGUUUGGCUAAAUGGCUUCUAAAACUUCAGCUUGUGACUACUUCUCCUUAUGUAUUAUUAUCAAACUUGUAUGCUUCAGAUAGGAAGUGGGCAGAUUUAAAGAACCUGUCAUCAGCGGAUAACAACUUCUCUGACUCAACUUUAGACUCAAUUUCGGGGUUAGAAUCAAUCAAGUCUUUAGAUUUAAGUCGCAACCCCUUUUCUGGUGAUAUGGCAGCAUCAUCGACAAAACUGACUAAUUUGGUAUCCCUUAAUUUAUCGUUAAAUGAGUUCGAAAGUAAAAUUCCAAAAGGUCUCGAGCUGUUUUCAAAACUUGAAAUUCUUGACUCGCAUAGGAAUAUGCUCAGUGGACUUCCAGACGAGGAAUUCUUGUAAUUUUCAGGUGCCAUUCGUGUUGACUUUAGUGGGUGCUAGCAGAGUACUAUCUAUGUUAUUCAUUAUAGCAGAUUCUUAACAUCCACAUUUAUUUAGGAAUAGAUGCUUCAGUUUGGAUGAUAAACAGAUUACAGAUUUAAGGCAUUCUAUUGAUAAGAUUCUAAGUGACAAGUCUUCUUGGAAUGAAGAUCUCUUUGUUGCUACAGUCAAAUUGCUUACUUCUGCUGCAGUUGAUCAGCCUGUUUUUUCUUGUCACCAUAAUUUCAGCCAAAGACAAUCUAGGUUUGAUGCAGCCAAUAAAUGAAGCUUCUUUUGGAAUAUUGGGGUCUGUCAAAGCAAGUUUGGUAGAUGCACUCUUGCAAGUUAUUGAAAGAUUUCAAUGAUCUUAUCAAAUAGCAAUCCCCGUUUACUACUGAAUGUGCUUGACUUACUGAAAACAUUGUGGCAAGGGGCUGCUCAAUAUGCAGAUAUUUUGGAAUGGCUGAAAAACUCUGAAAAGUUCUGAAAACUAUUUUUGUAACUCUAUUUCUCUAAUUGUUAGAAUGAAAGCUCCCCUGCCUGAGAAUCUAACCAAAAUGGAGGCUCUAAGCUUGGCAUACAAAUACCAGUGUCAAACAGCUGUAUUGGAAAUAAUGGCAGAAGUCUUGUUCCUGUGGAAGAAGUUACUGCAUGCUGAAUUUCUUGAAAUGCUUGCAAAUCUGCACAGUUCACCAAUUGAGCCUAGGAAUUCUGAUAUAUCUUCAGGAAUGGAUGACGAGUCCAAUAAUAGUGAGAUGCUCGCAGCUACUAACAUCCACCCUGGACAAGAUUCAUGGAGAAAAUUGGAAGUUGAAUACAAGGAAUUGCCGCAAGUGCACAAUGGUACAUUGCAGCAGAGCAUCUCUGUCGAUGCAAAACUAAUCAAAGAGGAUGUAAUUAGCUUAGUAGAUAAGGAAAGAAGGCAAGCUCUACAGACACCACAAGUGGUUAUGAACAUGCUCGAUGCGACUAUGCCUGGUACUCUAAUGGAAGAACAUAAGAAGAAGGUCCUGGCUGCCGCAGGACAAGGAGAAACAGUUAUGUAAACUUUGUGUGAUGUUGUCCCAGGGGAUAUUUGUGGAAAGCUUUCUACUGUUGUUUCUAGAAUUUUGGCAUACUCAAGGCGUAAAUUUAAACUUUGAGGGUCUUCUGAUGAUUGACCAGACUCCUAAUGUUUCGUCAGGAUUGAAAUCUAAGAUCCAAAAAGAAAUUGGAAUAACAUCAAGUGAAGAAGGUGGGACCGAAAGCUAGGAUACAGUUGAAGAUUACAAAGGUAUAGUUCUUGGAGGUUCCGAAGCCGCCAAACACUCCUUGGAGAAAUUAGGGAAAAUAUCAGAUGGAAGUUCUUGCUCCGGUGUAGAGAAUUCUUGUAAUCAUUCACAGAGAAUCGGUGGUCAAAUUAUAAGUGACUCGGAUGAAGAAGUGGACAUUGAUGAAUAAGGAGGUGGAAAUGAGUUAUUUGAUUUUGCUGCACUGGCUGCUCUCACGAAAAUAGUAGCAAGUGCAAGUUCCGAUAGUGGUAGUAUCACAAUAACCUCUCCAAAGGGAUCCAAGCUUCUCUCUGAUUGCCCCCCCUGCUGGAUUGGGAUCUACAAACCAGUCUCUAAGACCUGCUCCCCAACAAAACCUGUCCAAUCUUUUUACCCAUUUUCCAAUCUUGCAGGGAGGCAAACUGGUGAAGAAUUUAAUCUUGAUAUUGCAGAGAGAGUUGUUUGUGAUCUUAACACUACUGAAGCGUUUCCAAGUGUGUUAGAUCUAAAAUGCAGCCUGAAGUUCUCUGGCCAACUAAACUCGAGCCACUUGAUCGCCAGAUUGUCGAAGAACAAAUCCAGUUCAGUUCUUUCCUUUUACUGGUUUUCUGGCUCAUCCCUACCUCAUGAAUACACCCAGUUAGGCAGUGUUAUUAAAGUACCAAGGGACCUUAUUGAUCCCUACAUCCUGGUUAGCAUCCUUGCUUACGGGCAAUCCUGAACAUGGUGCGCAGCUGUACUGAUAAUCCGUCAUCUGAUAAGUCUUGGAGAUGUUCCCUGCUGCUAUUGCAUUCAGAAAACUCAGAUUGCAUAAGGAAGCUUGCUGAAAGUAUCUCAUAAAUGCUACAACAAAGGACAACUAAAAGGCAAUUUCCCAAGACUUAAUGCCUCAUUUCUGAAACCUGCAAGGGGAGAUGAAGUAUUAUCCAAAGAACCUAAAUGACGAUAUGGAGCUUCAUUAAAAUCUGUCCAGAGAAUUCAAACAGAUCAAUGAAGAGCUGUCUCUAAAGUCAUUCAUGAAAUCGAAAGGACAAAGCCGCGUCAAAAGCUGUUGCUGCUCGCGGUCUUGGACGCAAUGCAAAGAUUGGUUCUGGGAGGGGUCUCAGUGUUGUAGCUAUGGCAACAUCUGCGCAAAGAAAGGAAAUGACAAAUUCGAACAUGAAAUGGAAGUAGGGAUCUUCGCCAAGGUUCAUACUGAGAGAAUGGUUUCAUCUUCAAGAUUUGGAAUCCCAUCAAGACCUCUUGCCAAAUGUUCUCCUCAUGUUUGUUUUCGUUUGCUAUUAUAGUUACCUACGGUGUCGGAUUUCAUUCGAAUUUUUCAGACAAGUCUCCGCAUUCAGCCCAUGGAAAUGACAACCAGAAUUCCAAAACAACAGCGAUCAGACCAGUUCCCAGAUUCCAAUUGUUGGAUAUGUUGGUCAGCCAUAUGGAGCCCCGUCACUACCAAUCUCCCCUCUCUAAUAUCUGUAGCUGAAUUAGCAUCACCAGCUUCAUACGAUUGGCAUCUGGUCUACCUCUUUCAUUAUACUUUCCUCAGAAUUUGUUUUCCAGACAGCAAUGGCAGGUUCCAAUUUGGAACCCAAUAGCUAAAUAGAACCCACCUGGUAGUAAAGGUCAGCAAGCAGGGCUUCAAAACAGAGAAAAUCGGAAGUGAGGAGACCAAAAUCUUGUGCAAUAAGUAAAGAACACUUCAAAUGCCAUAUCCUUUUUCAUUAGAUGCAGAAGGAGGACUCUCUCUGGGUAGGAAUUGUAAUGAUAUGGAAAGGAUGGGAAGUCAUGAUACAAAGCUGUUUUAUCGUUUUAGCUUGGGAAUUGACAACUUCAUCUUCAAACGGUGGAAUUCCAUGAAUAAGGAGCUUUAAGACAUGCCAACAAAUUGCCAAGGAAUAGUCAACUUCUUCACCCAACAGUGAAACUAAAAGUGGAAAGAGCAGAGUAGCAUUGUUUUUUUUGGACCUUUUAUGAUCAUCAUGCAGAAAAAAAACAGCUCAGUAGCUGAAGUUGAGUAUAUUGGCAAACCUGAGAAUGCACUUCCAACCGAUGGAACUGAACAGCAGCAUAAGAAAUCUGAUUUGGAGUUAAGACCUACUACCACAUUACAAGCUCUAGUUGAUGAUUCAAAUUGUGAUCUCGAGAAACUAAAGUUGAAUCCAAACGACAUUGCUGAUGAAAUCAUGUAUCAAACCCUAUGAGCUUUGACUCUGAAAUGAAUAUGGACAGUUCGUUUCCAGUCACGCCAGCAGUAUACGGAGAUCUCUUCACACAACCACCAGCAACGUAGUCACAGCCAAACCCCCAAACCCCCAAACCCCAUUCUCCAUGACCGAUCUGGUGCACACUACUCUUUUCCUUUCACACCCCUCUUGCUUUCCUCGUGAUUUUAUGUGUCUUGAAUUGUGUUUUCAAAAAUUGUUUUCAUCCAAAUAAAUCUAAUUUUAGAUAAUCAUCUUUAGACCUUCUCUAGGCAUUGAAAUCUAAAUUUCAACACCCUUUUGCUGCCAUUUUCCUUCCGGCAUGCGUCUUCACUAUUUUAUUUGAUUUUCAACUAAUUUUCUUGAUUUUCAACAAGCAUGAACAAACUUCAUGAUUCCAAACAAUGGAAUUCAUUGAAUUGACUCAUGCAAAAUCAACUAGGGCUUUGGUGGGGGCCCGACAUUCAUAACACUCACUUCAAUACUGUUUACUUGAUAUGUUGAUUUUUGAUUCUUCUUGAUGAAAUACUUGAAUUCACUUAAUAUUUAUUGUUGAGAUGCUCUCGUUUCCCAUAGAGGAGUACUAGCUUGCUAUCCAGGUACGCUCUCUUCUCAUCUAUUUUUUUAGAACUCUAUGGACUUGUAUGUCAUUGAUGACCAUAUCCAUAUUUGAUGUGAUUCUUGAAUCUCUUGAUAUAUGCCUGAUUUGCUUGAAUAAAACAAAUGUUGUGUGAUGUAUCUCCAAACUAAUCUCUUAUGUUUUAUGAUAGCGCUUGGGAAGCCGUCCAGGUACGCAUUUUUAACUCUUCUUAAUUGUGAUCUGAUCUUGUUUGAUAUGUUAUGUUUUUGGAAUCACCUAGCCUACUUAGGUAUCCAUGAUCAACCAUUUAAUUGCCACGCUUCCCUUAACUUAGUCAGUAGAGACCUCUUUAGGGCUUAGAGGGGUGCUACCUCCUAGAGGUACCUUUCCAAUAAGUAACCUGAUCCCCGGACCUAAACUUGGGUUUCUCAAAGACAUGCUUUUUCCAAAACUAGAGAGUCACUUUUUAGGGUUUUUCUUUCUUGUUUUAUUUUCCCUUUAAAAUAAAAAUAAAAUAGGUGGCGACUCCAACUUUUUUUCCAAAAAUAAUAAAAAGCGAGUCUCGCCGAUCGAGUGGGGGCGCACGUGAAAAAUGCGGGUCCACAAAUUGGCGACUCCGCUGGUGAUUUUGAGGAUCAAGCUUGAACACUAGUUAAGGAAAAUGUGGCGUUUAAUUGGUCGAUUAGUGGGUACCUCUUUUUUUUAGGCAAGGUGAUUCGAUUUGCUUGCUUGUUUGGUUUGCUAUCUUAACAUGUUUGAUUGCCUUGGAUGAUCACUUGAUUGUUUUGCUCACUUUAGCAUGAUUCACUAUCACAUAUGUUAGAUAGGACUUUGUUUGUUUGAUAUUUAUUUGCUUCGCAUGACUGUUUGAAUGAUCACUUGAUUGUUUUGCUCACUUUAGCAUGAUUCACUCUCACAUAUGAUAGAUAGGACUUUGAUUGUUUGAUAUUUAUCUGCUUCACAUGACUGCUUGUUGCAUGACAACCCUUUCUCUUGCAUGUUCGUAUGAUUGCUUGUCUUCAUUCACUAUUUCACUUUAGAUCUUAGGUUUUUUUCGGAUGCACCCACAUCCUUCAUUGUGCACUUUAGAUUAUCCUUGAGUGUUGAGAGAUGGGAGAGCCUUCACCAUUAAGAAACCCCCUGAGAACGCGAGGAAGUGCAUGUGUAGAGGUGAUGACCACCUUGCAUGGAAGCACCCCAUCUCUUUGGAGGCAUGCAGAGGGUUGCGUACCGCCGGAGGGUACGAUCGCUUCUGCUAGGGAUCCUUUGACCCACCCAUUUUACCCUAUAGAACCACCUCAACCUUGUAGGUUAGCCUAGACCCAAUUAAGAUCUCAUUCCUACACGUGGGUGCAUCUGUGGACCUUCAGAACUGCCUUGGUCACAAUUGGAUUCGGUUAUCCCUUCCUUAGUCUCCUUUUGGUGUAAUCAGAGGAGGGUAUCAGAUUGAGUACAUUUGGGCUAUUCUCUUGCACACUUAUCAGCUGAUUCAUACAGAGUCACUUUCGUAUCGCAACUUAUCCAGUGUUUCCAUACUUGUAGGAGAGUUUACCGUGACCAGUCUGGAUUCACCUUCGUGGAUUAGAGUUAGAGGCAGAUUGACCAGAGCAUCAGAUCAGUCAGACCGGAAAUCAGAUCAGGGGGAUAUGGAUUCUCAGAUAGUUAUCGUUGACCAGUUUGCUGCAGCCAUGGCUUCGAUCCAAGAGGCUAUAGCUAGCCUUGGCCAGAGGAUAGAUGGGCAGCAGGCCCGACAGGUCCCAGUUCAGGAGGAUAUCCAGUUUGAUACCACAGUACCACCGCCACCUCCGCACAGUCAGCCAGCACCACAGACUAUACCUUUUACUCUGCAUAGUCAGACUGAGGUUGCACCACCUCCUGCCAUAGUGCCUACUCCGAUCUCAGAGGACCCACAUGCUCGUAUGGAUAAACUUGAGCAGAAGUUGAGACAGAUGAGGACUUCAGAGGGAACUAUUACUUGGGAGGAUUUUGAUGGAGCACCAGUGGCCAGUCUACCGGCCAAGUUCAGGAUGCCUGAGAUUGAGAGAUACAUAGGCAUAGGAUGCCCUCACAUCCAUUUGAGACUCUAUAGUACUGUUAUGAGGGCCCAUGGACUGGAUGAUGCCCAGAUGGUUAUGCUCUUCCCUAUGUCAUUGAGUGGAGCUGCACAGCGUUGGUUCGCUUCAUUGGAGGUAUCACGCCGUAGGACUUGGGAUGACUUAGCCCAGGAGUUUUUGAGACAGUUUGCAUUUAACACUAUCAUUGAUGUUUCGAGGAGAGAGUUGGAGGCUUUGAGACAGAGGCCGGAGGAGUCAAUCACUUCAUUUAUCUCCCGCUGGAGGGAGAAGAUUUCACAGAUUAUAGACCGUCAUUCAGAGAGAGAUCAGAUUAGCAUGAUCAUGAGGAGCUUGCAGCCUAGAUUUGCGAGACGCUUGAUGGGAUUUCCCCAUACGGAUUUCGGAUCUUUGGUACAGGCUUUGUAUGGUAUAGAGGAGGGCAUUGCUAGAGGAUUAUGGUCUGAGUCUUCCCCUACUGAUUCUAAGGGGAAGAGGCCUUUAGGAGGACAGAGAUCAGGAGAUGUUGGUGCUAUCAGUUCAGUAGGGAUGAGACCUUCUAGACGCUAUCAGACAGUUGGGCAGACUCCUGGGUACUACUAUCCACCUUCACCUCAUGCGCAUUACAGACUACCUACUCCUUCCAGACCUAUGACUCCUACUUAUCUGCAUCCGGACUUACAGCCUGUUUUUGCUGCACACGUCGCAGAGAGGUCUCCUGCCCCAUAUACUCGACCCCGAGCUCCACAGACCACUACUUAUGUGCAGAGGCCACCACGUCAGUUUGCUCAGUUGGAUAUGCCUUUGAGUCGAGCUUUUCAGAAGCUCACAGAUGGUGGAUUACUAAUUCCAUUAGCAUCCAGGACUUUACCCCAACCCAUACCACCUCGCUUCAGGAUGGACUUACAUUGUUCCUACUAUCAGGGACCAGGGCAUGACACGGACCAUUGCACUGCUUUGAGACAUGCUAUUCAGGAUUUGAUAGAUCAGGGUUUGGUCAACUUGGGGCAGCCAAGUGUGACCACCAACCCUCUUCCUACUCAUUCCACACGCGCAGUGCAUCCAUCUUCAGGAGAUAUUCAUCACAUGGACCUUAUAGAGGGUUGACAGUAUACACAUGUUGAGUUGGGAUGAUGGAUUACCCGAGCCUAUUGUUCUACAUGACAGUUAUGAGGUCGAUGGGGUUUCAGUGGUCCCUCAAACUCCUGCACCAUUUAGUUUGAUCCCGGACGAGGCACCAUUCCAGUUGACUCAUCUUACACCUUUAGUUAUCGGAUGUCAGGAUGCUUUUGUCCCAUUCACUUUAUGGCCUGAGGAUGAUGAUUCAGUAGGGAGAGAGAUACAGAUUGUGACUCGUAGUGGGAGGAUAGCUCAGCCACCACCACCAGCAGUCAGACCAUUUGAGGGUACAGCCUCUCAUGAGGAGGUUAGGAGAGAGGAUGAUGAGGUUUUGAGACAGCUACAGAGCACUCAGGCUCGCAUUUCCAUCUGGAGUUUAUUAGCAUCAUCCAGUACUCAUAGAGAUGCUUUGAUUCGAGCCUUGAGUCAGAUCAGAGUAGAGACUACCACCACUCCAAAGGGAUUGAUUCAUAUGAUGACGGCUAGCAGGGCCACUUGCAUUGUAUUUUCAGAUGAUGACUUGCCACCUGAUGGUUUAGACCACGUGCACCCUCUAUACAUCACAGUUGGAUGUUCAGGCCGUAGAGUCCCGUCUGUCCUACUGGACAACGGCUCAGCCCUGAAUGUUUGCCCUUUAGCCACUGCUAUAGCCCUUGGUUUCGCGCCUUCAGAUUUUGGUCCUUCUACUCAGACAGUCAGGGCGUAUGAUAGCACCAAAAGGGAGGUUAUGGGUACCUUGAUGAUUGAUUUGCAGAUUGGUCCAACCAUAUUUUCCACUUUGUUCCAGGUUUUGAGGAUUCCUACAUCCUUUAACCUACUACUAGGCCGACCAUGGAUUCAUGUACCUGGAGCUAUUCCUUCUUCCCUUCAUCAGAAGGUGAAGUUUAUUCAUGAUGGGCAGGUCAUCACAGUUCGCUCUACCAGGGAUAUAUUUGCCGCUUCUGAGCCAGUACUUCAGAUCAGUCACAGUGAGGACGACCUACUUCUGACUGGGUUUACUUUUGAUGAGAUAUAGACUCUCAAGAUUGAGGAUUUUUGUAGAGACUUUGUGGCUAUGUCAUUUGAUCAGCACAGUAGCACAGUGGUCCUUGAUAUGAUGAGGGGUAUGACCUUUCUACCUGGCAUGGGGUUAGGACGACGUCAGCAGGGACCGAGCGAGUUCAUAGCUGGCAUGGACCAUGAUACGACAUUUGGACUUGGAUUCAUCCCUACUGAGGCCGAUUACCGUCACAUGGCGCGGCUACGCAAGAAGAAGGUGAGAGCCCGUUUAUCCCGCACACCAUUUGAUUAUCCUAUUCAACCCUAUAGGAUGAGUUUGGCUGACCACUUUGUCAGAGGAUCAGAGACUCGACCUCGUCUAGAGGGGAUUGAUAGUGUGGUUCAUACAGAUAGAGAGACUGACCUUCAACAUCUAUUUCACCAGCUACAGUUGAGUGAUGGGGCUCCCGACUCUUUUUUCCCUUUGACGAUUACUCCCACAUCUCCAGAUCGAGCUAGCAUGUUGUCUCUAUGCUUUCCAGAGGAAAUCACUGGUGAUGGGGUGAUUGUUGAUCCUACUGAGGUGAUUGAUGGAGUUGUUCCCCAUGAUGAGUACCGUGAUGAGAUGGACAUGAUGACCGUGAGCCAGAUUACUGGCAUUGUUCAGCUUCAGCCUGUUUCAGCAUUUGAUAUGUUUGGGGUGUCUACCAUUGAGGUUUUUGAGGGGACUCAGACUCUUCCUGUUCCAGAGCUUCUAGAGGAUGAUAGUUGUUUGUUUGAGGGCAUUAUUAGCCCAGUUGAGGGAGCGUCCGACCUUGUGGACCCACCUCUUUCUUUUGAUGUUUUAUCGGGAUUUGUCUCCCGCUCUAACGAUGUUUCUGUUGCUUCAUUUAUGGAUUUGAGCAUUUUUUAGUAUUCGCCUGUCUCUUGUGAUAGUAUCUUUAUAUCUGCACCCCACCUACCCACUUCACAGAUAUUUGAUAUAGAUGAUGAGAUUGCACAGCCCAGUUCGGAUAGGGACUCUUUGGAUCAUGACUCUGGUCCCAUAGAUGAGAGAGUUUCACCUGCUGUAGGGGACAUUGAGAUUGUUGAUUUUGGCACAGAGGAUCAGCCUAGAGAGCUGAAGAUUGGUUCACCCCUAUCUACAGAUGAGAGAGAUAGACUCAUCCAUUUACUUAGGUCAUACUUGGAUGUCUUUGCAUGGUCUUAUGAGGACAUGCCAGGUGUUGAUCCCUCUAUAGUCCAACACCAUUUACCUACCCUACCACAUGCUAGACCAGUUAAGCAGAAAUUGAGACGGUUGCAUCCACGUUGGAGUCUACAGGUAAAAGAGGAGAUUCAGAAACAACUCAGUGUUGGAUUCAUAUCAGUAGUUGAGUAUCCAGAGUGGUUGGCUAAUGUCGUCCCUGUUCCUAAAAAGGAUGGCAAAGUUAGGGUUUGUGUUGACUUCAGAGAUCUCAAUAAAGCCAGCCCUAAAGAUGACUUUCCCCUUCCACACAUUGAUUUGUUGGUUGAUGGCACCGCAGGCCAUUCGAUGUUGUCUUUCAUGGAUGGGUUUUCAGGGUAUAAUCAGAUUUUGAUGGCUCCAGAGGAUAUGGAGAAGACAACCUUUAUUACUGAGUGGGGUACCUACUGUUACAGAGUUAUGCCAUUUGGGUUGAAGAAUGCAGGAGCCACUUAUCAGAGAGCCGCUACCACUUUGUUUCAUGACAUGAUGCAUAGGGAUGUCGAGGUUUACGUGGAUGAUAUGAUUGUGAAAUCCCGAGGUAGAGCAGAUCACCUAGAUGCUUUAGAGAGAUUCUUUAAGAGGAUCCGGAAGUUUAGAUUGAGGUUGAAUCCUAAGAAGUGCACCUUUGGAGUGACUUCUGGGAAAUUAUUGGGGCAUAUGGUCAGUGAGCGAGGCAUAGAGGUCGACCCAGAUAAAAUCAAAGCCAUAUUUGACAUGCCUGCACCAAAGACUGAGAAAGAGAUUAGAGGUUUUUUGGGCAGAUUACAGUACAUUAGUCGGUUCAUAGCCAGAUUGACAGACAUAUGUGAGCCUAUCUUUCGUCUUUUGAGGAAGAACCAACCAACAAUUUGGAAUGACGACUGUCAGUUUGCAUUUGAGAAGAUCAAGGAGUAUUUGCUUUCUCCUCCUGUUUUAGUGCCUCCUACGCCAGGACGUCCACUUCUUCUAUAUUUGUCAGUUUCAGACAUGGCCUUGGGAUGUAUGUUAGCUCAGAUUAAUGACUCAGGGAAGGAACGGGCUAUUUACUACUUGAGUAAGAGGAUGCUGGAGUAUGAAGUGAAAUAUGUUAUGAUUGAGUGCCUAUGCUUAGCACUAGUUUGGGCUACCAGGAGGUUGAGGCAUUACAUGACAGAGUACUCAGUACAUUUGAUAUCCCGCCUGGACUCGUUGAGAUACUUGUUUGAUAGACCUGCAUUGACUGGUAGAUUGAUGAGAUGGCUUGUACUUUUGACAGAGUUCGAUAUUCAGUAUGUUUCUCAGAAGUCUAUUAAGGGAAGUACUGUCGCUGAUCACUUAGCCUCACUACCGACAUAUGAGGAUAGACCAAUUGAUGAUGAUUUUCCAGAUGAGGAGUUUGUUGCUAUAACCAGCUUAUCAGAAUGGUGCAUGUACUUCGAUGGUGCAGCCAAUCAGUCAGGGUAUGGGAUAGGUGUUCUAUUGGUAUCCCCUCAGGGUGAUCAUAUUCCGAGGUCCGUUCGUUUGGCAUUCUCUAAUUGACAUCCUACCACGAAUAACAUAGUUGAGUAUGAGGCUUGUAUCCUUGGUUUAGAGACUGCAUUGGAGCUUGACAUUAGACAGAUAGAGGUAUUUGGUGACUCCAAUCUGAUACUCAGGAAGAUUCAGGGGGAUUGGAAUACUAGGGACGUGAAGCUUAGACCAUAUCAUGCAUAUUUAGAGUUAUUGGUUGUGAGAUUUGACGACUUGAGAUAUGUUCAUCUGCCUAGAGCGCAGAACCGAUUUGCUGACGCCUUAGCUACUUUAGCUUUCUCCAUGGACAUUCCGAUUGAUGUAGUCAUAUGUCCAUUAUUGAUUGAGUUGAGGCUUGUACUCGCCUAUUGUUGUUUGAUUGGAGAGACAGAGGUCCAGGAUGACCUACCUUGGUAUCAUGAAAUUUAUCAGUUUCUUAGAUCUGGCACAUACCCUGAGGUAGCCACUGCCAAGGAUCGGAGAGCACUAAGGAAUUUGGCCACUAGAUUUGUGAUUUGUGGAGAUACCUUGUACAGACGAUCAGCUGAUGGUAUGCUUCUAUUGUGUUUAGAUCGAGCCUCUGCAGAUCGAGUGAUGAGAGAGGUUCAUUCAGGAGUUUAUGGUCCGCAUAUGGGAGGACACAUGCUAGCCCUUAAGAUUAUGAGGACGGACUAUUUCUGGUUGACUAUGGAGACAGAUUGUUGUCAGUUUGUCCAGAAAUGCCCAGAGUGUCAGAUUCAUGGUGAUCUCAUUCAUGUACCGCCAUCAGAGUUACACGCUUUGACCUCGCCAUGGCCAUUUUCAGUAUGGGGUAUUGAUAUUAUUUAGAAGGUUUCACCAAAAUCUUCCAGUGGUCAUGAGUUCAUCCUAGUUGCCAUAGAUUAUUUCACCAAGUGGGUGGAAGCCGCAUCAUAUGCGAGGUUGACAUCUGCUAGGGUUGCCAGUUUUAUCAGAUCACACAUCAUUUGCCGCUAUGGGGUUCCUCAUGAGUUGAUUUCCGACAGAGGGGUGCACUUCCGAGCUGAGGUAGAUACUUUGUUGCAGAAGUAUGCCAUCCGACAUCAUAGAUCUUCAGCAUAUAGGCCACAGACCAACGGGGCAGUAGAGGCUGCAAACAAGAAUAUUAAGAGGAUUUUGAGGAAAAUGGUUGAGACUUCUCGAGAUUGGUCAGAGAAGCUUCCUUUUGCGUUGUGGGCAUAUCGUACAUCUUUUCGUACUUCUACAGGAGCUACGCCUUACUCUCUAGUGUAUGGUAUGGAGGCUGUUUUGCGAGUCGAGACAGAGAUGGGUUCAUUGAGAGUAGCCAUUGAGCAGCAGAUUUCUGAGACAGAGUGGGCUCAGGCUCGAUUUGAUCAGCUUAACCUUUUAGAUGAGAGGAGAUUGAGAGCGGCAGAUCAUGUUCAGGCCUAUCAGAGAAAGAUGGCUCGUGCCUUCAAGAAACGGGUUAAGCCUAGACCAUUGCAAAAAGGGGACUUAGUUUUGAGGAUUCUCAGAGGUUUGAUUGGAGACCCUAGAGGAAAGUUUAGACCUAGUUGGAGUGGGCCUUAUGUUAUCCGAGAGUUGACUCUAGAAGGGGCUGCAUGGUUGACAGACUUAGAUGGAAACCAAUUUUCAGAGCCUACCAACGUGGAUCAGCUAAAGAAGUAUUAUGUUUGAGACCGUGGUCGCAGGAUGGGUGGCCAUCAUUUCGGUUAGCCUCAUACUUUAUCACCUCUAUAUAUUAGACCGUUGCUAGCCCAUUGAGCUUCGCAUGGUAUGUUAUAGCCUUAUUUCUUUCUUAUAGCUUUGAUUACCAUUUCUACACCCGGGUUGGGGCCCUUUGAUGUAUAUGCAUGUUUUGCUAGGAAAGUCUCAUGAGCUUUAGACUUAUAGGUCUAUCUUCUCAUUUUGUUACCAUCCUCUUAUCACCCUAUUUGUUCUAUUUUAUUAUCAUCAUAUAUUCAUUCUCUUUCUUGUCUCUAUCAUUAUUUGCUUCAUCUUAUCUAUUCUCUUCCUUGGGUUGAUGAUUCUUCACGUCUUAGUGCAAAGAGGGCAGUCAUAGCACUUCAUUCAUCCCAUCAUUUGGCAAUGAUUCGGAGAUUUUAGUUUGAGAGGUUGUCUCAUGGGUUAGGGUUCAUGUAUUCAUCAAUGAUUUGAGAGAGUUUAUUCAUUUUAUUGUAUAUUUCCCAUUGGAGUUUGACUUAUUGAUGAUCAGAGCAUGCGCAAAAAAAAAAAAAAAAAAAAAAAAGCGCAAUGACAUGUUUGUGUAUGGUAUCUUGCUCCAUUGGGUACUUAUAUCACCUUUUGAGGUAUGUUUACUGGGUAUAUUUGACAUUGUGGGUUCUUGUGAGAUGUUUAUAUGAGUUUUCACUCCUUGAGCCACUCUUGUUAUGCAUUUGGAGUGUUGGGGGUUCAUGUGAGAGUUCUAUGGUAUCCUAUGCUUCUUGGUCAUGGUUGAUACAUAUUAGGUAUGAGAGAUGAAUGACCUUUUACUAGGGUCUCCAGAUCAUUGUCUUAUCCACCAUUCCAUCAUUGGUGAUAUGACUUUCCUUUAUUGUACUAACAUGGGUUGAUCAUCACUCGUUCCACUUUCUCAUUGCUUUCUUUUGUAUCCCAUUACCGCUUUCCAGAUCUUUGUUCCACCUUUUAUUCAUUCCCUACAUAUUGAUACCCAUUACUGAUUUGAUACUUUUUUUUCACAUCAUUCACAUAUUUCAUUGAUGGUUUGACCAUUCAUCAUUUCUCUCAUUUCGUUAUCGACAUUCCCUUUGGUUACUUCUAAGUCCAUGACUCAUGAGAUUUUUCUAUGCAUUACAUCUUGUACACGAGGGUACGGGUUUGAUCAUUGGGUAUUUGAGCCUAGUUUCCCUUCAUUUCUUUCACCCUAUCACCUUGGCCUACGUUACGUCCCGUGUCUUAAGACCACCCUGAGGCCACGAGAUCAGACGUUAUCUUUGAUAGUCUUCACUUGGACAGGCUUUUGUAGAUUGAUUGAAGUAUGGUCGUUGCUAUGUUCUCUUUUAUGGAAGAUACUUUUGGAAGCAUUUGGUUUCUCUCUCGCUUGGCAUAUUGAUGUUUGAUGGAUUUUUUUGGGUUUGGAGACAGUUCAUUGAGGAUAUUGGAUUCAUCCUUUGGUUGUGCAUUAGAUGUCCAUAUUGGGGAAUAUUCCCCUUUCAUUUGGUUGAGAUGAGCCCCUAGUGGAGCACUUUCUUUGAGUCUGGGUAUUUUCACCGAUCAGAGAUUCCUAGUGAGGUAUGUUGAGGCUAUAUCAGUUUUAGUGGAGCAUCGUUGAGCCCCUAGUGGUUCCAUUCGCGGAGUACUUCUGAGAUAGACUAGGGGAUUAUUAUUGAGUUGGAGGCAGUUUUCAGUGCAGUGUAUAGAUCAGGCAUACUGGGGCAUAUUUCCCCAUUUUGAGGUUACCAGAUCCCUAUCAGAUUCAGUCAGGGAUUCAUCAGAGACAUGUUUCUACUUUUGAGAUUACCACAUUCCUCAUCAUUUUGGCUAUUCAUUUGAGAUUAGAUUUAGAGUGUCUCCCUUGAGGCAUUGGUCGAUACUUCACUCCGACUUCUUAGCAGAUUAUUGUUGAGCUGAGGAUAGUUGAUUGAUGAUGUUGGAUUCAUCCUUUGGUUGUGCAUCAUCUAUUCACACUGGGGCAUAUGCCCCCCUUCCUCCGAGAUUCUUAUCUGUUAUUGUAUACGGUACGAGGAUGGAUGAUCAUUGUUAGUUUGUUUACCUCACGACUUCGACAUUAGAUUAUCCACACUGGGGCAUAUUCCCCUCUCCUUGAUGAGAUUGUGUUUGGACAGCGGUACGAGGAUGGAUGAUCAUUGUUAGUUUGUUUGCCUCACGACUUCAACAUCCGAUAUCCAUACUGGGGCAUAUUCCCCUCUCCAUUAUGAGAUUUAUUUGAGCAGUGAUAUGAGGAUGGAUGAUUGGUGUCGGUUGUUUAGCUUAUGACUUUGACAUCAGGUCUCAUACUGGGGCAUAUUUCCCUACUUUUUGAGUAUCCUUGAGAUUGAGACAGUGACCAGCUUGGUUUUAGAUUGAGUACUAGCCUAGAGCUUCCGACGAUCGACUGUAUCAGGGCCUCCCUACAUGGAUUUGUUGAGAUAGAGAUGGAUCGUAUCAGGUUUCACCCGAGGAGCGUGGGUGGAUCCUUUAGCCAGAUGCUCAUGAGACAGAUUUGUUUUCGUCAUUGUUACCUUGUCGAUUGGGUUAUUUGAACAAGCAUCAUUUUGUGCACUUUGAGAUUUGCUUUUAGAUGAGCCACGAUAUACACGCUUUGAGAUUUACCUUUUGACAUUCGUCGGUAGAGCAAUUUUUCAGACACAGAGGCCUCUUUCAGUUUUGACUUUUCAGAGGUUUGUCAUGGUGUAUUGGUUUUUGACUCAUUGAUUCUAGCAGAUGAUUGGUUUACUGGUUGUUUCAGCAGUGUGAGCACCUUGGAUACUAGGGCAUAUUUCCCUUCUUGGUUUCAGUAGUCCGACCCUUGACAUUUUGAGUAUAUGGCUUUGAGCCAAUUUAUUUCAUGUCCACUUUCAAGUUGGUCUUCUCUAUUAUUCCCUUCUAGGCCCUGAGCCUUAUAGCCCUAAGUUAUUCAUUCCUUCUAGACCUCGAGUCUUACAGCCCUGAGCAUUCUUUUUCCUUUAGGCCCUAAGCCUUGUGGCCCUGAGCUAUCAUUUCCCAUAGACCUAGAGUCUUUCCAGCUCUUAGCUGAGCUUUCAUCACUUGGUCGCCCAUGAGUGGUUUGACAUGGAGUUUGCGUAUCGCAUUCUCCUUCUAGCCGAUCAGUCAUAGAGCCCAAAGCUCAUAGCCCUGAGCUAUUCAUCGACCCAGAGUCAUUUUCCAUCUUGACCCAGAGUCAUUCAUAGCACCCCGAGCCCUGAGCUCACGACCCGGAGUCAUUUGCAUCAUUCAUAUCCCUGAGAUGUUUCGUUUUCAUCAUUCUAGCCACUUGUGAGUGGUCUCGACCCGACAUCUUGAGUCGGAAAGUAUCUUGAUCGGCUAUCUAUUAGAGCCUGGAGCUCUCGACCCAGAGUCACUUUCCAUUUCGACCUAGAGUCAUUAUUUCCUAUUUUAGAGCCCGGAGCUCUCGACCCAGAGUCAUUUUCCAUUUUGACCCAGAGUCAUUCCUAUCUAUUUAGAGCCCGGAUCUCUCGACCCAGAGUCAUUUUCCAUUUUGACCCAGAGUCAUUCCUAUCUAUUUAGAGCUCGGAGCUCUCGACCUAGAGUCAUUUCCCAUUUUGACCCAGAGUCAUUCCUUUCCACUUAGAGCCCGGAGCUCUCGACCCGGAGUCACUUUCCAUUUUGACCUAGAGUCAUUAUUUUCCAUUUUGACCCAGAGUCAUUUUCCAUUUUGACUUAGAGUCAUUCUUUCCUAUUUAGAGCCUAGAGCUCUCGACUCAGAGUCAUUUUCCAUUUCGACCUAGAGCCAUUCUUUCCAAUUAGAGCCCUGAGCUCAUGACCCGGAGUUUUUUAUCCUAUUUCAGAUCCAGAGUCGUUCAUCUUGUCCCUGACCCAGAUUCAUUCAUCCCAUCCAUGACUUUGAGUCAUCAUUUUCACCUCUUUCCAUCUUUGUGCUACUCGUCACAUACUGUUCUCUCUUUAUUGUCAUUCCCCCCACAUAGAGUUGUCCCAUCCAUGUCAUUGAGACCCCAUCUUUUGAUCUUACCUCUUCAUGUGCUAGGACAAAAUCUCUGGUCCUUCUUUAAUUCUUCGGUAUAGUUCACUUCAUUCUGCUCAUUACUCGUGUUUCUACUCACAUUCUCUACACUCGUGAUCUAUACCAAAGAGGGGCAUAUUUGUAGACCCUUAAUUUUGUCCAUUUAGCACAUGUCUUUAAAUUCACAUCCAGUGCUCCACGGUAGUUCCUUGGUGGCCCAUUACUACUCAUAAGGCUUACCUUUUUCUGAGUCACCUCAGAGACUUUGGUUGAGGGAUUAUCUGACCCCUUAUUGUGAUCCUUGGCAAUCCUAAUUUAGAUUGGGCUUGAAUUAGAUACACUUAGCCCAUUUAGGCACCUUAGGCCCACUUAGGCAUCUUAGGCCCGUUUAGAUACACUUGGCCCACUUAGGCUCACUUAGACCCACUUAGGUCAUCUUUUAAAUAUUUUUUUUACAUAUUUGCAUGAUUGCAUUUUUUUGUAUGACUUGCAUGGUUGCAUGGCUCAUGGGGCCUAAUUUUUGUUAAUUUGUUUGUUUUAUUUUUAGUUUUAGUUUUAUCAUUAUCAAUCACUCGUUUAUUUAUUUAUUUAUUUUAUUUGUUAUCUCAUUCUUUAUAUUAUUUUCCUUAAUUUAUUUAUUUAUUAUUGUUUUAUUGUUUUCUAAUUUGUUUGCUUAUUUAGUUAUUCAUUCAAUUAUAUAAUUUCAAAAAUUUCAUGUUUUUGCAAGGAAACUUACCAUUGGAGACUAAGGAAAGCGGGACUCUCCUUGGAAAGUUUUGGAGGGGAAUUUGAAGUUGGGAAGAUUGCUUUUGAAUUGGAAGAUUUAGAAAAAGGGAAAAAGGAAGAAGAGAAGAAGAAUGGAAAUAGGGGAAUUUUCUUUUUUUUUGGAAACAAAUUUAGGUCUUGAGGGAUGAUAUAUAUAUGUGAGAAAAGAAAGAGAAAGGGGGAGUGAACAAGCACGCAUUGGAGGAUUGGGAGAAAUUCUGGGAAAAGGUGGAGAGACGUAUUGGAGGCAUUGGAGGAAACCAUUUAAGAGGAGAAGAAGAAAGAAGCACAGAAAAACCAGUGGAGAUUUUCUGAGGAUAGAAACCAGUGCAGAUUUUUUUUUUUUCGUCAAAAGGAAGCAUUCCCAGGUAUGUCUACUGUAGAUUCCUUCUUCAUUCCCAUUAUCCUUUUCUUAUGUACUAAUCUUUGUCGGGUUUUGAGUCUUGCUUGGAUGCUAGGGGGGCAGAAUGACAGAGGUCACAUGUUUGUCUACAUUGAUACUUGCUUCUAUAGAUGUUAUUGAUUUAUCCCUUAGGAGUUCUCUAAUUUUGAUUUAGUGCUGCUAGGUUCCAUUUAUUAUUAUUUCAUGUGCAUUACAUGAGAACUGUGGUUGUAUUCGUUUGUUGGAAUCUGCUCGUACUUAUCCCAUCAUUCCAAACCCAUUGAACCUAACAUGAAAUGGGUUUUCAUUUAAUGGAUCACUUAUUUGUUCAUCCAUUUUUUUUAUCAAACUCUAUUUUGGCGGGGUUGUUUUUCUACAGUUGAGCAUGCUUCAAAUUGCUCUGUUUUGCUUCCCGGGUGUGUCUUCCUAUAUUUAUGAAUGAAUAAGGUAUAGAUUUGUGGGCUUAUGAGUUGUAAAGGUGAUUUCAGUGGGGUUGAGAUUCUGGGUCCACAAGAAAAAAAUAGAAUAGCAGAAGAGAAAAAUCUGUAAGAGAGUUGGGAAGUCCAGAGUAGUGCAAAUCCUCUUGGGCGUCUUUGGUUCAGAAAUAUCAGAAAAGCUAGAAGGAUGAGAAAAACAAGAAAGAUUGUUUGCCUUUGAACUUUUGAUUGCUUAAAGAUGUUUGACAAUGACCACUGUAAACAACCUGCUACUUUAAUGGUUGUGAUAUUUGAAUGUCAGUAUGAAGAUGUGAUUGGGGUGAAAGUGCUGAAAUCAGAGCUCAGGAGAAGAUCAUUGACUGUUGAGUCUGAUAUGGAAUACAAUUGAAAUGCCAACAUUGAGAUAUUUGGAAGAAGGGGUCUUGCUCCAGGAGUUAGACUUGGUGGGGUGGUUGGUGACUCACUUACCAGAGUUGUAGGAAUGCAAGCAGAUGCACUUUUGUUUGCAGAGGCCAGAAAACAGGGUUUUGAUUCUUUGGAAAGAGAAGAUGACAAAUAUUUGGAAAGAUUUAAAUUGUUUCAGUUGGAAGCUACUGAAUUUUACCANNNNNNNNNNNNNNNNNNNNNNNNNNNNNNNNNNNNNNNNNNNNNNNNNNNNNNNNNNNNNNNNNNNNNNNNNNNNNNNNNNNNNNNNNNNNNNNNNNNNNNNNNNNNNNNNNNNNNNNNNNNNNNNNNNNNNNNNNNNNNNNNNNNNNNNNNNNNNNNNNNNNUAGGUGCAGAGAGCUCUAUAACAAACCUGAUGUUCAGAGUCGCAAUUGGUCAAUUGCUGCUACCUGUUAUAGAGAAGUAACAAUAAUUUGGCACUGGUGCAACUGAAAGAAGAGUACAUGAGGAAAUUCCCUUUCUGGAAUGAUCCAUAUGUUCUAGUGAGCUUGCUUUCUGCUAGCCGACUGCGUGGAGAUGUUGUAAUUGGGGAGUGUUUGGCUAAAUGGCUUCUAAAACUUCAGCUUGUGACUACUUCUCCUUAUGUAUUAUUAUCAAACUUGUAUGCUUCAGAUAGGAAGUGGGCAGAUUUAAAGAACCUGUCAUCAGCGGACAACAACUUCUCUGACUCAACUUUAGACUCAAUUUCGGGGUUAGAAUCAAUCAAGUCUUUAGAUUUCAGUCGCAACCCCUUUUCUGGUGAUAUGGCAGCAUCAUCGACAAAACUGACUAAUUUGGUAUCCCUUAAUUUAUCGUUAAAUGAGUUCGAAAGUAAAAUUCCAAAAGGUCUCGAGCUGUUUUCAAAACUUGAAAUUCUUGACUCGCAUAGGAAUAUGCUCAGUGGACUUCCAGACAAGGAAUUCUUGUAAUUUUCAGGUGCCAUUCGUGUUGACUUUAGUGGGUGCUAGCAGAGUACUAUCUAUGUUAUUCAUUAUAGCAGAUUCUUAACAUCCACAUUUAUUUGGGAAUAGAUGCUUCAGUUUGGAUGAUAAACAGAUUACAGAUUUAAGGCAUUCUAUUGAUAAGAUUCUAAGUGACAAGUCUUCUUGGAAUGAAGAUCUCUUUGUUGCUACAGUCAAAUUGCUUACUUCUGCUGCAGUUGAUCAGCCUGUUUUUUCUUGUCACCAUAAUUUCAGCCAAAGACAAUCUAGGUUUGAUGCAGCCAAUAAAUGAAGCUUCUUUUGGAAUAUUGGGGUCUGUCAAAGCAAGUUUGGUAGAUGCACUCUUGCAAGUUAUUGAAAGAUUUCAAUGAUCUUAUCAAAUAGCAAUCCCCGUUUACUACUGAAUGUGCUUGACUUACUGAAAACAUUGUGGCAAGGGGUUGCUCAAUAUGCAGAUAUUUUGGAAUGGCUGAAAAACUCUGAAAAGUUCUGAAAACUAUUUUUGUAACUCUAUUUCUCAAAUUGUUAGAAUGAAAGCUCCCCUGCCUGAGAAUCUAACCAAAAUGGAGGCUCUAAUCUUGGCAUACAAAUACCAGUGUCAAACAGCUGUAUUGGAAAUAAUGGCAGAAAUCUUGUUCCUGUGGAAGAAGUUACUGCAUGCUGAAUUUCUUGAAAUGCUUGCAAAUCUGCACAGUUCACCAAUUGAGCCUAGGAAUUCUGAUAUAUCUUCAGGAAUGGAUGACGAGUCCAAUAAUAGUGAGAUGCUCGCAGCUACUAACAUCCACCCUGGACAAGAUUCAUGGAGAAAAUUGGAAGUUGAAGACAAGGAAUUGCCGCAAGUGCACAAUGGUACAUUGCAGCAGAGCAUCUCUGUCGAUGCAAAACUAAUCAAAGAGGAUGUAAUUAGCUUAGUAGAUAAGGAAAGAAGGCAAGCUCUACAGACACCACAAGUGGUUAUGAACAUGCUCGAUGCGACUAUGCCUGGUACUCUAAUGGAAGAACUUAAGAAGAAGGUCCUGGCUGCCGUAGGACAAGGAGAAACAGUUAUGUAAACUUUGUGAGAUGCUGUCCCAGGAAAUAUUUGUGGAAAGCUUUCUACUGCUGUUUCUAGAAUUUUGGCAUACUCAAGGUGUAAAUUUAAACUUUGAGGGUCUUCUGAGGAUUGACCAAACUCCUAAUGUUUCGUCAGGAUUGAAAUCUAAGAUCCAAAAAGAAAUUGGAAUAACAUCAAGUGAAGAAGGUGGGACCGAAAGCUAGGAUACAGUUGAAGAUUACAAAGGUAUAGUUCUUGGAGGUUCCGAAGCCGCCAAACACUCCUUGGAGAAAUUAGGGAAAAUAUCAGAUGGAAGUUCUUGCUCUGGUGUAGAGAAUUCUUGUAAUCAUUCACAGAGAAUUGGUGGUCAAAUUAUAAGUGACUCGGAUGAAGAAGUGGACAUUGAUGAAUAAGGAGGUGGAAAUGAGUUAUUUGAUUUUGCUGCACUGGCUGCUCUCACGAAAAUAGUAGCAAGUGCAAGUUCCGAUAGUGGCAGUAUCACAAUAACCUCUCCAAAGGGAUCCAAGCUUCUCUCUGAUUGACCCCCCCUGUUGGAUUGGGAUCUACAAACCAGCCUCUAAGACCUGCUCCCCAACAAAACCUGUCCAAUCUUUUUACCCAUUUUCCAAUCUUGCAGGGAGGCAAACUGGUGAAGAAUUUAAUCUUGAUAUUGCAGAGAGAGUUGUUUGUGAUCUUAACACUACUGAAGCGUUUCCAAGUGUGUUGGAUCUAAAAUGCAGCCUGAAGUUCUCUGGCCAACUAAACUCGAGCCACUUGAUCGCCAGAUUGUCGAAGAACAAAUCCAGUUCAGUUCUUUCCUUUUACUGGUUUUUUGGCUCAUCCCUACCUCAUGAAUACACCCAGUUAGGCAGGGUUAUUAAAGUACCAAGGGACCUUAUUGAUCCCUACAUCCUGGUUAGCAUCCUUGCUUAUAGGCAAUCCUGAACAUGGUGCGCAGCUGUACUGAUAAUCCGUCAUCUGAUAAGUCUUGGAGAUGUUCCCUGCUGCUAUUGCAUUCAGAAAACUCAUAUUGCAUAAGGAAGCUUGCUGAAAGUAUCUCAUAAAUGCUACAACAAAGGACAACUAGAAGGCAAUUUCCCAAGACUUAAUGCCUCAUUUCUGAAACCUGCAAGUGGAGAUGAAGUACUAUCCAAAGAACCUAAAUGACGAUAUGGAGCUUCAUUAAAAUCUGUCCAGAGAAUUCAAACAGAUCAAUGAAGAGUUGUCUCUAAAGUCAUUCAUGAAAUCGAAAGGACAAAGCCGCGUCAAAAGCUGCUACUGCUCGCGGUCUUGGACGCAAUGCAAAGAUUGGUUCUGGGAGGGGUCUCAGUGCUGUAGCUAUGGCAACAUCUGCACAAAGAAAGGAAAGGACAAAUUCGGACAUGAAAUGGAAGUAGGGAUCUUCGCCAAGGUUCAUACUGAGAGAAUGGUUUCAUCUUUAAGAUUUGGAAUCCCAUCAAAACCUCUUACCAAAUGUUCUCCUCAUGUUUGUUUUCGUUUGCUAUUAUAGUUACCUACGGUGUCGGAUUUCAUUCGAAUUUUUCAGACAAGUCUCCGCAUUCAGCCCAUGGAAAUGACAACCAGAAUUCCAAAACAACAGCGAUCAGACCAGUUCCCAGAUUCCAAUUGUUGGAUAUGUUGGUCAGCCAUAUGGAGCCCCGUCACUGCCAAUCUCCUCUCUCUAAUAUCUGUAGUUGAAUUAGCAUCACCAGCUUCAUACGAUUGGCAUCUGGUCUACCUCUUUCAUUAUACUUUCCUCAGAAUUUGUUUUCCAAACAGCAAUGGUAGGUUCCAAUUUGGAACCCAAUAGCUAAAUAGAACCCACCUGGUAGUAAAGGUCAGCAAGCAGGGCUUCAAAACAGAGAAAAUCGGAAGUGAGGAGACCAAAAUCUUGUGCAAUAAGUAAAGAACACUUCGAAUGCCAUAUCCUUUUUCAUUAGAUUCAGAAGGAGGACUCUCUCUGGGUAGGAAUUGUAAUGAUAUGGAAAGGAUGGGAAGUCAUGAUACAAAGCUGUUUUAUCGUUUUAGCUUGGGAAUUGACAGCUUCAUCUUCAAACGGUGGAAUUCCAUGAAUAAGGAGCUUUAAGACAUGCCAACAAAUUGCCAAGGAAUAGUCAACUUCUUCACCCAACAGUGAAACUAAAAGUGGAAAGAGCAGAGUAGCAUUGUUUUUUUUGGACCUUUUAUGAUCAUCAUGCAGAAAAAAACAGCUCAGUAGCUGAAGUUGAGUAUAUUGGCAAACCUGAGAAUGCACUUCCAACCGAUGGAACUGAACAGCAGCAUAAGAAAUCUGAUUUGGAGUUAAGACCUACUACCACAUUACAAGCUCUAGUUGAUGAUUCAAAUUGUGAUCUCGAGAAACUAAAGUUGAAUCCAGACGACAUUGCUGAUGAAAUCAUGUAUCAAACCCUAUGAGCUUUGACUCUGAAAUGAAUAUGGACAGUUCGUUUCCAGUCACGCCAGCAGUAUACAGAGAUCUCUUCACACAACCACCAGCAACGCAGUCACAGCCAAACCCCCAAACCCCAUUCUCCAUGACCGGUCUAGUGCACACUACUCUUUUCCUUUCACACCCCUUUUGCUUUCCUCGUGAUUUUAUGUGUCUUGAAUUGUGUUUUCAAAAAUCGUUUUCAUCCAAAUAAAUCUGAUUUUAGAUAAUCAUCUUUAGAUAUUCUCUAGGCAUUGAAAUCUAAAUUUCAACACCCUUUUGCUGCCAUUUUCCUUCCGGCAUGCGUCUUCACUAUUUUAUUUGAUUUUCAACUAAUUUUCUUGAUUUUCAACAAGCAUGAACAAACUUCAUGAUUCCAAACAAUGGAAUUCAUUGAAUCAACUCAUGCAAAAUCAACUAGGGCUUUGGUGGGGGCCCAACAUUCAUAACACUCACUUCAAUACUGUUUACUUGAUAUGUUGAUUUUUUAUUCUUCUUGAUGAAAUACUUGAAUUCAUUUAAUAUUUAUUGUUGAGAUGCUCUCGUUUCCCAUAGAGGAGUACUAGCUUGCUAUCCAGGUACGCUCUCUUCUCAUCUAUUUUUUUAGAACUCUAUGGACUUGUAUGUCAUUGAUGACCAUAUCCAUAUUUGACGUGAUUCUUGAAUGUCUUGAUAUAUGCCUGAUUUGCUUGAAUAAAACAAAUGUUGUGUGAUGUAUCUCCAAACUAAUCUCUUAUGUUUUAUGAUAGCGCUUGGGAAGCCAUCCAGGUAUGCAUUUUUAACUUUUCUUAAUUGUGAUCUGAUCUUGUUUGAUAUGUUAUGUUUUUGGAAUCACCUAGCCUACUUAGGUAUCCAUGAUCAACCAUUUAAUUGCCACGCUUCCCUUAACUUAGUCAGUAAAGACCUCUUUAGGGCUUAGAGGGGUGCUACCUCCUAGAGGUACCUUCCCAAUAAGUAACCUGAUCCCCGGACCUAAACUCGGGUUUCUCAAAGACAUGCUUUUUCCAAAACUAGGGAGUCACUUUUUAGGGUUUUUCUUUCUUGUUUUAUUUUCCCUUUAAAAUAAAAAUAAAAUAAGUGGCGACUCCAACUUUUUUUCCAAAAAUCAAUUUUUCACAAAAAUAAUAAAAAGCGAGUCUCGCCGAUCGAGUGGGGGCGCACGUGAAAAAUGCGGGUCCACAGGUCUCCUUAUAAUCAAUGCCUUCCUUUUGAGUGAAACCUUUUGCGAUUAGGCGUGCCUUAUACCUAACAAUGUUGCCUUUUGAAUCCCACUUGAUCUUAAAAAUCCAUUUACAACCAAUCGGUUUUACACCUUCAGGCAACUUUACUAGGUCCUAAACACCAUUGUCUUUCAUUGAUUUCAUCUCAUCCUUCAUGGCUUCUAUCAACUUUUCAGAGUCAGAACUUUGUUUGACUUGACUAAUUGAAAUUGGAUCGUCUUCCAAACCCAUGUCAAACUCAUGUUCCUGGAGAUGUACAACAUAAUCAUCUGAAAUUGUACUUCUCCUUUCUCUAGUGGAUCCCCUCAGUGGCACUUGUACUUGAGGUUCUUGAGGUUGUUGAGUUACCUCUUCAUGAACUUGAAUCGGUUCCAUAACUUGAGCAGGAGGAAUCUCAGGUGUGUUUUGAAUCUCUGUUAUUGACUGUACAUUUUGGAUAGUGUCAUCAAACAUAAUAUGACCAUGUCCAGUCGUAAUAAUAGGAAUACUAACAGAUUCCUCUUCAAAUACCACCUUUUUUAACUGUUCUCUCCCACUUAACUCAACAUCCUCAAUAAAUUUAGCAUUGCCCAUUUCAAAAAAUGAUCUAGUUGAGGGGUCAUAAAACUUGAAACCUCUCGACCUUUCAGAAUAUCUUACAAAGUAGCAACUCACUGUUCUGGAGUCUAAUUUCUUUUUAUUUGGUUUGUAAGGCCUAGCUUCAACUGGACAACCCCAGACAUGCAAGUGCCUAAUACUAGGUUUCUUGCUAGUUCAUAACUCAUAUGAGGUUUUGGCUACUGCUUUGCUUGAGACUCCAUUCAAAAUAUAAAUUGUUGUUUUGAUGGCUUCGCCCCAAAGUGAUUCUGGUAAGGUGGAAUGACUGAUCAUACUUCUUACCAUAUCCUUAAGAGUACAGUUUCGCAUAUUUGCUACACCAUUUUGGCUUGGAGUUCCCAGCAUGGUGUAUUGAGGAAUAAUACCACACUUCAUCAAAUAUUUGGCGAAUGACCCUAGACGUUGUUCACUGGAUCCGUCAUAUCUACCAUAAUAUUCACCUCCACGGUCAGAUCUGACGGCCUUUAUUUUCUUGCUUAGUUGGUUCUCAACUUUAGCUUUGAAAUUCUUGAACACAUCUAAUGAUUGAGACUUCUCAUGAAUCAAAUAAAGAUAGCCAUAGCGUGAGUAAUUUUCAAUGAAAGUGAUAAAAUAUUGUUGUCCAUUCCAAGAAGGAGUAGGAAAUGGACCAUAAAUGUAUGUAUGUAUCAAUUCCAAGACGUCACUGCACUUGUUAGCAUCAUUUUUUCUCAUAUUUGUUUGUUUACCCUUAAUACACUCUAUAUAGACUUGAAAUUCUGAGAAAUUAAGUGGAUCAAGAAUUCAUUCUAACACAAGCCUUUGAUUUGAAAUAUGACCCAAACGCCUGUGCCAUAACAUCGAUGAAUUCUCAUUUGUUAAUUUUUGUUUAAUGUCAUAAUUACUUAAAUGCAAGGUUUCAUUUCCAUUAGUGGUCUUUAUGUUUAAUUUGUAUAAUUUGUCUGUUAGACUACCUAUACCAAUAACAUUUGAAUUUAGAUAAAGACUAACCAUUCCAUUUCUAAAUGAACAAUAAUAUCCAAAUUUUUCCAGACAUGAAACAAAAAUUAAAUUCCGUCUAAACGAUGGUACUAUAAAAGUCUCUUCCAAAUCCAAAGUACAUCCAGAGUCUAACUGUAAUAUAAAAAGACCAAUAGUCUUGAUUGCAACCUUGUUGCCAUUUCCCACAUAGAUGUAUCUUUCACCAUCAGUUGGCAUUCGGCUCCUUAGGCAACCCUACAUCGUGACACUUAUGUGAGUAGUUGCACCCGUAUCUAUCCACCAAGUGUCAGUAGGCACUACGACUAAAUUAAUUUAUGAACAAACAAAGUUGAGAAGUGUACCUUUCUUUUCACGCCAAGCAGCGUAUUUGGUACAUGUCUUUUUCAUAUGACCAACUUUCUUGCAAAAUAAACAAGUCAUCUUCUUAUCUUGUUUCUUCUGCACCUUUUGCUUUGAUGUCCCAAAAAUUGCAGUUUGUUUUUCUUUAUUGUCCCUCUUUCUUUUCUUGUUGGUACCAAAUGCCUGAGAUGUGGAAGCCAAGUGAGCACUUUCUAUCUUUUCUUGUUUCAAUCUCUUAUCCUUUUGUGCACAUUGAGCAAUAAGCUCAUUCAAAGUCCAUUUUUUCUUUUGUAUGUUGUAACUGAUUUUGAAUGGACUGAAUUGUGUAGGUAAAGAGAUCAAGACCAAGUGUACGAGUAUGUCUUCCGAAAACUCUAACUUUAGUGCCUUUAGUCUAGUCACAAGAUUAGACAUUUCCAUAAUACACUUCCUUAUAUUCUCUUUCCCUUUGUACCGCAUAGAGACAAGCUUACUAAGAAUAGUGCUUGUCUUAACCUUUUCUUUUGCAGCGAAUCGGCUUGCUAUCUGGUCUAAGAAUGCCUUGGCUCGAGUUUUCUCAGGUAUUACACCCUUUAUAGCUUUUGGAAUUGAGUGCUUUGUUAUCAUUAACUCAUGCGAUUGGAUCGCUCUCAUUUUUCCAUAGUAGACCUUUGCUCAGCAGUGCUGGCACUAGUAAGAUCUGAAGAGCAAUCCUCUCUUAAUGCAUAGUCUAAAUCCAUGCACCCGAGCACAAUUAUAGCGUGCUCUGUCCAUUUCUUGAAGUUUGUGCCAUUAAGCGCAGGAAUGUUAUUAACAUUUGCAGAUAUAGAAUAUGUUGAAUUCAUAAUAAUAAAGCUCACAAUCAGUCACAUAAACAUCAUACAUACAUGAAAAACAUCAUACAAGAUACCUAGCACAAACAUUAAUAUUCUGUCUUUGGACAAUAAAUAUUAACUUGUAAUUGGUAUCCUUAUACAAAAUUAAUUCAUAAAUAUUUAUCGACAAUAAAACCAAAAACAGUAUGCCUAUCUUUAGACUAACAUAUCGAAUGCAAGAUAAACUUUAUAUGUCACAUAUUUAUGAUUACUUUAUUUAUUAUUAUAUUAAAAUAAUCUUCUUUUGAGCCGAUUAUUUUAAAUAAUAAUAAUAACAUGUUUAGAUAUUAUAAAAUAAAUAAAUUAUAUAAUAUAAGUUACUUUGGCAACUAACAUACAUAAUUCAUUUAUUUUAAAAUAUUAAACACAAACAUAACAAGAAAUAAUAAAUUCAAUUAAAAUUAUUUAUUUAUUUAUGCAUAAACCCAUGUAUAUAUAUGUAUAUAUUAAUUGAAGCAUAAAAAACCAUCUACAUGUGUAUAUAUAUCAAUUGAAGCAUAUAUACAAGCUUUAGUCUAAUGGUUUAAGCAAAAAAUAGGCCAUGGUAAAGGGUUUAAGCCAACCCACCCCUUUAGUUUGGUUUUUGUUUUUGUUUUUUUUUUAAUUUCUUUUGGGCUAUUGACCAUGCAUUCUCUCAUGGCCCAACGACCACUUGUGUUCACUUACAAGCCAAGCCCCUUCCAUAUAUAUAUAUAUAUAUAUAUAUAUAUAUAUAUAUAUAUAUAUAUAUAUAUAUAUAUAUAUAUAUAUGUUUUUUUUUAUUUUAUAAAUUUUGUCCAUUGCAGCCCAAAGUGACCAUCCCUUGAAAUGGCAUCAUCAACGGUGCCAGAGUUGUCCUCGAAUGACGCCUACAGUGAAACGCCGCUGCCAUCAUCGGAACGGUGAUUUCCCAUCGCCAAACGACGGUGUCACUACCGGAAUGAUGCUGUAACGGCAUCGCUGGGAAGCAGCCUAACCUGUGGCGUGACGUCGUGACAAGCAGUGCCGCCAGCGGUGAAACGCUGUCGCCAUCAUCGGAACGGUGAUUUUCCAUCUCCAAACGACGGCGCCACCACCGGAACAACGCUGUAACGACGUCACUAGGAAGUAGCCCCACCCGCGGCACCAAAAUGGUGCUUGGAUGGCGUUUGGAAAGCUUGGAACAACACUCAAAUCAGGGCUUCUCACUGGCAAAUGACGUUUGAACGGCGUCUGGAAAUAAUGCCUGUAGCGCCUAAAAAUUGUGCUCUUUUGAACACCUGAAACAACGUCGAAAUGACGUCUAACGACGUCUGGAAUUGCACUGUUGUCUAGAAUGAUGCCAUGAUGGUGUCUCACUCGCCUUAAAUGGCACCAACCACUGUGACUUGCAGCCCCAAAAAUGGCGCUUGAACAGUGCCUGAAGUGUGCUUGGAACGACGCAGCAAACGAUGCCUAAAAUGGUGCAUUUUGUAUGCCUGAAAACGGCACAGGAAUGAAGCCUAAACUACGUCCAUUUUGAACGCCUAAACGGCAUCCUAACGGCGCCUGGAACGGUGCCUGAAUGACGCCUGGAAUUGGCCCAGAUUUAUUUUCUGUUGUUUCCUUCCUCUUGUAUAUUUUGUUUGUGUUUUAAAAAAAAAGUGUUCUGGUGAAAAUGGGAAAUGCAACCAGGCUCUGAUACCAUUUUGUGAGACGUUCAUUCUCCAUUAUCAUCGAACACAUGCAGGAUAUAUUUUAUAUAUCUAUCAAUUCAUUCAAAAUAUGCCUUCAUUUUAUGGAACAUACUCGAAUCCAUUUUGUUUGUGUUGAAGAGGUACAGAUCUUCUAAGGCUAUGGGGAGGGGAGGGAGGGGAGGGGGGUACCACCUUUUCUGAGAAUUCUCUAUGACGAUGGGAAGCCGGAGAGAACAAGUUCUAUUUUUAUUUUGAAAACGUUGUUAUCCUUAAAAAACAAACACUAUUAUUUGGAUUUAUACUCUCCUACCUUAGGGACCAUACCCUUUGGCUAUUGGGCCUCACGAGUCUUAGGUCCAUCAUCUAAGGCUCAUGAUGGCACUAGGCUUUACACAUAAGGUGACCCAUACUCUGAAACGAAUAGAAAUCAUAUGUGUAUAUAUAUAUAUAUAUAUAUAUAUAUAUAUAUAUAUAUAUAUAUAUAUAUAUAUAUAUAUGAAUAUUUAAAUCCUGAACAAUGGUUAAUAUGAUGUCGGUUCACAUUUAUUAUAUCAUAGAGACUUCCUAUCUGAAGAAAAUCGACAGCAGAUAGCUUUGCCAUUCUUAGUCCGUAUACAACCAACCUUAGCAAGGGUUGAACCCUUUUAUGCUUAGUUGUGCCAUACAGAUCCUUACCAUUUGAUAAUGUCAUCUAGUGAACCAAUACCUCCAAAUGAGAGACCAUUGCCUCGGUAACUAGGGCUCAUGACUGAGAAUUGUGUGAACCCUUUUGCUUGGGAUGGAGCUUGACUGAUGAACAAAAUAUUCAUAGGCCUCUUCCCAUAACUGGCACCUUGUGUUUGCAACAUAAUUGAACAUGUAUUGAAGUGAGUUUUUUUGCAUCUUUUUGUAAGAAAAUUCUAAACAACAUAGACUACUUAGUGUGCCCAGCUCCUCGGGGAAUCAAGGUUCAUUCUUGUAGGGCCAAUUUUAUCACAGUCGAACUAGAUAACAUGGAGAGUAUGUUGCAAUGCUUCAAUGGGGUAUUUCUUAGGAAAAUCCACUUGAAGCUGGUACAAUUCGUUGGCGUACUGAGUUCUUGGAGCUUUAUUGACUUCAAUCACCCAUCUCUGUAGAUUAUCAGUGACUUUAUGCUCGGAUCCUGUAGGAAGAUUGACCUGACAUUCCACUAGCUCUUUCUGGAAGGUAAUCUUGUUUAACACCGUAUGAGAAGAGGCAGGGGAACUGGUCAUUGUUUCUUUGAGAAGAUCAAUGGCCGAGGAUGGGUUUGGACCAGAAUUGCUAUAUGGGUUUUCUUUGGGUGAACCAAUUAGCGGAGUGGGUGGCUAUAUAGCAACUGAAGGGUGGUCAUACUAGCUGACAUUCCACUAGCUCUUUCUAGAAGGUAAUCUUGUUUAACACCUUAUGAGAAGAGGCAAGGGAACUGGUCAUUUUUCUUCGAGAAGAUCAAUGGCCGAGGAUGGGUUUGGACCAGAAUUGCUAUAUGGGUUUUCUUUGGGUGAACCAAUUAGUAGAGUGGGUGGCUAUAUAGCAACUGAAGGGUGGUCAUACUAACGAGGAGCUAUUAUUUCAUGCAAGUGGACAGGAAAUGAGUAGCUUCUUCAAGGAUAUAUGAUUAUUCAUCUUUAGCUUACGUUGAAUAUCUCCUAACAAAUUUCUGCUUUGAAGCUCCCUUAGUUUCACUACAGCUAACUUGGCUAACUUGGUUUCAUCAUGUUUCCUACAACCUCUAAGCAAAGCACGCCAGAUCACCGGAUUAGGUUCUAUUCGCAUUUUGUCCAUAAACUCCUUUGCCUAUUGACAAUAGACUGCCCCUCAAAAUUUGAUGAGAUAACAUCAAUGCUGACAUGUUGGCCAUCGCCAUAAGCAUCUUUAUAGAGAUUGAUUCUAUGUUUACAUAUUUCUCUCUCCUCAAGUGAGUUCAACUUUUCUGUAACAUCCUUCUCCUUCUCAACUAACAGUCUUAGUUGAACAUCCAACCUAUGUUCCCAAAGUGCCAACAUCUCAUAUCUGAUGACAAGCCAACAACCUUGUCCUUGCUAAGACCCAAAUAAGUAUCUAGAACCAUCAGCAUCAACCCUUUCAUAGGCCUUUGUAUUUGAAGGUCGGAUUAGGAUUGCUUUGAAUGCAUUGGCAUUGCAAUACACAAUUGUUUCUUCUCCAAUAAAAACACCACAAAGAGGUGAGAGGACUGGUAUUAGCAAAGAAGUGUUGUUAUCUAUAUUGUUCUGAGCCCAAGUACCCUCAACAAAAUCCUCAUCCUCAUCUGUACUUUUCCAUUACAUCCUUAGGCGUUUCAAUGUGAUCCACAUGGCUUACAGGAAUCCAGAAAUACCGGUCUGUAUAAAAGUUGUUCUUAAGGGGCUCUCCUAGAAAACAUCCCAAUCAAGAUGAUCAACCUAGCUUAGAUGCUCAACACCCCAAACUUACCAUAAAUAGAGGAAUAAAAAGCAAGGAUAGGAGCCAGAGUAAAAACUGAGGGAAGAGCAAAUAGGAAAUCAAGCAAAACAUGAAUGUAUAGAGCCUCAUUUCAGGUGACAUCUUUGGGCUAAUAAUAGGUGGAAUUAGCAAAGUAGAUAAGCAUGAUUGUUAUAAAUAUCAAGUUCAAGGAUGAAGCCGUGCAUCAGCUACUUAUAGGGGGAGUCAAGGAAACCAAGAUAAGAUCAAAGAGAGCAUGUAUGCAAAUAAACAGAUUCGACAAAAUAGACCAAACAGAUCAUGAAUAUCCUCCUACAAAAAACUACUACACGUGGCAAAAAGUGAUGAAACAAAAAGAGUCGGGUCCGCAUAUACAUAUCCUAUUCUAUCCUAUUCCUUCAAAUCCAAAGCAACCUAUAUUUUCAAUGGGAUUUGUUGUGAUGAAUUUUACUGGAUUGUAACAUGUAAAUAUGUUAAAAGAGGCUUGGGACAUUCCUAUAUAGUAACGCAUAAAGGUACUUCCAUUGUGAAGUUAUCAAAAUUGCAAAUUUAAAUUACAAAAUUUGAAAACAUAGAGAUGAAAGAUGAUGAAACCUUCUUUGAAAUUUUAUAUUGAACUCAUUAAUAUUAUUAAUUUUCAUUUCAGUCUAGGGGAUAGAAUUCUUUACUCUAAAGUGGUCACAAAAAUAUUAAAAUUCCUUGUCGAGAGAUUUAGACCUAAAGUGAUCAAUAUAGAAGAAAGUAAAAAUCUUCUAAGUGUAGGUAAACUUGUGACUCUACCAUUUCAUAAAAAAUCCUCAAUUUUAUAAAUUAUAUAGAUUUCUUCAUUUGAUACAAAAUUUGAAUAAAGAUUUUUCAAAUGACAACACAAGGAAAGGGAAAAAAAAUUCUCUCCAAAUCAUAUUAUUUAAUCACUUAAAUUAUUUAAAAAUAAAAAUGCUUACUGCUAACAUUAUUUAGUUUCAUCUUUCUUUUGAUGGAGGUUAAAAUUCAUAAUUUUGAGGAAAAAGAUGAGGAUUCUCAUUUUUUUUCCAUGUAUGAAUGGGAUUCUCAUUGUGUAUAUGUGGGUUACUAAAUGGCAAAUUUGCGGGCCACCAGAGUCUGCAAUAUGAGUGAAAAAAUGAAAUUGAGUUUGUCACCAAGAAUAGACAUGGUUCCUACAAAGGUGGCAUCUUUAAUUUCAUGUUUGGAUUGGACUUGUCAUGUAACAACUUAACAAGUGAAAUCCCUCAUGAACUUGGAAUGUUAAGUUUGAUUCAUGCAUUGAACUUGUCUCGUAAUCAACUAAAAGGCUCCAUUUCAAAGAGUUUUUGCAAUCUUUCUCAAAUAGAGAGCUUAGACCUUUUUAAUAAUAAACUAAUAUAAUAAAAAAUAUUUAGGUAGAUCACAUUUAAAUAUAGCUAAUAUAAUAAAAAAUUAGUAUUAUUAGAAAGACAUGAUCAAUUAAAUUUUUUUUCUUAUCUAUGACACGACUUUAUUUUUUUACAUAGUCAAUAUAAUUUAUUACAACUUAUAUGUCAUUAAAUUAUACACGUUUAUAUUAAAUAUAAUAUAAUAUCAUUAAUGGAAUAAUUAUGCAAGUAAUAUAAAUUGUAUAUAAUAUAAAAAAUUUAAACUCCAUCAAACUAAUGGAAUCUAUUAUAAUAAGUAGACUAGACACCAUGUUGGCCCGAGUUGGAAGCCUGGGCCAGAUUUUAAAGGCUGGGCUUUGAGUUGCCCGUGGGCGUGAGCCAAGGUCUUCUCUUGGUAUCAUCAUUUUGAAGAAAUAAAUUGCUGAUACAGAGAAAAAAACUAUACUAAAUAGAAAAAUAAAUAAAAGCAUUGACUAAAAUGAAGGUCAAGGUCCUUGAAAAAUAAUCUUUAAAUUGUUGCAUAUAUAAUUUCAAUAAUGCAUAAAUAAUUGCAAUAUAUAUGAUAUGAUAAAGAAUUUGGAAUUAAAAGAAGAUUGAUCUAUUUUAAAUGUGGUUGGAAUAUUUCUAAAUUUGUGAUGGGAAGUUAGACAGCCAAUUAGGGAUCCAUAUUAUUUAUUUUCAAUGAUAUGAAUUUAUUUAUUUUUAUUAAUAUUCUUAAUGCAACAAUAUAAAAUAUGUCAAUUUUCUAAAAUUUAAAAAGUAAUUGUAAAAGAAAUUUUUUAAUUAUUUUUCUGAAAUUGAGUUUAUUAUAACAUUUUUCUUUACUUAAAUUUCUUUUUUAUUUUUAUUUUUUUAAAAAAUAAGAUAUGAAAAAAAAAGAUCAAUAUUAGUAAAAGUAAAACCCAAUAUAUAAAAAAAAAUGAAUAAAUGUUUAUGAAAUAAAAUUUAAAAGUGAGAAGGUAAUAAAUUUUUUCUCUUUUAAUUCCCAUUCAAUUCAUUACAAAAAAUAUUUUUGGUUUUUAUGCUAAAAUUUAUUGUCUAUUAAAAAAUUCUAGUAUAUCUAGCUAUCAUAGAAGAGCUAUAAAAUUUUAUUGUUUAAGAGAAUAUGUGUUGCUACUUUAAAAGAUUUAUAUGCAAAAGGGAUUGAUAUUUUUUUCCUUUGGAUAUGUUUAGUUCCCGGAAAAUGUGAGGGAAGAAAAAUAGAGAAGAAAAGUAUAACAAAAUAAAAAGUGAAGGAAAAUGAAAAAUAGAUUUAAAGUUAAUAAAUUAUUUUCAUUGGUUUUUUCAAACUUAUUUUACUUAUUUUAUUCUAUUAAAUAAAGAUUAACUAAUUUUAAUUAUAUUUGGUUUGAUUUUUAUUAUUUUUCAAAGCAAAACCAAAUAUGAAAAAAAAAAACAUUUUUUUUUGUUAUUUUUUUUUUCUUUAUUACUUUUCUGGACUCAAACAUAGCUUUUAGAUUUGGAGCAUGGAAAGAUAAGAGUAUUGAAUAAAGGUUCUAUAUAUGCUCAUGCCCAUGCCCAUGAUACCAUUGAAAAAAAUGGAGAGAGGGUGAAACCUUUACUAGAUGAUAAAUUAUUCUCUUCAAUGGAAAUCAAAUAUAAUUAUUUUUAUCUUGUAUUAAUUGAAUGUUAUACUCCAUAAACUCAAAAUUAAAAUAAAUAAAUAAUUUAAAAACUAGGACAAUCCCAUUUUUUUUUCAAUUUCUUAAAAAGAAAUUAAAUUAUAUUUAUUUAUAUCUAUUUUCAUCCCUACCCAACAAAAUAAUAAUAAAAAAAAAAAACAAGGUGGGACAUGUAUGAGAAAUUCUCACACUAACUCUCCCUAGUUUAUUUUUUAUUUUUUUUAAAAAAUCAAUUUCUUUUAAAAAAAUUAAACUACAUAAAAAAUAAACAAAUUUUACAAAAUUUUUUUUAAGAAAAGUAAAUUUCUUAUUUUAUAUAUGUUAAAAAUAAAUAUAAUCUUUUAUUUUUUAUAUAUAUAAUCGGGAGUGGGACAAAGAAAUAAUCCCCUUCGAUUCCAAUCCAAAAUUUUAAAAUAUAAAAUAAAAAUCUUAAACUCAUCCCUAAUCCAUUUAUUUUUAAUCCUAAACUUGUCUUAUUAAGAAUAAGACAAAGUGAGCACAUGAAAACACUUCUUUUAUCAUCAUCUCUACAAGUUCUAAUGUUUAGAUUGCAAUCCAUAUCAAAGAUUUAUAAAGAAAGAACAACGAUGAAUUUCAUAAACAUUUGAAAGCAUAUACAAAGUUUUAAAUAAUAUUGCUUGAGGUGCAAAUAUUAUUUGGCGCACAUGUUGAGGGACUUCAACUGGUGUAGUCUAGGUUUUUUACACUAGUAAGUAAUCUUGAAUAUCUAGAGUAACUUGAUCAAAAUCUCUUUAAUUUUAUUUUCUUUGAUGGUUGUAUGAUGAAUUAGAAUGCUUAUAUAACAGGAUUAAAAAUUUUAAGAAAAAAAACCAAGAAGAAAGAAAGAAGCACCGAUCUUCCAAAUAUUGCUUCCACUUUAAUAUCUAGAAGGCUCUAAGAAAAUAACUUUAUUCAUGAAUCAUAACCCAAGUCGAAAAUAAAUUGAACCCAUUUUCUAAGUUAAAUUUUGAAUUUUUUACUAGUGAAUGCAAAUUGGGAAAAUGUAUAUAAAUAUAAUUAAACUAGAAUAGUAGAUUAGGUUUGUAGGUGGAGUUUGUUUGAAUUGUUGGAACUUCCAAGUCGUUGUGGGUCUAGUGGUCCCAUAGCUCUCUAUUAAUUUCCACCAUCAAUUUUCUACAAUAAAGUCAAGUCAUUCCUAACCCCUAUAUUAAGUUGGCCUUAAAAGUCAAGUCAUUGAUCAUAGUUACAUUCAUGAAUCACAACCCAAGUCGAAAAUAAAUUGAACCCAUUUUUCAAGUUCAACUUUGAAUUUUUUACUAGUGAAUGCAAAUUGGGAAAACAUAUAUAAAUAUAAUUAAACUAAAAUAGUAGAUUAGGUUUGUAGGUAGAGUCUGCUUGAAUUGUUGAAACUUCCAAGUCAUCGUGGGCCCAGUGGUCCCAUAGCUCUCUAUUAAUUUCCACCAUCAAUUUUUUUGCAAUAAAGUCAAGUCAUUCCUAACCCCUAUAUUAAUUUGGCCUUAAAAGUCUAGUCAUUGAUAGCUAAAUCCUAACCCAAGUCAAAAAUAAAUUGAACCCAUUUUCUAAGUUCAACUUUGAAUUUUUCUUAAUUGGAAAAAUGUAUAUAAAUACAAUUAAACUAGAAUAGUAGAUUAGGUUUGUAGGUGGAGUCUGCUUGAAUUUGUGAAACUUCCAAGUCAUCGUGGGUCUAGUGGUCCCAUAGCUCUCUAUUAACUUCCACCAUCAAUUUUCUGUAAUAAAGUCAAGUCAUUCCUAACCCCUAUAUUAAUUUGGCCUUAAAAGUCUGGUCAUUGAUAGCUACGUUCAUGAAUCCCAACCCAAGUCAAAAAUAAAUUGAACCCAUUUUCUAAGUUCAACUUUGAAUUCUUUUAAUUGGGAAAAUGUAUAUAAAUACAAUUAAACUAGAAUAGUAGAUUAGGUUUGUAGGUGGAGUCAAGCUUGAAUUUGUGAAACUUCCAAGUCGUCAUGGGUCUAGUGGUCCCAUAGCUCUUUAUUAAUUUUCACCAUCAAUUUUCUGCAAUAAAGUUAAGCCAUUCCUAAACCAUAUAUUAAUUUGGCCUUAAAAGUCAAGUCAUUGAUAGUUACGUUCAUGAAUCACAACCCAAGUCUAAAAUAAAUUGAACCCAUUUUCCAAGUUCAACUUUGAUUUUUUUACUAGUGAAUGCAAAUUGGGAAAACUUAUAUAAAUAUAAUUAAACUAGAAUAGUAUAUUAGGUUUGUAGGUGGAGUAAGCUUGAAUUGUUGAAACUUCCAAGUCAUCAUGGGUCUAAGGGUCCCAUAGCUCUCUAUUGAUUUCCAUCGUCAAUUUUUAUGAAUUAAGAUUUAAAAGUGAGAAGGGAAUAAAUUUUUUCUUUUUCAAUUCAUUACAAAAAAUAUUUUUGGUUUUUAUGCUAAAAUUUAUUGUUAUUCAAAAAAUUAAAGUAUAUAAAUAAUAUAUAUAUAUAUAUAUAGAUAUAUAUAUCUUGCUAUUAUAGAAGAGCUCCAAAGUUUUCGUGUUUAAGAGAAUAUGUGUUGCCACUUUAGAAGAUUUAUAUACAAAAAGGAUUGAUGUUUCUCCUUUGACUAUUUUUGGUUCCCAAAAAUUCGAGGGAAAGAAAAUAAAAAAAAAAAAAGUAGUAAAAAAGAAAAAUAAAGGAAAAUAAAAAAUAGUUUUAAAGUUAAUAAAUUAUUUUUAUAUGUUUUUUCAAACUUAUUUUACUUUUUUUUUCAUUAUAUAAAGAUUAAAUAAUUUUAAAAAUGUAUAAAUUUCUAACUAAUUUUAAUUAUAUUUAAUUUUUGUUUUUAUAUUUUUUAGACGGGAUCCGACACAUGAAAAAAUCCUUUUUUUUAGCAUCUUUUUUUCUUUUCUUAUUACUUUCCAAUAACCAAAUAUAACCUUUAGAUUUAGCCUUUAGACUUGGAGUAUGGAACGAUACUGACUAUUGAAAGAAGGUUUUGUAUAUGGCCAUGAUACCAUAGAAAAAAUGGGCGAGAGAGAAAAAACCUUUAUUAAAUGAUAAAUUAUUUUUUUCAAUGGAAAUCAAAUAUAAUUAUUUUUAUAAUAAUUACUUUAUUUUUAAAAAAUAAUAAUAAAACAAAUAAUUUGUUGUUGCAUUAAGUAUUCUUGCAUUUGGAGAAGCAUGUUACUACUUACUACAUAAAUAGAUAUUCAUGGAGUGCAUUCUCUAAAAAGCUCCAGUCUCAUGAAAAUGGAAAGAUGGACCGGCCGGUGAACCGGUUCGAGUUUGGAUUUAUGGGCUGCCUCAGCCUUACACGCAUGAUAGACGGUUGCAGGUGAAGAACUAAUUAAUUUAAAGCCUUCUUCUAUCCUCUCCUAUUCCUCUAUCACUCCAAAUGUUCCACAUGAUAAUGACAAUUCUUUUGUUAAAUGGUAAAAAAAAAAUUUAACAAUUAAUUUUUAAAAAUUUUAAAUUCUAAAUCCAAUUGAAAUUUGACUCUAAUUUGAUGAUAGUUAAAUUACCAUUUUGGGAGAUUCCACUCACUAGUAUUCUCAUUUAUAAAAUCAUGAACUUUGGCAUCCUAAUUAAUGCAAUUUAAACUUUUUUUUUUGUUUACAAAUGAAAUAAGAGGCAACAUAAAAACCCAAAAGUUAAUUUUCCUACCAUCUCUAUGCACCAUUUUAGCUUUACUCCAAUAUAUUUUCUAUGAUUAAUUAUUUUCAUUCAAACAAUAAUAUCAAAAUAUUUUAAAAUUAGACAUAUCAUAAUCAAAUAUCAUUAUAUUAUUAUCGAAUAAUAUUUAAUGUAAUUUAAUAAUCAACUUAUACUUAUAAAAUUUAUUUUUUUUAUUAAUGCAUAUAAUAUUAUUAUCAAAUAUCAUAAAUUAUAUAUAUAUAUAUAUUUCUUUAACAAAACAACUUUAAAAUAUCUAUUAUACUUCUAAUUUCAUUUCUAAGAGGUUUUUUUUUUUUUUUUUUUUUUUUUUUUUUACAUUUUUAUAAGUUUUGAUCAAUUGUAGGCUAACCGAUAUUUUUUAUCAAAAUAUCCACCAAUAUAUCUCCGAUAUAUUAGAUAUAUCCGUAAAAUCGAAAUACCAAUAUAUCCAUGAUUAUCGAUAUUUUUAUCCUUGAGGGAUAACAACUAAUCUAGUUUUUGCACUUAUUGAUAUUCCUCAACAUUUAGAUUGAUUUGACCAAAAUCUUUUUAAUUUUAUUUUCUUUGAUGGUUAUAUGAUGAAUUGGAAUAGUCAUAUAACAUUAACAUAUUUAAGAAAAAAUGAUAAAAAAGAUCGCAUUUUUCAAAUAUUGGUUUCAACUUUGAAUAUUUUUAUUGGUAAAUGAAAAUUGUGAAAAACCUACUAAUGCUAAUACUUUUCACCACAUAAUUAAAUAUAAUAAACUAGAAUAGUGAUUCAUUGAUGUCUCAUAAAGCUACAUGCCUUCUUUGACUUGUUAGUUGAUUUUUGUAGGCGGAGUCCAUUUCCAUUUGAAUUGUUGAAACUUCCAAGUCCUUGUGGGUCUAGUGGUCUCUCUAAUAAUUCCCACCAUUAAUUUUUUGUGAUGAAGUGCAGUCAUUGAUAGCUACUAUAUCAAUUUGCUAUUAAAAGUCAAGUCAUUGAUAACUACUAUUCAAUCUUUUUCAAUAUGGAAAUUGGAAUCGCUAGCACUACUCUUCUCAUUGUUCAUUUUUAAAUUUUAGGUAAUGUGAGAAUGUGUGAACAUAAAUGUCUUCUAAUCAACCAAUUUUUUUGAAAAAAACAUGUACAAAAUUGUAAAACUUGCAAAAUCAAACUUUCUUGUUGAAUAACCAUAGCUUGAUGGUUUUGAAGAAUCAAAGGAUGAAUCCUAAAAGGGUAUUUGAUAAAAAAUAAAAUUUAAAAAAUUAAAAGACAACUACUCCCUUAAGUGUAAUAAGUGUUGUAGACCCCCGGAAGCAGGGACUUUUUUUGAAUUUUUAUUUUUAUUUUCCCGGGGCCCGACAUGAUGGUCAGGAGCUGAUUUUUGGGGCAGAGAGGGGACUCAAGUGGGCGGCUCUCGGGGGGGCAGAUUGGACGGGAUACGGCUGGCUUGCUGAGGAAGACAGGAACAGAAGAAAAACAGAGGAGAAAAGAAGAAAAAGAAAGAGAAAGGAGAGGGGGAUUUCAGACAAGAGGGAGGGAGAAAAAGAAAAGAAAAAGCUGACUGGAGAGGAUUUUGUGGACAGAGGAACCUUCGAGGUAUGAACACUAUCGAUNNNNNNNNNNNNNNNNNNNNNNNNNNNNNNNNNNNNNNNNNNNNNNNNNNNNNNNNNNNNNNNNNNNNNNNNNNNNNNNNNNNNNNNNNNNNNNNNNNNNNNNNNNNNNNNNNNNNNNNNNNNNNNNNNNNNNNNNNNNNNNNNNNNNNNNNNNNNNNNNNNNNNNNNNNNNNNNNNNNNNNNNNNNNNNNNNNNNNNNNNNNNNNNNNNNNNNNNNNNNNNNNNNNNNNNNNNNNNNNNNNNNNNNNNNNNNNNNNNNNNNNNNNNNNNNNNNNNNNNNNNNNNNNNNNNNNNNNNNNNNNNNNNNNNNNNNNNNNNNNNNNNNNNNNNNNNNNNNNNNNNNNNNNNNNNNNNNNNNNNNNNNNNNNNNNNNNNNNNNNNNNNNNNNNNNNNNNNNNNNNNNNNNNNNNNNNNNNNNNNNNNNNNNNNNNNNNNNNNNNNNNNNNNNNNNNNNNNNNNNNNNNNNNNNNNNNNNNNNNNNNNNNNNNNNNNNNNNNNNNNNNNNNNNNNNNNNNNNNNNNNNNNNNNNNNNNNNNNNNNNNNNNNNNNNNNNNNNNNNNNNNNNNNNNNNNNNNNNNNNNNNNNNNNNNNNNNNNNNNNNNNNNNNNNNNNNNNNNNNNNNNNNNNNNNNNNNNNNNNNNNNNNNNNNNNNNNNNNNNNNNNNNNNNNNNNNNNNNNNNNNNNNNNNNNNNNNNNNNNNNNNNNNNNNNNNNNNNNNNNNNNNNNNNNNNNNNNNNNNNNNNNNNNNNNNNNNNNNNNNNNNNNNNNNNNNNNNNNNNNNNNNNNNNNNNNNNNNNNNNNNNNNNNNNNNNNNNNNNNNNNNNNNNNNNNNNNNNNNNNNNNNNNNNNNNNNNNNNNNNNNNNNNNNNNNNNNNNNNNNNNNNNNNNNNNNNNNNNNNNNNNNNNNNNNNNNNNNNNNNNNNNNNNNNNNNNNNNNNNNNNNNNNNNNNNNNNNNNNNNNNNNNNNNNNNNNNNNNNNNNNNNNNNNNNNNNNNNNNNNNNNNNNNNNNNNNNNNNNNNNNNNNNNNNNNNNNNNNNNNNNNNNNNNNNNNNNNNNNNNNNNNNNNNNNNNNNNNNNNNNNNNNNNNNNNNNNNNNNNNNNNNNNNNNNNNNNNNNNNNNNNNNNNNNNNNNNNNNNNNNNNNNNNNNNNNNNNNNNNNNNNNNNNNNNNNNNNNNNNNNNNNNNNNNNNNNNNNNNNNNNNNNNNNNNNNNNNNNNNNNNNNNNNNNNNNNNNNNNNNNNNNNNNNNNNNNNNNNNNNNNNNNNNNNNNNNNNNNNNNNNNNNNNNNNNNNNNNNNNNNNNNNNNNNNNNNNNNNNNNNNNNNNNNNNNNNNNNNNNNNNNNNNNNNNNNNNNNNNNNNNNNNNNNNNNNNNNNNNNNNNNNNNNNNNNNNNNNNNNNNNNNNNNNNNNNNNNNNNNNNNNNNNNNNNNNNNNNNNNNNNNNNNNNNNNNNNNNNNNNNNNNNNNNNNNNNNNNNNNNNNNNNNNNNNNNNNNNNNNNNNNNNNNNNNNNNNNNNNNNNNNNNNNNNNNNNNNNNNNNNNNNNNNNNNNNNNNNNNNNNNNNNNNNNNNNNNNNNNNNNNNNNNNNNNNNNNNNNNNNNNNNNNNNNNNNNNNGGCCCGCCAUACGUGCUUUCCUCAUGAUUGAUUGAUUUGAUUGAUUGAUUGACUUGGCUAUCAUACAUGAUUUAUUUAUCCUGCUCUCCGACAUGCAUGCUAUUAUUUCUUACUUGUGCACUAACCUCUCUCUUGAUAGCGCAUGGUGGCUCGUCGCCCAAGUACGCACCUACUUUCACUCUGGUAAUUGCCCAAGCAUAUUUUGAUUCUCACGUGUGCAUGAUUUAUUCUGGGUACUCAUUGAUCUACUCGUCCAUUGCCAUGAUUGCUUCAUUUUAUUAGUAGAGACCCGACUUUAGGGACUUAGAAGGGUGCUACGGUCCUUACCGUACCUUCCCGAUAAGUAACCUGACCCCCGAACCCGACCCGGUUUUUCGCAGACCGCCUUUUUCAAAAUAAGGAGUCACACUUAGGGUUUUUCUUUCUUAUUUUGUUUACCCUUUAAAAAUAAAACAAAAAUAAGUGACGACUCCAAGUCAUUUUUUUUUUCUUAAUCAAAUAAAAUCAUUUUUCUAACAAAAAUCGAGUUCGUCAUCGAGUGGGAAACACAUGAGCCGAAAUGCGGGGUCCACAAAAUGGCGACUCCGCUGGGGAUUUUUAGAGGGUCAAACUUGAACUUAGAAUGAAGCAAGCGUGGCAUUCGAUUGGACGAUCAGUGGAUGCCCAUUUCUUGAUGGCACAUUGAGGAUAUUUGAUGUAUGCUCGGAUUUUAUAUCUGUUCGAGACUUUUGACAUGUUGAUUAUGGUGAUUGAUUUUAUCCUAAUUGAGGCUUUCGAGGCCAUGUUUUUUCGUGCCUCACUGAUUAUAUCUGUUUGCUACAUCGACAUUGUUGAUUUAUUGAUGAUUGAUCUUAUUGCAUUGAUUAGCACAUUGAUUCUGAUUUUGCCAUGUUUGUUCUGAUCACUUCACAUGCAUACACUCACCACUGUAUAUCACUCGACUUGACAUGUUGAUUCUCUGACUUGUAAUACUGUUUUGACCGUCUUUGAGCAUGAUGUUUGUAUCACUAUUCGUCCCGAUCGUCGUAUUCUCGCUUAUCUUGCGUGUAUAUGAGUGAUAUAUCCUGCUCUGCCUGACUGUAUGAUGCAUGACUGCCCUACCUCUGCAUGAUUGCAUGUCGUCUGUCUAUGUGGGUCUCACUUCUAUCCCCCUACCUCCAAAUCUCUUGGUCUCGGUCAUUCUUUUCAUCUCGGUUCUCACUAUUGCAAGUGUGAGACCUUCUGUGUGCUUGCUCUCUGACCGAGCCAGAGAUUAGGAGUAGGGUCUAGCGACGGGCUAUAUCGAUGCACGGGAGCAUUCUGGAGGAGAGCGACACUUUGAUGUCGAUUGGAGUCCGAUCAUUGAAGACCUGUAUAGCCCCGAGCUAGGUUUCAUGGAUAGUCGUGCGACCAGUGUGUUUCCUCUUCUGCUCUAGAUUCUUAGGGUUUUCGGAUGUACCCACACCUUUCACUGUGCACUUUAGUUGACCAUUGAGCGUCAAGAGUUUGAGAGGUUUCACCAUAGGAAACCCCCUGGGAUGUCGAGGUAGUGCAUGUGUGGAGGUGAUGACCACCUUGCAUGGAAGCACCCCGUCUCUUUUUGAGGCGUGCAGAAGGUUGCGUACCGUCGGAGGGUACGAUCGCUUCUGCUAGGGAUCUUUUAAAGUCCACCCAUAUCCAUUUAGAGUCACCUUCACCAUGCAGGUUGAGCCAUAGAUCCUUUCAAUCAGGACUCCCUCCCUACACGUGGGUGCAUCCGUGGGCCUUCAGAGACGGUUCAGUAGCAACAGGUUUGGUUACCUUCGCAGUAGUCUCUUAUAUAUCUGCUCAGGGUUGGAUAUCAGUUUGUUCGCUUCCAGGCUACCUUUUGACACAUUUGAUAGACAUUCUUUGUGAAGUUUCCCUUACCCCGCACCUUAUCUAGUAUUUUCACUAUUGUAGGAGUACCGAUACGUUCAGUCUGGGUUUGACUUCUUGGAUCAGAGUUGGGGGUAGAUUGAUCAGGGUAUCGGACCAGUUAGGCCAGAGAUCAGAUCAGAGGGAUAUGGAUUCACAGAUAGUUACCGUCGAUCAGUUCGCUGAGGCCAUGGCUUCGAUUCAGGAGGCUAUAGCUAGCCUUGGCCGAAAGAUAGAUGGGCAGCAGGCCCAGCAGGUCCCGCCCCCGGUUGGUGCCCAGUAUGACCCUACAAUGCCACCACCUCCUCCACCCAGUCAGUCAGCGCCACAGGCCAUGCCGUUCACUCUGCAUAGUCAGACCGGGGUUGCCCCACCUCCCAUCACCGCGCCCACCCCGACCUCAGAGGACCCACAUGCUCGCAUGGAUAGACUUGAGCAGGGUUUGAGACAGUUGAGGGCUUCAGACAGAGCCACUACUUGGGAGGGUUUUGAUGGAGUACCGGUAGCUAGCUUGCCGGCUAAGUUCAGGAUGCCUGACAUUGAGAGGUAUACCGGCAUUGGUUGUCCACGCCUCCAUCUCCGAUUAUACAACACCGUGAUGAGGGCUCAUGGACUGGACGAGCCUUAGAUGAUUACUCUUUUCCCACUAUCUUUGAGUGGGGCGGCCCAGCGUUGGUUUGCAUCUUUGGAGGCCUCGAGGCGCCGCACAUGGGACGACUUGGCCCAAGAGUUCCUACGACAGUUUUCGUUUAACACUGUCGUAGAUGUAUCGAGGAGGGAGCUCGAGGCUUUGAGACAGAGGGCGGAGGAGUCUGUUUCUUCUUUCAUUUCUCGCUGGCGCGGGAAGAUAGCUGAGAUUAUCGAUAGACCAUCAGAGAGGGACCAGAUUCAGAUGGUUUUGAGGAGCCUGCAGCCGCGGAUCGCCAGACAUGUGGUAGGGGCCCCGUUCACAGAUUUUGGGUCUCUGGUUAUGGCUCUGUACGAUGUCGAGGACGGCAUCUCGAGAGGCUUAUGGGCAGAUUCUUCCCCUAGUGAUAUUAAGGGGAAGAAGCCCUUCGUAGGAUCGAGGCCAGCAGAUGUGAGCGUUAUCGGUUCUUCCAGUCAGAGGCCUCUCAGGCGCCAUCAGUCGAUCCCACAGUUUCCCGAGCCUCAUUCAUCCUAUGCAUCUCAUCAGUACAGACCACGGGCACCUCGUCCAGCUUAUGAUCAGACAUAUACUCCGCAGACUCUGGCUUUGCCUUAUUAUGCCUCCCAGGGCAUUGAGAGACCCUCAGUUUCCUACACGGCUACAGGACAGCCAUGCUAUGCUGCUCAGUUCACUACGAGACCCGCAGCGUCUUAUCCCCGACCCAGAGCUCAGCAGACUUCUGCUCCCUUUGCUUUGAGGGCGCAGAGGCAGUUCUCACAGAUAGGCAUGCCGUUGAGCCAGGCUCUUCGGAAGCUUACAGAGGCUGGGUUAUUGACUACUCUCACCCCUCGGUCGCCGCCUCAGCCGAUUCCACCUCAGUUCAGGAUGGAUCUACACUGUGCAUACCAUUAGGGGCUUGGACAUGAGACCGAUCGAUGCACCGCUUUGAGGCAUGCCGUUCAGGAUUUGAUUGACCAGGGUUUGGUACACUUGGGUCAGCCGAGUGUGACCACGAACCCGUUGCCUGCUCACACCACACAUGCAGUCCCUCCACCAGCCGAUGACAUUCAUUUCUUAGAGUUUGAUGAGAUCGAUGAUCACAUCCACAUGCUGAGUGAUGUUGAUUCAGACCCAGAGCCCAUCAUGCCAGAUGUGAUUUAUGAGACGAGUGGGGUGACUCUGGGUCCUCGGAUGCCUGCUCCAUUCCGAUUAGUUCCCGAGGCGGCGUCCGUGCAGGCUGCCACAGUUGAGCCAUUGAUUUUGCCGCAUUACAGUGUCCAGACGCCUUUCAUCUUGAUCCCGGAUGUUGAGGGGGUUCAGGCUCCGUAUGUUGAUGAUUCUCAGACUCUGGACAUUCAGUACGUUCUCCGAGGAGGUAGAGUGAUGAGAUAGCCACCUCCAGCUGCUGCCGCUAGACCCUUAGGGGGUGCGUCAUCCCAGGAGGAGGUUAGAGUAGAGGAUGACGAGAUUUUGAGGCAGUUGCAGAGCACUCAGGCUCGUAUUUCUAUCUGGAGCCUUUUAGCGUCCUCCAAUACUCACCGGGAUGCACUGACUCGAGCUCUGAGCCAGAUUAGAGUUGAUACCACGACGACUCCUGAGGGACUCAUUCAUAUGAUGACGGCUGGCAGAGCCACUUGUAUCAUCUUCUCCGAUGAUGACUUGCCACCAGAGGGUUCUGGCCACGCGCGUCCUCUCUAUAUAUCUGUUGGUUGUUCAGGUCGCCGAGUUCCAUCUGUCCUUCUGGACAAUGGCUCGGUCCUGAACGUAUGUCCUCUGGCCACCGCCAUCGCUCUUGGGUACGCACCAUCCGACUUCGGUCCAUCCACUCAGACCGUUCGAGCUUAUGACAUCACCCGUAGAGAGGUCAUGGGUACAUUGGAGAUUGAGCUCCUGAUAGGUCCGACCACAUUUAUCACUAUCUUUCAGGUUUUGAGGAUUCCUACAUCCUUUAACCUGCUUUUGGGCCGACCGUGGAUUCAUCGAGCUGGAGCCGUUCCUUCUUCACUUCAUCAGAAAGUGAAGUUCAUCCAUGAGGGCCAGGUAGUCGUCGUACAGUCGGCAGGGGACAUGUUCAUUUCCGCUGAGCCCGUGCUCCAGAUCAGCCACAGUGACGAUGAUUUACUACUGACCGGGUUCACUUUUGAUGAGGUACAGACUCUUGAGCUGGGAGACUUUUGCCGGGACUUCAUCGCUAUGUCCUUUGACCAGCAUGGGAGCACAGUGGUGCUUGAUAUCAUGAGAGGCAUGUCCUAUCUACCCGGCAUGGGGUUGGGUCGACGUCAGCAUGGACCGAGCGAGUUCAUCACCAUUCCUGAUCAUGACGUACCAUUUGGGCUUGGGUUCAUCCCCACCGAGGCUGACUAUCGAUACAUGGCGCGUUUGCGCAAGGAGAGAGCGAGGGCUCGGCUGACCCACACGCCUUUCGACUAUCCUCUUCGCCCAUACACCAGGAGCUUAUCUGAUUACUUUGUGAGGGCAUCGGAGUCACAUGCACCAUCUGAUGGGAUCAUCGGAGGACUCAGCACCACCCAGGAGGCCGAGCUUCAACGCCUUGUCCAACAGUUACAGUUGAGUGACGGAGCCCUUGGCCCUUCGGCUUCUGUGUUGAUUGCUCCUCCUUCCCCAGAUCGCACGAGCCUUAUGACGCUUUGCUUCCCGGAUGAGAUUGAUGAUCACGGGACUUUUGCCGAGAUUGGAGACGUAGUGGAUAGAGCCGUGCCGCGUGACGAGUACGUUGAUGAGAUGCUCGCGAUGAGUUUGAGCCAGACCGAGGAGAUGGCCCCGCCGGAGCUCGCUUCACCUUUUGAUCUCUUUGGGGUGUCCGUCCUCGAGAUCACUGAGGAUAUCCAGGUUGCCCCCACUCCAGAGGCCGUCGAGGAUGUUAUAGUUGUUGUUGAUUUGUUUGAUGGCCCUGUUGGCCUAGUUGAGGGAGCGUCCGACCUUGUGGACCCACCUCUCACCUUUGAUGUUUUAUCGGGAUUUGUCUCCCGUCAUGACUAUGUUUCUGACUUUUCAUCUAUGGAUUUGAGCACCUUUGAGUAUUUGCCUGUCUCUCAUGUUAUUGAUUUAUCUGCACCAUCUUCACCCACAUCACAGAUUUUUGACAUUGAUGAUGAGAUUGCGCAGCACGACUCAGACGAUGAUUCGUCUUCUGCUUCCGAUUCAGACCCCGUUGAUCAGAGAGUUUCACCUGCUGUAGGGGACACCGAGAUUGUUGACUUUGGCACAACAGAUCAGCCUAGGGAGUUGAGGAUCGGAUCAGAUUUGUCUACAAAUGAGAGAGAUAGCCUCAUCCAGCUACUCAGAUCCUACUUGGACGUUUUCGCAUGGUCCUAUGAGGACAUGCCAGGCCUUGAUCCAUCUAUCGUCCAGCAUCGUUUGCAACUUCUGCCCCGGGCCCGACCGGUUAAGCAGAAGUUGAGACGAUUGCACCCUCGUUGGAGCUUGCAGGUGAAAGAGGAGAUCCAGAAGCAGCUCAGUGUAGGAUUCUUAUCAGUGGUUGAGUACCCGGAGUGGCUGGCCAAUGUCGUCCCUGUUCCCAAGAAGGACGGCAAGGUGAGAGUCUGUGUUGAUUUCCGAGAUCUCAACAAGGCCAGUCCUAAGGAUGAUUUUCCUCUUCCACACAUCGACAUGCUAGUUGACAGUACGGCAGGUCAUUCGAUGUUGUCCUUUAUGGACGGAUUUUCCGGGUACAGUCAGAUCUUGAUGGCUCCAGAGGACAUGGAGAAGACGUCCUUCAUUACCGAGUGGGGCACUUAUUGCUAUAGAGUCAUGCCAUUCGGAUUGAAGAACGCAGGAGCCACAUAUCAGAGAGCAGCGACCACACUCUUCCAUGACAUGAUGCAUCGGGAUGUCGAGGUUUACGUAGACGACAUGAUAGUGAAAUCCCGAUAUAGAUCAGAUCAUUUGGCAGCUCUUGAGAGGUUCUUUGAGAGGAUCAGACAGUUCAGAUUGAGACUGAAUCCCAAGAAGUGCACUUUCGGAGUGACUUUCGGGAAGCUCUUGGGAUACAUGGUCAGUGAGCGAGGCAUAAAGGUAGAUCCGGACAAGAUUAGAGCCAUUCUUGACAUGCCUGCGCCGAGGACAGAGAGAGAGGUCAGAGGCUUCCUGGGCAGACUUCAGUACAUCAGUAGAUUCAUAGCCAGAUUGACAAACAUCUGCGAGCCCAUAUUUCGACUCUUGAGGAAGAGUCAACCUACUGUUUGGGAUGACCAGUGCCAACGUGCCUUCGAGAGGAUCAGAGAGUACUUGUUGUCACCUCCUGUUUUGGCGCCUCCUACACCAGGCCGUCCUCUACUCUUAUACUUGUCUGUAUCAGACGUGGCCUUGGGUUGCAUGUUAGCUCAGCUCGAUGAUUCGAGCAAGGAUCGAGCCAUUUACUAUUUGAGUAAGAGGAUGUUAGACUACGAGACGAGGUAUGUCAUGAUUGAGCGUUAUUGUUUGGCAUUGGUUUGGGCCACUCACCGGUUGAGACAUUACAUGACCGAGUAUUCCGUGCAUUUGAUAUCUCGCUUGGAUCCUCUGAGAUAUUUGUUUGACAGACCCGCUCUGGUUGGUCGCCUUAUGAGAUGGCUGGUACUUCUUACUGAGUUUGACAUCCAUUAUGUCACUCAGAAGUCCAUCAGAGGGAGCAUUGUAGCAGAUCAUCUAGCCUCAUUACCAGUUUCUGAUGCCAGAGCUAUUGACGAUGAUUUUUCAGACGAGGAUGUCGCUGCUGUGACUAGUCUGUCAGGUUGGCGCAUGUACUUUGAUGGCGCGGCCAACCAUUCCGGAUAUGGGAUAGGCGUCUUGUUGAUAUCCCCUCACGGUGAUCACAUUCCCAGAUCAGUUCGUUUGGCAUUCUCGGAUCGGCACCCUGCCACGAACAACAUUGUUGAGUAUGAGGCUUGUAUCUUGGGAUUAGAGACGGCCCUUGAGCUUAGGAUUAGACAGAUGGAGGUGUUUGGUGACUCCAAUAUGGUAUUGAGACAGAUUCAGGGUGAGUGGAAGACUAGAGAUGUGAAGCUUAGGCCUUAUCAUGCAUAUUUGGAGCUACUGGUUGGGAGAUUUGAUGAUUUGAGAUAUACCCAUCUGCCUAGAGCGCAGAACCAGUUUGCUGAUGCUUUAGCUACUCUAGCUUCCAUGAUCGAUAUUCCCGUUGACGCCACUGUUCGAUCUUUGUUGAUCGAGUCGAGAUCUGCUCCUGCUUACUGUUGCCUGAUCGAUGAUGUAGAGCCAGAUGAUGGUUUUCCAUGGUAUCACGACAUAUAUCACUUUUUGAGACUCGGCAUAUAUCCUGAGGCCGCCACGGCCAAGGAUAAGAGAGCAUUGAGACAGUUGGCCACUCGAUUCGUGAUUUGUGGCGAGACACUGUACAGGCGAUCACCUGACGGGAUGCUAUUAUUGUGUUUGGACCGCGCCUCUGCCGAUCGGGUGAUGAGAGAGGUUCAUGCGGGAGUCUGCGAACCACAUAUGGGAGGACAUAUGUUGGCUCGUAAGAUCAUGAGGACAGGAUACUUCUGGUUGACCAUGGAGACAGAUUGCUGCCAGUUUGUUCAGAGGUGUCCCGAGUGUCAGAUACACGGAGAUCUCAUUCACGUGCCGCCCUCCGAGCUGCACGCACUAACUUCACCAUGGCCAUUUUCCGUCUGGGGUAUUGAUAUCAUCGGGAAGAUUUCACCGAAAUCUUCCAGUGGUCAUGAGUUCAUCCUGGUCGCCAUCGAUUACUUCACCAAGUGGGUGGAGGUCGCUUCGUAUGCGAGAUUGACAUCGUCUGGAGUUGCUAGUUUCAUCAGAUCACACAUUAUCUGUCGCUAUGGAGUCCCUCAUGAGUUGAUUUCAGACAGAGGAGUACAUUUCAGAGCAGAGGUUGACACCUUAGUACAGAGAUACAGCAUCCGGCAUCAUAGAUCGUCUACGUACAGGCCGCAGACGAAUGGGGCAGUAGAGGCCGCGAAUAAGAAUAUCAAGAGGAUAUUACGGAGGAUGGUCGAGACUUCUCGGGAUUGGUUAGAGAAGCUCCCAUUUGCAUUGUGGGCUUAUCGAACUUCUUUUCGCACCUCUAUAGGCGCCACACCCUACUCCUUGGUAUAUGGCAUAGAGGCGAUGCUACCCGUUGAGAUUGAGAUGGGUUCGUUGAGAGUAGCACUAGAGCAGCAGAUUCCCGAGGCAGAUUGGGCUCAGGCUCGAUUUGAUCAGCUCAAUCUCCUAGAUGAGAGGAGAUUGAGAGCAGCAGACCAUGUUCGUGCGUAUCAGAGGAAGAUGGCCCGCGCUUUCAAAAAGCGGGUCAAGCCCAGACCAUUACAGAUAGGUGACUUAGUUCUGAAAGUCAUCAGGGGAUUGAUCAGAGAUCCUAGAGGGAAGUUCAGACCCAACUGGAGCGGACCUUAUUUCAUCAGGGAGUUGACCCCAGAGGACGCUGCAUGGUUGAUGGAUUUAGAUGGAAACCGAUUCUCAGAGCCAACCAAUGUGGAUCAGCUAAAGAGGUACUAUGUUUGAGACCAUGGUCGCAGGAUGGGUGGCCAUCAUUUCGGUUAGCCAUUUACCUUGUUACUCCCUUUUGAUACAUAGUCCAUUGCUAGCCCAUUGAGCCUCGCAUGCGCAUUAUAGCCUUUCUUUUUUAUCGCCUUGCUCACAUUUUCACACCGGGAUAGGGGCCCUUUAAUGUAUGCAUGCAUUGUUUGGUAGUUUCAUGAGCUUUGGACCUAGAGGCAUGUUUUUUCUCAUUGUCUUUUUCUAUCACUACACCUUUGCAUUUUCAUCUCAUCUUAUUGGUUAUGUUAUUCAUCUCUUCUUCCUUAUCCUAUCUACUAUCUGUUUGUUUCAUAUUUCGCUUCACCCUGGGGGGUGAUCCUCCUCAGUUCAUCACAUGGAGGGUAGUCACAUCAUUUCUGCCAUCUAUCUCGCGGACACUGAUUUAGAGAUCCUUAGUUUGAGAAGGUCAUCUUGUCAAAGAGAGUUUGUUUGUUACCUUAGCACUUGGGGGUGUGUCCAUUUGUUAUCGAUAUCAUCUUUGGGGUUCAUUUGUUCAUGUUCAGGGUACGCGUAUUUGUAUAUAUGUAAAAAAAAAGAGAAAAAGAAAAUUAUUAUUAUUAUUAUUAGCACAUGUGUGUAUGUGCAUAGUGUUCUCGAUCAUUGGGUAUGUAUAUUGAUGUUUGGGGGUCAUUUUUAUCGAGUAUGUUCGUUAUUGGGAGUUCGUAUGUGAACUCUCUGAGAUCCCACGCUAUUUGUAUUGCUUCGUCAUAUCUAUUUGUGAGAGAGACGAGUGACCUUCUCCUAAGGACUCCGAGUCAUUGCCUUUUCCAUCAUUACCUUCAUUAUUGAUGUGACUUCACUUCAUGUUUGAUCUGAGUCGUUCACCACCUUUCUUCACAUAUUCAUUGUUUCGCCGUCGUUUUUAUCAUUGCUUGUGAUUCAUCUCAUUCCCUUCGCGUCUUAUUCCCUCCUUAUAGCGACCCAUCUCGGUUUCGAUGCUCACUUCGCAUCAUCAUUACACAUGUCACUAUCAGUUCAUUUUGCUCCAUUUGUCUCCUUAUCGAUAUCAUAUUCACGUUAGGCAUCCUCAGGUCCAUGGCUCAUGGGGUUCACUAUACAUGUUGCAUUUCAUAUAUGAGGGCAUGAGUUUUGAUCAUUGGGUAUUUGAGCCUAGUUUCCUUUCGUUUCUAUCACCCUAUCACCUUGGCCUACGUUACGUCCCGUGUCUUAAGACCACCCUGAGGUCAUGGGAUCAGAUGUCGUCUUCGGCAGCCCCUACUUGGACAGGUGAUUGAGAUCUGGUUGAUAUUUAGAUAUUGUCAUGCUUCUUCUUCUGGGAGUCGCCCCUUUGAUGUGUAGGACUGAUUCAGUUGUGUUCGGAUUACCAGGAUCGUGAGUUUGACGAUGAUUGACUUGGUGUCACCUGUUUUUUUGACCUAUCAUACCUCUGGUACCACACUGGGGCAUAUCCCAUUUCAUUUGGAGGUUCAUGGAUCCUCACGGAGUUGCGCGAUCAUCACUUACUGGAUGCUCAUCGAGACGUGGACAUGAUCGUUACCUUACGAAGCCUCUGAGACCCAUCCAGCCAUAUGAUUUCUUGUCGCUUGAUUUCUGGCCUAUCGUGCGCCCGAUGCCAUACUGGGGCAUAUUUUCGUUUCGGAUGAGAUAUACGGAUCUUCACGGAGGUCACGUGCUCGACGAUAGAUGAUUUCAUGUCAUUUGUUCUGCAGACCUAUCGUGCGCCCGAUGCCAUACUGGGGCAUAUUUCCGUUUCGGAUGAGAUUUACGGAUCUUCACGGAGGUCACGUGCUCGACGAUAGAUGAUUUCAUGUCAUUUGUUCUUCAGACCUAUCGUGCGCCCGAUGCCAUACUGGGGCAUAUUUCCGUUUCGGAUGAGAUAUACGGAUCUUCAUGGAGGUCACGUGCUCGACGAUAGAUGAUUUCAUGUCAUUUGUUCUGCAGACCUAUCGUGCGCCCGAUGCCAUACUGGGGCAUAUUUCCGUUUCGGAUGAGAUAUACGGAUCUUCACGGAGGUCACGUGCUCGACGAUAGAUGAUUUCAUGUCAUUUGUUCUGCAGACCUAUCGUGCGCCCGAUGCCAUACUGGGGCAUAUUUCCGUUUCGGAUAAGAUUUACGGAUCUUCACGGAGGUCACGUGCUCGACGAUAGAUGAUUUCAUGUCAUUUGUUCUUCAGACCUAUCGUGCGCCCGAUGCCAUACUGGGGCAUAUUUCCGUUUCGGAUGAGAUUUACGGAUCUUCACGGAGGUCACGUGCUUGACGAUAGAUGAUUUCAUAUCGCUUUUCUUCUGACCCGUCCCACGUUCGAUGCCAUGCUAGGGGCAUAUUUCCGUUUCGAUUGAGAUUUACGGAUCUUCAUGGAGUUGCAUGCUCAUCCCCACUUACGAGAUACACACUGACAUGGUUGUUUCCUCCGUGGAGCCUCUCAGGAGUUACCCAGUUAGGCCUACACUUCGCGACGCCUCGAUGUCAUCAUGUUUUCCUUCCGGGAGACGCCCCUUUUGAUCUAUGGGUUUGAUUCAGUUGUACACGUGGAUGAUUUGGAUCGCGCAUUUGAUGACGGGUGAUCUGAGCUCAUCUGGUUCUUCUGACCUAUCACACAUCCGAUGUCAUACUGGGGCAUACCCCCAUCCUUGAGUCCACCAGGUAUUUUGCGAUUUUUCUCAUCACUUGAUCCACAUCUGGAUCUUUGCGGGUCGUCAUGCUGGGGCAUCCCCCCACUGUCAUUUACGUUUGGGGCAUCCCCCCACUGUUAUUUACGUUUGGGGCAUCUCCCCAUUGUUAUUUACGUUUGGGGCAUCCCCCCACUGUCAUUUACGUUUGGGGCAUCCCCCCAUUGUUAUUUACGUUUGGGGCAUCCCCCCACUGUCAUUUACGUUUGGGGCAUCCCCCCAUUGUCAUUUCGUUAGGGGCAUCCCCCCGCUGUCUUUACGUUUGGGGCAUCUCCCCACUGUUAUUUACGUUUGGGGCAUCCCCCCACUGUCAUUUACGUUUGGGGCAUCCCCCCAUUGUUAUUUACGUUUGGGGCAUCCCCCUAUUGUCAUUUCGUUAGGGGCAUCCCCCCGCUGUCUUUACGUUUGGGGCAUCUCCCUACUGUUAUUUACGUUUGGGGCAUCCCCCCACUGUCAUUUACGUUUGGGGCAUCCCCCGCUGUCAUUUUCGUUUGGGGCAUCCCCCCACUGUCAUUUUCGUUUGGGGCAUCCCCCCACUGUCAUUUACGUUUGGGGCAUCCCCCCAUUGUCAUUUCGUUAGGGGCAUCCCCCCGCUGUCUUUACGUUUGGGGCAUCUCCCCACUGUUAUUUACGUUUGGGGCAUCCCCCCACUGUCAUUUUCGUUAGGGGCAUCCCCCCGCUGUCUUUACGUUUGGGGCAUCUCCCCACUGUUAUUUACGUUUAGGGCAUCCCCCCACUGUCAUUUACGUUUGGGGCAUCCCCCCAUUGUCAUUUCGUUUGGGGCAUCCCCCCACUGUCAUUUUGUUUAGGGCAUCUCCCCAUUGUUAUUUAUGUUUAGGGCAUCCCCCUAUCUUCAGUUUGUUUAGGGCAUUCCCCUACCGUCAGUUCGCUUAGGGCAUCUCCCUUUGUUUCAGAUUUAUCACCACCGUAGGUCUUCACCUAUGGGCCUUAUAGUUUAGUGUUUAGAGUUAGCUUUUUGGUUUGACUUUCAGAGCUAUUAUUUUCUCAGUUUAUCAUUUAGAGUUAGUUUUUUUUUGUUUGGCUUCCAGAGCCAUUAUUCUUCUAGUUUAGUGUUUAGAGUUAGCUUUUUUAUUUGGCUUCCAGAGCUAUUAUUGUUUUUUUCCAGUUUGACGUUCAGAGUCACCAUCAUCACUUUUCAGUUUCGGCGUUCAGAGCCAUCACCGUGUUUUCAGCUCCGGCAUUCAGAGCCAUCAUCGAUUUUCAGAUCGACAUUCAGAGUCGCAUCCUCGGUUUCGGCGUUCGGAGUCGUUAUCACUCCUCGGUUUGACGUUCAGAGUCAUCAUCAUCACUUCUCAGUUUCGGCGUUCAGAGCCAUCAUCAGUUUUCAGAUCGACGUUCAGAGUCGCAUCCUCGGUUUGACGUUCAGAGUCAUCAUCAUCACCUUUCAGUUUCAGCGUUCAGAGCCAUCAUCGGUUUUCAAAUCGACGUUCAGAGUCAUCAUCAUCACUUCUCAGUUUCGACAUUCAGAGCCAUCAUCGAUUUUCAGAUCGACAUUCAGAGUCGCAUCCUCGGUUUCGGCGUUCGGAGUCGUUAUCACUUCUCGGUUUGACGUUCAGAGUCAUCAUCAUCACUUCUCAGUUUCGGUGUUCAGAGCCAUCAUCAGUUUUCAGAUCGACGUUCAGAGUCGCAUCCUCGGUUUGACGUUCAGAGUCAUCAUCAUCACUUCUCCGUUUCGGCAUUCAGAGCCAUCAUCGGUUUUCAGAUCGACAUUCAGAGUCGCAUCCUCGGUUUCGACAUUCAGAGUCGUUAUCACUUCUCAGUUUGACGUUCAAGAUCAUCGUCAUUACUUUUUAGUUUCGGCGUUCAGAGCCAUCAUCGGUUUUUAGAUCGACAUUCAGAGUCACAUCCUCAGUUUCGACGUUCCAAGCCAUCAUCACAUCUUCGUUGACGUUCAGAGCCAUCAUCACUAUUUUCAGUGUGGCGUUCAGAGCCAUCAUCGCUUCUCAGUUUAGGCUUCCAGAGCCAUUACUGUCAUCUUGUUUAGGCUUCCAGAGCCACUACUGUCAUCUUGUUUAGGCUUCCAAAACCACUACUAUCAUCUUGUUUAGGCUUCCAGAGCCAUCAUUGUCGUCUCGUUUAGGCUUCCAGAGCUGUUAUUUUCUAGUUUAGCUUUUAGAGUCAGUUUUUGGUUUGGCUUCUAGAGCUUUUACUUUCUUGGUUUAGUGAUUAGAGUUAGCUUUUCGGUUUGGCUUCCAGAGCUUUUAUUUUCUCAAUUUAGUGCCUAGAGUCGGUCUUGUCAUCCAGAGUCACAACUCCUGGCGUUCAUGUCCACUGGCAUUGCACAUCUUACCUUCAGGGUUUUGCAUUCGUCCUCGGCUUUCCUCACUUCGUUACCCGGUGCUUAUCCCAUAUUCAUCUCGUACUCCAGGGUGGUUCGACCGUUACUCAUCUUUGACAUUGAUCUCUUGAGUCACCUGUAGAGAUGUCUUAGAGGGAAUCUGGGUCCUCGAUGCAGCUUUCGAGGCGCCUUGAGCCUCUCUUAGAAUUUUAGAGCCUCGAGCGAGUUUGUGUUCUACUUGUACCUUUCGGGUUCGGGGGUCUUUCUUUGUUCUUCGAUAGAGUUCACUUCAUUUCACUCUCUUUUCACACUUCUUUUUCACUCUAGUGUUCACAUUCCUUACACUCGUGAACUCUAUCAAAGAGGGGCAUAUUUGUAGACCCCCGGAAGCAGGGACUUUUUUUGAAUUUUUAUUUUUAUUUUCCCGGGGCCCGACAUGAUGGUCAGGAGCUGAUUUUUGGGGCAGAGAGGGGACUCAAGUGGGCGGCUCUCGGGGGGGCAGAUUGGACGGGAUACGGCUGGCUUGCUGAGGAAGACAGGAACAGAAGAAAAACAGAGGAGAAAAGAAGAAAAAGAAAGAGAAAGGAGAGGGGGAUUUCAGACAAGAGGGAGGGAGAAAAAGAAAAGAAAAAGCUGACUGGAGAGGAUUUUGUGGACAGAGGAACCUUCGAGGUAUGAACACUAUCGAUCUCUCGUUUUCUUCCACAUUUUUUUUAGUCUUCAUGCAUUUUUGCUGCUGUUUCUAGCUCCCUUUCAUUGCUUGGACAUGGAUAUUAUUGGUUAUGUGCCCAUUUGUUAUUGUUCCUCUGAGAUUUCCAUGGCUGCGUUUAGGUUAUUCAGGUUGCUCUUUCUAUGGUUUUGGAUUCUACCUGUUCAUAAGUUCAGUGGUUUUCAUCAUGACAUGGGCAUUGGUUUAUAUCACCCGCCGAUUUGUGUUCCAUGUUGUGUUCUAUUUCUAAAGUUAUUUAUUUUUUUUCUUUCUUUCUUUGUUAUUAUUCUCCCCUGCUUCCAUUUCUUAUCUGGACGUGUGGCUUCUUUUGGGUGCAUUGUUUCAUCACGACAUUCCCACUCCAUUAACUUUCAUAUUCAACCUCAUGCUCUCUCUCUCUACCCUUUACUCACACCCACCGAACCCAUUCCUCCCCGCCACUUUCCAUCACCUGCCCCAAGCAUCACCCAUUCAAUCAUUUCAUUCCUUCUCCGUGUACAUGAAGCUCCAUGCAUGCGUGCAUGGGAGCCAUGCAAAGGUGGCACGCUCCUGUAAAGGCCACAGCUGCCGGAUCCGUCCUCGGACACAGACACCAGGCCGCAGCUGCAGGUUCCACUCCCGAACGCCGACGCUGGAACGCGAUGGCGAAGGCGGCAUGGGUGGCGAUAAUCGAGGCGGCGGCGUGGAAAUCGGGCAUCCUGGACAGAUUUCGAGGCCCUCCGGCGUUGCCUCUCUCACCUUCAUUUCCUCCGUCGCCGUCUUCGGAGGUGAGGAAGAAGAUGAAGUUGGCUUUUGGGCUUGCCCAUGGUGUUGGGUUUGGGCUUAAGUGGGAGCCCAGCCCAAGCAAGGUGAUGGAAGUCAAUGUCUUCUCAAUGAAUGGGUUGAGACAGGGAUGGGCUUGGGCUUGGGCUUUGCUAGUGGACUUGGAGGCUUGGAUUUGGGCUUGAGGCUUGCUGAUGGACUUGGACUGAAAUAGGGUUGAUAGGGUGAUAUUAUUAUUAUUAUUAUUAUUAUUAUUAUUAUUAUUAUUAUUAUUAUUGUUAACGAAUAUUAUUAUCAUUAUUAGCAAAAUAUUAUUAUUAUUAUUAUUAUUAUUAUUAUUAUUAUUAUUAACGGAUAUCAUCAUUAUUAAUUAUUAUUAUUUCUAUUAUUAUUAUUAUUAUUAUUAUUAUUAUUAUUAUCAUUGUCAUUAUUAUUAUUUGCUCAGUUUUUUCAAAUCUUUUCAUCGUUAUUAUUUAUUAUUAUUAUUAUUAUUAUUCAUUCAAAUUUUCAAAAUCUAUUUAUUAUUAUUAUUAUUAUUAUUAAUCCAAACUUCCAAAAAUCUCAUUAUUAUUAUUAUUAUUAUUCAUUCAAAUUUUCAAAAUCUAUUUAUUAUUAUUAUUAUCAUCAUUAAUCCAAACUUCCAAAAAUCUCAUUAUUAUUAUUAUUAUUAUUAACUCAAUUUUCAAAAAUCUAUUUAUUAUUAUUAUUAUUAAUCCAAACUUCCAAAAAUCUCAUUAUUGUUAUUAUUAUUAUUCAUUCAAAUUUUCAAAAUCUAUUUAUUAUUAUUAUUAUCAUCAUUAAUCCAAACUUCCAAAAAUCUCAUUAUUAUUAUUAUUAUUAACUCAAUUUUCAAAAAUCUAUUUAUUAUUAUUAUUAUCAUCAUUAAUCCAAACUUCCAAAAAUCUCAUUAUUAUUAUUAUUAUUAACUCAAUUUUCAAAAUCUAUUUGUUAUUAUUAUUAUCAUCAUUAAUCCAAACUUCCAAAAAUCUCAUUAUUAUUGUUAUUAUUACCUCAACUUUCAAAAUCUUAUUAUUAUUAUUAUUAUUAUCAUUAUCAUUAUCAUUGAUUAAAGCUUUCAAAACCAUAUUAUUAUUAAUUCAAACUUUCUAACUUCCAAUUUCCAAGCCCAAUUUAUAAAAAUUCAACCUUCAAAUAAUACUUCAAAAUUCCGAUCUUUAAAACUCAAUUUCGAUUUCCGAAAACACUCAUACUCACUUUAAUCUAUUUAAUUAUUGUUAUUUUGAUAAUUUAUUUCAAAACUCCAUUUUAAAUCGAAUUCUCUAAAACUUCUGAUUUUCCGAAUUAAAUUCCUAAUCCCAAAAAUUCUCAUGUUCCCACUAAAUUAUUUGAUCAUUGGUAUUUUAUUUAUUUCAAAACUCCGUUUUAAAUCAAAUUCUUUAAAAUUGUUGAUUUCCGAAUUAAACUCCUAAUCCCGAAAAUUCUCAUGUUCUCAUUAAUUUACUUAAUCAUUAGUAUUUUAUCUCCAUUUUAAAUCAAUUCUUUAAAACUUCAGAUUUACAAAUUAAAUCCCUAAUCUUGAAAAUUCUCAUAUUCACAUUAAUUUAAUCACUAAUAAUUUGUUUAUUUAUCUUAAAAUUCUAUUUUAAACAAUUCUUUAAACUUUCUGACUUCUAAAUCUAAUUUCCAAUUUCAAAAAUUUCAGCAUUCCCAUUCAUUUAUUUAAUCAUUAUUUUCGUCCUUAUUAUUAUUAGUUCAUUUAUUUAUUUCAAAAUUCCAUUUUUAAACAUUUUUUUUGAAUCCCAACUUUCGAACUUAAUUUCCGAUUUCUAAGAUUCUAAUUUCCUUCAAGUUUGACAUCCCAAAAUUCCAACUUUUAAAUUUAAUUCUCAAGACUCCAAUCUUCAAAUAAUUUUCGAGACUCCAAUUCCCAAAUAAAUUUCAAAAAUUCAAUUUUCUCUCUAACAGUUUUAAUUCUCUUCGGGUUUCAAAUAAUCUUCGAUUUCUCUUGGUUUUAUAUAAACAUGAAUGCUAUUUUCAUAAUUCCAGAAUAAUGGGAUUUGUGAUAUUAAUUCCUGCAAAAAUGAAUGGGCUUUGGUGGGGGCCCGCCAUACGUGCUUUUCUCAUGAUUGAUUGAUUUGAUUGAUUGAUUGAUUGAUUGACUUGGCUAUCAUACAUGAUUUAUUUAUCCUGCUCUCCGACAUGCAUGCUAUUAUUUCUUACUUGUGCACUAACCUCUCUCUUGAUAGCGCAUGGUGGCUCGUCGCCCAGGUACGCACCUACUUUCACUCUGGUAAUUGCCCAAGCAUAUUUUGAUUCUCACGUGUGCAUGAUUUAUUCUGGGUACUCAUUGAUCUACUCGUCCAUUGCCAUGAUUGCUUCAUUUUAUUAGUAGAGACCCGACUUUAGGGACUUAGAAGGUGCUACGGUCCUUACCGUACCUUCCCGAUAGUAACCUGACCCCCGAACCCGACCCGGUUUUCGCAGACCGCCUUUUCAAAUAAGGAGUCACACUNNNNNNNNNNNNNNNNNNNNNNNNNNNNNNNNNNNNNNNNNNNNNNNNNNNNNNNNNNNNNNNNNNNNNNNNNNNNNNNNNNNNNNNNNNNNNNNNNNNNGGCUGCGUUUAGGUUAUUCAGGUUGCUCUUUCUAUGGUUUUGGAUUCUACCUGUUCAUAAGUUCAGUGGUUUUCAUCAUGACAUGGGCAUUGGUUUAUAUCACCCGCCGAUUUGUGUUCCAUGUUGUGUUCUAUUUCUAAAGUUAUUUAUUUUUUUUCUUUCUUUCUUUGUUAUUAUUCUCCCCUGCUUCCAUUUCUUAUCUGGACGUGUGGCUUCUUUUGGGUGCAUUGUUUCAUCACGACAUUCCCACUCCAUUAACUUUCAUAUUCAACCUCAUGCUCUCUCUCUCUACCCUUUACUCACACCCACCGAACCCAUUCCUCCCCGCCACUUUCCAUCACCUGCCCCAAGCAUCACCCAUUCAAUCAUUUCAUUCCUUCUCCGUGUACAUGAAGCUCCAUGCAUGCGUGCAUGGGAGCCAUGCAAAGGUGGCACGCUCCUGUAAAGGCCACAGCUGCCGGCUCCGUCCUCGGACACAGACACUAGGCCGCAGCUACAGGUUCCACUCCCGAACGCCGACGCUGGAACGCGAUGGCGAAGGCGGCAUGGGUGGCGAUAAUCGAGGCGACGGCGUGGAAAUCGGGCAUCCUGGACAGAUUUCGAGGCCCUCCGGCGUUGCCUCUCUCACCUUCAUUUCCUCCGUCGCCGUCUUCGGAGGUGAGGAAGAAGAUGAAGUUGGCUUUUGGGCUUGCCCAUGGUGUUGGGUUUGGGCUUAAGUGGGAGCCCAGCCCAAGCAAGGUGAUGGAAGUCAAUGUCUUCUCAAUGAAUGGGUUGAGACAGGGAUGGGCUUGGGCUUGGGCUUUGCUAGUGGACUUGGAGGCUUGGAUUUGGGCUUGAGGCUUGCUGAUGGACUUGGACUGAAAUAGGGUUGAUAGGGUGAUAUUAUUAUUAUUAUUAUUAUUAUUAUUAUUAUUAUUGUUAACGAAUAUUAUUAUCAUUAUUAGCAAAAUAUUAUUAUUAUUAUUAUUAUUAUUAUUAACGGAUAUCAUCAUUAUUAAUUAUUAUUAUUUCUAUUAUUAUUAUUAAUUAUUAUUAUUAUUAUUAUUAUUAUUAUCAUUGUCAUUAUUAUUAUUUGCUCAGUUUUUUCAAAUCUUUUCAUCGUUAUUAUUUAUUAUUAUUAUUAUUAUUCAUUCAAAUUUUCAAAAUCUAUUUAUUAUUAUUAUUAUUAUUAUUAAUCCAAACUUCCAAAAAUCUCAUUAUUAUUAUUAUUAUUAUUCAUUCAAAUUUUCAAAAUCUAUUUAUUAUUAUUAUUAUCAUCAUUAAUCCAAACUUCCAAAAAUCUCAUUAUUAUUAUUAUUAUUAACUCAAUUUUCAAAAAUCUAUUUAUUAUUAUUAUUAUUAAUCCAAACUUCCAAAAAUCUCAUUAUUGUUAUUAUUAUUAUUCAUUCAAAUUUUCAAAAUCUAUUUAUUAUUAUUAUUAUCAUCAUUAAUCCAAACUUCCAAAAAUCUCAUUAUUAUUAUUAUUAUUAACUCAAUUUUCAAAAAUCUAUUUAUUAUUAUUAUUAUCAUCAUUAAUCCAAACUUCCAAAAAUCUCAUUAUUAUUAUUAUUAUUAACUCAAUUUUCAAAAUCUAUUUGUUAUUAUUAUUAUCAUCAUUAAUCCAAACUUCCAAAAAUCUCAUUAUUAUUGUUAUUAUUACCUCAACUUUCAAAAUCUUAUUAUUAUUAUUAUUAUUAUCAUUAUCAUUAUCAUUGAUUAAAGCUUUCAAAACCAUAUUAUUAUUAAUUCAAACUUUCUAACUUCCAAUUUCCAAGCCCAAUUUAUAAAAAUUCAACCUUCAAAUAAUACUUCAAAAUUCCGAUCUUUAAAACUCAAUUUCGAUUUCCGAAAACACUCAUACUCACUUUAAUCUAUUUAAUUAUUGUUAUUUUGAUUAUUUAUUUCAAAACUCCAUUUUAAAUCGAAUUCUCUAAAACUUCUGAUUUUCCGAAUUAAAUUCCUAAUCCCAAAAAUUCUCAUGUUCCCACUAAAUUAUUUGAUCAUUGGUAUUUUAUUUAUUUAUUUAUUUCAAAACUCCGUUUUAAAUCAAAUUCUUUAAAAUUGUUGAUUUCCGAAUUAAACUCCUAAUCCCGAAAAUUCUCAUGUUCUCAUUAAUUUACUUAAUCAUUAGUAUUUUAUCUCCAUUUUAAAUCAAUUCUUUAAAACUUCAGAUUUACAAAUUAAAUCCCUAAUCUUGAAAAUUCUCGUAUUCACAUUAAUUUAAUCAUUAAUAAUUUGUUUAUUUAUCUUAAAAUUCUAUUUUAAACAAUUCUUUAAACUUUCUGACUUCUAAAUCUAAUUUCCAAUUUCAAAAAUUCCAGCAUUCCCAUUCAUUUAUUUAAUCAUUAUUUUCGUCCUUAUUAUUAUUAGUUCAUUUAUUUAUUUCAAAAUUCCAUUUUUAAACAUUUUUUUUGAAUCCCAACUUUCGAACUUAAUUUCCGAUUUCUAAGAUUCUAAUUUCCUUCAAGUUUGACAUCCCAAAAUUCCAACUUUUAAAUUUAAUUCUCAAGACUCCAAUCUUCAAAUAAUUUUCGAGACUCCAAUUCCCAAAUAAAUUUCAAAAAUUCAAUUUUCUCUCUAACAGUUUUAAUUCUCUUCGGGUUUCAAAUAAUCUUCGAUUUCUCUUGGUUUUAUAUAAACAUGAAUGCUAUUUUCAUAAUUCCAGAAUAAUGGGAUUUGUGAUAUUAAUUCCUGCAAAAAUGAAUGGGCUUUGGUGGGGGCCCGCCAUACGUGCUUUCCUCAUGAUUGAUUGAUUUGAUUGAUUGAUUGACUUGGCUAUCAUACAUGAUUUAUUUAUCCUGCUCUCCGACAUGCAUGCUAUUAUUUCUUACUUGUGCACUAACCUCUCUCUUGAUAGCGCAUGGUGGCUCGUCGCCCAAGUACGCACCUACUUUCACUCUGGUAAUUGCCCAAGCAUAUUUUGAUUCUCACGUGUGCAUGAUUUAUUCUGGGUACUCAUUGAUCUACUCGUCCAUUGCCAUGAUUGCUUCAUUUUAUUAGUAGAGACCCGACUUUAGGGACUUAGAAGGGUGCUACGGUCCUUACCGUACCUUCCCGAUAAGUAACCUGACCCCCGAACCCGACCCGGUUUUUCGCAGACCGCCUUUUUCAAAAUAAGGAGUCACACUUAGGGUUUUUCUUUCUUAUUUUGUUUACCCUUUAAAAAUAAAACAAAAAUAAGUGGCGACUCCAAGUCAUUUUUUUUUUCUUAAUCAAAUAAAAUCAUUUUUCUAACAAAAAUCGAGUUCGUCAUCGAGUGGGAAACACAUGAGCCGAAAUGCGGGGUCCACAAGUGUAUAUGGUAGCACAAAUUUCCUACCACUUAUUAUUUUUUCCUUUCUUAAAAAAUCAUUUACUCUAUUAAAUAAACUAACCUUGGCUUAUCACUUAUAGCAAAAUAGGUUAAGUAGUUUUUAAAAUUUUAUAAUAUUAGAUUUACAUUUUUAUCCUUCAAAAUUUCAUUAAUGCUAGAUUCUUCUAUAUGCUUAACUAAUAAAUAAUUUUUAGCAUUUUUCUUUUCUUAUAAACAUAAAAAAAUAAAAAUAUUAUUAACUUAUUGGUAUAUUUUAAAUUUUUAAUUAGAUUUAAGCUUUUAUUUGUUUGGAUUACCAAUUAUACAUAUAAAUCCUUUAUUAUUAUUGUUAUUAUUGAAAGAAAGGGGUUGAAUAGGUAGUCCCUGAAUCCCCAAAUUAAAUUCUUUAUUGCCUACUUUUGGUUUAUUCCUUUACAUGAAUUCCUUGGUGAGAGUAAACAUUUCAUUAAUAGAUAAAUAAAAUUGAUUCCAUAUCAUAGGGUAUAAUGUGGAAAAAUCACCAGUCUCAUGUGUUCCUUAGUGGAUCCUUUGGAGCCCUUAUCAAAGUUUCAUGAUGAAACCAUUGACUUUUGUUUAACCCAAAUGUGCUUUCAAGACAAAUCUUGAAAGAUUUGAGAGAUGGAGGUUCAAGUCUUUUAUGAACGACCAUGUUCUCUUAGGGUUCAUGAAAAUUCACACCUUUUGAUAAAUAAAACUUAUCUAUUUAUACAUCUAAAACCCAGUAUUUAUUUAUUUAAUUAUAGAAAGUUUCUUAGUUUUAAAAACAUUACAAAAAUCAUUUUUAGAAUCAAAUAACAAUUUUAGAGAUAAACACAAUAUUAAAAUUUAACAAAAACAAAAUUUCGAAUUAAAAACACAAUAUAAACUAAAUUACAAAAUAUAAAGUAAUUUUUAUCCUAAUUUCUUGUUUCAAAACCAAAUGGAACACCUAGAAGGGGAGUGAAUGGGUGAUUUUAAAUUUUUUCAAUAAUGAUUUAUAAGUUAUACCCAAUUCUUUUACCUUGCGAGUUGUUAGGGACUAUCAAUUCUUUUCUUUUGGCAAUUCAAACAAUAUAUCAAAUAAUAAAAAGAUAUAAAUAAUGAGACAUAAAGAUUUUUAUGUGGAAAACCCCCCACACUAACCAUGGAGAUAAAAAGUCAUGGAGUCUAAGACCUAUUAAUCUAAAUUCACUUUACGAAAUCAAGUUACACAAAUUUAUUUGGCAACUUUACCUUAAAGACUUACUCUUCGGUACUGACAACUUGAUUCACGUCCACGACGUAGCAACCCUCGAUUACUCCAAUGGAUCACUUCAAGCUUACUAAAAGGAUGAAGGCCUUCAAACCAAGAUUCAAAAAUCAAUUCCUUGAAUGAGAGAUCAGGAAUGGUGUGCCACUUUAGGCUUUCUCUCUAAGAACUCUAAAAUGAUCUCCUCAAUGAAAACCUCUUAAACAAAAUGAGAUAUUUUCCCACAAUCUCUAAUCCUUAAGGGGUUAUAAUGAGAUAUUUAUAAGCAACUAAGUUGAAGAGUUUCAGUUUUGGAAGGUUUCUCAAUUGAAUUUGUGUGAAAAACUCGGCAGAAUCAACAUGACUGCUCGAGCCAACACACUUCCCACUUGAGCGUUUCGGGCACUUGAGCGGUAAGGCUCGCUUGAGUUGUCCCAAGCGCUUGAGCAUUCCAGGCUACUUGAGCAAUCUUGCUCUAUUUCAAAAGUUAAUUUUAAAUCAUUUUAAGUUCAAAACAAAAUUGAUUCCCUUUAUACCUCAAAGGAGCCUAACUUGCCACAAACCAAACCUUUUUAGAUAUACUUGUGACUUCCUGGUUGGACGAAUAACAACUCUUAAUCUUCAAUGGAAAGCAAGUCAUUAUCUAAAAAGAUUUAUAUGGUCAAAUAUAAAAAAACAAAAAAAUUUCCAACAUAACAACAAGACUCAAUGUCCUAACAAUCUCCCCCUUUGGCAAUUUUAUGACAAAAACAACGUUACAUAUACCCACCUGAACUCUCAUAAUGGAGUUUAAUAAUACACAUUAACGUUCAAUUAAAAAUAAACUAAGGGAAUACUUUGUAUCACUUUGUAGUAUUUGUCUUCCAACUUUGUAACCUACACACAUAUAGAAAACUAUGCCAAAGGUAAAGCAAUGUGCAAGAUAAGAUAUGAUCAAGAAAGCAAAAUAGGAUAAUUGGAAAUUUUGCUUGAUGCCUUGUGAAAGCAUGAAAAAAGAACAAAUUCAUAUAGUAAUACCAAGGGACAAAGCAAAACUCGAGAAGAAUAUAUAUGUAUGCAAAUCAACCAAACAUAAUUAAAGCUACAUAAGAUGCAAUAGAUCAAUAAUAAUGCCUAGGGGUCUAUCUCCAACCAGAAAAUAGGGAGUGAAGAUCAUAGGAAGAACCUUCUGUGACUUAGAAAGGUUCUAGAGAGAUAGUCAAUUCAAAUAUAAAUAUCUUGCUGGAAACAUCUAUGUUAUGUAUCUCUCUAAACCUUCUAAGUUAUGCUUUCAUCAGUUGAUUUGGUUUUUCUCCAAUGUCUUAGGUUUAAUUUCCUCUAAUAUUUCAAUUAGAAAGAAAUUGGUAGUCAAUUGACUUAGUGGGUGUUUGGUAAAACUUAAUACUUAUUAUUUAAUGAUUAACUUUAAGUUAAAUUGUUCUUAAGUUCUUAAUUUAAAAUUUAUUACUUAUUCUGUAUUUAAGUAUUAAGGUUAUUUGAAAAAAUCGACUUAAAAUUUAUUCUAAAUCAUCAAAUUGACACAUUUACCCUUAUUAAUUUUAAUUAUAUUUAUUUUCAUUAAUUUUAAACAAUAAAUUUAUUCAUAAAACAUCUAUAUUUUUGUAGAUACAUAAUAACCAUAAAAUAUUUACUAUAAAAAAUGAGUCAUGGAUGUAGAAUUAUAAUUCAAAAAUAUACACUUAUGAGUGUGGGUAAAUAAGGCAAAAAUGAUUUGAGAUUAAGAGUAAAGUUAAUUAUUUUGACUUAAGACUUCAAGUUAAAAAUAACUUUAAGUUGCAAUAUUAAGUUAUUUUAUCAAACAUGGUUAAUUUACUUAACGACUUAAAUUAAGUUAUUAAGUUGAUUUAUCAAACACCCCACUAGUAGUAUGUUGAAAAUGAAGAGCAUCCAUAGUAGAUAAUGUAUAUGUAUUUGUGUUUAGAGUAGAAGGGCACUACAACAAUGGACUUGCAUGUGAUUUGGUCGCGAUAUGAUUUUGGUGAGAAUAUUUUAUUGUCUUUAAAAUAUUGUUAUAUGAAAUGCCAGACUAUGUUAGUAAAUAAUAGUUAUGUUAGUAGAAAUGAAAGUUUGUUUUAUAAUGCAUUGACCAUCCUAACACAUGUACUUAAUUAUCAUUAGUAGUUAGACAUGUAUUCCCUUUUUUCAAUUUUUUUCUUCUUUUUAAAUACAUUCUAGUGGUACUUUGCCUUAUGACUUAAUUUUUGUUACACUUACUACUUUUGGUUUUAGUCAUAUUUCGUUUUAUUAGUAUUUUCAUUUUGUGUUACAAUUUUAUUUAGUUUCUCUAUAUUCUCUUUUGGAUGGUGAUUUCACUUCAAAAUUUAAUUCAAAUUAGGCUUAUUAUCCCCUUAGUAAGCCUUUUCUAGGCGAGUUGUUAUAGAAAAUUAAACAAACCUCUCCUAAGGUUGGCCUUGUUACGUAGACUUCUUUUCUAUUUUGAAAUAUUAUAUUGACCUCCCUUGUUAGAUAUUGGUUUUUACAAUUACUAAGAAUAAUGCUUCUUAAUCAUUAUUAACGACGUCUUCUUUCUCCAAUUUUCUUCUUCUUCCUCCAUACAUGCUAAUUUGCAAAAAUUUAUACCCAUUAUUUAAAUGAAAUUUUUUGAAAUAAAUUAAAACCUUCCUUAUUUGAUAUUAUAGAAACCUAAUUUAAAUAAAAUAUUUUGAAAUAAAUUAGAUAAAAAAAAAAAAAAAAAAACUUGUCAUCAUUCUAACCCAAAUCAAAUUUUAAAGAAUAAUUAAAUAUUUCAAGUCUCAUUUUGUCUCAAUAUCACCUUUGCUAAUCAACCUAUCCAAUCUUAGAUCAAACCCAAAUUGCAAUCAAAUUUUGACAAGAAAAAAUCAACUUAAGACUGAAUAAGAAAACUUGUGGAAAGAGUCUCAUCAAGAAGGUGCAUGAAACCCUCCGUUCAAAAACUUCUUCUAAAAUAAAAUUAAAAAAGAAAAGAAAAAGAAAAGAAAGAUAUUCAAUGUUAAAGGACUUUUAAGAUAAAUCAAAAUUUGAAAAUGAAUGUUAAUACUUGCAAUAGAUUCCACAUUCAUGAACAAAUUACCAUUGCACCACUUAUUUUCAAUUCACACUUUAAUUUACUAUCCAUAGAAACUUUCAUUAAAUUUUCCAUAAAACAAACAAAGAGCCUUAACCCCCAAAUAUUUUAAUUCUUAAAAAUACAUCAUUUCAUCAAUUUUUGAAACCCUCAUUUUAACACAAAUUAUUUUUUUUACAAAUAAUUAAAAGAAUAAAAAGAAAAUUAAGAAGAGGUUGUCAUUAUUAUUCUUGCAAAGUCACCACAAAAUAAAUUAUAACAAAUAUAGAAAAUAAAAUAAUAUGACGAUGAAGAUAAUGCUUAGAAAGUUAGAAUGAGGAAGAUAAUAUCAUUUAGAUGAUUUAGGUUAAGAUGAGGACUAGAUAAGGAAAGUGACAUCAAUUGCCUAAUUAUUUGGGGUUUUAGAGAUACAAAAUGAGGGAGAUGACUAAAAUUAUGGUUUAAUUAUUUUUGGUUAAGGAUUAUUAAGUUAUUUUAAGGAAUUAAUUAAUUUAUUUAUAAUAAAUUUAGAAAUUAAUUAAAAGUUAAUUAUAAUAAUUAUUGAUUCAUAGUUUAAUUUAAAGCUAAUUUGAAUAAAAGAUGAAAAACUGAAAGUCCAUUAGGGUUCCACCUAGAGAGGGGAGAGGAGGUGGAUGAUUUAAAAAAUUUCAAUAAAGAUCUAUAUGUUAUAUCCAAUUUUAUUUUACCCUGUGAGAUGUUAGGGAUAACCUUUUCUAUCAAUCUUAGGCAAUUCAAACAAAAUAUCAAAUAUAAAAGAUAAGAACAAUAAGGUAUGCGAUUUUUAUAUGGAAAAUCCUCACACUAACUGUGACGAUAAAAACCACGAGGUCUAAGACCUAUUAAUCUAAAUGCACUAGAUGAAAUCAAGUUACACAGAUUUACUUGACUGCUUUACCUUAAAGAUUUACUCUCCGGUAGGUACAACUUGAUUCAUAUCCACAACAUAGCAACCCUUGAUUGCUCCAGUGGAUCACUUCAGCUUCCUUGAAAGGAUGAAGGUCUUCAAAAUAAUAUUUAAAGAACAAAUCCUUGAAUGAGAAAUUGAGAAUGGUGUGGCAAUCUAGGUUUUGUCUCUAGGAGACCCUUUUUAGAGAAUAAAGUCUCUCAACAAUCUAUCUCGAAUCUCUUCAAGAUCUCUAACCCUCAAGAGGUUAUAAGGGAGGUAUUUAUAGACAAAAGUUUGAAGAGUUUCGAUUUUGGAAGGUUUCUUAAUUGAAAUUUCGUGAAAAACUUGGUAGAAUCAACAUGAUUGCUCAAGCGCCUCAAGCACUUGAGUGGUAUGGCUCACUUGAGCGGUCCUAAGCGCUUGAGUAGUCUUUAGUGCUUGAGCACUCUAGGCCACUUGAGCAGUCUUGCUCUAUUUCAAAAAUCAAUUUUAAAAUCUUUUUAAGUUCAAAACAAAAUUGAUCCUCUUUAAUACCUCAACAUAGCCUAAUUAACAUAAGUCAAACCUCUUUAAACAUGUGACUUCUCAAUUGGACAAACAACAACCCUUGAUCUUCAAUGAAGAGUAAGUCACUAACUAGAAAGACUUCUAUGACCAAACAUUACAAAGAACAAAAUUGCCAACAUAUAGGCAAGACUUACUGUCUUAACAAUCUCUCCCUUUGACAAUUUUGUGACAAAAAAUCGUUACAUAAACCCACUUGAACUCUCAUAACGGAGUUUACAUAACACACUUUAAUGCUCAAUUAAAACUAAAUUAAGGGAAAACUUUGUAUUAGUUUAUAGUACUUAUAUUUCAACCCUGUAACCUACACACAUACAAAAAACUAUACUAAAGGUAAAGUGUUACGACCGCCUCUACCACGGCUUCCAGCACGUUUGCCACGAGGAGCUAUGGUGAUUCUUUGUUGUAACAAACCUGAUCAAGAGAAUAAAUAUGGUUUUAAUUCGAGGAAAAACCAGACCUCCCAAUAGCAAACUGCUAUAUAAUAUUCUGAUUGUUCCCCAUUGAUAUGCCGUGAAGCUCUAUAAAUAGCUUUACAAAGUUAAACAACUCCAACAUCCCUAAACUACUCAUCACCUAGAUAAGGAUAAACACUAUUCCUAACCAAACUCCUAAUACUUUAAUCUGAUAACAAUUCAGAUUGCUAUUAUUAUCCUAAAACAAAUAAAAAUAAGAUAAUUAAAUAAAAAAUGAGAUAAUCCUAACACAAUCCUACUCAGCAACUCCUAUGCCUCAUGAAUACAGCAACUCCUCUUGCUAGUGGACAUAACAUUUCCUACCCCUUUAGAUUCGACCCUUGUCCUCAAGGGUGAUAUCAGGAAAACGAAGCCUCAUGAAUACAACAACUCCUCUUGCUAGUGGACAUAACAUUUUCUUCGAUAUCUCCAAUUCCGUCACCGUUAUCCUCCUCUGGCCAGCAUCCUUCAAUCAAAAAAAGCUUCUUACACCGAUGCCCAGGGGCAAACUUUUCGUCACAAUUGAAGCAAAGGCCCUUAUCUCUACGUUCUUUCAUCUCCGUUGGUGACAAUCUUCGAAUGGCGGGAGUAGAUGAAAGUGGGCGACUGGUGACUGUUGAGUUCGUUGAUACAGUCUUUUUUGGCUCAAGGUUGAAACUGGAUCGCUUAUGAUAUUUAACCUCAUAGAGCCGAGCCAAACCUAUUGCUGCAGACAACGUUGGUGGUUUCAUGGCUUGAACAUCUAUCCUCACAUCUUCGUUUAGACCACCAAUGAAACAAGCAACCUGUUGAGACUGAUUUAACUUCCCCACUCGGCUGAGGAGUUUCUCGAAUUGGCUUUGAUACUCCCGUACUGAACCAACCUGUUUGAGCCUUAUAAGAUCUCCAAAAAAAUCAUCAAAUUUCGUUGGCCCAUACCUGGAAUUCAGCCCUUCCUUGAGCGUGAGCCAUGCAACUUCCCCUUCUUCCUUCAGUAUUUGAUACCACAAUUGUGCCUCGCCUUCUAGAUGAUACGUCGCUAGCGGAACCUUCUCUUCCUCAGCAAUUUUCUGAAAUUCGAAGAAUUGCUCUACUCGACAAAUCCAACUCGUUGGAUCUUCACUGCCAUUAAAGCGAGGAAAAUCAAGUUUAGUGACCCUUGGAAUUACCGCACCAUAAGACUCAGUGGAGUCACGAGGGCCUCUAUAAUUGAAUCGCCGAGACCCCCCACCAUUGUGUGAACUCUCUCCUCGUUCCAAACUUUGGUUGCCCGAUAUUUGAUCUAAUCGGGUAUUCAUUGACGUUAUUACUUGCAUCAGUGUUUCUUGUAACUCCUGGAACUUCCUAUCUUGCUCUGCUGCUAUAGAGCCUAUCUCUGUCUCCAAACGAUCAAUGCGUGAUUCAUCCAUAACCUGCUCUGAUACCAAGUUGUUACGACCGCCUCUACCAUGGCUUCCAGCACGUUUGCCACGAGGAGCUAUGGUGAUUCUUUGUUGUAACAAACCUGAUCAAGAGAAUAAAUAUGGUUUUAAUUCGAGGAAAAACCAGACCUCCCAAUAGCAAACUGCUAUAUAAUAUUCUGAUUGUUCCCCAUUGAUAUGUCGUGAAGCUCUAUAAAUAGCUUUACAAAGUUAAACAACUCCAACAUCCCUAAACUACUCAUCACCUAGAUAAGGAUAAACACUAUUCCUAACCAAACUCCUAAUACUUUAAUCUGAUAACAAUUCAGAUUGCUAUUAUUAUCCUAAAACAAAUAAAAAUAAGAUAAUUAAAUAAAAAAUGAGAUAAUCCUAACACAAUCCUACUCAGCAACUCCUCUGCCUCCUCUUGCUAGUGGACAUAACAUAAAGUAGUGUGAGGGAUAAAGUAAUGUUGAGAAAGCAAAACAGGAUAGUUUGAGGUUUUGCUUGAUGACUUGUGAAAACAUGAAAAUGGAACAGAUUUUUGUAGAGACACUAAGGCACAAAGCAAAGCUUGAGAGGAAUAUAGAUACACACAAAUCAGGAAAACAUAAUAGAAGCUUGAUAAGACAUAAUAGAUCAAUAAUAAUGCUUAGAAGUCUAUCUCCAACCAGAUAAUGGGUAGUGAAAACCAUGGAAAGAAGCUUCUAUGACUCAGAAUAGUUCUAGAGUGAUAAAUAGUUCAAACAUAAAUAUCUUAUAAGAAACAUUCGUGUCAGGUAUCUCUUUAAACCAUCUAAGUUAUGCUUUCAUCAGUUGAUAUGGUUGUCUCCAAUUUCUCAAGUUUAAUUUCCUCUAAUAUUUCAAUAAUUUCCCUUAAUGGAUGAAUGAAUGAAUGAAUGAAUUGAAUUAAAGAAUUCAAAAUUUUUAACUCAUAGUAACUCCCCUUAAAUUACAAUCAAUACAAUAAUUCAAAUCAAGUAUACCAAAACAUAAAUAAUAGAACAUUUAUGCAUUAGGUGGCGGUAGAGGGAUAGAGCUUGAAGCGCCCUGAGAAUGGAUACAGGAAAAGAUGUAGUUAAGUUAUCCCUAAAUCUCUCAGAGUUGGAGAUCCUAAGAGUCCAUCUUCUGAUGAAGUCGAGCCAUGGAAUUUAGAGCCUCAUGGGCGUUGGGUCUACAGAAGUAAAAGCCUUGUGUGUAGCUCGGGAAGAACUAACACAACCUCAACUCUAGAGUGAGUCCUCGGAGCAGACUCUAAAUAGUCUGUCUCUAGAAUUCCACUCUACUCCAUAGCUCGAAGCUCAUCCUCCUGGACAACUGCCUCUGCAUGCUGGCCUACAUCAUGCAGUUCAUAAGCUGGAACAACCAUCAAACUGUAUACAUGAAUGUAGUGCUUGGCCCAGGAACUCCCAUCCAAAAAGGCAUGGGUAGCUUAGACCCCUAGUGUAGGAUCAAUCUUAAAUCCCACAUCCUCGAGUAUCCGCGUGAUGAGGAGGGUAAAGGGGAGAGUGCCUCCUCUAAAGGAUAAACCACGAAGGGGAAUGAUUGUAUCCAGGAUGACCUAGCCAAUGUCAAAUUGUUGGCUUGAGAGAAUGGCGUGAAUAAAGUGAGCAGAUGGUCAACGGAUUUGGGUGCAGUGUGUAAAUGGGUAGAAGGAGUAAGUGAAUAAUGUUGCAAACAACCAUGUUUGCUUGGAGAAGCCAACAAUCAGGAUAUAAGAAGGAAAGAGGCAAAGACUGCCAUAAAGAGAAGUCAGAAUGGUGUCAAGUUUCUCUCGGGUGAGAGCCUGAACCUCUGGGGAAAACAAAGGAAUGAGAGCCUUAAUUUGCGACUUGCUAAGGACACAUUGAAUGGAAUGAGAGGAAAUAAGGAAAAAUUGACCAUGCAUGGUCACCUGAAAGCUGACUCCGACCAUAAUAUAAUGCAUGUUCUCAUAGAACAUGUGAACAAGAUGGGGAUAGGAAGUCCCCUAGAGAGAAAACAGUCUCCUAACCCUACUCUUGAAUGAUGAUAGGGAAGACAGUGUCCUGAAAAGCUUAGAGGUUAAUGGCAUGCUCAGGCUCGACACACCGAUAUGUGAAAGAAGCGUAAUUAUGGUCCCGUGCCACCUGGCAGUGAAAGCGCUCAACCGGAAGUGCAUCUAGGUUAAAAAGACCCUGGAGUGGGAUGCCCUAGACGGUUUCAGUGACCUAGGAAAGGUCACCUCCCUUUGACAUCUAUGACUAGCCAUAUCUAAGGUAUAUAAUAUGAAAAAACAAAAGCUAAAGAAAAACUAAAGAAAAUCCAGAGAAAAGCUAAACCACUAAAAAUGUUAAACUCAAUGCGUCGAACAAUACUAUACAAAUGGAAAUGAAAAAUAUGAAGCGAACUGACCUCAGAAUACAAAAGGACAGUAACCCAGAGGGCUCGAAGAGGAAUAGGAAAGUUUGAAAUGAAUAUGGCGUCCUGGAUGACCUUUAUAUAGCUUAUAGGAGUGCUUGAUGCAGAUUAGCACUCGAGCGUCCUUACUAACUUAAAUCAAAUUAUUUAUUAAUAUGUAAAUAUUUUAAAAGUUUCAAAGGAAGUAUUCAAUUUAGAACCUUUUUAGAUUUUUUUUGAAAGAAACAAAAAUAAAGCGUGAAAUAUUAUGUGUUUAAGGUGUUAGAAGACAAUAUUGUCUAAUCCAAAGCCUUACACAUUCCCACAAAAAAAAAAAAAGGAAAAAGAGAGAUAUUAUAUAAGAUUUUGAUCACAUCUAAUAGAAACUCAUAUUUAGCAACAUAUCACCAAGCACUAUCUUAUCUGAAAGCUCUAACAUGUUGGAAAUUUAUUUAAGGUUCCAUAACAACUAACAACUUUUUCUGACGACUCAGUAGUGGACCAUUUGCACUUUAACUGCAUUAUUGAAUUUAAAUCAUAUUAGAAUAGUAAUUGACUUCUCUUUUGUGAGGCUACAUAUCUUGUAGGAUGGGAUAGGUGAUUCAUUUCAUAUAUGAAAUUUAGUUAAUUUAGUAAUGCAUCCAAGUUCAUUAUGAAUCUAAUGGUAUCACAACUCCUUGAAUAUUUGUAAUCUGUAAUCUUUGAUUCAACUUCUCAAGUCUAGUCAUUUUAUCGGCAUAACUAGUUUGCUUCAAUUAUCUCUCAACUUUAUUAUAAAACUAAGGGAAAAAAUUAUCACGGAUUUUAUAUUAACUUAACCAAACAUCUUUAUAUAUAUAUAUAUAUAUAUAUAUAUAUAUAUAUAUAUUGUAAAUUUAGGAAAAUUUCAUCCAUUAGCCAUAGUAAGUAAGAAUCAAAUAAGGGAUAUGUAAGCCAAUGGUGAUAUUGAUGGCGUCAAAUCAAUGACAUAGUAGAAAAGUGGAUUGUCUAUUUUCAAACCUUUAUAUUUUCAUCCAAUAGUAAAAAGGUUUAGGCAUCACUUGAAAAGUAGUUCGUUUUUUUACCUUGGACUAUGAUUUAUGAAUAAAGUUCUUCUAUUGUAUACCUUUUGUGAUGCCCCAAACCUAAUUUAUGGGUAAAAAAAAAUAAUUUAGAAAAAAAUAAAUAAAAAGUUAAAUAAAUUUAAUUAAGGUAAAAAUGUAUUUUCGUAUUUAAAAUUCCUAGGUAUCAAUUAUAUAUUUCUUGUCUUCUCUAUUCAAAAAACCCUAUUACACAAAAAUCAAAUAUUAGAGAACAUAGGACAACGCAGGGUUGAAGAUUUGGAGGUUUAGGGUUGAAGAUUAGUUUUCCGGGUAAGAUUCUAACCCUUAAAUUAGUAUUUUAGAUUCGUUAAUUAGUUUAAACACUUCAGAUAUUCUUUGAAAAUCUGAAUCUAUGUUAGGGUUUGUUAAUUUAAUUUUUAAAUAAAAAAGAUUGAAAAUUUAUGAACAUAAGUAGAGUUAUUAUUAAAGAUUGAAAUUUUUUGAAUAUUUGAAUUAAAAAUCUAGAAAAAAAGAAGAAAAUAAAUUAUAGCUUUGGAUGUGGAAAAAAAUUAAUAUUAAUAAAUAAAUAAAACCUAUGAGUAUGGAGGUAGAAAAAUAUGAGAGUUGAAAGCAAAGAAAAAAAAAAAGAAUAAGGUUUUGUGGUUGUACAUGCCUCCUUAGUGGAAAAAAAAUACAAGGUUGCUUGCAAUAGGAUAUGACAAAGAGAGAGAGAUAAAUGCUUAGAUGUUGAUUUUUGUGGGGAAAAAAAGAUUGGGUAAUGUAGGAGAGAAAUAGGUAGCACUUGUAGAGUUGGUGGAGUUGUUGUAAAAGCUCGUAGGGGUAAUUGUUAGGUAGUGUAGGGUAUGAGAUUAAUUGUUAGGAAACAUUAGGACUUGAAAUAAUAAUAAUUGCUUCUAGUAAAAGUUUUAAUUUAGUUUAAGUAUAUAAAAGAAAUAGAUGAUUAGAAUAAGAUUUGGAAGGAAUAUGAAUUCAUAAAAAUUUCGAGAUUUACUAAUUUAGAUUAUUAUUGUUUUGGAAGUUGAAUAUAAUAUAGGUGAUAAUAUUAUUAAUAUAGGAAAUGAUUCAGAUUCUCAAACCUACAAUUUUAGAUAAAUAGUUAAUAGUAAUAGAUGAUUUUUUAUUUUUAUUUUAUUUUUAUUUUUUAUGUUAUGUUAAGUGAAGAAUGGAUUCUUUGAGAUUAAUUCUCUAAGGUUUCUAAGUGUUUCUUUAAGGUAAGGGAUGUUAAUACUGAUUUUGUAAAUGAAAAUAUUUCUUUUUAUAAGUUAUUUUAAAUUAUGAAAAAUUUUAUUUUUAUUUAUGCAUGGAUCAAAUAUAUAUUUUUUCACGAGAAACAUGUUUGGGCAAUUUCUUUGUUUAUAAAUAAAUAAAUAAAUAAUGAAAACUUUGGAAAUAUAAUGUUUUGUUUUGUAAGUUUAAAAUAAUGAAAUAAAGUUUUUUGACUCUAGUUUAUAUGACCUUAGUUAAUGGGUUAUAAUUGUUGACAUUUUCAGCUCCAGUCAAUGAUUAUAAUUGUUGACAUUUUUGGUUCCAAUCAACGAUUAUAAUUGUUGAGAUUUUCAACCCUAGCCAACGGGUAUAAUAGUUGACCUUAUAGCCCUAGUCAACAGAUAUAAUUGUUAACCUUUGGUUUUGCCCAUCUUAAAAAGAACAAAUUUAAGGCUAGCCAUUUAUUUGUAAAGUCCCACUUAACUAAGUACCAUUUGUUAUUUAAUAACCAGAGUAAAGAUAUUUUGAAUGUAUUUGAUAUGAAAUUGUUUUGAUAUAAAUAUGAAAAUGUUUGGUUGAAAAGUUCAAAUGUUUAAUGCAUGUUGAAUUCAAAAGUUUUUAUGAAAAUGAUUAUAUGUUAUAUCCCCUAUUUGUAAGUUUGAUCCAUGAAACUGUAUUAAUAUUCCUUAUUGGACUUUGAGCUCAUUCCCCUUUGUUGAGAAUUUUUUUUGGUAUUCUCAGUUUGGGUAAGGAGUGAUGACUGGGUUGGGGAAUUUUCUUUGCUAUGAUUUUGGUUCAAUCUUUAUUUUGGACAUUGUUUAGAUGUUAAAAUUUAAUUGCCAUUUAAAUUAUUUGAGUUUGGAGUUAUUUGGACGAUAACACUUUGAUUGAUGUGUUAGUUUUAAAGUUGAGAAUUGAAAAUUAUAGAAUUUAUUUAUCUUACUACUUUGAACAGAAAUUUAGUAGUUGGAGAUCAUCCAGUUACAAGAUGAAUAUUUGUGUCGUUUCCACUUUGAGCGUUCAGGCUUAGGGUGUGAAAUGACCGUUAUGCCCUUGGAGUGGGUAUAUUGUUUAUUUGAAUUUAAUGGUCCCUGAACUCCUUAAUUACUCAUAACUUUAUAUCACCUUCUCAAAGUAAGUUGUUUUACAACUACUAUCUAGCUACUUAUCUCUACUAUGACAACUUUAUUACAUAGUGAUUAAUUGAAAGAAUCUACAUGUCUUAUUUCAUAGGAUAGUUGAUUUUUUCACUCAAUGAAUCUUGCUUUUAUUAUUGAAAUUUUCAAAUCAUUGUAGUCCAACAAUUUCCUAUCCAUUGGUAAUUUCAUAUUACAUUUCCAAAGUCUAAUCAUUUAAAAACACUUGUAGUUAAUAUAUUGGCAAUUGCAUUGUGGGAAGUUGUUCACUUGAUUUUAAUGUUGAAACUUUCAAAUUGUUGUAGUCCAACAAUUCCCUAUCCAUUGGUAAUUUCAUAUCACAUUUUCAAAGUAUAAUCAUUUACAAAUACUUGUAUAUAGUAUAUUUGGUGAUUGUAGAGUGGAAAGUUGAUCGUUUUUAUGAAGACCUCUAAAAUAGAAAUUUUUUUCAUUCCAUUUAAUAAAGAAUUUCAUUAAUUGAACAUAUAUGUUUUUUAACCGGAAAGUAAAGGCCACAUUAGGCCUUAGGUGACAAUACUAGGUGAGGGUUUUUCUUAAAAUUUAUUUAUUACGAAAUAUAAAUAAUAUUAUUUAUUUUAUAAUAAAGAUUAUUAUAAUAUAUUUUUUAUAGAUUUGAAAAAAAUAUUAAUUGAGUUUUAUUUAUUUUUAAAUAAUUGUUUUCAAUAAAUAACUUAUUUGUAAAAAUAAAACUAUUAAAUAUAUGCAUUUGAAAAAUAUUUAAUUUUUAUUUGAUUUAGUAUCAAUUAAUAUUUGUAAUAUUUUUUAAUAUUAUAGAAGUUAACAUACCCAAUUAAGAUAUUCAAGAUCAAGAGAAUAUUAUAGAAGUUAACAUACCCAAUUAAGAUAUUCAAGAUCAAGAGAAUAUUUGAGAUUGAAUUAAUUUCUUUAUUGUUUAUGUUUUAGUAAAUUUUUAUAUCCAUAACAAAAUUUUUAUUGUUUAUUUUUCAUUCAAUGUUUGCAUUUUGUAAUAGAUAUUAAAACAAAUUUUUUUCUUGCAUGUUAAAAAAAUAUUUCAAUGUCUUUAAAAAUAAAAUAUUGCAGUAAAAUCAAAAUUACAUUGUGAAACUUUAAGCAAAUGUUUUAUACUUAAGAAGUGCCAAUUAGAGUAAGCAUGCAUCUACAAUUGUGAUUUAGAUGUCAUAUUGAAACAAUAGUUCUCUUUGACUAUAUCAUAAAAUUUGGUUCGAAUUACUUUAAGUCAUCUUGUAGAUUUUCAAGUUCCAAUGAUAUGCAUCAAGUAUGUGCAACAUACUUGAUAUAACUAAUAUUUUCUUAAGUAAUUGGACACUUUUUUCUAUAAAUUUACUUGAUUAUCAAUGAAUACUUUUAUGUAGGGUAUUGAUAUAAUUCGAUAAAUAUUUUAAAAUAGUAUUAGAAUAGCUUUGCUCUUUCCCAAUUAACAAAUUUACUAAAUUAACUUAUAUAUAUUUGUUUAUUUGAAUUUACUGGUAUUUGACGCAAAUUGUUAUUAUUUUUAAAAUUAUAGGAAAACCAUUAUUUAUAGAGUUUAAUUAUAUUUGGUAAAUUAUCUUUUUAAGUUUGACUAAGAUUAGGAAACUAUUAAUUUAAUAUUAAUCCAUAAGGCUCUAUAAAUUUGUAGUUUUAUAUAGGAUUUAAAAAAAGAAAGAAAAAGUAAGAAAAAGUAAGAAAAAGUGAAGAGAGAUAGGCAAAGAGUGCAUUGGGUUUUAGAUAGAGAAAGGUUGAGAGAGUUUUGAUUACUACUCAAAAAGAACAUAUUUUAGAUAGUAAUUCUCAUGGGUUUCACAUCUUUUGAGCAUUAAUUAUGCCUAAAAAUGCUCAAUUAACAUGUUGUUGCCCUCGCAAGAGUUACUAACAAGUUUUAUAAAGUUUUGGAGUCAUUUCAAGUUAUGAUUUUAAUAAAUUGAUGACAAAAGAGAUGAACUGAUUUGAAGAAGGCAAAUAAUAUUGAUGAUGAUCCAAAUGUAAAAUGAAAGAAGCAAUAUAAUUAGAUUGAUCGGGAUUUGCUGCUAAUUUGGAGGUAGUUAAGGUGGAGUCAAAAGAAGAAAAUGGAAGAAAUGACAAAGAGGACCUUAAAAACCAAAUGUUGCAGAUUUGUAUGAUCAUGCAAAAAUUUUACAUGACUAUGCGAAAUGGAUUAGAGAAGGAAAAUUGACUAUGGUAUAAGGAGGAUGCUUAAGUUGAUUUCACAUGAACAUGAGAAAAUUUCGCAUGAACAUGUGAAAAUUUUGCACAAUCAUGUGAAAUGGUCCAAAAAGCUCUCUAAUGUUGUUGUUGCUCCACUAAUUUCUCACCACCAUGCGAAAUCGAUCUUUUCAUGCAAAAUGGUUGAAGCUCAUGUGAAAUCAUGAUUUUGAUGCUAAACUCUAGAUUUGUGAAUUUGGAAGGUUUUAGAAGACCAAUGAGAGGUUGCCAAGUGUCCACUUGACCUUGGUCUAUAAAUAGAAACUGGAAUUUCCCAUGUAAAGGGCUUUGAGAUACUUUUGAUUUUAGAUUUUUCUAGAAACUCUUUCUCUAAAUAGAAUUCUUUAUUUUCUUUAAUUUUCCCUCAUUUUCUCAUUAGCCAAACAUGCCUAGUGAGACCAAAUCUCCAAGUAUGAGUGGCUAAAUCUCGUUUUUCUCAGAGGAAUGAGGAUCUAGAGGUAAGAUCUAUGGUGAAUUAUAGAAAUGAGUUUUAAUUGCAAAUGUAAUUUGAUCCAAUUGAUUGAUUAAUUGAAAUUUGAGGAUUUUUCUCUUUAAAUUGUCCUGAAUGACUAUUACAUUGCAAACUAGGUAGAUUCAUUAAAUUCUUAAAGCUAGAUUUAAUGAGACUGAAUAGUUGCAUUUGUAUGAAUCAUUGGAAAAUGAUUUAAGAUGAAUUGAAUAUAUAAUUUAAAUUGAUCUCUUGGAUUAAAUAACCUAAUUUGAAGAGAAAUUAGGUUUAGACUUAAAGGUAAAUCUAAAAUUGGUUUAGAUAAGAAUUUAGGUUUUCAAUCUAACUUGAUGAAAAAUAAAUCUCAACAUCUAUUCGCCAUGGAAAUUUUUUUCUAAAAAAUAUUAACUCCAAGAAUUCCUUUUCCUUAUCAAUUUUCUUAUGUCAUCUAUAAUGUUCUGGUUUUGUCCUCUGUAAUGUUCUUUAUUGUAUUGUGGAAUUAUUCUCUCUCAUCUAUGUAGGCAAGUUGCUAAACCACGUUAAAACCUCAAAUACCAUUUGUGUUGAUUUUUUUUUAUCUUUGUGUUCUUGAUUAAUGAUGCUUGCAUCAAAGCUUCUACCAACGUAACAAUGUGCAACAUAUUUGAUAUAACUUAUAUUUUCUUAAGAAAUUGAACACUUUUUUCUAUAAAUUUACUUGAUAUCAAUGAAUACCUACAUAUACGGUAUUGACAUAGUUUGAUAAAUAUUUUAAAAUAGUAUUAGAAUGGCUUNNNNNNNNNNNNNNNNNNNNNNNNNNNNNNNNNNNNNNNNNNNNNNNNNNNNNNNNNNNNNNNNNNNNNNNNNNNNNNNNNNNNNNNNNNNNNNNNNNNNUUCUUUUUCCCAAUUAACAAAUUUAUCAAAUACACACACACACAUAAUACUCAUUAGUAUGUCUUUUAUGAAAAAACUAUAUUGUUUAUUUGAAUUUAGUAGCCAUUCAACUCCUUAGUUACUCAUAAACUUUAUAUUACCUUCUUAAAGUCAAGUCAUUUACAAUUAUUUCUAUCUAGCCGGCCUUCUCCAUUAUGACAACUUUAUAAGAUAGUGAUUGAUUGGAAGAAUCUACAUGCCUUUGUUGAUAGGAUAAUUGUUUUUCUUUUUUUCGUAUUCAAAGAAUCUUGCUUUUGUUAUUGAAACUUUCAAAUCCUUUAUGUCUGAGAUUUGAUGUAAAUUUGCUUAGUUACCAAUGAUUUCAAAUUUCAUUAAUUAGUACCCCUAUAGAUGUAAUUUGUGUACAAAAUUUAUUUUUUAAAAGAAUUUAGGGAAAAAUAUUUUAGGUAUAUGUCUUUAACAAUUCUCUAAAAUAAAUUUUACUUGCUAAAAAAUAACUUAUAUAGAUAGAAUACAUCUACAAGAGUUCUAACUAACGAAAUUUAAAACUAAUGGUGGUUUAGCGUAUUUAAACUAAACAUUAGGAAGGGUGACUGAAAUUAACCCUCUAGGUAUAUAUGUUUAACAAAAUUUUUAUUGUUUAUUUUUCAUUUAAUUUUUGCAUUUUUCAAUAAACAUUGAAAAGGAAUUGUUUUUCCAUAUGUUAACAAAAAGAAAUUUGAACACCUAUAAAAAUAAAAUCUUGUAGUAAAAUUGGAGUUACAUUAUCAGACUUUUAACGAGUGUUUAUGUUUAGAAAGGCCAAUUAAAGCAAGCAUGCAUCUAGAAAUUGUAACUUAGAUGCAUCAAACAUGAGCAACAUAUUUGAUAUAACUAAUAGUUUCUUAAGUAACUAAACACUUCUUUUUCUAUAAAUUUACUUGAUUAUCGUGAAUACUUACAUAUAUUUACAUAGUUUGAUAAAUAUUUUAAAAUAAUAUUAGAAUAACUUUGUUUUUUCUCAAAUAUUAGAAAAUAAUAUAAAGUUACUUAUAAACUUUAUAUCAUUUUCUCAAAGUCAAGUCAUUUACAAUUAUUUCUAUCUAGUCUUCUCCAUUUUGACAACUUUUAUAUGAUAGUCGUUGAUUGCAAGAAUCUACAUGUCUUUUUUGAUAGGAUAGUUGUUUUUAUUUUUUUUAUUUUUUUUAUUCCAAAAAUUUGCUUCUAUCAUUGAAACUUUCAAAUCUUUUAUGUAUAUUACCAAUCAUUUUACAAGUGAGUUAAUUUCACUUAGGGUAGAUAUACUUAGCCACACCCCUAUAGAUGUAAUUUGUGUUUAAAUUUUAUUUUUUAUUUAGGUAAAAAUAUCUUAGGUAUAUGUGUUCAACAAUUCUCUAAAAAAUAAAUUUUCUUAUCUAAAAGUUUAUAUAGAUAAAAUACAUUUAUAGAAGUCCUAACUAAUGAAAUUUAAAAUCAAUGGUUGUUUAGUGUAUUUACAUUAAACCUUAUCGGGUAUGAUUGAAAUUAACUCUUUUACAAGCACUUGUAGCUAAUAUGUUUGUAGUUGUAGUGUUGGAAAUUGAUCAUUUUCUUGAAGGCCUCUAAGAUAUUGGAAAUAUUGCCAUAGUUUUAGACUUUUUUUUAUUACACCUAAUAAAAAAUAUUAUUAAUUUAACAUAUAUAUUCUUAACUUAAAAGUAAAGUCUCUCCAUAUUGUAUGAGCCCUUAGGUGGCAAUAUUAGGUGAAGUUUUUCUUUCGUUUAUUACAAAAUAUAAAUAAUUUAUUAUUGUAUGAUAAAAUUUUAUAUAAUAUAUUUUUAUAGAUGUAAAAUUAUUAUUGGGUUUUAUUUUAUUUUUUUACUAAAUUGUCAUUUCAAUAUAUAAAACUUAUUUGUAAAAAGACAAUUAUAAACUAUAUGAAAUACAUUUAGUUUUUUUAUUUAAUUUAGAAUUUUAUUUGGAUUAAUAAUUGAUAUUUGUAAGAUUUUUUAAUAUUAAAAAAAGUUAGCAUACUUAAGAAAGAUAUUCAAGAUCGGGAGUGUUUGAUAUUGGAUUAAUUUCCUUAUUUUCCUAUUUUAAUAAAUUUUCAUGUCCAUUACAAAAUUUUUGUUGUUUAUUUUUCACUUCAAUAUUUUUAUUUUGUAAUAGACAUUUGAAAAGAUUUUUUCCUACAUGUGAAAAAAAAAAAGAUUUGAACACUCCUAAAAAAGAAAUAUUGCAAUAAAAUUAAAGUUUACAUUGUAGGACUAUUAGCAAGUGCUAUAUACUUAAAAUAGACCAAUUAAAGUAGAAAUACUUCUAAAAUUGUAAUUUAGGUAACAAUAAUAUAAAAAGAUAAUAUUUUUGAAACAAUAGUUCUCUGGAGUUUUGGGUACGAUGGACUAGACUUUAUGUAACAAUAGAUAUACGAACUUUCCAUUAACAUCUUGAGAGACAUGAUGAGGAGCAAAGUCAUCCAAGAAGGUACCAUAGAGGUACCUUAGCUCCAUUCAUCUAGACUACAUAAUGUUUAAAGAUCAAAUUCAAUGACUAGAUUUCAAAAAUCAAUAUAAGCUUUCUCAUAUUCUACUCUAUAUAAGACAAUGGUAUCAUUUUAACAUCAGUUUGAAACUUAGAAGUCACUUAGCACAUUCUAGUUAUUAAUUUAAGAGCAUUAAAAGAAAAUAUAAAAAAAGUUACUUUAUCCUUGUGAUUUUGAUCUAGGACUUUUAAUGAUAUUAAAAAAAAAAAAAACAGAAAAAUAAAUGGAAAUAAAAUCAACAAAUUAAACAAUUGAAUUAUGUUAGUUUAAUUUUUGCAUCGUUAAAUGGGUAAAUAAAGACUCUUAGAUUUGAUAUUAAUAUGAACAUCAUGACUUCAGUGAAUCUUACAAGAAAAUUUUAGUUUGAAAGACUUCAUUCAUUAAACGUGUGGCACAUAUUAAAGUAAAACUAAGUCUUCUCUAUAAUUUGUACCUAUCAUAGUUUCUUUCCUCAUAAAUAGCCUUUUUUGAAUAUAAUAUAGACUUCAACAUGCAUGGUGGGGCCGAUCAAACUACUAGUCAAGACAACUCAUGGGCAACAACGAUGUACCAACUACAUUUAAAUACUCUUCAUCUAUUUGCAUAUCAAGAGUAAUUUAGUAGUGUCUUUCUUAUGUACCUCAUAUCUAGAUUUUCAAUGGAGAGUUCUUCAUCUAAAAUUUUGACUUGGGUUUUCAUACUAGUUUUGGUUUAGACAUGUGGAUGCAAAGGUUGCAUCAAAGAAGAGAAGUGGGCUAAAUCAUCUUACAAAUUUUCAAGUUCAAAUUAGAUGCACCAAACAUAUGCAACAUAUUUGAUAUAAUUAAUAUUUUCUUAAGUAAUUGAAUACAAUUUUUUUUUUAAAUUUACUUGAUUAUUAAUGAAUAACUACAUGUAUGGUAUUGACACAACUUGAUAAAUCUUUUAAAAUAGUAUUAGAAUAACUUUGCUAAAAAAAAGUAAAAAUAAAAAUAAAAAUACAUCUAUAUAUAUAAAAUUAAAUAAAAUUAAAAAUUAAAAAAGAAUAUAUAUAUAUAUAUAUAUAUAUAUAUAUAUUCUGUGUGUGUGUGUGUGUGUGUGCAUGGUCCCACAACUCAUUAGCUACUCAUAAGCUUUAUAUCACUUUCUCAAAAUCAAGUCAUUUUGUAAUUAUUUCUAUCUAGCCUUCUCCAUUACGACAACUGUAUAGGAUAUUGAUUGGUUGGAAAAAUUUUCAUGUCUUUUUUUAUAAGAUAGUUUUUUAUUAUUAUUAUUAUUCAAAGAAUUUGCUUUUAUUAUUGAAACUUUCAAAUCCUUUAUGUCUAGUGGUCCUACAAUUCCCUAUUCAUUGGUAUUUCAUAUUACCAAUCAUUUUAAAAAUAAGUUUAUUUCACCCGGUAAAUAUACUUAACUACCAAUGGUUUCAAAAUUAAUUGAUUAACACACUUAUAGAUGUAAUUUGUUUUUAAAUUUUAUUUUUUUAGAAGAAUUGUAGGUAAAAAUAUUUUAGGAAUAUGUGUUCAAUAAUUCUCUAAAAACAAUUUAUAUAGAUGGAAUACAUUCAUGGAAGUUCCAACUAAUGAAAUUUAAAACCAAUGACGAUUUAAUGUAUUUGCACUAAAUCUUAGGGGAGGUGUACUAAAACUAGCCCUUAUACAAAUAUUUGUAGCUAUAAUAUUUGUAGUUAUGGUGUUGGAAGUUGAUCAUUUUCUUAAAGGCCUCUAUGAUAUUGGAAAUAUCGCCAAAGUUUUGAACUUUUUGUUUCACCUAAAAAAAAUAUCAUUAAUUUAAUAUAUAUACUCUUCGCUUGAAAGUAUAGUUUUUUCAUAUUGUAUGAAGUUGUAGCUAGGUGACAAUAUUAGGUGAAAUUUUUUUGGUUAACUACAAAAUAUAAAUAAUAUAUUUAUUAUAUGAUAAAAUUUUAUAAAAUAUAUUAUUAUAGAUGCAAAAUUAUUAAUGGAGUUUUAUUUUUUACUAAAUUAUCAUUUCAAUAAAUAAGAACUUAUUUGUUAAAAGAAAAUUAUAAAAUAUAUGCAGUUGAAAAAAAUUUAAUUUUUUUUAUUUAAUUUGGUAUUUUAUUUGAAUUAAUAAUUGAUAUUUGUAAGAUCUUUUAAUAUUAAAAGAAGUUAACAUACUUAAAAAAGACAUUCAAAAUCAAGAGAGUAUUUGAUAUGAAAUUAAUUUAUUUAUUUUUCUAUUUAAAUAAAUUUUUACAUCCAUUAAACAAAUUUUAUUGUUUAUUUUUCACUUCAAUAUUUUUAUUUUGUAAAAGAAAUAGAAAUAAAAUCAACAAAUUAAACAAUUGAAUUAAGUUAGUUUAAUUUUGUCACCGUUAAAUUGGUAAAUGAAGACUCUUAUAUUUGAUAUUAACAUGAACAUCAUGACUUCAUUGAAUCUCACAAGAAAAUUUUAGUUUGAAACAUUUUAUCCUUUAAACAUGUGGCACAUAUUAAAGUGAGACCAAGUCUUCCCUAUAAUUUGUAUCUAUCACAAUUUAUUUCCUAAUGAAUAGCCUUUUUGAAUAGAAUAUAGACUUUAGCAUGCAUGGUGGGGCCUAGCUAUCAAACUACUAGUCAAAACAACUCAUGGGCAAGAAUGAUGUGCCAACUAGAUUAAGUAUUCUCCAUCUAUUUGCAUAUCAAGAGUAAUUUAGUAGUAUCUUUCUUGUGUACCUCAUUUCUUGACUUUCAAUGGAGAGUUUUUUAUCUUAAAAUUUGACGUGGGUUUUCAUACUAGUCUUGGUUCAGAUAUGUGAAUGCAAAGGUUGCAUCGAAGAAGAGAAGUAGGCUGAGUCAUCUUACAAAUUUUCAAGUUCAAAUUAGAUGCAUCAAACAUGUGCAACAUAUUUGAUAUAACUAAUAUUUUACCAAGCAACUAAAUACUUUAUAUAUAUAUAUAUAUAUAUAUAUAUAUAUUAGUGGUCCCACAACUCAUUAGCUACUCAUAAGCUUUAUAUCAUUUUCUUAAAGUCAAGUCAUUUACAAUUAUUUCUACCUAGCCUUCUCCAUUGCAACAACUGUACAAUAUAUUAAUUGAUUGAAAAAAUCAUCAUGUCUUUUUUGAUAGGAUAGUUUUUUUUAAUUCAAAGAACUUUCAAAUUAUUUUUAUCUAGCCUUCUCCAUUAUGACAACUGUAUAAGAUAUUGAUUGAUAUGAUAGUUUUCUUGUAUUCAAAGACUUUGCUUUUAUUAUUGAAACUUUCAAAUCCUUUAUGUCUAGUGGUCCUACAAUUCCCUAUUAAUUGGUAAUUCAUAUUAUCAAUCAUUUUAUAAAUAAGUGAAUUUUUCACUCCGUAAAUAUACUUAACUACCAAUGGUUUCAAAUUUAGUUGGUUAGCACACUUAUAGAUGUAAUUUGUUUUUAAAUUUUAUUUUUUAGAAGAAUUUUACGUAAAAAUGUUUCAGUAUAUGUGUUCAAUAAUUCUCUAAAAUAUUUAUAUGGAUGGAAUACAUUCAUGAAAGUUCCAACUAAUAAAAUUUAAAACCAAUGACGAUUUAAUGUAUUUGCACUANNNNNNNNNNNNNNNNNNNNNNNNNNNNNNNNNNNNNNNNNNNNNNNNNNNNNNNNNNNNNNNNNNNNNNNNNNNNNNNNNNNNNNNNNNNNNNNNNNNNGGGGGGGGGGGGGGGGGUGUAUACUGAAAUUAGCUAGUAUAUUUGUAGUUGUGUUGUUAGAAGUUGAUCAUUUUCUUAAAGGCCUCUAAGAUAUUGGAAAUAUUGCCAAAGUUUUGAACUUUUUGUUUUACACCUAAAAAGAAUAUCAUUAAUUUAAUAUAUAUACUCUUCACUUGAAAGUAUAGUCUCUCCAUAUUGUAUGAAGUCGUAGCUAGGUGACAAUAUUAGGUAAAGUUUUUUUGGUUUACUACAAAAUAUAAAUAAUACAUUUAUUAUAUGAUAACAUUUUGUAAAAUAUAUUAUUAUAGAUACAAAAUUAUUAAUUGAGUUUUAUUUUUUACUAAAUUAUCAUUUCAAUAAAUAAGAACUUAUUUGUUAAAAGACAAUUAUAAAAUAUAUGCAGUUGAAAAAAAAUUUAGUUUUUUUAUUUAAUUUAGUAUUUUAUUUGAAUUAAUAAUUAAUAUUUGUAAGAUCUUUUAAUAUUAAAAGAAGUUAACAUACUUAAAAAGACAUUCAAAAUCAAGAGUCUUUGAUAUGAAAUUAAUUAAUUAAUUUUUCUAUUUAAAUAAAUUUUUACAUCCAUUAAAAAUUUUUUAUUGUUUAUUUUUCACUUCAAUAUUUUUAUUUUGUAAAGGAAAUAGAAAUAAAAUCACCAAAUUAAACAAUUGAAUUAAGUUAGUUUAAUUUUGCCACCGUUACAUUGAUAAAUGAAGACUCUUAGAUUUGAUAUUAACACGAACAUCAUGACUUCAUUGAAUUUCACAAGAAAAUUUUUGUUUGAAAGAUUUCAUCCUUUAAACAUGUGGCACAUAUUAAAGUGAGACCAAGUAUUCCCUAUAAUUUGUAUCUAUCACAAUUUAUUUCCUAAUGAAUAGCCUUUUUGAAUAGAAUAUAGACUUUAGCAUGCAUGGUGGGGCCUAUCAAACUAUUAGUCAAGACAACUCAUGGGCAAGAACGAUGUACCAACUACAUUAAAUACUCUUCAUCUAUUUGCAUAUCAAUGGUAAUUUAAUAGUGUCUUUCUUAUGUACCUCAUUUUUAGACUUUCAAUAGGGAGUUCUUUAUCUAAAAAUUUGACGUGGGUUUUCAGACCAGUCUUGGUUCAGAUAUGUGGAUGUAAAGGUUGCAUCAAAGAAGAGAAGUAGACUAAGUCAUCUUAUGAAUUUUCAAGUUCAAAUUAGAUGCAUCAAACAUGUGCAACAUAUUUGAUAUAACUAAUAUUUUAUUAAGCAAUUGAAUACUUUUUUUGAAAAAAAUUUACUUGAUUAUUAAUGAAUACCUACAUGUAGGUAUGGCAUUGACACAAUUUGAUAAAUCUUUUAAAAUAGUAUUAGAAUGACUUUUCUAGAAAAAAAAAAGUAAUAAUAAAAAUAAAAAUACACAUAUAUUAGUGGUCCCACAACUUAUUAGCUUCUCAUAAGCUUUAUAUCACUUUCUUAAAGUCAAGUCAUUUACAAUUAUUUCUAUCUAGCCUUCUCCAUUACGACAACUAUAUAAGAUAUUGAUUGAUUGCAAAAAUCAUCACGUCUUUUUUGAUAGGAUAUUUUCUUUUUUAAUUCAAAGAAUUUUCUUCUAUUAUUGAAACUUUCAAAUCCUUUAUGUCUAGUGGUCCUACAAUUCCCUAUUAAUUGGUAUUUCAUAUUACCAAUCAUUUUACAAAUAAGUUAAUUUUACUCGGUAAAUAUACUUGACCACCAAUGGUUUCAAAUUUGUAGCACCCUUAUAGAAGUAAUUUAUUUUUAAAUUUUAUUUUUAAGAAGAAUUGCAAGUAAAAAUAUUUUUGGUAUAUAUGUUCAACAAUUCUCUAAAAACAAUUUAUAUAGAUGGAAUACAUUCAUGGAAGUUCCAACUAAUAAAAUUUAAAACCAAUGUCGAUUUAAUGUAUUUGCACUAAAUCUUAGGGGGCGUAGACUAAAAUUAGUCCUUUUACAAAUAUUUAUAGGUAGUAUAUUUGUAGUUGUGGUGUUAGAAGUUGAUCAUUUUCGUAACGACCACUAAGAUAUUGGAAAUAUCGCCAAAGUUAAGAACUUUUUGUUUUACACCUAAAAAGAAUAUCAUUAAUAUAAUAUACAUAUAUAUAUAUAUAUAUAUAUAUAUAUAUAUAUAUAUAUACUCUUCACUUGAAAAUAUAUCUCUCCAUAUUGUAUGAGGUCUAAGGUGACAAUAUUUGGUGAAGGUUUCUUUUUUUGUUUAGUACAAAAUAUAAAUAAUUUAUUUAUUAUAUGAUAAAAUUUUGUAAAUAUAUUGUUAUAGAUGCAAAAUUAUUAAUUGAGUUUUAUUUUUUACUAAAUUAUCAUUUCAAUAAAUAAGAACUUAUUUGUUAAAAAACAAUUAUAAAAUAUAUGCAGUUGAAAAACAUUUAGUUUUUUUUUUUUAUUUAAUUUAGUAUUUUAUUCGAAUUAAUAAUUGAUAUUUGUAAGAUAUUUUAAUAUCAAAAGAAGUUAACAUACUUAAAAAGAUAUUCAAGAUCAAGAGUGUAUUUGAUAUGAAAUUAAUUUCUUUAUUUUUUUUUUCUAUUUUAAAAAAUGUUCACAUCCAUUAAAAAAAAUUUAUUGUUUAUUUUUCACUUCAUAUUUUUAUUUUGUAAAGGAAAUAGAAAUAAAAUCAAUAAAUUAAACAAUUGAAUUAAGUUAGUUUAACUUUACCACUAUUAAAUUGGUAAAUGAAGACUCUUAGAUUUGAUAUUAACAUGAACAUCAUGACUUCAUUGAAUCUCACAAGAAAAUAUUAGUUUGAAAGACUUCAUCCUUUAAACAUGUGGCACAUAUUAAAGUGAGACCAAGUCUUCCCUAUAAUUUGUAUCUAUCACAAUUUCUUUCUUCAUAAAUAGCCUUUUUGAAUUGAAUAUAGACUUUAGCAUGUAUGGUGGACCCUAUCAAACUACUAGUCAAGACAAUUCGUAAGCAAGAAUGAUGAACCAACUAGAUUAAAUACUCUUCAUCUAUUUGCAUAUCAAGAGCAAUUUAGUAGUGUCUUUCUUAUGUACUUCAUGUUUGAACUUUCAAUGGAGAGUUUGUCAUCUAAAUAUUUGAUGUGGGUUUUUAUACUACUCUUGGUUCAAAUAUGUGGAUGCAAAGGUUGCAUCGAAGAAGAGAAGAUGGGUUUGCUUGAAUUCAAGGCUUUUCUUAAAGUGAAUGAUGAGCACACAGAUUUUCUUCUUCCUUCGUGGAUAGAUAACAACACUAGUGAAUGUUGUAAUUGGGAGCGAGUUAUUUGCAAUCCCACCACAGGUCGAGUUAAGAAGCUUUCCCUCAAUGAUAUAAGGCAACAACAAAAUUGGUUGGAAGUCAGUUGGUACGGUUAUGAAAAUGUCAAAUUCUGGUUACUAAAUGUCUCUAUAUUCCUUCAUUUUGAAGAACUUCACCAUCUAAAUUUGUCUGGAAACUCAUUUGAUGGGUUUAUUGAGAAUGAAGGUAUGUUACCUCUCACCUUUCAAAUUUCUUUUCACUUAUACUCCAAACAUUCUAAAGGAACUACUAGCAUAUGUUCUUAAGAGUGUUCAAAUGGAGACCAAAUGGUCACUAAUAACUAUUGAAUUUAAUAUAAAUUACUAAUGAUUAAAAUUUAAAAUAUGAAUUAACAUUUAAAUAGAACAAUAAAAAAUUAUUAUUUUAAAAUAUUAUAGAUUACAUUAGCCUUAUAUAUAUAAGCAUACUUGUUAUUUAUUAAUUAACAGGAACACUUAGGCUCCCGUAUUCUUAUCCUUUUUGCUUAAUUGUCUUUCUUUAUCUUCCAUUCCUAAAAAGUUUGAUUUCUAUAUUCCAAAUUGAUAGAGAUUGGUUAAAGAAAGGUGAUCACAAAAAUUGACUAUUGCUUUCAAAUGAGGAAUCACCAUUUUUAGAAUUUCACAUUUACAAAAAAAAAAAAAAAAACUUAGCCUUGGGUAGGGCCCAGGCCUCAUUGUUUUAUUCUGAUGUUGGGUUGGUUUAACAAUGAACAGAGUAAAGCCCAACCCAUGACUACUACGCAUUUCCAAAUUCCACCCAUCCACAACCCAUUGAUAUGACAUUUUCAGGGACUUAAUUUAAUCAAUUAAACCUAUUAGAUGGAUUCUACAUACAAUGUUAAAAUGAAUAUAAAAACUUUAAUUCAGAAAAUAAUUUCCUUUAUUUAGUUAGGAUUCAGAUUAUAGGGGCACAAAGCAUGAAAAAUUUCAUUUUAAAUUCACAAAGAUCACAAAAUCUCUUUGAAGCUCUAUGGACUUUUUUAUUUCUAACAUUUAAACACAAAAAUCACAAAAUUGAAUUAAUAAUUUGGAUACAUAUUCUUAUAUUAAAGACAUGUAAGCUUACAGAUUUAAAUAUGAAGAUCUCAACUUGUAAUUACAUGCUUCUAAUUAAAGUUAUAUUACUCUAUUUUAUAGGAUUUAAAGGGUUAUCAAGUUUAAAGAAAUUGGAGAUCUUGGACAUAAGUGGUAACGAGUUUGACAAAAGUGCCUUAAAAUCUUUGAGCGCAAUAACAUCACUCAAGACAUUGGCUAUUUGCAGCAUGGGACUGGCUGGAUCUUUUCCCAUUCGAGGCAUGUUAUAUGUUCACAUUGUUUCUUCAAAAUUAAGUAUAAUAUAUUUCUAACUUUUAAUGUUCCUUAGUUAAUCUCUCUUUUGAUUCAUGUUUGUUGCAGAAUUAGCUAGUUUGAGAAAUUUGGAAGUGUUGGAUCUAAGCUAUAAUGAUUUGGAAAGCUUUCAACUAGUGCAAGGUACUUCAAUAACUUGCUAAAAAAAACUUAUGAUAUUUUGUUAUUAAAUUAACAAUAUUAGCCAACAAUUUCAUCUCUCUUUUGAUUUGUAUUUGAUGCAGAAUUAACUAGUUUGAGAAAUUUGAAAGUGCUAGAUCUAAGCUAUAAUAAUUUGGAAAGCUUUCAACUAGUGCAAGAUACUUUAUUAACUUGUUAAAAAAACUUAUGAUCUUUUGUUAUUAAAUUAAAUGUAAGAUUAACCAACAAUUUCUUCUCAUUAGUUAUUUUUCUUUUGUAAUAUCAUUAAAUUUGAUAUAAAGUAGUCUAAGUCAUCCUUUCAAUUUUUUUAGUUUUAAUAAAUGCAUCAAGCAUGCACAAGAUGUUUGAUAUAACUAAUAUUUUCAUAUGUAAUUGAAAACUUUUUUUUAUGAAUUAAUUAACUCGAUUAUCAAUAAAUACUUACAUGUAUAAUAUUAAUAUAGUUUCAUAAGUAUUUUAAAAUUGUCUUACAACACACACACACACACAUAACAUACUUUUAUGCUAUGUUUGGUUCUAAGAAAAUUUGAGGGAAAAUGAAAGGUGUGUGAUACUUUUAUGCUAUGUAUGGUUCCCAAAACAAUUGAGGGAAAAUGAAAGGAGAAAAAGUAGAGAGGAAAAUUAAAAGAAAAGAAGAGAGUGAAGAAAAAUAUAAAAUUGAUUACAGUGAAUAAAUUAUUUUUAUGUGUUACUUUAAACUUGUUUCACUUAUUUUAAUUCUUCAAUAUAAAGAUGAAAGAUUUGAAAAUGCAUAAGUUUCUAAUUAUUUUAUAUUAUAUUAUAUUUUAUUUAAUAUUUUUUACAAUACAACCAAACAUAAAAUCUUAAUACUUGAGUUAUGUUUGGUUUGCACAAAAUAUGAGGAAAAGAAAAUAUAGAAGAAAAUUAGAAGGAAAGGAAAAGUGAAGUAAAAUAAAAGUAAAUUUAAAAUUAAUAAAUUAUUUUUAUAUGCUACUUUAAACUUAUUUCACUUAUUUUAAAUUAUUUAAACUCAUUUCUAGCAAAUAAUAAUGGAAAUUACAGAGAAGUUUGUGUUAUUCAAGCUUUACAAUGACUUUUCAGGUGAAAGAAAAUAUUUUUGUUGAAACUAAAAAAUGAAAUACCUUCCUAAAUAGCCUAUUGACUGAAAGCACAUUACCCUAACACAUACAUGCACCCUUAUUAUUUAUACAAUCAUGUAAUAAUUAAUAUAGUUAGUAGGAUUCUGAUGGUCGUUUCUGUCUUGGUUUCCAAUAUUUCUGAUUGAUAGUGUUUCGUUAAUGAAAUAUCAUAAAUUUUGACUCUAACAAGGACCUCAAUUAGACCUAAUCCUUGUUAAAUGUAACUAGGUGGCCUAAGACUAAAUAUUAGACCCAACUAAUAAAAACCCAUCUAUUUAUUGGAGCCUAAAUAACCUGGCCUUGGUUAGGGCCCACGCUUUAUUAUUUUAAGAUGUAGUCCACCUGGUUUGACACUAGAUUAAGUAAAGCCCAACUUAUGAGCAUCUGUGCAUUUCCAUCCAUCCACAACCUAUCGACAUGGACAAACUUUGAUCAAUUAAACCUAUUAGAAAUGUAUACAAAAUUUUAAGUUCAAAAGAUAAUUUUCCUUAUUUAGUUAGGAUUCAUAUUAAAAGGGCACAAAGCAUGAAUUUUCAUGUUUAAAUUCACAAAGAUCACGAAAGCUCCUUCUUGCUCUAUGGACUAUUUUAUUUGUAACAUUAUAUUACUCUUAAUUAUCAAAUUAACCAACAAAUUCUUCUCAUUAGUUAUUUUUCUUUUGUAAUGUCAUAAAAUUUGAUAUAAAGUAGUCUUGGUCAUCAUUUCAACUUUCAAGUUCCAAUUAGAUGUAUCAAGCAUGUGCAACAUAUUUGAUAUAACUAAUAUUUUUUAUAAGUAAUUGAAGUUUUUUUCUACAAAUCAAUUAACUUGAUUAUCAAUGAAUACUUCCAUAUAUGAUAUUGAUGUAGUUUCAUAAAUAUUUUAAAAUAGUCAUAGAAGUCUUUUAUCUAAUUCACUAGAAAGAAAAAUAAACUAUUCUAAUGAAAAUACUUGAUGAUUUGAAGUGAUUGCUUUUGAUUUUAUUUGAUUGCUACCAUUAUUAAUUGUUAGAAAUUUGCAACAAAUACCCAUUUUGCAUCACUUCUAUAUGCAUUGGAAUGAAUUAUAUUUCAUAAAGCUAACAAGUCAAAAAUCAUACUUUUGGAAUUAUGGAAAAGACUGCUAUAAAGCUAAUUAACCAUUUGUAAUCUAAUUAAGACUAGUUGGUUUCGAAAUAAUUCAUAUGGAGAUUAAAACAACUAUGUAAUUUAGUUUAGUAGCUUGGGUGCUAUUGUAAUGAUUAAUGAUCUACAACUUGAAAACAUCCACUAGUGCUUCCUAAUUGUAUAGCUAAAUUCAUGUUACCACUUUGAACUAUAGUACUUACAUGAGAAGAAAGCUUUUCCUUAAUGAUAAUGCAAAAGAAAUUAAGUAUCAAUUUUUGUUGAACUAACAAGUGAUAGUUUAGAUAUGGUUUGAAUACACUUCCUUUCUUCUAUUUUUUUUUUUUUUAUUUUGAAAAAAAAAACUCUUUAAUGAAAUAUAAGAACUCUUAUAUGCAUAAAAAGUAAAGACUUAUAUAAAAAAAUUAUUUUCAAAAAUUUUUAAAGCAAAAGAAUUUAUCUUCUUCAAAUUUUAAAAAUUUUGAGAAGUGUUUUUAAGAAUUUGUACUUUUAGUAUAAUAAUUCCUAUAUUUUAUAUAAAAGUUUUUGUUUAAAAAAAAUAGAAAUGUAUCCAAAAUACAACUUAUUUGUUAAAUUAAGAAUGUUUGUCAAAUCAAGAGAUAAUGAAAGUUGCAGAGAGUUUGCAUUACUCAACAUUUGCAAUUACUUUUUGAAGGUGAAAGAAAACACCUUCUUGCAUAACAUACAAUGGCAGGUUCUGGUUUGUAAGAAAUUAAUAUCUAAAUAAAAAUAUGAAUAAGACUUCCUUUAUAAUAAAUAUGUAGAAAAGAAUAGUGGAUGAUAGGAGGUGAAAAUCUUGUAAUAAAAUAUAAAUGUCGGUUAUAAGAUAAUCAACAUUUUCUCUAUUUCUUGUACCUAUGUGAUUAAGAAUCUUGUAGCUCCUUUAUUGAAAUAUAAUAUAAAAAUAUAAAUAAACUAUUUAGAAGUAAGUGCAUGUAGUUUUCAACAUGAGGAAGUUCAAAAGCAAGUUAAUUAUGAUAAUUUUCUAUAGUCUAUAUUGAACACAAAUUAUUUUUGCUAAAGGUUCAAUCGUUCUAUGAAGGUUAAAAGUUUGAAUUGUUUACAUAUGCAAAUGUGAAAUUUGAAAUUUUAUAAUUUUUUAUAAUUUUCUUGUAGAUUCAAAAGGCUUGUCCAUAUUCAAAAAGCUCGAGACCUUGAACCUCGAUGACAAUAAGUUCAAAAACACCAGCCUACAACAAUUGAAUAUAUUGACAUCCCUUAAAAAUCUUUCUCUACGAUGGAACAAUUUUGAAGGAUUUUUUCCUUUCCAAGGUUUGUGUAAUUAUUAUUACUUUUAAUGGUAAAAUAUUAAAAUUAUCAACAUCUCUUAUCUUUUUUCCUCUCAAUGGUGCUACAGAAUUAUGCACUCUGGAAAACUUGGUGAUGUUGGACCUAAGUGGGAAUGGCCUUAUUGGCAUGCAAGGUAAAUACAAAGUGAAGUUUUGGUUAUGUAUAUAUCAUCUAAGAACAUAACUAAAAUCAACAUUCUUUGUCUAUCAAUCUGUCUAUCAACAUAAUUGAAGGAAUGUCUAGCUGUACAACAUUUAAGAAUUUUGCAUGGCACAAUGAAAAACAUGGUAAUCAAUGUAUGCAAUAAAAUUCUAAUAGUUGAAAAAGAAUUUUGUUGUAAUUUUAUGUUCAUGUAUAGGUUAGAACAAAGAGAAAAUCAUGAAAAUGAAUAUUAGUUAGACUUUAUAUAUCGAUAGACAAAAAAAAAAAAAAAAAAAAGAUUAGUUCCUUAACUUAUCCUAAAAUUUUCUAGAUAACAAGGAGUUUACAACCUGAAAAGUGAAGAUGGUUAAUAUUAGUAAUAUAAUUUUGAAAUAUAAAAAUUAAUGAAAUAAUGUUCUUUAUAACUAUAAUUGCAACUAUGAAUAAAAUAUAAUAAAAUUACUUUAGACUUUGAAUCCAUGGUUAGGUUUGCAAUUUUUUGAUGAUCAAUAAAGCUACAACUUGUGCUACAAAAGAUUACAAAAUGUAUUAGUAGCAUUGCUAAGCUCAUUUAUCAACAAAAGAAAUCCAAUAACACUUUAAUUGGAAAAAACCUAGAAUCUUGUUUGAUAUAUAUAAUAGGUGAAGAAACAAAAUAAUAAUUCCAUGGUAUUAGUUAGUUUGAUAUCUCUUUUGUUAUAUGGAAUAACUAUUCCAUUUUAAAACAAUUAUUUCAUCUUAUUGUUAGAACAAAAAGUUUCAAAUAGUUAUAUGGGCUUUUGAGUUUCUUAAGAAUUUAAGCAUUUAUGAGUCACACACACACACACACACACACACACACAUAUGUAUAUAUAUAGGAAAAAUAAAAAAAUAUUAUAUGGAGACAAGGGUAGACACCCAUAACUAUACAUAUAAUUAUUUAAAUAAAAAUAUCAAUAAGAAACAAUAUACAAUAAAAUAGAAAAUUUUAAUCUUCUUAAAAUUUAAAAAUAAAAACUUAAUGAAAACAAGAAUUUAAGAAGUAAAAAAAAAUAGUAAGAAGGUCAAGAGUACAAAUAGAGAUGUAAACAAAAUAAUAAAUAAAUAAAUAAAAAUAAAAAUUUAAAAGAAAAAAAAUACAUAGAUUAACAUGAACACUAAAUGAAGAUUUUUGAGAUAGACUUAGUUAAACUUGAACUGGAUGGAUAUUAAAAAAAAAAACAAAUUUCAAAGAAAUAAAAACUAAUUAGAUGCUAAAUAUUGGAUUAAAAUAGCCAAAUGAAUAAAGAGUAAUUAUUAUUUUUUAACAUUUUUUUAUUGCCUAGAAUUAUUAUUUUGUGUAUUAAAUGUAUUCUGAGUGUAGUGACAUAAAAAAUGUAGUUAAGAAAACUAUGAAGAAUAAUAAUGGUGAUGACACUUAAUACCUUUUAUUGUACAUUUAGAAAAAAUGAGGUCCUAGAUCUUUGUGGAGAUUAUCAUUACUCAUUCGCAAGCAUGUUGAUAGUUGAAACUACCCAAUUAUCAAAAAUUGAAUUUCUAAUCUUCAAUUUUUUUCUCUCAAAUGUAUAUGUGGGUGAGAAAGCAAUAGGAAGAUUAUAAGGUCUCACAUGUAUAUGAGUCAUAGGAUAAAAAAUAUAGAGGCAAUACUAGCAUUUAUUUGAUCUAGUGGCAAGUAGAGAAAUAUAACAUAACCAUAACCAUAAUGUUCUAACCUUAUAUAUACAAGAACCAUGUUUCCUUCAUUCAAUUUUGCAACUUUUUCUUUUCAAAUUAGAAUGUAACUCGUAGGAUCCAUUGCCCAUCGAAAUUUUGAAUCGAAUAUUAUAAGAUAUUUCACAUUUCUACAUACUAAAGCAUGAGCUUCAAUGUUUUGAUGCACUUUUUGCUACUAAGUUAAAGAACUCUUUGAGGAUCAAUGGAGGUUCUAUGAGUAGAAAAGCAUUAUAAUCACAAAUGGGCUGCACUUAUGGUCUUGUCAGUGAUAUGCAAUUUGACCAAGAACCUAUUCCCAACUAUUUUAUGACUUUUAUGACUUUUAUGACUUUUCUUGGCUACUUGUAGGCAAGCUAAAGAAAUUUUCUGGUUUGUUCAAGUCUAAAAAGUGGUUUCAAGUUUAGGACCAAGCUUGGGUUGCACCUAGGUCCUUGGGCCUUGUUCAGCUCCACGUUUAAACCAACCCUGAGCCCAUCUUUGUAAUUUUUCUCCCAAUUCAUUGAUUAAUGUUAGGGUUUUAUAGAGCCUAUAAAUUGACCAACUAAAUAAAGUAAGUUUAUAAACUUUUAGGUGAAAAUUUUCUCUCUAAUAAAUGUUAAUUCAAGAGUCUCCGUAAUCUUUUUAUAUUCAUAUUAAUUGGUAUUUAAACCAGCCUUAUUAUAUUAAAGUCAAAUACUAAAUAGUGAACACUAUAUCUGCUACUACCAUUAUGAUGGUCACAAACAUAGAAUGCUCAUUUUUUUUAGAGUCAAUUGAUACUUAUAAACAACAACUUUGUUUGAAAAUAAAAUACAUUGAGUGAUUGCAUCAAGAGAUAGAUGUAAUAAUUGCAUACUUGAUGUUGAUAAUGCUAAUAUGAGUUGAUUAAAUUAAUGAGUAUUUACUUAUAAGGUAGCCCAUAGAGCAUUAUUUGUGGAAAUAUUCAUGCACCUCUACAUAUGUUCAUGAUAACUUAGGUCGAUAAAUUUAAGAAGAACAAAUUCAUAACCUUGGACAUAGUUAGUAAGAAAUUUCACCAAUAUAGUUUGGUAUCAUGAUUCUAAUUGGUCAAAUUGUUUUAAAAGAAUAUUUUAAAUUGCAUGUUAAUUUGCUUCUAAUAAAUGGAGAGAAACCAAUUCAAGAAGAGAAUUGUACUCAAGCUAUGUAUAGCAUUCAUGAAGAUGUAGAAAAUAUUGAUGAACUUACUUUUGAGCAAGUUGAAAUCAUAAUUAAAUAAAAGAACAAAUCCAAGGGUUAAGAUUGUCAAGUAAAACUUUAACUAAAAUUUAUUGAUUUUUUAAAUGCCUAUUAGAUGAACAAUAGAAGUUCUAGAUAGAAAGUAAGAACUUUUCUAAGAAAUCACUUGUUAGAUUUUAACUGAUCAAUAAAUAUAAUGUCCAAUUUAAAACUUUUAUAAAAGCAAUGCUUCUAAAGAAUAACUUGAUUUGAAUUUAAAGUUAUUAUUGAUAUUUGUUUAUAAUGGAUGUAGUUAAUCAAUUGAACACAGUAAAAAACACAUAAUUUUUUCAAAAUACCUUCUAGUUGUUGGGUAUAUUUAAGUAGUUAUUCAUAUCUCAUUAUCUUUUUACUCACAUACUAAUCUCCUUAUUGAGAAUUUACCAAUUACAAGUAGGUUGAAAGUUACUUGAAUUUAAGUCACUAAUCAAUGUUAACUUGAUGAUAAAUAAGUCUCCCUUUGAAACUUGUUUUACAAGAUAGCGAAAUGUAGUCGGUCAAUCAUCGAAACAAUGUUUAAGCAUUAGGAUUUAGUUGUUAUUUUUUAUUUUUUAUUUUUUGUGCUUUAAACAAAGACAAAAAUGAUAAAAACUCCUAAAAAGUACAUAUUAAUUGAAUUUAAUUUAUACAUCAAACAAGAACAAACUAGUGUUGGAUUUAAAAUUCAAUAGGUUUUGUAAUUAUAAUUCCUAAAAAUUUGUAAGACAACAAAAUUAUUGGACACUAGGCUAUUGGGUGUGUAUGACUAAGAGGUGAAGGAGGGUUCAUCUUAUACAAAGGAUGAUUUGAUUAAUUUUAAAGAUUCGAUAAACAAUAAUUGCAUAAUAAAGUAAAAAUAACAUUUCUAAAAAGGAAAAUAAGUAUUUUAGUCCUCAAACCUAAAAUGGCUAAAAAUUUUAAUUAAUACAAUUACAACUUCACCUACAAAAAAAAAAAAAAAACCCAAAACUUUUCAAUAGCACAACUAAGUCCAUUUAUCAAAAGCUCUAUGAACAACAUCCACUUUCAAAUCACAUAAAUCAUGUUGUUUUCAAAGUGCCCUUGAUGUUUUAAAACUUAAUAUAUUACAUAAAAAUCAACCAAUAGUGUAUGGCAUUAUAAAAAAACAUAUCCAAAUCCAUUGUCGAACUUAAACUAAAUUCAACUUUAUAUGCAUAGUCACAAGUGGGUCUUUUUGUCUUUCAAUUUGGGUUAAAUUCAUAUGUUAGUUUUUUACACAACAAGGGAUUAUCAAGGUGAUAAUUCAUGCAUAUAAAUAGUAUUACUAAUAUAAAAAAAGAUGGUAAAUGUAAUUUUUUUGUAUUCACUCACCAUUUGGCAUAUCAAUAAGAAAAAAUGUAUAUAUAAUAGGUGUUAUCAAUAAUAUUACUCAUCACUAGAAAUUAUAAUUUUUCAUUCGUUGUCACUAUUUGUGCACUUUGGAAAGCUUGCUAGGUACAACAUAUUAGCUCAAUGAAGAAAUUGAUCAAUUCCUUCAUUUCUAAAUAAAUUUGCAUAUACACUAGAAUAAAAACAACUUUUUAACUUAACAAGUUGACUGAGUCUCAGAACUCAAUAGGUUGAAGGUAUAGACUUCCAUCCAAACUCAUUGACUGGCACCAUAUGUUGGAAAAAUAAAGAAAAAUCAAAACCCUUGAGUAUAGUUGCAGACAAAUCUAAAUAUAGAGUGAGAUCUACAUUUCUUUGAAAGUUUAGAACAAAUUUUUAUUUUUAUGAUAAGACUAUGCAGUACUUAUCAUUCUCUAACAAGUCUAUAAUCAGUCCAAAGCAUGGGAUAUUGCAUAAAUUCUUGAACUCAAUUAGUCUUUAAUCCAUGCAUUUCAAGUAAAUUUAAAACCUGGUGUACUUGUUCUUGAUUCACAUCCUUGUCACUAUUAUCAUUACUUGUUCUUGAAUAUAGAACCUUAUUGUCCAUUAACAAGCGGGCCUAUGUUCCUCCAUGAUUCAAGAGUAUUAUGUUUUGUUCAUCAUCAGUUGGUCUUGCUCUAAAGCUUCUUUUUUAUGACUAUCAAUAACCAGACUUAGAUACCAAAAUUUAUGCAAGAGAGCAUGUACUUUAUACAGUCAAGAACUUGUGAGUCUAGACUUUGUUAUCUAGGUAAAAGAAUAAAUUGGUUUGUCAAAAUAGCUAGCAUUAGGUAUCUAUUCAAUUCCUAUCUUAGACAAUAAAGAUAGAAAUGAUCAAAUACAUUCUUAUUAAGAAACAUUUGAUACCAAAAGUGAUGUAAGACAACACAGUUCCUCUAUUCAAUCAAGUUUAAGGCUUAGAUGAACCUAUGAAUUUAUAUUAAUUAAUUGGGAAAGAGAAUAAAUAGGCUAAGUAGAAGUGAUAGGAUUGUAAUAGCAUUAAGUUAAUGAUCUUGUUUAGGUCUUCUACUAAAUUAGAGAAGAAACAAACAAAAGUAAUCAAACGUGUUAGUGAUAAUUAUAUCUACUUAACAUUGAGACAAUAGUUGUACUAAUGGUAAUUAUAUUAUUUCUUGAGAGUUUAAACAAUAUAUAUUGAAAAUAUUUUUAAAGGUUUAGCAACUACCAAGGUUAUAAUCAACUACGAGCUUUUUAUUUUUAAAAAUAUGAAAUAUUAAUAUCUUUACUUUCUUUGAUCUUCUUGUAGGUUUUAAAAGUUUGUCUAAGCUGAAAAAGCUGGAAAUCUUAAACCUUGGUGAUAAUCAGUUCAACAAGACCAUUAUAAAACAGUUGAGUGGACUCACAUCCCUUAAAACACUAGUUGUAAGGUACAACUAUAUUGAGGGACUUUUUCCUUCCCAAGGUAUUGCUUAUUCUUUUAAUAUCCUUAGUAACCACUCUACCAUGAUUUUUUUUUUUUCAAUUUUAUUUUCUUUCUUGAACCAUACAGAAUUAUCUAUUUUUGGAAACUUGAUGACACUGGAUUUAAGCUGGAAUAGAUUCAAUGGCUCCCUAUCAAUCCAAGGUAAAUUCUAAUCAGAAUUAUCAUUAUAUUUAGGGCAUAUAAUAAAUUAAUUAAAUUAUUUUAUCUAUUAUCAUUACUUGGUUAUUUGGAUUUUCUUGAUAUUGUUUAGCAUUUUACAUAGGAAAAUGAAAUGGAAAAAUCAACCCAUGCUUAGUGUUUAAGCACUGGGCUAGAAGUAUAUUUGUCUUCCCAAUUUAAUCAAAGAGAAAAGUCAUAAAUAACAUAAUUUAACUUAUACCUUAUAUUGAUUGAAGAGGUUAGACUACUUUUGGAUUUAAUGGUCAAUAUUUGUUGAAGAUAGGGUUUCCUAAAUUUGAUAAAAAGAACUUCAAUUUAAAUUACCAUAACUACAUAAAGGUGUGACUAGCAUAAUUAAACUCUUUUAUUAAUAGAUGUUCAUAGACUAGUAUUAUAUUCCCACACACACAAAUAAUCAAAUUUUGAAAUUAGUCUUCAAAUAACUAUGUAAUAUACGAAACUACAAAAUGAAUGGUAGGUCAUAAUUAAUUAAAUUCGUACUAUAUUCAAUGUUGGUCAACACGUGUCAAGUAAAAGUUUUGGCCUAAGUGUAAGGGCUCACUUUCUCCUAUAUAGAUAUUAUUCACUUUGGGUUGAGGCCUACUUUAAAAUAUCUCUAUACAUUUAUGAGAAGUCUACUAAAUAUAAAGUCGUAGAAACUUUUCUUCUUAGGUGAUAUGGAAUUUCACAUUAGGACCAACAUUUUAUAUAUUUUGAAAACAUAAUUUAAUUAACAUUUUAGAACUAAUUAUUAGUUAUCCAUUUAUAAUCCUAGAGGAAAUUCCUUUUACCUAUGCAAAUUAUAUACCUCUAGUAAUUACCUUUAAUUUCUCAUUUACAACUUCCUAAAAUAAUAUGAAAAAUGACAAAGUGUACAAUAUCUACCAAUAUGGGUGGAAUAUGCAGUGAGACCCACAAUGCUCAAUAUAGUACUAGCAUCUAUGUCAUCUAAUAGCAAUGAAAGUACUAAGUAAUAAAAACAAUUGUUUUGGGCACUUUAUGCAAUUGGCCUUGUAAAAAAAGAAAUCUAAGGUAGUUGGACUCAUUUACUAGUAAUUUAACAUAUGACUAGAACCUAUUGAAUCAUUUGCAAUAGCACUUACUUUGGUCAUGUCCAAAUUUAGUGCACAUGGUGCAAAAAGGGGUGUUGCUAGAGGAUGCUUUGUUUUCCCACUUAUGAAAGUCUCAAUCUUGCUAAUAUAUUUUAUGCCAUGUUUAUCAUAUACAAAUUUAGCCUAAGUGUAAGGGCUCGCUUGCUCCUAUAUAGAUGUUAUUCACUUUGGGUCGAGGCCUACUUUAAAAUAUCUCUAUACGUUUAUGAGAAGUCUACUAAAUAUAAAGUCGUAGAAACUUUUCUCCUUAGGUGAUGUGGAAUUUCACAUUAGGACCAACAUUUUAUAUAUUUUGAAAACAUAAUUUAAUUAACAUUCUGGAACUAAUUAUUAGUUAUCCAUUUAUAAUCCUUGAGGAAAUUCCUUUUACCUAUGAAAAUUAUAUACCUCUAGUAAUUACUUUUAAUUUCUCAUUUACAACUUCCUAAAAUAAUAUGAAAAAUGACAAGGUGUAUAAUAUGAGCCAAUAUGGGUGGUAUAUGCAGUGAGACCCACAAUGCUCAAUAUAAUACUAGAAUCUAUGUCAUCUAAUAGCAAUGAAAGUACUAAGGAACAAUUUAACAUAUGUUUUGGGUACUUCAUGCAAUGGCCUUGUAAAAAAAGAAAUAUAAGGAAGUUGGACUCAUUUACUAGCAAUUUAACAUAUGACUAAAACCUAUUGAAGAAUUUGCAAUAGCACUUACUUUGGUCAUAUCCAAACUUAUUGCACAUGGUGCAAAAAGGGGUAGUGGUCGAGGAUGCUUCCACAUAAGAAAGACCCUACUUAACUAUUACAAAGGUUAUUUUCCCACUUGUGGGAAUGCUAACCUUGCUAAUAUAUUAUAUGCCAUGUUUAUCAUAUACAAAUUUUUCUUUACUAAAUAUUUCUUUAAUGAUCUUGAACCUAAAAUUAAAUAUUUCAUUAGUAUUGGUCAUGUCGUUCCUCAACUUUUCAACUUUUAGAGUUAAAUCUUUAUCUUUAUCAUUGAUAGUUUUAUGUUUAGUCCCUAGAAACUUCACCUUAUUAACAAUAUGUUCAUUUAAUAUAUUGAUAUUUUUAAUUUUCAAAGAAUCAUAGAGCUCAUUAAUUUUAAUGUCUUUUUAUUCACUUUUAUGCUUUCAACCUUUGUUUUUAGUUUUCCUAUAAUAAUGCAUCAUAGACCCCAUGUACAUCAUUAAAAUAAAACUCAUUUUUUUCAUUAGGAUUCAAUUAACCCAGUGGAUCAUAAUCAAAAUUAGUUGCAUAUGAACAAAAACAAUAAGAUUAUCAUUUUGUACAUCUUUACUUUCAUUUGAGUUCUUAGCCCUACAAUCAUGAAACAUGGAAUUACUCCAAGUCACCUACAUAGCCUUCAUACCUAAUGUUUUUAAGGCAAGGACAAUCAACAACCAUGUGUCCCAUUCCCCCAAUGGUUCACUACAAAAUCAAGGUACAUAUGUUAUGCUUUCUUUGUUUCAUAGAGAUUAGAGAGGAAAACAUUGUAAAAAAAAAAAAGUUGUCAUAGUUAAUGUAAGCUAAAACUAAAAAACUUGCUUUUUCAAUUGUGUAAGCGUGUUUUGUUCUUGAUGAAUAUUUACAACAUUCAGAGUUACUAAUGUUUAUAAUUCACAGAGACCUCAUUAACAACAAGUAACAACUAAUUGUAAGUAACCAUGGAAAAAAAUAAGGAGAAAAAUAAAGGAAAAUCAAGGAAAGUGGAAAAUUUUUUCAUCCCCAUAAAAAAUGCUAAGGAAGAAAAAGGUGAAGAAAGUUUAAAGAAAGUAUAUUUUUCAAAAAUUGAAUUUUCUUUCCCUUAAAGUUGGUAUGGACAACCAAACAAGAAAAUGAUUUUUAAAUUCUUUUUUGACCUUUUUCUAUCAUUCUUUUUUUUCCCUCUACUCUAUUUCCUUUCCCUUAAACUUUCUAGGUAGUAAACAUUACCUAAGAUAAAUAGGGAAGAAAAUAUUUUAUCAUUUAUUUAUUUAGUAUUUUUCUUACCUUUUUUUGUAUUUUAUCCAAAUAUAAGAAAACUACUUUUCUUUAUUUUUUUUCUUUUCCUUGUUGCUUUUCAAGAAUCAAGCAUACUUUAAACUCUAAUUAAGAGUUACAUAGAUUUAUAGAGAAACAAUACAACUGGUAACUAAAAAUUAAGGAAAUUUAAUUUUUUAAUUUUUGAGAGUAAGUAUAAUAAAAUUGGUUUGUUUGAUACAAAAUUUGAAUAAAAUUAUUUCAAUGAAAAUUCAAGGAAAGGAAAAAAAAAACUUGAUCUCUAGACUAUAAUACUAAAUCACUUAAAAAAUCUCCUAACAUCGUUUAUGUUCAUCUUUCUUUUUAUGGAUUUGAAAAACCCAAUAAUUUGGAAAAAACUGAUUCAAGGAAGAAUAAUUUUUAGAAUAAAAGAUUAUUAUUUAAGAAGAUCAUAAAUAUUAUAGUCAUUGUUGAAUAUGAUAAAUGAUUAAAAAAAAAAAAGGUAGUUGGAAAUUUAGAUACUUUUAUAAGACAAAUGCAUUUUUCUAGUAUGAUAUGAAAAAAGGUAAAAUGAUAGGCUUUGAUCAUUUUUUAAGGUAGUUUGUUUAAAUCAUUUUAAUUUAUUUUGAUUUAAUAACAAUAACUUUUAUUACACUAGUUAUUUUGAUUUUCUUUUGAUAGAUUUUGCAAGCUUAAGCAAUUUGGAGCUAUUGGAUUUGAGUCAUAAUUUAUUUAGUGGGAUCGUUCCAUCGUCUAUAAGAUUGUUGUCUUCUCUCAAGUCUUUAUCUCUGGUUGGAAAUCUCCUCAAUGGUUCCUUAGCAAAUCAAGGUACAUAUAUUGUGAUUACAAGUUUUUCUGUUUUCUUUUUUAAUAUCUUGUUUGUUCUUUAUGCCAAUUAAGUCAUGCAUGUCUAUUAAUUUUUGGUAUUUAAUAAAAAACUUUAUUCUUAAUUCAUAAAGACCUCAUCAACUGUAAGUAACAGCUAGUUGUAAGUUUGGGGGCAUUGACAAGACGAGGAGAUGAUUGGUUACAUAUCUUAUUCUCUUUUGUAAGCUUCUGCCAAUUGAAUAAGCUUCAAGAGUUAUAUCUUUCUUACAACUUAUUCCAAGGGAUCCUUCCUCCAUGUUUGAAUAAUUUGACAUCUUUGAGGUUAUUGGAUCUCUCUUCCAACCUAUUCUCCGGAAAUCUUUCUUCCUCUCUGUUACCUAAUCGCACAUCCCUGGAGUACAACGAUCUCAAUUACAAUCAUUUUGAGGGUUCAUUCUCUUUCAGCUCUUUUGCUAAUCACUCCAACCUUCAAGUGGUCAAACUUGGAAGGAAUAACAACAAAUUUGAGAUAGAAACUGAAUAUCCAGUAUGUUGGGUUCCAAAUAUUAUGUUUUUAAAUUUAUCCAACAAUGGUUUUGAAGGUAUUCUCCCAUCCUCAAUAGCCGAAAUGAGUUCCUUAGAGUCGUUGGAUUUGUCUGCUAAUAGUUUCUCAGGGGAAGUACCAAAACAAUUGCUUGCGGCAAAAUAUUUGUGGCUUCUGAAAUUAUCAAAUAAUAAAUUUCAUGGUGAAAUGCUUUCAAGGGACUUUAACUUGACUCAGUUAGGGUUUUUGCAUUUGGACAAUAAUCAGUUCAAGGGAACACUGUCAAAUGUAAUCUCCAGAAUCUCUAGGUUAUGGGAUUGGAUGUGUUUGGCCCCCACACUCAUUUUAUUCACUAUCAAGGUUUAUUCAAUGACGUAUUACCAAUAUAUUAAUUUCACUAAUUAUAUAUUUUUUUAGUGAUUUUUGUAAAAAUAUUUUUAGUUUUUAGUGCUUUUAUUAAUGAUAUUUAUGUCGGAAAUGCUUAGUCUAUAGAGUACAUCAACACUUAACAAUCCAUUAAUAAAAAAACGAAUGAAAAAAGUUACAAUGAUUAAACUUUAAAUAAAAAAAGAAAAAACCUUUUAAUUGCAGUUGUAAUUGACCAAACAACUCGACUCUCAACAUCUUGAGCGAAGUCCAACAACACUGAUUCAAGCUUCACAAUCUAGCAUAUGGAUUUUUCUUUAAUUUUCUCCCCCUCUUCAAAAUAAAUUUCAUUUAGAAUUUUUCUAUUAUUAACUUGAUAAUUUCAUAUUUGCUAAACUUAAAAACUUCUUAUUAAGAAAUUUUUAAAAACUUCUUAAAAACAACUACAUGUCAAGUGAAAUUCCAAGCUGGAUAGGUAACAUGACCCAUUUGACUACACUGGUGUUGGGCAACAAUAGUUUUAAAGGCAAAUUACCACCUGAUAUUUCUCAAUUGCAGAGGUUGAAGUUUCUUGACGUUUCUCAAAACGUUCUUUCAGGAUCUCUUCCUUCUUUGAAGAGCCUGGAGUAUUUAGAUACCCAGAGAUUGAUACCCAGAGAUUUUCUCAAUUCCUCAUAUCUAUUGACUUUGGAUAUCAGAGACAACAGGUUAUUUGGAAGUAUUCCCAAUUCAAUCUCUAGACUUUUAGAGCUAAGAGGAAACCUUUUAAGUGGUUUCAUUCCAUAUCAGCUUUGUCAUUUGACUAAAAUAAGCUUGAUGGAUCUUUCAAACAACAAUUUUUCUAGGUCAAUUCCUGGAUGCUUUGGUCAUAUCGGAUUUGGAGAUUUCAAAACUGAGCACAAUGUGAAUAUACCGAUGUUGGAUUCGUAUUGAGAAAGCAAUCCUUCUAUAUAUACAGGUUACUUAAUAAAAUAUUUAUUUUUCUCUAGUGAACUCCCUGAUGAAGUAGAUGAAGUUGAGUUUGUUACCAAGAAUAGGUAUAGCUCCUAAAGAGUAGAUAAAAAUAUUUGUUGGGAAUUUAGAUAAUUUUAUAGAAAAGUAGACAAGUAUUCUAAUUUAUAAAAACAAUGAAUUUCUUUAGUUUGGUAUAAAAAAAUGAAGCGAUAGGUAUUGGUAAUUUUUUUUAAAGUAACAAACGUUUUAUUUUAUUUGUAUUUAAGAACAAUGUCUUUUCUUAUACUAGUUAUUUUAAUUUUCUUUUGACAGAUUUUGCAAGCUUAAGCAAUUUGGAGAUGCUAGAUUUGAGUUUUAAUUCCUUAAGUGGGAUUAUUCCAUCAUCUAUAAGAUUGAUGCCUCAUCUCAAGUCUUUAUCCCUGGCCGGAAAUUAUCUCAAUGGUUCUUUACAAAAUCAAGGUACAUAUGUUAUGAUUUGUUUGUUUCAUAUAGAUUAGAGAAGAUAAAUAUUGUAAAAAAAAAAAAAGUUGUAGUUAAUGUAAGCUAGAAAUAAGUAUCUUGCCUUAUAAAUUAUAUAAGCAUGUGUUUGUUCUUAAUGAAUCUUUACAACAUUUAGAGUUACCAAUGUUUAUAAUUCAUAAAGACCUCAUUAACAGUGAAUAACAACUAAUUGUAAGUAAUUGUGGAAAAAGUAAGGAAAACAAAAUGAGGGAAAAGCAAGGAAUUAGGAAAUUAUUUUGUUCCCAUUAAAAAAUGUUAAGGAAGAAAAAGGUAAAAGAAAGUUUAAAAAAAGUAUAUUUUUCAAAAAUUUAUUUCUCUUUCCUUUAAUUUUGCUAUGGACAACCAAACAAGAAAAUUAUUUUAUAAUUCCUUUUUUAUUUUUUUCAUUCUCUCUCUCUUUUUUUCCCUACUCUAUUUCUUUUCCCUCAAACUUUCUUGGUAGUAAACACAACCUAAGAUAAAUGGGGAAGAAAAUUUUCAGUUUUUUAUUUUUAUUUUUUUAGAAUGUUUUCUUACUUUGUAGUAUUUUAUGCAAAUAUAGGAAAAUUAUUUUUUUUUUCUUGCUCCUUUUCAUACAUGAAUCACACUUUAAAAGAAAAUUAAUUUUUAAUUAGGAGUUAAGAUAAAUUUAAGGAGAAACAAUGAAUCACGAAUAACAAAAAAUUAAGGAAAUUGAAUUUUUGAAAGUAAGUAUAAUCAAAUUGCUUCAUUUGAUACAAAAUUUGAAUAAAAAUUCUUUCAAUGAAAAUUCAAGGAAAGGAAUAAACAUUUUUGUCUCUAGAUUAUAAUACUAAAUCAUGUAAAAAAUCUCUUAACAUCAUUUAUAUUCAUAUUUCUUUUUAUAGAUUUGAAAAAUUCAACAAUUUGGAAUAAACUUAUUCAAUGAAGAAUAAUUUUUAGAUUUAAAGAUUAUUAUUUAAGAUCAUAAAUAUUACCAUCAUUGUUGAUGUCUAAGAAGAUCAUAUUCAACAAUUUUUUUAAUAUGUUGUUUUUUAUGGUAAUUAAUUGAUGUCUUGUAAUUUUUAAUAUUUAAUGAAAAACAUUAAUUUAAUUCAUCUAGAGCUCUUAAUUCAUGAAGACCUCAUUAAUGUAAUGGUGAGUAAUAGUUGGCUGUAAGUUUGGAGUCAAAGACAUGUUAAGGAGAUGAUUAGUUACAUGUCUUAUUCUCUUUUGUAGGUUUCUGCCAAUUGAAUAAGCUUCAAGAGUUAGAUCUUUCUUACAACUUAUUCCAAGGGAUCCUUCCUCCAUGUUUGAAUAAUUUCACAUCUCUGAGGUUAUUGGAUAUCUCUGCCAACCUAUUCUCCGGAAAUCUUUCUUCCCCUUUAUUACCUAAUCUCACAUCCUUGGAGUACAUCGAUCUCAGUUACAAUCAGUUUGAGGGUUCAUUCUCUUUCAGCUCUUUUGCUAAUCACUCCAAGCUUCAAGUGGUCAUACUUGGAAGGGAUAACAACAUAUUUGAGGAAGUUGGAAGGGAUAACAACAAAUUUGAGGUAGAAACUGAAUAUCCAGUUGGUUGGGUUCCCCUGUUUCAGUUGAAGGUUCUCUCUCUAUCCAGCUGUAAGCUCACCGGUGACCUUCCUGGUUUUCUUCAAUACCAAUUCAGGUUAGUGGGGGUUGAUCUCUCCCAUAAUAACUUGACAGGAAGUUUCCCCAAUUGGCUGCUUGCAAACAAUACGAGACUAGAAUUUCUAGUCCUGAGGAAUAACUCUUUAAUGGGUCAACUACUUCCCCUGGGACCUAAUACCCGUAUCAAUUCAUUGGAUAUCUCACACAAUCAGUUGGACGGACAACUUCAAGAAAAUGUGGCCCAUAUGAUUCCAAAUAUUAUGUCUCUAAAUUUAUCCAACAAUGGUUUUGAAGGUAUUCUCCCAUCCUCAAUAGCUGAACUAAGAGCCUUAUCGAUGUUGGAUUUGUUUACCAAUAAUUUCUCUAGAGAAGUACCAAAGCAAUUGCUUGCAGCAAAAGAUUUGGAGAUUCUGAAAUUAUCAAAUAAUAAAUUUCAUGGUGAAAUAUUUUCAAGGGACUUUAACUUGACUUGGUUGAAGCAUUUGUAUUUGGGUAAUAAUCAGUUCACGGGAACUCUGUCAAAUGUAAUCUGCAGAAGCUCUUUGUUGAGGGUGUUGGAUGUGAGCAACAACUACAUGUCAGGUGAAAUUCCAAGUUGGAUAGGUAACAUGACAGGAUUGGGAACAUUGGUCAUGGGCAACAAUAAUUUUAAAGGCAAAUUACCACCUGAGAUUUCUCAAUUGUCGGGGAUGAUGUUUCUUGACAUUUCUCAAAAUGCUCUUUCAGGAUCUCUUCCUUCUUUGAAGAGCAUGGAGUAUUUAGAGCAUCUACAUUUGCAAGGGAACAUGUUUACAGGAUUAAUACCCAGAGAUUUUCUCAAUUCCUCAAAUCUAUUGACUUUGGAUAUUAGAGAAAACAGGUUAUUUGGAAGUAUUCCAGAUUCAAUCUCUGCACUUUUGAGGCUAAGGAUUCUUUUGCUGGGAGGAAACCUUUUAAGUGGUUUUAUUCCAAAUCAUCUUUGUCAUUUGACUGAAAUAAGCUUGAUGGAUCUUUCAAACAACUCUUUUUCAGGGCCAAUUCCCAAAUUCUUUGGCCAUAUCCGAUUUGGGGAGAUGAAAAAGGAGGACAACGUGUUUGGACAGUUCAUUGAAAGUGAGUAUGGAUGGAAUUCUCUUGCAUAUGCAGGUUACUUGGUGAAAGAUCUAGGCUCCCCAAUUUUAGUAUAUAAUGAAAAAGAUGAAGUUGACUUUGUCACCAAGAACAGGCGUGACUCCUACAAAGGUGGCAUCCUUGAAUUCAUGUCUGGAUUGGAUUUAUCAUGUAACAACUUGACAGGCGAAAUACCUCACGAACUUGGAAUGCUAAGUUGGAUUCGUGCAUUGAACUUGUCUCACAAUCAAUUGAAUGGCUCCAUUCCAAAGAGUUUCUCCAAUCUUUCUCAAAUAGAGAGCUUAGACCUUUCUUAUAAUAAACUGGGUGGAGAAAUUCCUCUAGAGCUAGUUGAACUCAAUUUUUUAGAGGUGUUUAGUGUGGCUUACAACAACAUCUCCGGUAGAGUUCCAGAUACCAAAGCACAAUUUGCAACAUUUGAUGAAAGCAACUAUGAAGGUAAUCCUUUCCUUUGUGGGGAACUAUUAAAGAGGAAAUGCAACACAAGUAUUGAGUCACCAUGCGCACCAUCACAAUCUUUUGAAAGUGAGGCAAAAUGGUAUGAUAUCAAUCAUGUUGUUUUCUUUGCAAGUUUUACUACUUCAUAUAUCAUUAUCUUGUUAGGAUUUGCUACCAUCCUUUACAUCAAUCCUUAUUGGCGUCAUAGAUGGUUCAAUUUUAUCGAGGAAUGUAUAUAUUCCUGCUAUUAUUUUGUUUCCGAUAGUCUUUCCAAGUUAUCAACAUAUUUGUAUAAUUAGAUACUUUUAGUUGGAUGAUGUUUGCAUAAUUAACUACUAUUUGUUUCCAGAGGAUAGAAAGAAAUGGGAUGUAUAAUUGCUAUGAGUUGAAACUUACGUACUUUGCUCAAAUUUCGGCAUCCUUUGCUUUUAUUUUCAAGUUUCGUUAUUUUUUAUUUAUUGUUUAUUUCAAGAUUUAACCAUAUUAUGUUACUCUUAUAAAAACAAAUUCAAAUUUUUAGGAACUUUUAGCAUUAAAAUAAUUUCAUAAUCAGAUUUUAAAAAAUAAAAAAGAAAGAAAAUAAUAAAUAAUUGGAAAAACAAUUCAAGGGAGUAUUAAAUUAUCAUCUUAGAAUUGUUUGGUAUAGUAUGGGAAUUAAAAAAUAAUCUUUCAAUUUGUUAGACAUGUUUAUUUAUUUAUUAUGGCAAUGAUUGAAAUAUCAAUCACAAAGUAAUGUUUUCUUUUCUUUUGUAGGGCACUAACACUUUUUCUUUGAUAGUAAUAAUUGAUAAAUAUUUUACACAGUUAUUUGUUUUUAAAAAGGGAGGGAUGACAAAUAUAAUACGUGAAAUAUUUCUAAAACUGUGAUGGUAAAUAAGCCAUCUAAUUAGGGUGUAAUAUUAUUUAUUUUAAUUUAUUUGCAUCAUUUUUUGAACUAUUUUAUCAGAUUAAGGGAGAUUAAAACAUCAUGAGUUUGUUAUUUUAAUUUAUAUUUUUAAUAAUAAAGUAUGAAAUAUUAAAAAAAAUAAUCAUGAAUUUCUUUAAUUCCUUAGGAAACCAAUAUAUAAAAAAAUUGAAUAUAUUAUUAUUUUAUGUCCUAAAUUUCUAAAGUUGUUCAUCAUGUAUUAUUUUUAUAUUAAAUUUAUUAUCAUUAAUUAUUUAUUAUAUAUUAUUAUUUAUGUUUAAAAAUGUUCAUAAAUAAUUAAAAUUAAUAAAAAUAUAAAAAAUAAAAUAUUAAAAAAAUUAAAUUAAAAAGAUUUCAUCAAGCUAACAUGUUUUUUUUUAUAAAAAAAAGCAAAAAAAAAUGGGGAUAUUAUAAAGGAGGGGAAAAAGGAGCUUUGACCCAAAAUACUACGUUCUAAAAACAAAAUUCAUAAAGUACCACCCUUUCUAAAAUAAUGUCCAAUCUAAUGUCUCUGUGCUACAUAGAUUGCCACGUCAUAAAACCGUAGUUGGUAACUACGGUUUUAUUUUUUAAAAAUAGUCAAAACCGUAGUCACCAACUACGACUUUAAUUUUAAUUUUAUAUAUAAAUAUAUAUUUAACUUAUAUUUUUUUAAAUAAAAUAUUAUAUUAUUUUGAUUUUAUAUUGAUUAAAAAUAUGUAAGUGGUGUAAUAAAAAUAUUUAACUUUAAUUGAUCUCAUUAUUUAAAGAAUAGUAAUAUAUAAAAUUAAAUAAUUGAUGUCUUUAAUUUGAUAUAAAAAUAUAUUUUGAUAAUUUUAUGAAAAUAUUUGGCACUACAUUCAAUAUAAAUAUAAUUAGUUAUAAAUAUACUAUUUUAUACCCUCAUAAUGAAGAAUAUUAUAUUAUUUUGUAACUUUGUGCAAAAAUUAAAGGCAAUUAUGCACUUGUUCAAAAUAUAAUAUGACUUCAAGUGGGUAAAUAAUUGGAAAAUUACUUAAAUACAACAAAAAUAAAUUUUUUUUUUCCAUUUUUCUCCUUUCGAAAUGGGAUCAAAAUGGAAUGGAAAGACUUAAAAUGUUAAACUUAAAAUGUCAACCUAAAAGAAUUUGUUUUUCCACUUCUUAAAAUAUAGAAUUGUAGAAAGAAAAUACCUUUGUUUUUCCAAUCAAUUCGCUAUUUAGUUUAAUUGUUUUAGUAAAUAGAUGAAAAUGCUUUUGAAAUAUUUUUGUAAAUUCAUUGAUAAUAAGAAAAAUGUUUUUUAUUGGGUACUAAUGGGAGUUUUGGGCAAAAAUAAUUUCUUUAAAACAGAAAAUUCAUAAAAUAAUUUUAUUCAUAAAAUAAUUUUAUUCUCAAAAUAAUUUUUAAUGUGAUGUGUGUCUUAUUCAUGUGGGUAUUCACAUCAUAAAACUGUAAUUGGUAAUCAUGAUUUUUGAUUUUUUUUUUUUAAAUAGUCAAAAUAGUAGUUAGUGAUCAUAACUUUAAAUUUAAACCUAAAGCCAAUUUUUUAAGUUCAAAUUUUAAAUCAUAUGAAUGUUCAAUUUUUUAAAAAUUAUUUUGAUUGGAGGUUUAGAUUGUAAAUUUUUUUUAAUAUAUUAUCUUUUCUAUAUCAAUAUAGUGUUGUUGUAACUAAUUAGUUAUAAAUAUAAUUAGUUUAAAUUUAAACCUAAAACCAAUUAGUUUAAAUGAAUAAAACUAAUUAGGAAUAGGGGAAAAGGUAAAGGAAAGUUAAAGCCGUAGUUGGUGACUACGGCUUUGAUUGUUUUUAAAAUAGUCAAAGUCGUAGUCACAAAUUACGGUUUUAAACUUAAAGUUAAAACCAUGGUUGGUGACUACGGGUUUUGACUAUUUUUAAAAAAUGAAAUCGUAGUUACCAACUAUAUGACGUUUAUGGAUUUUUUUUUUUAAACGAAGUAUUUUGGGUCAUCGGGAAAAAGAUAAAGGAAAAAUCAUGUGGUAUGAUAAUUGCCACGUGUCAAAGUUGUUUUCUUUAAAAAAUAAUAAUAGUAAUGAUGAGCUCAUUUGUCUUAUCAAAGUAAAUAAAAAAACAAAAUGACAAAAAAAGGUGGCAGUUGGCCGAAGGUGAGAGAGGAGGGUUUGAGGGUAAGUUAGGAAUAUUAAUUAUUUUCACUAAGUAGAUAUUUUGAAGGUUAUUUUUUCCGAAACACAUAUUCUUUGAAAAUAAAAAAUCAAAGUUUUAAAAAAAUAUAAUUUUUUUUAAAUGACACAUGAUUACAUCAUUCCCCCUAGAUUAUUUGUUCAUUUAAACUUUUGUUUAAAUAAAAUUAGUUUUAAUUAUUUUCUUUUUGGAAUUAUAUUUAACAUUUAUUAAAAAAAAUAAAAAAACAUAGAUAUAAUAUUGUUAAUGAGUUUUCUUUUUAAUAUUUUGUAAAAUAAUUAAAUUUAAAAAUAUUUAAAUUUAAUUAUGGGCUGCCCAUUUCAAAAUAAUAAGAAUCUCAUAAUCUAAUUUUUCCAAAUUCCAGGUAAAUAUGCUAAUCUAAAAAGAAAAUAAUAAGAAUCUCAUAACCUAAUUUUUAUGUGCUGAUUGGGUUUUUUUCCUUUAAUUUAAAAAAAAAAAAAAGGAAAAAAACAAAAGUGUGCGAUCCUCUUUCUCGAGUCUUCACAUUUUGAGACACUGAACCCAAAUCAAAAUUAAUUUUCACCUCCAAUCCAAACCCUAACUGCUGCCCCCGUUUUCGUUUUCUUCUUCUCUUUCCGAAAACCCACCGGAAUCGGAAGAUUCAUAAUUCUUCAGAAUUAAUUUUCACCUCGAAGCCAAACCCCAACUGCCUCAUCUUCCUCUCAUUCAUAUCCCGAAAGUAGCUUCAACAGUCAGGCCUGUAGCCAUGAAAGCCGUAGUGAUCACUACUUCCGGUGAUCCCCAAGUUCUCCAAGUGCAAGAAGUCGAAAACCCUGAAAUUGGAGAUGAUGAAGUUCUAAUUAGAGUGGACGCCGCUGCCAUUUACCGAGCAGAUAAGCUUCAGAGGAAGGGCUUGCACCCUUCCUCAAAGGCGGCAGUCCCUACCCGGGUCUCGAAUGUUCUGAAAUCAUCGAAGCUGUUGGAAAAGCCGUCGUUCGAUGGAAGGUUGGCGAUCAGGUAUUUCAAUUGCCUAAUAUUUUGAUUUCGUUUCUGUUCCUGUAUUUUUCUCGGCUAUCAAACACUAGGAACGUGUAAAUAAGGAGGUUAGUUGAUUGCGAAAACGGGAAUUUUUUGUUUGUGUUUGUGUUAAGGAGUCUUUGUUGAGAAUUUUAUGAUUAGUUUGUGAUUUUAUGAUUAAUUUUGUGUAUCAAUAUAGGUUAAUUAUUGAGCUUAUUGGUUUUUCAAAUUUAUGGUUGUAAGAAAAUUGGUCAGUGUAAGGUUAUGGGUUCAUGGGUUCAUUACCAAUUUGCUUACUGAAAAUUUUCUGAUGCCUGAUAUAUUUACCAGCACAAAUUUACACUGUUGGUGUUUAAUGUGUGUGCGUCAAUAUUGGAUUAGGGAGGCAGAAGAGCCAUGGUUUUAAUUAAAACAUUACAUCAUCAUAUUCUUAUUUAGAUACAUCGUGUCUCACAAUUUCAUUGCAUCCAAGGCCAUGUUAUUUUUUAUUGCAUGGUUUGUCAUGAUAAUUUCUCAACCCUUCUCUGGAAAAUUAUGUUGGAUGGCUGAUAUUAAUUACCCCAAAAGAAGAAAUUUUAUGUUGAAGUAAGAUGAGUACCACAAAGAGUUACUUUUGGUUGUUCCUAUCAUCAAAUGGGCGAUUGAUGCACAAUCCAAAUGGUAAACUUUUUUUCCCCCUUUAUCCAGAUGGAAUUUUUAUGCAUGGAUGAAUUGUGAAAUGAGGACUGAUAAUAUUUCAGGUUCAUGGGGGUUCAAUUGGAAUUGGUACGUUUGCUAUUCAAAUAGCGAAAUACCGAGGAGCAAGGGUAUUUGUUACAGCAGGUUUGCCAUCACUAUUCUACCUCAUCUCAUGGCACCAAUUCCUUGUCUUCACAUGUUUUCGACCAUUUUUUACAACUGAAAACGAGGAAAAAUUAGCUGUUUGUAAGGAUCUUUGAGCAGAUGUGUGCAUCAAUUACAAGACUGAAGACUUUGUUGCUUGGGUGGAGGAAACAGGAGGGAAAGGUAUAUUCUAUUGUAUCCUAACAAUAAUUUCAGUUGAAGAUGGAAUUGCUUUUAAUUUUUUAGUGCACCUAAUCCACUAGUCUGGUAUGUUUGAAAAGAUAAAUAGUCAUCUUCCACUUGAUUCCGAUUGUGAAGAUCUAACUCCAAAAAUGUUGAAUGACAGGUGUUGAUGUUAUACUGGAUAAUAUUGGACGGGCCUACUUUGAGGGAGACAUCGAUAGUUUAAAUGUUGAUGGAACGCUUUUUAUUAUUGGUUUUCAGGGUGGAACAGUUGCAGAAGUAAAUCUUUCAGGUUUACUUGCAAGGUGCCUUACAGUGCAAGGUACCACUUUCUCUAUAGAAGAUUUUUCUGUAGUUUUGGAGUUGAAUCAAUUUGAUUAAUCUCAUCCAAGUUCAGAACUAAGGUGGAUUCUGGCAAGCCAAGGAAAAACCAAAUUACCAUAAAUUCUUUUUUUUCUGGAUUGUUUUACUUCUUGGAAAUCCUGUUUCUCGAUCUGGUCAGGUAUAUGGAAAUUCCAAGGAAAAUAUGUUUUACAUUUUCCAUAAUUGGAAACACUCAGGAAUUUAAUAUUUUCCUCUGAAAUAGCAAUGGUUUUCUAAUUACAACAUUUGUUUUUCUUGUAUCAUCCCAAAAUAUUUUUUAGGUGUUUGUUCUCUCUUGACACAGCUUUUAAUCGGGUCUGUCUUGCUUUUCGAUAGAUUUCUUGACAAGUUGCUUCUAUAUCAUACUUUCUUUAUUGGUUUUGGAUCAUGCACCUUGCUUUGUCAGCCCUGUUAUCACUACCCAAACUAGUAAAUUUAUGCACAAAACUCCAUGUGUCAGUAACUGUGGUUAUUAGGUUGUAUUAAAUAAUUUGUAAAUACGGUGGAUGAGUUUGUACUAAAUGGCAAUUGUUUAAACAGAAGUCUGGAAAACAAAGCUGUAAUUGUGAGUGAGGCGGAGAAGAAUGUUUGGCCUGCAAUCACAGGCGUACAAGUAUUUUCCAUUGACGGAAGCAGCAGAGGCUCACCAGCUCAUGGAAAGCAGCAAGCAUGUUGGGAAGAUACCGUGCAUUCAAUUAUGUUAUGGUUAUGAAUGAUCUUAUGCCUCAGAGGGAUGACAUGAUUUUAAAACUCUUAAUGAGCAUCUACUAUCUGAUACAAUGUGUGAUGCCCAGGCCUAGAUGGUCAAUGCUUAAUUUCUUAUGUAGGCCUGUCAUUUGAGAAUAAAAACCAGCCUUCCAGUCCAAACAUUUAGACUACUGGAAUCUAAAGCUUCAAGAUGGUUGAAACUGAAUUUUCAUGUGCAAACAGAUCAUAACUCUCCAACCUCCACAAAUGAGCUUACCUUCCUUAUCUGAAGUUUGAACAAAAAUGUAUGAAACGGUUAGGUAGAACUGUCUAAGAAACCAGAGCUUGGAUGUGAGAGAAACCAGCGCCCCUAAAGGUCAGGACAAGAUUACCAUUCCACCAAAGUUGAGCCUUGCAUGCAGUCACCUAGUAUUUUCUUUUAUUGGAGUCUUCCCCUCUACCCUGGCACUGGGAUUGAAGGCGAAUGAAAAACCUGCAUGGAUUGAAGGUGUGCUGCUUGAGUUGAUUGUAGUUUGAGCAUGAAAAUUUGAAGAUCCAGAACAGCAAAUGAGGAAUGCCUAUCAAUUUGAAACCAGCAUGGGUGGAUGAAUGGAGAGGUUCUUCACUGAAUUUGUCCAUGAAGUGGUUUCCAUUAAAUUGCUUGAUGUAAAAAACGAAAAAAGCAUAUAUUGCUUAUUUGAAGUUAGAAUAUAACUUAAGUUGCCAGAAUGGUUUAUGCUUAUAGUGCUGAUUUUAAAGUACGAAACAAAUUGGAACUAACACAAAAAGUAGUUAUAUACCACGAAGAAAUGAAUAAAUUUCAUCUUAUAUCUCAUAGCUUUUGAAGUGAGCGUAUUUUGAUUUGGCAAAAGUAAGGGUGAGUUCAGGAAUGAAGCUUCAUCAUUUCAAAUAUGAAUUUAUAAUCUCAAAUCAGGAAGCAAAAUGGAGUGAAUGUCAUUGACUUGAUGCAUACUGCUUAAAUGGUGAUUUAUUUAAAAAUUUUAACCACGAUUAAUUUUUUCUUUUAAAUCAGUAAUAUAACCCUACAAAAGUAAUGAAGAUUAAAAUGUUAGGCAAUUUAUUUUUUAAAAAAAAAUUGCAAAAUGUCUUUUUUUUUUUUAAUAAAUUGCAAAAAAAAAAAAAUUAUUGCAAACAAUUUUUUCUUUUUUCUUUUUAAUCAAACUGCAAAAAUCUUUUUUUUUUUCUCCAACAAAGUGAUUUUUUUUUUAAUAAAAAUAACUAAAAUCUAGAAUGCACUUUUUUUAUUUAUCAAAUCUUAAAAAUUAUUGUUUUCAAUAAAUAACUUAUUUAUAAAAAGAAAACUAUAAAAUAUAUGCACUUGAAAAAUAUUUAAUUUUUAUUUGAUUUAGUAUCAAUUAAUAUUUGUAAUAUUUUUUAAUAUUAUAGAAGUUAACAUUCUCAAUAAAGAUAUUCAAGGCCUUGAGUUCCCCUUGGGCCUUGGCCAGGGCCUUCUCUUUGUAUCAUUAUUUUGAAGAAGCAUAUUGGUGUGACGUAAAAAAAAACUAUACUAAAUAGAAAAUAAAUAAAAGCAUCAACAAAAAUAAAGGCCAAGAUCCAUGAAAAGUAAUCUUUAAAUUUGUUGCAUAUAUAAUUUCAACAAUGCAUAAAUAAUUACAACAUACACAAUACAAUAAUAUUACACAACUAUAUUUUCAAAUAUAACAUAAGAUCAUUAAAGUGAUAAAUUGUAGUCGUAUAAAAUAUUUGUACAAGUAAAGAAGAAAUUAUGAGAUUAAAAGUCUGUUUGGCAGUGAUUCUAAUAAAAACGUUUUUCUUUAAAGUGUUUCCUUUUGUAGUGUUUCCUUGGAAAAUACUUUUUUGCGAAUUAGAAAAAAUGAUUUUCAAGUGUUUUUUUAUAAUAUAUUGUAUAAGUAUAAAAACACUUUUGAUAUUAAUAAAUUACCAAAAAGGACAUAUAUAUUUAUAUUGUUAAAAAAACUAAAAAUAAUCUUUUUUUAUGAUUUAAAUAAAUUUUUUACAAGAAGAAUUAGAUUAAUAAAUAAAUAUCAAUCAUGAUAUAACAAAUUAUUUGAUUAUAUAUUAGUUUAAAAUUAAUAAUUUUUUUUAUCACUAUAAUAAAAUUUUAAAAAAUAUUUAUAAAAAACAUCUGAAUAAAUAAAUAAAUAAAAGAACAUUGAAUAAAAGAUAAUUUUCAAGGUAAAACAAUAUAUGAUUACCUAUUAAUUUCUCAAAAAAAACAAAAAAACUUUCUAAUUAAAAGUAAAUAAGAAGACAAAUGUUUUCAUAACAAAAAAGGGGGAAAAAAAAUUAUAUUAUUACAUAUUAGAGUCAUAGUUAAACAUCAAUGAGAUAUAAGAAGAUUUGCAAUUCGAUCACGUUCUUCUUCCAUCUCUCUUGCAUGAUGUGAACCAUCUUCCUCAACAAGUGAAUCCACUCUACUCUCUUCUUCAUUAAGUAGAAACAACCCUUGAUCAUCAUCAUAAGGUUUAAAUUCCAUAUCCAUUCUAGCAUUAAUCCUUAUGAAGUUGUGAAGAGCCAUUGAAGCAAUAACAAUCUUUACUUGUUUUUCAAGAGGAAAACUAUGCAUUUGUCAUAGCAUUCUCCAUCUAUUCUUCAAAACGGCAAAUGUUCUCUCAAUUGUGCACCUCAAGGAAGAAUGCCUAUGAUUAAAUAUUUCCUUUUUACCUCUAGGUGAACUACCUCGUCGAAAAUCUGGAAGAUGGUAACGCUCGCCUUUAUAAGGGCCUAAAUAUCCACUCAUUUGAGGAUAACCAGCAUCAACCAAAUAAUAUUUACCUACAAAACAAAAACAAAAAAUAUAUAUUAGAUAAUAAGAAUUUGAUCACAAAAACAAGUUUGAUAUUGUCAUUCACAAACCUCUAGGUGGAUGAGGAAAACCCAAUUCUGGCCUUCUUAAUGCCUCUAAAAAGACCCGUGCAUCAUGAGCAGCACCUUCCCAUCCGACCCAUGCAAAUGUGAAACACAUAUUGAAAUCACAUACUGUCAUAACAUUUUGGGUAGUCAUGCCUUUUCUACCAAUAUAUGGUAUUUGUCUAUCUUUAGGAACCACAACAGGUAUAUGAGUUCCAUCAAUUACCCCAAUACAAUCCUUAAAAUAUGGCCAAUACCGAUCAUCAUUUUUUAUUUUAUUAGGGACUUCCUUAAACUAUGGAUCACUUGGUUUUAUAAUAUCCAUGGCCAUAAGACAAACAACAUCUAAUACAAUCUCAAACCAUUUAGAUACAGAUUCACUAGAGUGUUGAAAUCUUUCUUGAAUCAUCCUAUUGCUUAGUCCAUGACCUAUUGUAGUGAGAAACAUUGCUAAGGCCUCUGUUAAGGGCACAUCAAAACCUUCUUUUAGGCCAUACCUUUUAGUAAGUGUUUCUAAUAAAUUCAUAAACACAUGUUUUUCCAUUCUAAAUUGCUCAAAACACCUAAUUUCAUGGCCAUUUAAGACAUCCAUUACAAACUUGUAUCCUAUGUGGGAAGAAGUUCUGCAAGGUUUUUUUUUUCUUUGAAACAAGUAAGUUUUACAGCUAUAGCACAACCCGCAAGCACCAACUGAUAAAAAUCAUGUUCAUCAUCGUUUUCAUCAUCAAAAUUUUGAUCAUUAUUAUUAGAAGACAUCUACACAAAUAAAAAAAGAAAUACAUUAAUAAAUCUGUUUUUCUCCUUUUCUACCUCUUUGAAAAAGAAGAAUAUUAUCAACUGAAUAUAAUGUUCACAAUAAAUCCUUCAAGUAUCUAGAAGGAACAUUUCCUUUAAUUGUUUGGGCAAGAAAAAGCAUAGCUCAACAAAGCUUCAAGUAGCAAGUUAUUUAUAUAUAUGAACCAGGCUAGAAGUAACCAUGAUAAGAACAUAUAAUACUGCAAUACUCAAGGUUCUUGUGUAAUUCUCCUAAAUUGUAUUUCCUUUUUAAUUUUCCAAAGUACUCAAUUUAAUCUCUCAUCACAAGCAUGGGACUCAACACUUCAAAACAUUUCUCCAAUAAUUUUUCAAGGAAUCAACUUGGUUCCAUGGCCUAUAACUGAUACUAUCAGAUGAUCAACAACAAAUAAUAUCUUAAAUGUAGUUUACCACACAUCUAACCAUACAUUUAUAUUAGAAAUGCAAAUACAAAUACAAGGCCACAGAUUUAAAGUUAUCAGUUUGCUCCUUUCCUGAUAAGCAAUAGGAAGCCCAUACAAAUAGGCUCAUUUCCCAUCCCACUGCUCUAUUCUUAUUUUGUAGAUAAUUACAUUACAUAUGAUAAAUAUAGAAGAUAGAUUAAUUCAAUUAGCAUAAAUUGGAACAAGAAGCUAUGCAUAAAUAGCAUAUAUAAUACUCACAUUACUUUGCUCUUACAACGGUUUUUUCUUUGAACCUAUAUUCUUUUGAUUUGUUGAAGUAUGUUGAGUCAUUUUUUUAACAUGUGCACCAAGAAUUUAACUUGUAUAGGCCUGCACAUAAUGUGAAAGCAAAUAUUAUUAUAAAAUGGUUCAUACAUCCGACGAGUGUCUAAUUAAGUGUUGUUUCCAACAAAGGCAUUCCUCCACUAUAGAAUUGUUCGUGCUGCAUGGAUAUUUUCUCUUUCAUUCAUUUUGUUCUAUUGGAUUUCCAGUAAGAUUUAUGUGUUCUAGGAUUUUCAGAACUACUCUUACACACACCAACUUCGAAGGUAAGUGGUAUUUUUCAUGAGGAAGAAAUUCGAAGUGAUCAUCCCAAUAUCAAAUAAUAUAGCAAAAUUAAGGGUUUAUAGGAAUUAAAGCUGGGCUUCCAUACAAUCAUGUUAAAGGUAAAUAGCAGGGCGGCAAUUUGUUCAUACAUAAAGCUGUUUUUCCCCUUUUCUAUGUCUGUGUCUUAAAUGGGUCUCGACCUAAAUGUGAAAUUGAAAUGACCCUAAUGAAAGAAGAAGUAUGUGAUGAUUGAAUUAAGAAAGAAUGCGAAGGUUUAGCCACUCGAAAAAUAUACUUGUGUCUCAUGAAUUUGUUUGUUGGGUGUGAUUCAAAGAGACAACCUAAGGUCCAAUUUUUGAUCAUCUCAUUUAAAAACCAAUUAUUUUCCAGUAUGAGUGUCUUUAAUGACAAUCUACAUCAUACCCUUGGGAGUCAUUGUUUGGGCGACCCAUUACCAGACAUAAGCGGGAUCAUCCCACCUCAAAAAAAGGGUCUGAAAUGUUAUAAAUGAGAGAUAUCGAGCACCAUAUUACAGCUCCUGGAAAUGCAAUAAUGCAUGUAUGAAGGUGCCCCUUACCAAAAAGAGUGAAAAAACAAAACCGAAUCAGCCCAAAAAUUUAAUUGGGGUUCACAGUAUUUCAUAGAAUUGAGCAAACCUUGACAAAUACCUAUAAGGCAAAGUGGAAAAUGGGGUCUUCAAACCUACCCACAAAUAGUUAUAUGAUGAGCCCCAAUCCGAAACAAGUGGUCCAAUAUAUAAGAGGGGGACCUAAUGCAGAGGACCAUAGUGCCAUAACUACUAUAUACUUGUACCAAAUGGUUAAAAAAAAAAAAUAAUAAUGUGUAUGCAGUAUGCAAUAUGCUUAUAUGCAUUCAAACGAAUCAAACCAUAAAAACUCACUGCUGGAAGGUUUGGGAGGAUACAAAGCCCUGAAAGCAACGAAAUCGAUCAGCGGUCCACAAGCUGGAUCCUCCUCUACUCUUGGGUUAUGUAUGAUGAUCUCGAUCACAUCAAAGACAUGUGGUUUACAGAUAUGUGAACCAAAAAUCCUAAACAGAGCGAUUGCAUAUGUGAACUAGAAUAGAGGAUGAGAGUUUUAGAAAGAGAAGUACCAGGAAAUGAGACUCGACUACUCUAUUGAUUUACCAUUUCAUUUUCUCAUACUUUCCUCCUAACCAAACAAUCCUAAAACCCAAAACCCUAACUAGCAUUGCAAGACAAUCAGACAUUAAAAACAAGGAAAAGAAAAACAAGCAAAGAACAGAGGGUUACCUUCGAUUAGAUAAAUGAUGUCGAAUGAAAGUGGAGCGCUUUUCAGAUGGAGAGCGAUGGAGGAGGAGAACCAAGGAGAAAGGUAAGUGAAAGGGAAAUGGAGGUAUCGGGAAUCACUUGGGGGUAUUUUUGGAAUAUUUCAAAAUUUUUGAAGUGUUUUUUUAAAAAACACCUGUCAAGUGAUUCUCUAAAAAUCAUUUUAAGUGUUUUUCCAGAUUUUCAGAAGUGUUUUUAAAAAUAUGCCAAACACCUUAUUUUCAUCCCAAAAACACUUAAAAGUAUUUUUAAGGGUAUAAACACUUUUAAAAAUCAUUGUCAAACGGGCUCUAAAAUGCUUGUCGGAUUCUAGGUAAAGAAGAAAUGAGAUAUAGAGAUUAUCCCAUCAGACAUAUAGAAUUUCAUAUACAUAAUUUCAUAUAUUUAUAGGUUUGAAGAGACAUAUUGAGAUUUUGUAGACAUGUUUGGAGUUUUAAACCUUGAAAUAUUACUCUUUUAUUAAAUUAACAUUUAUAAAAUUUGGAAGAACAUAAUUGGAUAAUAUCUUAAGUUAUUUUUAAUGAAAAUUGAUAAUUACCUUUUAAUUAUUAAAUUCAUUAUUUCUAUUUGUUUUUGUAAUAUUUCUUAAUUACUAAAAUAUUUUAUUUCCUUUAUUUAGUUUGAAAGCUAUUAUAUAUCUUUUGUUUGUAUAGAGCUCAUGUGACAUAUCUCACAAUUUAAUUUAAAGAUUCAUUACCAAAUGACAAAUUUUAUUUUGUCACGCUUCUCUUCUUUUCUCCCAGACCGGAUUGGUCGACCAAUCAUUGAUCGGAGCCUUUCAGAAUGGCUAUCAAACCGCCACUGAACCGAGAAAUCAACGGUUUAACCACUAACUCGGUGAACUGGUCUACCGGCUCAAGUUUGGAUCCCUUUAAUUUGUGGCAGAAUGCGCCCAACCAAAUUGGGCCUCAAGCCCAACAACCUAAAGUCCAUGCGGGCUAUCUACUGGAUCUCACCCAUUGUAACUUGCUCUGGGUGAAUGGCCAUUACAAACUUCCCUCAUCUGAUUUUGAUGUGGGAAUGGGAGAGAUGAGGAUUUGACAUUUGGACCUAAGGCUCAAAGGGUUUUAACUCUACUCAACUACUUUAUGCCUUCUAUUUAAUAUUGCAAACCAAAAUAAUAAUAGACAUGAUUCUUUUCAAAAUUUUUAUAAUAAUAUAAGUAAAAAUGAUGUAAUAUUUUUUUAAAUGAUAAAAUAAUAGGUUAAAUAAAUUUUAAUAUAUAUGUAAAAUUAAUUAAAUUUUAAUAAAUAUCUUCACAUUUAAACAUUACAUAUCUUUUAUUUAAUAAAAUGUUAAAAUAUUAAUAUAUCUAUAUAUUUAAUUUGAUAUUAUUAUAAAUUAAAAUUAAAAUAUUAAUAAUUUUUAUUUUCUUUAUAUAUUUGAAUUUGUAUAAUUAUUUUUUAUUUUAAUAACAUAUAAAUUGUAUAUUUAUGAUAUUACUAGUUCAACUGUAAUUCAACCAUCAGUUCGAUCAUUGAACUGUGAAUUAGUAAAUUUUUUUUAUUCAUUGAUAGGUUCGAUCCUAAAAUCAUAUAUAGAUAUCUAUGGAGUGUAUACAUAUAUUAUGUAUCAUAAAUUUAUAUAGGGAUCACCUAUGUAUGUAGGGUAUACAUAUAUUAUGUAUCGUAAAUUUAUUUUUUAUAUUAUUUAUUUUUUAAAAUAAAAAAAUUAAAUUCGUAGUUAAAAAUAAAAGAAGUAAAAAACAUUUAUAAAAUAUAUUGUAAAAUAAUGCCAAUAUAUGUAUUAUUUUAUAUAAGGUGCAACUUGGAAGGGUUGGUCCAACUCAACCUAAACCUAACUUGAUGUUUGAGUGGGUUUAGGCAAACAUUUUCAAUACUUAGGUUGAGCUUAAGUUAAGUUUUCUCAAUCCGAGUUCAAUUUGGGUUGGGUUUGGACCAAGGUUUGAAUAACUUGAGUCUAACUCAAACCUGAUUUAAUGUUUUUAUAGUGUUUAUAUCCUUUAAAAUAAUAUUCCUUUUCAUUUUAGAUUUUAAAGAAAAAAUAUCAAUUAUAAUUAUAUCAUAUACUUUUUUUUUGUUUUUGUUUUUAGAGAGAUAUAUAAGUUUACUUUUAUUUUUUUAUUGUCAUUUUGAAAUUUUGUAUUACUUACUAUUUAAAUUUUGGUAUAAAUAUAUAGAAUUUAAAACAGAAAAUAAUAUGGAUAGAUUUUGAAUCAUGCAACCUAAUCAACCCAAUUAACCUGAGUUUAACCUGUUUAACCCAAUCAAACUGAGUUUAAUUUGAUCAACCCGACUUUAACUUGACUAACCCAAGUUCAACCCAAGCUUCAAAAAAUGACGUCGGGUUGGGUUGAGUACCUUGAGUUAGAGGUCAGGUUGGAUUGAGUUUGGGUUGAUUGUUUUUUAGUUUGGGUUAGGAUCCAGUUAGCCAUUAACUCAACUAACCGACCUAAGUUGCAACCCUAAUUUAAUAUAUAUUAAAUUAUUGUUAUAUAUUGAACAACAUAAUAUAAAAAAAUUAUUUAUAAAUUUUAAAUCUUUUAGUCAUAAAUAUUGCUAAACAAAAGAAAAUUUCCAUUGUUUUAAUAGUGAAUAUUGGAAUGCAAUAUAAUUUUAUUUUAAACAAAUAUUAAAUAUUGAAAAAUAAUAUAUAUUCCAUUUCAUUUUUUUUAUUCAUUUUACAAACUAAAUAUAAACAUAACAUAACAUAUCUUAUUAUGUAUACUACCUUAGAAUAUCAUAUCCAUUAGAUAUAAUAUACAAAGAUAUCACAAUCUUUUAGAAAAAAUAGUAUGGGAUAUAUUGUGGACCCGCAUUUUUUGCAUGUGUUCCCAUUCGAUGGCAAGACUCGUUUUUUAUUUGAAAAACUGAUUUUUAAAAAUUAUUUUUGGAGUUGCCACUUUUUUUUUUUUUUUAAAUGAAAAAAAAAACUGUAAGUGUGACUCCUAUAAAGGAAAAGUAGGUUUGAGAAAAUCAAGUCAGAGUCUAAGGGUCAGGUUAUUUAUUGGAAAUAUACCGUAGUAAGUUGUAGUAGUACCCCUCUAAGUUCUAAAAAUUAGGUUUCUAUUAAUCGGCUAAGGCAAGUGUAGCAAGUGAUUGAUUAAUCGUGGAUACCAAAGUUCAGGAUAUAGAACAAAGCAAAGUAUGCACAAGAAUGAAUAAAUAAGCAAGAUGGAGAUGGGAGCAUACUUGAACGACAAACGAGAGCGCUUACAUGGAAAUAGGGUUAGUGCACAAGUGUAGAGUAAUCACAUAUAAAUCACAAAACAGAUCAAAGUCAAUCAAUAUUCAAUCACAAAUGUUGGGCCUCACCAAAACCCAAUUUAUUUACAUUAAUUAAUUAUAAUGAAAAUAGGAAAUGCAUGCCAGAAGAGAAAUUUGGGUUCAAAAAUUUUAUUGAAAUCAACAUUUUAUUGCCAAGGAAAACCCAAUUUAUUUACACCACCAACUCCAUAUUUCCCAUUUUUCUACCUACUGCCAAUUCACUCCUUUCUCUGAGAAGAUUUUUGAGGUUAUUGUCAUGCUUGAGAUAAUCCAGAAAGUUGAGCGGCAUCACUCUCUGAAAGGUAUUUUAUAGCAUGGGUAAUGUGUGGGAUACAUCUGAUAGGCUGUUAUAUCCAUAAACCACCAUAUUAAACCAUGGUUCAUAUCCCCAACACCACACAAGAAUCUGUACUCAUCCCAAGCAACUUGGAAAUCAUAAAAUCAGGUUUUGAGCGCCUCCCAAGACAUGCACAGCUUCACCCUUUGUGCAUUCCUUUGAUUUGGAAAAUUUCUUCUACAGAAUUCCCCAUUAUCAUGCCCUAAACCAAGACAUAUCAUGAUCGGAUGGGCCCCUUUAUCAAUUUCACAAUAGCCAAUAACAUAUCAUUUACUUCUGUUUUGUCAACAGGAAUUAGCAUUUUGCAUGGGAAGCACCAACGAAGAUGAGGGUUUUCAAAUUGGAUCACCAACAGAGAAACCCAUUGCAACUAUUUGAAUAAUUGAGCACAACAUCGACUUUGGAAAACUUCUCUUAAAGGUGAAAUCAUCAUCUUGGCUAAACGUAGUCACAGUUAGGUUGUGAGCAAUAAUCACAGAGGGCUUUCAGUUUGAUAGCAACGAAAAGGUAAAUGUACUCGAGAGAAGUUCUGACUCUGGGAGAAGCACUCUUGAAUCCAAGUGAAGGUCUGUUCUGGAUCUUUUCCUGGCUCUCUCUGUUAAACGAAGAUAAUCUGCCCAGGAUUUGGAUGCAAGGCCAUGUUUAGGAGACUUAUGUAGAAUAUUUAUCCAUAGCUCCCUGCCAGAAACAUUUGCAUAAAGCGUCUUCCCGGUGUGAACCAUUGUCUUGCCUGGAAGUGUCGAGCAGCAAUAUGGCCUUCUUUUUUAUUAACUAUUUUGUCAAAUUCUAGAGCUCUCAUUCCAAAUCCAUCAGUUUUCUCAAAUGAUUGGCUAGUGGAGAUCCAUGGAUAUAACAUAUGAAUUGUGCACAACAAAAGCAAUCAAACGGUAUGUUGGUUUGGCUACAUUCCACAAUCGCAAAGACUUAUCAUGCGAAAUAGUUACCAAUUGCAUUGAAUUUUGCCUAAAAAGGAUAUUCGUUAUUACAAACUGGUGUUCUUCCGUGGUGCUCUCUCUUUGCAGGCUAUCCAUGUUCCAAAGAACAACUCUCUUGUCAUGUCUGGCACUGAUUAGAGAUUUCCCAUCUGAAGAAAAUCGACAACAGGUAGAUUUGCCAUUCUUGGUCUGUAUACAUCUAACCUUAGCAAGGGUUGAACCCUUUUAUGCUUAGUUGUGCCAUACAGAUCCUUACCACCGCCUGCAGCAUGUAAUCGAAAUGAUUCGAUAAUGUCAUCUAGUGAACCAAUACUUUCAAAUGAGAGACCACUGCCUCUGUAAGUAGGGCUCAUGACUGAGAAUUGCGUAAACCCCUUUGCUUGGGUUGAAACCUGACCGAUACACAAUAUUCAUAGGCCUCUUCCCAUAACUAGCACCUUGUGUUUGCAAUAGAAUUGAACAUGUAUUGAAGUGAGUUUUUUUGCAUUUUCUCGUAAGAAAAUUCUAAACAAUAGAGACUACUUAGUGUGCCCAGCCCUUCGGAGCAUCAAGGUCCAUUUCUAUAGAGGGCCAAUUGUUCCACAGUCGAAACAGAUAACAUGGAAAGUAUGCUACAAUGCUUCAACGGGAUAAUUCUUGGGAAAAUCUCUUCAAAUUGAUGAAUGGUAGUUUUUCAUUCUUAUUUCAUUCGUUCAUGUACAUAGUAUAUAUAGAGGGUAAUCACCAUUUUAAGAAUGAGAAAGAAUGAUACAAGAAAGGAAUGAUAUAAGGAAAGAACAACUAAUAUCCUAAUAUCUCAACAUUCCUAAUAUCUAAACAUUCCUAAUAUCUUAACACUCCCCCUCAAGUUGGUGCAUAGAUGUCACACAUGCCCAACUUGUCUAAAAAUUUUGAGAACACUCGACUUGAGACUGCAGCUUUGGUGAGGAUAUCGACCAAUUGAUCUUCUGAUCGAAUCUUAGGCAAUUCCACAAUCUUAUCAUCCAACUUCUCCUUAAUGAAGAAUCUGUCCACCUCGACAUGCUUUGUACAAUCAUGUUGUACUGUAUUAUGAGCAAUAUCACAUGCGGCUUUAUUGUCACAAAACAAUCGAAUUGGUUGCCUAGAUAGGUAAUCUAAAUCCUGUAAGAGGAGUCUUAGCCAUAAUGCCUCACAAAGUCUUAGAGUCAUACCCCUAAAUUCUGUUUCUGCACUUGAACGAGCGAUGACAUAAUACUUCUUACUUUUCCAUGUCAUAAGAUUACCACCUACAAAGGUAAAGUAACUAGAUGUAGAUCGCCUAUCAUCCACUACACCGGCCCAAUCAACAUCAAUAUAUACUUCUAUACUCUAAUGAUCAACAUUUUUAGUGAACAAAAUUCCCUUUCCAGGAGCAUUCUUCAAAUACCUCAAAAUACGCAUGAUUGCAUUCAUAUGUUGCUCUCUAGGAUUAUGCAUGUAUUGACUUACUACACUCAAUGCAUAAGCAAGAUCUGGUCUUGUUUGAGCUAAGUACAUUAAUUUUCCCACAAGUCUCUGGUAUAUUCCCUUAUGGGUUGAUACUUGAUUAGGCUCAAUACACAAUUUCAAACCUUCUUCUAUUGGUGUAUCAACAGGUUGACAUCCCAACAUUCCAGUCUCCUAUAAAAGAUCUAAGGCAUACUUUCUUUGAGACAGAAAAAUUCCUUCACUUGAUCAAGAAACUUCAAUCCCAAGAAAGUAUUUCAGAGAAUCUAGAUCUUUCAUUUCGAAUUCUCUAGAUAGAUAAUUUUGCAGAGCUUUUCUUUCUUCAGGAUCAUUUCCUGUAACUACCAUGUCAUCCACAUAUACGAUGAGUGUCGUAAUCUUACUAUGUUACUUUUUCAGGAACAAAGUGUGAUCUGAAUUACUUUGAUGAUAGCCAAAAUCUCUCAUUGACUUUGUGAACCUUUCAAACCAUGCUCUCGGGGAUUGCUUCAACCCAUACAAUGAAUUCUUCAAUUUGCACACCUUUUGAUAUUGCUUUUCUAACACCAUGCAUCGUGGUGGAAGAUCCAUAUAUACUUUUUCAGAUAACUCACUAUGCAGAAAGACAUUUUUCACAUUGAACUGUUGUAAUGGCCAAUCCAGGUUUGCAGCUAAAGACAGUAAUACUCGAACUGUGUUGAUCUUAGCUAUAGGUGCAAAUGUCUCUUCCUUCUUCUAUCACUUCUUUAGUUUCUGGGUGGUCAUUACUACUUGGUUCCAAAGUUGUACUACUCAUAUCCAACUCACCUGCUUCCUAGUUCACCUGUUCAGAUUGUCUAGAUUCAUCCUUUUCAUAGAUAUGAUAAUCAUAAUUGAGAGUUUGAAUUUCCUUCUGGUACUCCCCCUGAAGUUUAGACUCAAAUGAAGAAUACAUCGAAUCUUCAUGAAACACCACAUCCAUUGUAAUAAACAUUCGUCGAGUUGGAGGAUGGUAACAUCGAUAUUCCUUUUUGUGCAAUGCAUAUCCAACAAACACACAUUGCAAUGCACGAGAAGUUAACUUGGUGCGUUGGUGUUUGUGUAGAUGCACAAAUGCCAUGCAACCAAAAACACGAGGAGGUAGAUUUGAGACGGUUGAGGCAACUACGAUAUUAAUAAGAGCUUGGAGAGCUGUUUGGAAGCUAAUUGAGUUGAAAGGUACCUGAUUGAUAAAGUAUGUGACAGAUGUUAUUGUUUCCCCCCAAUAAGAUAUCGGUAUUUUUGCUGCUAUCAAGAAAGUACGAACAACCUCUAACAAGUGUCAAUUUUUUCGUUCAGCGACUCCAUUUUGCUGGGGUGUAUUGGAACCAUGGAAGAAAAUAUCGGUAAUCACGAAUAUAUCGGUACUUCGAUUUUAUGGAUAUAUCGGCGGAUAUUUUGGAAAAAAAUAUCGGUAGGCUUAAAAUUGUUAAAAACUCAUGGAAAUGUAAAGAAAACUUCAUAAUAAUAUAAUUAGAAGUAUAAUAGACAUUUUAAAGUUGUUUUGUAGAAAAAAUUGAUAUACAUAUGAUAUAAUUUGCGAUAUUAAAUGUAAUUAUAUCAUGUCGAUCAAUAAGAAAUGUUAAUUUUGUAAUUAUUCUCAUUAUAAAGUCACAUAAAAUACUUCAUUUCAUUAAAUAGCAAUAAUUUGUACACAUUACAUUACAAUGUCCCUUUAAUACCAAAAUGAGGAUCGAUGUGGUUCAAUGGGAUUGAUAGAUGAAGGAACGCCGUCUUGCUGUUGGAGACAAUAUUGGUACCAACUCAAUGAGCCUCGAUAAUAUUGGUUAAAAAUUCUAACAUGCCAUGCAUAUAUCUCUUGAGUCCUGCCCACUGCCUCUACAUGGAUAGGAUACUCAAAGUUCACCCAUGUGUUAAUGCCCAAUCCUCCUUCCAUCUGAUAUGGAACUUGGUAAGGCAUUUGUCUUGAAGGUGAAUAACGCGACAUACCAUACUCUUCAUCUGUUGAACUUGAAGGUUGACCAUAACUCAUCACAUGAGGAGAGUAGACAUCAGCCUCAUUCGAGGAGUCACUAAAUUGAGUUCCUAUACUCAUAGAUUCAAAACUCCCUGAAAGUAACUCCUCAUUAUAUGGUUCCAUCAUUCGUUCUCUUCCUCUAUAAGGCUUCCCAAUAGCUCCUAUGCCUGGACCAGCUCUUCUAGAGCCAUGGUCUUCAUCUUGUGUGCAGUGUGUGAAAGUAUUUUCAUAGGUGAAUUGGCUGACUGGAUAUUGACUAUGUUGACGUUCAUUAAUAUCUCCUCCCGCAUUAUCACCUCCAUCAUCAGUUCCACCUCUUGAACCAUCGUAACCAGAAGCAGAAGUACCUGCAGCACUAGGUCUACUACUAUGGCCAGCACUUGUGGAGUUAAUCUCUUGGUGGGAAUCAUCAGUAUCUUUGCUAAAACUUUCAGAGUGAACUUCUUCAGACAACACACGUUCAACAUUAACUCCAAAUUCUCGAGCAUGAGCAGCAAUUCGUGGAUCGGGAUUUCCAACUUCGUCAUCCAAGUGUAUAGGUCUCACCCAUUGGAACAACUGAUUAUCUUCUUCUUCACCCACCUCGACUGAAAUGUCAAGAAUAUCAAGAUAAUCUUUUUCAGCAACUCGAUCAUUUUCUGCCUCCAUAUCGCGUAACUUUAGCCUUAUAUUAUAGUAACAAAAAACUAAUUGCUCCAAUCGAGAGUAAGCCAAACGAUUUCGUUGCUUUGUGUGGAUAAGAGCAAACGUGCUCCAAUUUCUCUCACAGGCAGUAGAUGACGCAGUUUGUGAGAGAACUUUGAUGGCUAACUUUCUCAAUGUAGGUGUUUGAUUCCCAUACAUAAACCACCAUUCAGCUGCAACCAAUUUGAUAAUCAUAUAAAUACUUAUAUGGUGAAUUUACAAUAAUGAUAAUCAAUUUUUUCCUACAAAGACUCACCGGGCACCAUGGUUAACCUUGCUGCAAUUGCCGCCCGAUCACCGAAUCCUCUUUUUGCAUCUCGAAAAAGCACAAGCUAUGUAUUCAACAUUGAAUUUGUUAAUAUCAUAUUUGUUAGUAAACGUUCAAAUAAAUUGAUGAAUGAAAUUAUUGUUUUAUAGACAAAUAACAAUUUUUUAUUUACCUCAUUUCCAAAUUGACCAAGUGAUUCAGUAGUUGGAUCUAAUUUUGCAAAAACAUCAUGGACCGCUUGAAGUAGUUCCGGAUCACUACCAACUCCACGCCUAUAUUGAAAUCUUGGAUUCAAGAAGUAUGCUACAAUAAAAUUAAGUAGAGUUAGUUUUUUUUUAAACAAAAUUAAAUACAGAGUAAAAACUUAUAAAGAUAUAUAGUACUUAAGUACCUGCUGCAUGAAGUGGAUGUUUUAGUGUUUUCUCCCAACGAUCUUGUAUUAUUUUGAACAUCCAAUCUCCAGCUCCUUGACGCGUAAGGUUCUUUUUCAUCACGUGCAUAAGCUCAUACACAAAUGGCAUUGUGGGAACAACUUCAGAAUCCAUAAGUCGAAGCACCACGUAUAAUGGCUCAUAUAAUGAAACUAUAUUUGUCAUUCUGUCCCAAUACGCAUGGUCAAACAAUAAUUGCUCCAACUCUCGUCCAUGUUUUGUUCGACUUAGCUUGUGUUGUGCCCAAUCAUCACUCAUAAACAAUUUUUUCAAAUCGACCCUUUUUUUAAGAAGACUGUCAAGAGCAAUAUAAUUGGUAGCAAACCUUGUAGCUCCUGGUCGAACAAUGUCUCCACCACAAUACAAUCUCAUUUGUGCUAGUAACCAACCAUGAUUGUAAAUGAAGUUAGUUAUCUUGCGAGCAUUGUUUAUCACCUCGAUAACACUGGGUCUUUUACCAAUGUCUUCAAAGAUUAAGUCAAUGCAGUGCGCCGCACACGGAGUCCAGUAUAAGUUAUACUUCUUCAUCAAUUGUUUCCCUGCUUUCAUGAACGCCGACCCAUUAUCUGUGACAAUUUGGACCACAUUUUCUUUACCGACUUCUUUGAUAGCAGUCUUCAAUAGGUUGUAUAUAUAAUUGUGGUCUUUAAUAUAGUUCGAUGCAUCAACUGACUUAAGGAAGACCGUGCUCCCUUUAGAAUAAACCAUGAAAUUAAUAAUACUUAAUUUCGUGGGCCCUGUCCAUCCAUCUGACAUUAUUGUGCACCCAUAUGUCUUCCAUUUUUCUCUUUGUUGGUUCACAUAAGCUUCCAUUUCUCUGUACUCCAUUUCCAAGUACUUGUUCUUUAUGUCAAAUGGAGAUGGAGGUUCGAUUCCCAUUCCUGCACUUCAUAUAAAAAAAAAAUGUAAAACAUGUCACAAAAGACUAUACUUACUAAAAGUAUAGCACAAUAUAACAUUUCAAAAAUUAGUAAUUACCAGCUUGUUGUGCACCAAUAAUCAUAUUCUUGAAGUGAUGAGACUUUGCUUUUGCGGGUGCGACGCUCUCAUAAAUGAAGAAUUUGCUAAUUAAGCGUCCCAUCGUUUCUUUAAUUGCACCACCCUUGAAUAUAUCUUUGAUAUUUUUUUGUUUUGCUGUAGAAGACUUGUAAAGCGAAGGAGCAAUAGGGGGUGAUUGUUGCAAAUGUCGCAUACUAUGUGAUUUUCGCAUCAUCGACGGUAAUCCAGUAGACUGUGAAGACUCCCCCGUUUUGCGUUUGCUUCCUACAAUAUUCUCAUAUUGUUCACGUUCCCAUUCUGAUGCUUUCGAGGCACGAACUGCAGAUCGAUAUGCAUCCCGCUCAUCUGGGUGCAUAUCUGCCGGAUACAUAUACACAUCUUCAUUCUCAACAUCUUCAUCAUCAUCAUCUUCGUCUACCAAAUGUGUAUGAUGAGUCCCCAUUGUGCCACGUAAUUGAGCACGAAUUUCUUCAAUAUCUGCAUUUUUCUUUACUUUUGCUUUUGUUUUGUCAUGCACUAGGAAUCGUAUCUCUUCUUUCACUUCGGGCGGCACUCUCGGACACUUUUUGGUGUUGUUAUGCGGGUCUUUUUGCAUUAAAUGAAACUUGAAUCGCGUGAUGCCUCCACUUUUCAUCACCAACCCACAGAAAUUACAAAUUGUUCCAUUUCGGUUACCCUCAAUCGAUAAAUAAUACUUCCAAGUCGGAUCUCGCCCUAGCAGGGCAAAACCACCUUCACUAGCCAUGCUAAAUCUAUUGCAAUAAAAAUACACUUGAAUGUGAUUUCAAUGUAAACAAAAAUCAAGUCAAUAUUUAAAUUUAAAUAUAUGAGAAAUGUACAAAAUAAUGAUAAAGAAUGAACAUAGUUGAUAUUCCAUAUAUUUAGUUAAACUAAUUAAAUAAUUUAGCUAAGUUAAUUUUUUGAAUCUAAAUCUAAUUUUAUGAAAAAUUUACUAAAUUAAAAAUUAAUCAUAAUUGGAUAUGAAACUAAAUCAUGAUAAUUAUAAAAAUUGAACAUAUUUAAUAUUCCAUAUAUAGUAGUUCAUGUUAAUUAAACUAAUUAAAUAAUUUAGCUAAGUUAAUAUUUUGAAUCUAAAUCUAAUUUUAUGAAAAAUUUACUAAAUUAAAAAUUAAUCAUAAUUGGAUAUGAAACUAAAUCAUGAUAAUCAUAAAAAUUGAACAUAUUUAAUAUUCCAUAUAUAGUAGUUCAUUGGGGUUGGAAAGCUUCAUGAGAACCUUAGUAGAGCGGUUACAACCCUACUUAGCAUGUUAAUUAAAUUAAUUAAAUGUGAAACUAAAUCACAAAUAAUCAUCUAAAAUAAACAUAUCAAUUUAUAAUUAAAUAAUCAAAUUAACCUAAGUCAAUUCAAUAAAAAUAUACAAAUUAAUUACUAUUGAAUAUAAAAAUAACAUUAAAUCAUCCAUAUUAAUUACAAUUGUAAACAAAAUUAAUUACAAUUUAAAAAAAACAUACCUUAAAAUUGGAGUAAUGAGAGAGCAAAUGAAGAAUGAAAGCAAAAAUGGGUGAAAUUGAUGGAAAAAUGGCUAUUUAUAGAAGAAAUUUGGGCCAAAAUAGCCGUUGGAACACCAAUUUACCGUUGAAAUUCAAAUCUGGCCGUUGGAUCACAAACUGGGACAAAUCUGGUCGUUGGAUCACAUUAUUAACGUUGGAAUCGCAUCUGGGCCGUUGGAUCAACGCGGGCGUGAUCUGGGCCGUCAGAUCGCGCUGGAGAGAGGAGCGAAAUAUCCCCAAAAAGUCGGCGAUUUAUCGGCGAUUUUCCGCGGCCACGGCGAUUAUUUGGAGAAAUCGCCGAUUUAUCGAUUUUCACCGAUAUAUCACCGAUUUAUCGGCGAUUUAUUGGCGAUUUUUUGCGAAAAAUCGUCCCCCGAUUUUUCUCCUGGAAAUGCCGUGUCGCCGCCUCCCGAUACAAGAUAUAUCGGCGAUAUUUCGCCGAUAUUUCGCGAUAUUUUCCUCCAUGAUUGGAACAAGUAGUUUGAUGAAUGAUGCUAUGUCCUUUCAAAUACUUUUGAAGAUCAGGACUCUGAUAUUCUCCACCAUUAUCGCUACGUAGAACCCGAACAUUUGCAUUGUACUGAGUUUCAAUCAUUUUAUGAAAUUUUUGAAACAACAAGUUCACUUUAUCUUUAGUCUUCAUCAAGCAUAACCAUGUCAUUCUGGUACAAUCAUCAAUAAAAGUAACAAACCAACGCGAACCACUCAAAGUUAGGACUUUGGAUGGGCCCCAAACAUCAGAAUGUAUAACCAUAAAAGGAAAUGGACUUUUAUUCAAAAUUAACGGAAACAAAGCACGAUGACUUUUAACCAAUUCACAAAUAUCACAACGGAAACCAGAAAUAUCACUCUUUGCAAACAAACUAAGAAACAAUUUUUUUAAAUAACCAAAGGAAGCAUGUCUCAAACGUCGAUGCCACAACCAAAUUUCAGACUUUUUUUUCUCCCCCUCAGAUCCAUCUGCCAUCAAGGCUUGUUGCAACUUAUUUGAAUCCUUUGACCGUAAGUCCAAGUAAUAGAGUUUUCCCCACUUAAUACCACAACCAAUCGUCUGUCUUGUUUGGAUGUCCUUAAAAACACAAAAUUCAGGCUAAAAAAUGACAAUACAAGAUAAGACUGCAGUGAUUUGAGAAACUGACAAAAGAUUGUAAUUUAAAUAUGGAACAACUAAAACAUAAUCCAAAUUCAAACUAUCAGUAAGAGUUAAGGAUCCUUCCCCAAUGAUUGGGGUUGUGUUACCAUUGGCUGUGGAAACAAUUUUUUGUGAAGAAGGUCUAAGGGGUGAGACCUGUCUAGAAUCAAAAGUCAUAUGAUUUGUAGCACCAUAAUCAAUUAUCCAUGCACUAUUAAUAACAGGUGUAGAAAUAUUUAAAAACUUACCACCAUAAUUUGUAGUGGUUAUCAAUGCAGAGGCUUUCUCAGCAACAUUAGCCUCUGUUUUUAUUUCGGCAACAGCUGCAGUUGAGGUUUUCUUGGAAUCUUUCUUCCGUUGAUCACGAUUAUGAUCCCACCAGUUUGAAUAUCCCACAAUUUCAAAGCAACGACUCUUGGUAUGACAAGUCUUAUUACAUUGAGUGCAUUUGAAGGUUGACCAGAAGGAUUGAAAAAACAAUAGUAUUUUUUUCACUCAUUUUUUUUUUAUCUUGAAAAAAUGGGCGAUGGCUGGCCUUACCGACAAAAUAUCCAGAAUUUCAGUUCCAUGGCUUUGAUACCAUCUUCAAAUUGAUGAAUGGUAGUUUUUCAUUCUUAUUUCAUUCGUUCAUGUACAAAGUAUAUAUAGAGGGUAAUCACCAUUCUAAGAAUGGGAAAGAAUGAUACAAAGAAGGAAUGAUAUAAGAAAAGAACAACUAAUAUUCUAAUAUCUCAAAAUUCCUAAUAUAAGGAAUGAUAUAAGGAAAGAACAACUAAUAUCCUAAUAUCUCAACAUUCCUAAUAUCUCAACAAAAUUCACCUAAAACUGGUACAAUUCGUUGGCGUACAGAGUUUGUGGAGCUCCAUUGACUUCAACCACCCAUCUUUGUAGAUUAUUGAUGACUUUAUGCUCGAAUCCCACAUGAGGAUUGACUUGACAUUCUGCCAGCUCUUUCCGGAAGGCGAUCUUGCUUAACACCUUGUGAGAAGGAGCAGAGGAAUUGGACAUUGUUUCCUCGAGAAGAUCAAAGUGGCCAAUGAUGGGUUUGGACCAGAAUUGCUAUCUGGAUUUUCUUUAGGUGAACCAAUUAGUGGAGUGGGUGGCUAUGCAACAAUUGAAGGGUGGCCAUACUAAUAAGGAGCUAUUAUUUCAUGCACAUGGAGAGAAAAGAAGUAGCUUCUUCAAGGAUUUAUGAUUAUUCAUCUCCAGCUUGCGUUGAAUAUCUCUUGAUCGAAAAAUUUCUGCUCUGGAGCUCCCUUAGUUUCACUACAACCAACUUGGCCAACUUGGUUUCAUCAUGUUUCCUACAACCUCCAGGCAAAGCAUUCCAGAUCACCGAAUCAGGUUCCAUUGGCAUUUUGUUCAUAAACUCCUUUGCCUAUUGACAACAGACUACCCCUCAAAAUUUGAUGAGAUAACAUUAAUGCUGACAUGUUGGCCAUCCCCAUAAGCAUCUUUAUAGAGAUUGAUUUUGCGUUUAGAUAUUUCUCUAUCCUCAAGUGAGUUCAACUUUUCUAUAACAUCCUUCUCCUUCUCCACUAAUAGUCUUAGCUGAACAUCCAACCUAUGUUCCCAAAGUGCUAGUAUCUCGUAUCUGAUGACUAGCCAACAACCUUGCCCUUGCUGAGACCCAAAUAAGUAUCUACAACCAUCAACAUCAACCCUCUCACAUGCCUUUGUAUUUGAAUGUUGGAUUGGGAUUGCUUUGAAUGCACUAGCACUGCAAUAAACAAUUGUUUCUUUUCCAAUAAAAACACCACAAAGAGGUGAGGGGACCGUGUUAAAGAUAUGGACUCACAUAUUUAUCAAUGGUUCAUGACUAAGCUAUUCGUCUUUCGCAUAUUUGUUUUUUAUCGGUUUUCUAAAGUAUAGGACACCUCAUGUGUAGAGCCCAAUACCAUAUGUGUCUCAGAUGAUGGGCCUGAGACACAUAUGGCCCAAUCUUUUAAACGGAGUGGUCCCUAAGGCAGAAGGGUAUAAAUAUAAAGGCUAAGUGUUUGCUCAUCAUGAUCACAUCUUUUGAAAUAAGAACAGAACCCGCUCUCUCCCGCUCCUAUCGUUAGAGAAAAUAACAGAGAAAUGUGGUGCCCUCCAUAGCCUUAGAAGAUCCAUACCUUAUCCAUCUUGGGAAAUAAUGGACUCAAGUAUGUUCCAAGAAAUGCAAAAGCAAGGCAUGUUUUCCAUGAUUGAAAUAUAUAUACAUUCAAUUUCUGUUGUUUGGGUAAUAAUGGAGAAUAAAAUAUUCACAUAGACCGGUAUUAGCAAAGCAGUCUUGUUGUCUAGAUUGUUCUGGGCCCGAGUACCCUCUACAAAAUCUUCAUCCUCAUUUGUACUCCUCCAUUAUAUUCCUAGGCGUUUCAAUGUGAUCCACAUGGCUUACAGGUAUCCAUAAAUACCGGUCUGUAUAAAAGUUGCUCUUAUGGGGCUCUUCUAGAAAACAUGCCAAUCAAGAUGAUCAACCUAGCUUAGAUGCUCAGCACCUCGAACUUACCAGAAAUAGAGGAAUAAAAAGCAAGGAUAGAAGCCAGAGUAAAAAUUGAGGGAAUAGCGAAUAGGAAAUCAAGUAAAACAUGAAUGUACAAAGCCUCAUUUCAGAUGACAUCCAUGGGCUAAUAACAAGUGGAAUUAACAAAGUACACAAACAUGAUUCUUAUAAAUAUCAAGUUCAGGGAUGAAGUCGUGCAUCAGCUACUUACAGGAGAAGUCAAGGAAACCAAGAUAAAGAUCAAAGAGAGCAUGUAUGCAAAUAAACAGAUUCAGCAAAAUAGACCAAACAGCUCGUGAUGGCCACACCAAUCAACAAGAUAACUUCCAGACAUUUGUAGAAAAAUGGAGCAGAAUAAUGUGAAAAUGAUAGAGUGCAAAGUUCACGGUGACCAUACCUGCAAGUCUCAUCUCCAAGCAGAGUUUGCUCGACUUUAAGUGUUUUCUUGCAUCUUUCUCCACAGCACAACUUUCUUCUGUUGUUCUCUCUCAAAACCUACUCUCUUAGAAUAUCAUAAUCUUUCAUUCUUUGCUCUCUAAUGUGUCUUUCUCUACCUCUCUCUCACAGUCCUGUUGCCCCCAAAACCUCCAUUAAAAAAAAUCCCAGAAUACUCCUGCUUUCACCGUUCCCAGGCCAUUGUCCCUCCCACAACUCCUCACAGCUUUUUUCUUUCAGCCUCGAGACAUUCUGCAGCUCCUCAAACAGCCUCUGCUACAUUUUCUCCCCUAGUUUCCCCUUUUAGAAAAUCACUACUCCACUCUCUGAAAAAGUGGUCUCUAACCAACCUCCACUAGAGAGAAUAUCCUCUCUAAUAGCUCACCUGUCCUGCGAAAAAAAAAAAAACUACUACAUGUGGCAAAAAGUGAUGAAAAAAACAAAAGGAAGUCUGACUCACCUCUCUUGCAAAAUAUAGUGUACUACACAUGGCAAAAAAGUGAUGAAAAAAAGUUGGUCUACAUAGACAUCCUAUUAUAUCAUAUCAUUUCAAAUCCAAAGCAACAUGUAUUUUCAAUGGGAUUUGUUGUGAUGAGUUUUACAGGAUUGUAACACGUAAAUAUGUUAAAAGAAGCUUGGGACCUUCCUAUAGUAACACAUAAAGGUACUUCCAUUGUGAAGUUGUCAAAAUUACAAAGUUUGAAAACAUAGAGAUGAAAGAUGAUGAAUCUUCUUUGAAAUUUUAUAUUGAACUCAUUAAUAUUAUUAAUUCUCAUUUCAGUAUAGGGGAAAUGAUUCUUUACUCUAAAGUGGUAAAAAAAAAUAUUAAAAUUUCUCAUCGAGAGAUUUAGACCUAAAGUGAUCAAUAUAGAAGAAAGUAAAAAAUUCUGAGUGUAGGUAAACUUGUAGACUCAAAUGACUACCAUCUCAUAAAAAUCCUCAAUUUUAUAAAUUAUAUAGAUUUCUUCAUUUGAUACAAAAUUUGAAUAAAUAUUUUUCCAAUGACAAUACAAGGAAAGAAAAAAAAAAAAAAAAACUCUCUAGAUCAUAUUAUUUAAACACUUAAAUUAUUUUAAAAUAAAAAUGUUUAUUGCUAACAUUAUUUAGGUUCAUCUUUCUUUUGAUGGAGGUUAAAAUUCACAAUUUGGAGGAAAAAAUGAGGAUUCUGAUUUUUUUUUUCCAUGUAUGAAUGGGAUUCUCAUCGUGUAUAUGCAGGUUACUCAAUGGUAGAUUUCAGCCACCAAAGUCCUGCAAUAUGAGGAAAAAGAUGAAGUUGAGUUUGUCACCAAGAACAGACAUGACUCCUAUAAAGGUGGCAUCCUUAAUUUCAUGUCUGGAUUGGACUUGUCAUGUAACAACUUAACAGGUGAAAUCUCUCAUGAACUUGGAAUGUUAAGUUUGAUUCAUGCAUUGAACUUGUCUCGCAAUCAACUAAAGGGCUCCAUUUCAAAUAGUUUUUGCAAUCUUUCUCAAAUAGAGAGCUUAGAUCUUUUUAAUAAUAAACUAAGUGGAGAAAUUCCUCCAAAAUUGGUUAGACUAACUUUUUUAGUGGCGUUCAAUGUGACUCACAAUAGCAUCUUUGGAAGAGUUUCAGAUAUGAAUGCAUAAUUUGCAAUAUUUGAUGAAAGUAACUAUGAAGAUAAUCCUUUCCUUUGUGGACCACCAUUAAAGAGAAAAUGCAGCAUAAAUGUUAAGCCACCUUACCCACCAUUAGAGUCUUAAAAAAAAAGUGAUGCAAAAUGGUAUAAUAUCGAUCUUGUGGUUUUCUUUGCAAGUUUUACUAUAUCAUAUAUCAUGAUAUCAUUAGGAAUUUCAACCAUUCUUUACAUUAACCCUUAUUGGUGUCAAAGAUGGUUCAAUUUUAGCGAGAAAUAUAUAUACUUCUUUAUGCCAAUUUCACCAAUCUUUUGUUUUUAUUUUCAUGUAUCAUUCCUUUUUUGGUUAUUUAAUUAAAAGGAUAUAUUCACAAGAAUAACCUUCAUAUUUUAAAAACAUAAAAUAAACAUUUUUUUUUUAUAAAAAUACCCUCCAACUAUAAUUUUUAUAUGUCCCUAUUUCAAAUCCAAACACUUCUUUUAAUAAUAAUAAUAAUAAAUAAGGGCAAAAAUGUCAAACUGGGAUUAUAUUUAUAAUUUUCAAUAAUUAGAGGUUGUUUUUCCAAAGUAAAAAUUAUUUUGUUCCUUUGGCACAAAUGUUUAUUUCUUUUAUGUAUUUUUUUAUUCAAAAUAUUAAACACAUUACCCUCAAGGUUACUAUUUAUUAUGAAUGGUGUUUACUUUACAUAACGACAUAUUCAAAAAAUUUAGAAUUUUUUAAUGUUAAAAUAAUUUGGAGCUUAAUAGGGAAAAAAAAGAAUAAAUAAUUAGAAAAGCAAUUCAAAAAAAUAAAAUUUAUCCUCUUAAAUUGGUUUUGUGUAAUACUAUAGAAGCCAUUUCUUGAGUUUGAUAUGGUAGAAUUUGGAUUCAUAUUUAUUUUAAAAUCAAGAAAUUCAAGUGUUGGUAGCAUCAAUAGAAUCUUAACAAAUUUGCAAAAAAAUAUUUAGGUAGAUCACAUUUAAAUAUAGCUAAUAGAAUAAAAAAUUAGUAUUAUUAGAAAGACAUGAUCAAUUAAAUCUUUUUUCUUAUCUAUGACACCGACUUUAUUUUUUUACAUAGUCAAUAUAAUUUAUUACAACUUAUAUGUCAUUAAAUUAUACACGUUUAUAUUAAAUAUAAUAUAAGAUCAUUAAUGGAAUAAUUAUGCAAGUAAUAUAAAUUGUAUAUAAUAUAAAAAAUUUAAACUCCAUCAAACUAAUGGAAUCUAUUAUAAUAAGUAGACUAGACUCCAUGUUGGCCCGAGUUGGAGGCCUGGGCCAGAUUUUAAAGGCUGGGCUUUGAGUUGCCCGUGGGCCUGAGCCAAGGCCUUCUCUUGGUAUCAUCAUUUUGAAGAAAUAAAUUGCUGAUACAGAGAAAAAAACUAUACUAAAUAGAAAAAUAAAUAAAAGCAUUGACUAAAAUGAAGGUCAAGGUCCUUGAAAAAUAAUCUUUAAAUUGUUGCAUAUAUAAUUUCAAUAAUGCAUAAAUAAUUGCAAUAUAUAUGAUAUGAUAAAGAAUUUGGAAUUAAAAGAAGAUUGAUCUAUUUUAAAUGUGGUUGGAAUAUUUCUAAAUUUGUGAUGGGAAGUUAGACAGCCAAUUAGGGAUCCAUAUUAUUUAUUUUCAAUGAUAUGAAUUUAUUUACUUUUAUUAAUAUUCUUAAUGCAACAAUAUAAAAUAUGUCAAUUUUCUAAAAUUAAAAAAGUAAUUGUAAAAGAAAAUUUUUAAUUAUUUUUCUGAAAUUGAGUUUAUUAUAACAUUUUUCUUUACAUAAAUUUCGUUUUUAUUUUUAUUUUUUUAAAAAUGAGAUAUGAAAAAAAAAGAUCAAUAUUAGUAAAAGUAAAACCCAAUAUAUAAAAAAAAAUGAAUAAAUGUUUAUGAAAUAAGAUUUAAAAGUGAGAAGGUAAUAUAUUUUUUCUCUUUUAAUUCCUAUUCAAUUCAUUACAAAAAAUAUUUUUGGUUUUUAUGCUAAAAUUUAUUGUUUAUUCAAAAAUUCUAGUAUAUCUAGCUAUCAUAGAAGAGCUCCAAAAUUUUAUUGUUUAAGAGAAUAUGUGUUGCCACUUUAAAAGAUUUAUAUGCAAAAGGGAUUGAUAUUUUUUUCCUUUGGAUAUGUUUAGUUCCCGGAAAAUUUGAGGGAAAAUGUGAGGGAAGAAAAAUAGAGAAGAAAAGUAUAACGAAAUAAAAAGUGAAAGAAAAUGAAAAAUAGAUUUAAAGUUAAUAAAUUAUUUUCAUUGGUUUUUUCAAACUUAUUUUACUUAUUUUAUUCUAUUAAAUAAAGAUUAACUAAUUUUAAUUAUAUUUGGUUUGAUUUUUAUUAUUUUUCAAAGCAAAACCAAAUAUGAAAAAAAAAACAUUUUUUUUUGUUAGUUUUUUCUUUCCUUAUUACUUUUCAGGACUCAAACAUAGCUUUUAGAUUUGGAGCAUGGAAAGAUAAGAGUAUUGAAUAAAGGUUCUAUAUAUGCCCAUGCCCAUGCCCAUGAUACCAUUGAAAAAAAUGGAGAGAGGGUGAAACCUUUACUAGAUGAUAAAUUAUUCUCUUCAAUGGAAAUCAAAUAUAAUUAUUUUUAUCUUGUAUUAAUUGAAUGUUAUACUCCAUAAACUCAAAAUUAAAAUAAAUAAAUAAUUUAAAAACUAGGACAAUCCCAUUUUUUUUCAAUUUCUUAAAAAGAAAUUAAAUUAUAUUUAUUUAUAUCUAUUUUCAUCCCUACCCAAAAAAAUAAAAAAAAUUAACAAGGUGGGACAUGUAUGAGAAAUUCUCACACUAACUCUCUCUAGUUUAUUUUUUAUUUUUUUAAAAAAAUCAAUUUAUUUUAAAAAAAAAUUAAACUACAUAAAAAAUAAACAAAUUUUACAAUUUUUUUUAAGAAAAGUAAAUUUCUUAUUUUAUAUAUGUUAAAAAUAAAUAUAAUCUUUUAUUUUUUAUAUAUAUAAUCGGGUAAGAUAAAGUGGGACAAAGAAAUAAUCCCCUUCGAUUCCAAUCUGAAUUUUUAAAAUAUAAAAUAAAAAUCUUAAACUCAUCCCAAAUUCAUUUAUUUUUAAUCCUAAACUUGUCUUAUUAAGAAUAAGACAAAGAGAGUACAUGAAAACACUUCUUUUAUCAUCAUCUCUACAAGUUCUAAUGUUUAGACUACAAUCCAUAUCAAAGAUUUAUAAAGAAAGAACAACAAUGAAUUUCAUAAACAUUUGAAAGCAUAUACAAAGUUUUAAAUAAUAUUGCUUGAGGUGCAAAUAUUAUUUGGCGCACAUGUUGAGGGACUUCAACUGGUGUAGUCUAGGUUUUUUACACUAGUAAGUAAUCUUGAAUAUCUAGAGUAACUUGAUCAAAAUCUCUUUAAUUUUAUUUUCUUUGAUGGUUGUAUGAUGAAUUAGAAUGCUUAUAUAACAUGAUUAAAAAAUUUAAGAAAAAAAAACUAAGAAGAAAGAAAGAAGCACCGAUCUUCCAAAUAUUGCUUCCACUUUAAUAUCUAGAAGGCUCUAAGAAAAGAACUUUAUUCAUGAAUCAUAACCCAAGUCGAAAAUAAAUUGAACCCAUUUUCUAAGUUAAAAUUUGAAUUUUUUUACUGAUGAAUGCAAAUUGGGAAAAUGUAUAUAAAUAUAAUUAAACUAGAAUAGUAGGUUAGGUUUGUAGGUGGAGUUUGUUUGAAUUGUUGGAACUUCCAAGUCGUUGUGGGUCUAGUGGUCUCAUAGCUCUCUAUUAAUUUCCACCAUCAAUUUUCUACAAUAAAGUCAAGUCAUUCCUAACCCCUAUAUUAAGUUGGCCUUAAAAGUUAAGUCAUUGAUCAUAGUUACAUUCAUGAAUCACAACCCAAGUUGAAAAUAAAUUGAACCCAUUUUCCAAGUUCAACUUUGAAUUUUUUACUAGUGAAUGCAAAUUGGGAAAACAUAUAUAAGUAUAAUUAAACUAAAAUAGUAGAUUAGGUUUGUAGGUGGAGUCUGCUUGAAUUGUUGAAACUUCCAAGUCAUCGUGGGCCCAGUGGUCCCAUAGCUCUCUAUUAAUUUCCACCAUCAAUUUUUUGCAGUAAAGUCAAGUCAUUCCUAACCCCUAUAUUAAUUUGGCCUUAAAAGUCCAGUCAUUGAUAGCUAAAUCCCAACCCAAGUCAAAAAUAAAUUGAACCCAUUUUCUAAGUUCAACUUUGAAUUUUUUUUAAUUGGAAAAAUGUAUAUAAAUACAAUUAAACUAGAAUAGUAGAUUAGGUUUGUAGGUGGAGUCUGCAUGAAUUUGUGAAACUUCCAAGUGGUCGUGGGUCUAGUGGUCCCAUAGCUCUCUAUUAAUUUCCACCAUCAAUUUUGUGCAAUAAAGUCAAGUCAUUCAUAACCCCUAUAUUAAGUUGGCCUUAAAAGUCAAGUCAUUGAUCAUAGUUACAUUCAUGAAUCACAACCCAAGUCGAAAAUAAAUUGAACCCAUUUUCCAAGUUCAACUUUGAAUUUUUUACAAUUGAAUCCAAAUUGGGAAAACAUAUAUAAGUAUAACUAAACUAAAAUAGUAGAUUAGGUUUGUAAGUGGAGUCUGCUUGAAUUGUUGAAACUUCCAAGUCAUCGUGGGCCCAGUGGUCCCAUAGCUCUCUAUUAAUUUCCACCAUCAAUUUUUUGCAAUAAAGUCAAGUCAUUCCUAACCCCUAUAUUAAUUUGGCCUUAAAAGUCCAGUCAUUGAUAGCUAAAUCCCAACCCAAGUCAAAAAUAAAUUGAACCCAUUUUCUAAGUUCAACUUUGAAUUUUUUUUAAUUGGAAAAAUGUAUAUAAAUACAAUUAUACUAGAAUAGUAGAUUAGGUUUGUAGGUGGAGUCUGCAUGAAUUUGUGAAACUUCCAAGUGGUCGUGGGUCUAGUGGUCCCAUAGCUCUCUAUUAAUUUCCACCAUCAAUUUUCUACAAUAAAGUCAAGUCAUUCCUAACCCCUAUAUUAAGUUGGCCUUAAAAGUCAAGUCAUUGAUCAUAGUUACAUUCAUGAAUCACAACCCAAGUCGAAAAUAAAUUGAACCCAUUUUCCAAGUUCAACUUUGAAUUUUUUUACUAGUGAAUGCAAAUUGGGAAAACAUAUAUAAAUAUAAUUAAACUAAAAUAGUAGAUUAGGUUUGUAGGUGGAGUCUGCUUGAAUUGUUGAAACUUCCAAGUCAUCGUGGGCCCAGUGGUCCCAUAGCUCUCUAUUAAUUUCCACCAUCAAUUUUUUGCAAUAAAGUCAAGUCAUUCCUAACCCUUCUAUUAAUUUGGUCUUAAAAGUCCAGUCAUUGAUAGCUAAAUCCCAACCCAAGUCAAAAAUAAAUUGAACCCAUUUUCUAAGUUCAACUUUGAAUUUUUUUAAUUGGAAAAAUGUAUAUAAAUAAAAUUAAACUAGAAUAGUAGAUUAGGUUUGUAGGUGAAGUCUGCUUGAAUUUGUGAAACUUCCAAGUCGUCGUGGGUCUAGUGGUCCCAUAGCUUUCUAUAAUUUCCACCAUCAAUUUUCUGCAAUAAAGUCAAGUCAUUCCUAACCCCUAUAUUAAUUUGGCCUUAAAAGUCCCGUCAUUGAUAGCUACGUUCAUGAAUCCCAACCCAAGCCAAAAAUAAAUUGAACCCAUUUUCUAAGAUCAACUUUGAAUUCUUUUAAUUGGGAAAAUGUAUAUAAAUACAAUUAAACUAGAAUAGUAGAUUAGGUUUGUAGGUGGAGUCUACUUGAAUUUGUGAAACUUCCAAGUCGUCAUGGGUCUAGUGGUCCCAUAGCUCUUUAUUAAUUUUCACCAUCAAUUUUCUACAAUAAAGUCAAGCCAUUCCUAAACCCUAUAUUAAUUUGGCCUUAAAAGUCAAGUCAUUGAUAGUUAUGUUCAUGAAUCACAACCCAAGUCUAAAAUAAAUUGAACCCAUUUUCCAAGUUCAACUUUGAUUUUUUUACUAGUGAAUGCAAAUUGGGAAAACGUAUAUAAAUAUAGUUAAACUAGAAUAGUAUAUUAGGUUUGUAGGUGGAGUAAGCUUGAAUUAUUGAAACUUCCAAGUCGUCGUGGGUCUAAGGGUCCCAUAGCUCUCUAUUAAUUUCCAUCAUCAAUUUUUAUGAAUUAAGAUUUAAAAGUGAGAAGGGAAUAAAUUUUUUCUUUUUCAAUUCAUUACAAAAAAUAUUUUUGGUUUUUAUGCUAAAAUUUAUUGUUUAUUCAAAAAAUUAAAGUAUAAAAAUAUAAAAAAUAUAUAUAUAUAUAUAUAUAUAUAUAUAUAUAUAUAUCUUGCUAUUAUAGAAGAGCUCCAAAAUUUUCGUGUUUAAGAGAAUAUGUGUUGCCACUUUAGAAGAUUUAUAUACAAAAAGGAUUGAUGUUUCUCCUUUGACUAUGUUUGGUUCCCAUAAAUUUGAGGGAAAGAAAAUAAAUAAAAAAAUAGUAAAAAAGAAAAAAUGAAGGAAAAUAAAAAAUAGUUUUAAAGUAAAUAAAUUAUUUUUAUAUGCUUUUUCAAACUUAUUCUACUUAUUUUCUUUCAUUAUAUAAAGAUCAAAUAAUUUUAAAAUGCAUAAAUUUCUAACUAAUUUUAAUUAUAUUUAAUUUUUCUUUUAUAUUUUUUAGACGGGAUCCAACACAUGAAAAAAUCCAUUUUUUAGCAUCUUUUUUUCUUUUCUUAUUACUUUCUAAUAACCAUAUAUAACCUUUAGAUUUAGCCUAGACUUGGAGUAUGGAAGGAUACUGAGUAUUGAAAGAAGGUUUUGUAUAUGGCCAUGAUACCAUAGAAAAAAUAUGCGAGAGGGAAAAAACCUUUAUUAAAUGAUAAAUUAUUUUUUUCAAUGGAAAUCAAAUAUAAUUAUUUUUAUAAUAAUUACUUUAUUUUUAAAAAAAAUAAUAAUAAAAAAAAUAAUUUGUUGUUGCAUAAAGUAUUCUUGCAUUUGAAGAAGCAUGUUACUACUUACUACAUAAAUAGAUAUUCAUGGAGUGCAUUCUCUAAAAAGCUCCAGUCUCAUGAAAAUAGAAAGAUGGACCGGCCGGUGAACCGGUUCGAGUUUGGAUUUAUGGGCUACCUCAGCCUUACACGCAUGAUAGGCUGUUGCAGGUGAAGAACUAAUUAAUUUAAAGCGUUCUUCUAUCCUCUCCUAUUCCUCAGUGUAUUUAAACUAAACAUUAGGAAGGGUGACUAAAAUUAACCCUCUAGGUAUAUAUGUUUACCAAAAUUUUUAUUGUUUAUUUUUCAUUUAAUGUUUGCAUUUAAACAUUGAAAAUGAAUUGUUUUUCCAUAUGUUAACAAAAAGAAAUUUGAACACCUAUAAAAAUGAAAUCUUGUAGUAAAAUUGGAGUUACAUUAUCAGACUUUUAACGAGUGUUUAUGUUUAGAAAGGCCAAUUAAAGCAAGCAUGCAUCUAGAAAUUGUAACUUAGAUGCAUCAAACAUGAGCAACAUAUUUGAUAUAACUAAUAGUUUCUUAAGUAACUAAACACUUCUUUUUCUAUAAAUUUACUUGAUUAUCGAUGAAUACUUACAUAUAUUUACAUAGUUUGAUAAAUAUUUUAAAAUAGUAUUAGAAUAACUUUGUUUUUUCUCAAUUAUAUUAGAAAAUAAUAUAAAGUUACUUAUAAACUUUAUAUCAUUUUCUCAAAGUCAAGUCAUUUACAAUUAUUUCUAUCUAGCCUUCUCCAUUAUGACAACUUUUAUAUGAUAGUCGUUGAUUGGAAGAAUCUACACGUCUUUUUUGAUAGGAUAGUUGUUUUUAUUAUUUUUAUGAUUUUUAUUUUUUUUAUUCCAAAAUUUUGCUUCUAUCAUUGAAACUUUCAAAUCUUUUAUAUAUAUUACCAAUCAUUUUACAAGUGAGUUAAUUUCACUUAGGGUAGAUAUACUUAGCCACACCCCUAUAGAUGUAAUUUGUGUUUAAAUUUUAUUUUUUAUUCAGGUAAAAAUAUCUUAGGUAUAUGUGUUCAACAAUUCUCUAAAAAAUAAAUUUUCUUAUCUAAAAGUUUAUAUAGACAAAAUAUAUCUAUAGAAGUCCUAACUAAUGAAAUUUAAAAUCAAUGGUUGUUUAGUGUAUUUACAUUAAACCUUAUGGGGUAUGAUUGAAAUUAACUCUUUUACAAGCACUUGUAGCUUAUAUGUUUGAAGUUGUAGUGUUGGAAAUUGAUCAUUUUCUUGAAGGCCUCUAAGAAAUUGGAAAUAUUGCCAUAGUUUUAGACUUUUUUUAUUACACCUAAUAAAAAAUAUUAUUAAUUUAACAUAUAUAUUCUUGACUUAAAAGUAAAGUCUCUCCAUAUUGUAUGAGCCCUUAGGUGACAAUAUUAGGUGAAGUUUUUCUUUCGUUUAUUAAAAAAUAUAAAUAAUUUAUUAUUGUAUGAUAAAAUUUUAUGUAAUAUAUUUUUAUAGAUGUAAAAUUAUUAAUUGGGUUUUAUUUUAUUUUUACUAAAUUGUCAUUUCAAUAUAUAAAACUUAUUUGUAAAAAGACAAUUAUAAACUAUAUGAAAUUGAAAAACAUUUAGUUUUUUUAUUUAAUUUAGAAUUUUAUUUGGAUUAAUAAUUGAUAUUUGUAAGAUUUUUUAAUAUUUAAAAAAGUUAUCAUACUUAAGAAAGAUAUUCAAGAUCGGGAGUGUUUGAUAUUGGAUUAAUUUCCUUAUUUUCUCUAUUUUAAUAAAUUUUCACGUUCAUUACAAAAUUUUUGUUGUUUAUUUUUCACUUCAAUAUUUUUAUUUUGUAAUAGACAUUUGAAAAGAUUUUUUCCUACAUGUAAAAAAAAAAUAUUUGAACACUCCUAAAAAAGAAAUAUUGUAAUAAAAUUAAAGUUUACACUGUAGGACUAUUAGCAAGUGCUAUAUACAUAAAAUAGACCAAUUAAAGUAGAAAUACUUCUAAAAUUGUAAUUUAGGUAACAAUAAUAUAAAAAGAUAAUAUUUUUGAAACAAUAGUUCUCUUGGAGUUUUGGGUACGAUGGACUAGACUUUAUGUAACAACAGAUAUCCAAACUUUCCAUUAACAUCUUAAGAGACAUGAUGAGGAGCAAAGUCAUCCUAGAAGGUACCAUAGAGGUACCUUAGCUCCAUUCAUCUAGACUACAUAAUGUUUAAAGAUCAAAUUCAAUGACUAGCUAGAAGGUACCAUAGAGGUACCUUAGCUCCAUUCAUCUAGACUACAUAAUGUUUAAAGAUCAAAUUCAAUGACUAGAUUUCAAAAAUCAAUAUAAGCUUUCUCAUAUUCUACUCUAUAUAAGGCAAUGGUAUGAUACCUCUCUUGUGUCAUAGAAUACACCAUGAAAACCUUAUCAUUUUAACAUCAGUUUGAAACUUAAAAGUCACUUAGCACAUUCUAGUUAUUAAUUUAAGAGCAUUAAAAGAAAAUAUAAAAAAAGUUACUUUAUCCUUGUGAUUUUGAUCUAGGACUUUUAAUGAUAUUUAAAAAAAAAACAAAACAGAAAAAUAAAUGGAAAUAAAAUCAACAAAUUAAACAAUUGAAUUAAGUUAGUUUAAUUUUUGUAUCGUUAAAUAGGUAAAUAAAGACUCUUAGAUUUGAUAUUAAUAUGAACAUCAUGACUUCAGUGAAUCUUACAAGAAAAUUUUAGUUUGAAAGACUUCAUUCAUUAAACGUGUGGCACAUAUUAAAGUAAAACUAAGUCUUCUCUAUAAUUUGUACCUAUCAUAGUUUCUUUCCUCAUAAAUAGCCUUUUUUGAAUAUAAUAUAGACUUCAACAUGUAUGGUGGGGCCGAUCAAACUACUAGUCAAGACAACUCAUGGGCAACAACGAUGUACCAACUACAUUAAAUACUCUUCAUCUAUUUGCAUAUUAAGAGUAAUUUAGUAGUGUCUUUCUUAUGUACCUCAUAUCUAGACUUUCAAUGGAGAGUUCUUCAUCUAAAAAUUUGACUUAGGUUUUCAUACUAGUUUUGGUUUAGACAUGUGGAUGCAAAGGUUGCAUCAAAGAAGAGAAGUAGGCUAAAUCAUCUUACAAAUUUUCAAGUUCAAAAUAGAUGCACCAAACAUAUGCAAUAUAUUUGAUAUAACUAAUAUUUUCUUAAGUAAUUGAAUACAAUUUUUUUUUUUUAUAAAUUUACUUGAUUAUCAAUGAAUAACUACAUGUAUGGUAUUGACACAACUUGAUAAAUCUUUUAAAAUAGUACUAGAAUAACUUUGCUAAAAAAAAGUAAAAAUAAAAAUAAAAAUACGUCUAUAUAUAUAAAAAAAUUAAAUAAAAUUAAAAAUUAAAAAAGAAUAUAUAUAUAUAUAUAUAUAUAUAUAUAUAUUUUGUUGUGUGUGUGUGUGCAUGUUCCCACAACUCAUUAGCUACUCAUAAGCUUUAUAUCACUUUCUCAAAGUCAAGUCAUUUUGUAAUUAUUUCUCUCUAGCCUUCUCCAUUACGACAACUGUAUAAGAUAUUGAUUGGUUGGAAAAAUCUUCAUGUCUUUUUUUAUAAGAUAGUUUUAUUAUUAUUAUUAUUAUUUAAAGAAUUUGCUUUUAUUAUUGCUUUCAAAUCCUUUAUGUCUAGUGGUCCUACAAUUCCCUAUUCAUUGGUAUUUCAUAUUACCAAUCAUUUUACAAAUAAGUUUAUUUCACUCAGUAAAUAUACUUAACUACUAAUGGUUUCAAAUUUAAUUGAUUAACACACUUAUAGAUGUAAUUUGUUUUUAAAUUUUAUUUUUUUAGAAGAAUUGUAGGUAAAAAUAUUUUAGGAAUAUGUGUUCAAUAAUUCUCUAAAAACAAUUUAUAUAGAUGGAAUACAUUCAUGGAAGUUCCAACUAAUGAAAUUUAAAACCAAUGACGAUUUAAUGUAUUUGCACUAAAUCUUAGGGGAGGUGUACUAAAACUAGCCCUUUUACAAAUAUUUGUAGCUAGUAUAUUUGUAGUUAUAGUGUUGGAAGUUGAUCAUUUUCUUAAAGGCCUCUAUGAUAUUAGAAAUAUCGCCAAAGUUUUGAACUUUUUGUUUCACCUAAAAAAAAUAUCAUUAAUUUAAUAUAUAUACUCUUCGCUUGAAAGUAUAGUUUCUUCAUAUUGUAUGAAGUUGUAGCUAGGUGGCAAUAUUGGGUGAAAUUUUUUUGGUUUACUAAAAAAUAUAAAUAAUAUAUUUAUUAUAUGAUAAAAUUUUGUAAAAUAUAUUAUUAUAGAUGCAAAAUUAUUAAUGGAGUUUUAUUUUUUUACUAAAUUAUCAUUUCAAUAAAUAAGAACUUAUUUGUUAAAAGAAAAUUAUAAAAUAUAUGCAGUUGAAAAAAAUUUAAUUUUUUUAUUUAAUUUGGUAUUUUAUUUGAAUUAAUAAUUGAUAUUUGUAAGAUAUUUUAAUAUUAAAAGAAGUUAACAUAUUUAAAAAAGACAUUCAAAAUCAAGAGAGUAUAUGAUAUGAAAUCAAUUAAUUUAUUUUUUCUAUUUAAAUAAAUUUUUACAUCCAUUAAAAAAAUUUUAUUGUUUAUUUUUCACUUCAAUAUUUUUAUUUUGUAAAAGAAAUAGAAAUAAAAUCAACAAAUUAAACAAUUGAAUUAAGUUAGUUUAAUUUUGCCACCGUUAGGUAAAUGAAGACUCUUAUAUUUGAUAUUAACAUGAACAUCAUGACUUCAUUGAAUCUCACAAGAAAAUUUUAGUUUGAAAGAUUUUAUCCUUUAAUCAUGUGGCACAUAUUAAAGUCAGACCAAGUCUUCCCUAUAAUUUGUAUCUAUCACAAUUUCUUUCCUAAUGAAUAGCCUUUUUGAAUAGAAUAUAGACUUUAGCAUGCAUGGUGGGGCCUAGCUAUCAAACUACUAGUCAAAACAACUCAUGGGCAAGAAUGAUGUACCAACUAGAUUAAGUAUUCUCCAUCUAUUUGCAUAUCAAGAGUAAUUUAGUAGUAUCUUUCUUGUGUACCUCAUUUCUAGACUUUCAAUGGAGAGUUAUUUAUCUUAAAAUUUGACGUGGGUUUUCAUACAAGUCUUGGUUCAGAUAUGUGAAUGCAAAGGUUGCAUCGAAGAAGAGAAGUAGGCUAAGUCAUCUUACAAAUUUUCAAGUUCAAAUUAGAUGCAUCAAACAUGUGCAACAUAUUUGAUAUAACUAAUAUUUUACCAAGAAACUAAAUACUUUAUAUAUAUAUAAAUAAACAAAAUAAAAAAUUUAAAAAGAAUAUAUAUAUUAGUGGUCCCACAACUCAUUAGCUACUCAUAAGCUUUAUAUCAUUUUCUUAAAGUCAAGUCAUUUACAAUUAUUUCUAUCUAGCCUUCUCCGUUGCGACAACUAUACAAGAUAUUAAUUGAUUGAAAAAAUCAUCAUGUCUUUUUUGAUAGGAUAGUUUUUUUUUUAUUCAAAGAACUUUCAAAUCCUUUAUGUCUAGUGGUCCUACAAUUCCCUAUUCAUUGGUAUUUCAUAUUACCAAUCAUUUUACAAAUAAGUUAAUUUCACUCGGUAAAUAUACUUAACCACCAAUGGUUUCCAAUUUGUAGCACUCUUAUAGAUGUAGUUUGUUUUUAAAUUUUAUUUUUUAGAAGAAUUGUAGGUAAAAAUAUUUUAGCUAUAUAUGUUCAACAAUUCUCUAAAAACAAUUUAUAUAAAUGAAAUACGUUCAUGGAAGUUCCAACUAAUGAAAUUUAAAACCAAUGAUGAUUUAAUGUAUUUGUACUAAAUCUUAGGGAGUGUGGACUAAAAUUAGCCCUUUUAAAAAUAUUUAUAACUAGUAUAUUUGUAGUUGUGGUAUUGGAAGUUGAUCAUUUUCUUAAAAGGUUGACCAUUGAAGUUAGUUGAAUAUAAAGUUAGGUGAACUUUACCAUUGUUAAAUUGGUAAAUGAAGACUCUUAGAUUUGAUACUAACAUGUACAUCAUGACUUCAUUGAAUCUCUCACAAGGAAAUUUUAGUUUGAAAGACUUCAUCCUUAAAACAUGUGGCACAUAUUAAAGUGAGACCAAGUCUUCCCUAUAAUUUGUAUCUAUCACAAUUUCUUUCCUCAUAAAUAGCCUUUUUGAAUAGAAUUAAUAUAGACUUUAGCAUGCAUGGUGGGCCCUGUCAAACUAUUAGUCAAGAUAAUUUGUAGGUAAGAACGAUGGACCAACUAUAUUAAAUACUCUUCAUCUAUUUGCAUAUCAAGAGCAACUUAAUACUGUCUUUUUUUUGUACUUCAUGUUUGAACUUUCAAUGGAGAGUUUGUCAUCUAAAUAUUUGAUGUGGGUUUUUAUAUUACUCUUGGUUCAAAUAUGUGGAUGCAAAGGUUGCAUCGAAGAAGAGAAGAUGGGUUUGCUUGAAUUCAAGGCUUUUCUUAAAUUGAAUGAUGAGCAUGCAGAUUUUCUUCUCCCUUCAUGGAUAGAUAACAACACUAGUGAAUGUUGUAAUUGGGAGCGAGUUAUUUGCAAUCCCACCACAGGUCGAGUUAAGAAGCUUUUCCUCAAUGAUAUAAGGCAACAACAAAAUUUGUUGGAAGACGAUUAGCACUAUUAUGAAAAUGCCAAAUUCUGGUUACUAAAUAUCUCCCUAUUCCUUCCUUUUGAAGAACUUCACCAUCUAAACUUGUCUGCAAACUCAUUUGAUGGGUUUAUUGAGAAUGAAGGUAUGUUACCUCUCACCUUUAAAAUUUCUUUUCACUUAUACUCCAAACAUUCUAAAGGAACUACUAUCAUAUGUUCUUAAAAGUGUUCAGGUGGAGACCAAAUGGUCACUAGUAACUAUUGAAUUUAAUAUAAGAACAAUUACUAAUUAUUAAAAUUUAUAAUGUAAAUUAACAUUUAAAUAGAACAAUAAAAAAAAUUAUUAUUUUAGAAAACUAUAGAUUACAUUUGCCUUAUAUAUAUAAAAGCAUACUUGUUAUUUAUGCCAUCAUUUCACACUCAACCCAAUAAGUUGGAUUCAACUAAGAGUGAGCAAUUUCACAAUUAUUAAUUAAUAGGAACACUUAGGCUCCCAUAUCCUUAUCCUUUUUGCUGAAUUGUCUUUCCUUAUCUUCCAUUCCUAAAAAGCUUGAUUUCUAUAUUCUAAAUUGAUAGAGAUUGGUUAAAGAAAGGUGAUCACAAAAUUUGACUAUUGCUUUCAAAUGAGGAAUCACCAUCUUCAAAUUUUCACAUUUACACAAAAAAAAAAAAAAAAACUAGCCUCGGGUAAGGUCCAAGCCUUAUUGUUUUAAGCUGACGUCGGGUUGGUUUAAUAAUGAACAAAGUAAAUCCCAACCCAUGACCAUCUAGGCAUUUCCAAAUUCCACCCAUCCACAACCCAUUAAUAUGGCAUUUUCAAGGACAAAAUUUAAUCAAUUAAACCUAUUAGAUGGAUUCUCCAUACAAUGUUAAAAUGAAUAUAAACACUUUAAUUCAAAAAAUAAUUUCCUUCAUUUAGUUAGGAUUCAAAUUAUAGGGGCACAAAACAUGAAAAUUUUCAUGUUUAAAAUUCACAAAGAUCACAGAAGCUCUUUGAAGCUCUAUGGGCUUUUUUAUUUCUAACAUUUAAACACAAAAAUCACCAAAUUGAAUUAGAAACUUGGAUGCAUAUUCUUAUAUUAAAGACAUGUAAGCUUACAUAUUUAAAUAUGAAGAUCUCAACUUGUAAUUACAUGCUUCUAAUUAAAGUUAUAUUACUUUAUUUUACAGGAUUUAAAGGGUUAUCAAGUUUAAAGAAAUUGGAGAUCUUGGACAUAAGUGGUAAUGAGUUUGACAAAAGUGCCUUAAAAUCUUUGGGCACAAUAACAUCACUCAAGACAUUAGCUAUUUGCAGCAUGGGACUGAAUGGAUCUUUUUCCAUUCGAGGCAUGUUAUAUGUCCACAUUGUUUCUUUGAAAUUAAGUAAAAUAUAUUUCUAACUUUUAAUGUUCCUUAGUUAAUCUCUCUUUUGAUUCAUGUUUGUUGCAGAAUUAGCUAGUUUGAGAAAUUUGGAAGUGUUGGAUCUAAGCUAUAAUGAUUUGGAAAGCUUUCAACUAUUGCAAGGUACUUCAUUAACUUGCUAAAAAAACUUAUAAUAUUUUGUUAUUAAAUUAAAGGUAAGAUUAACAAACAAUUUCUUCCCAUUAGUUACUUUUCUUUGUAAUAUCAUUAAAUUUGAUAUAAAGUAGUCUAAAUCAUCCUUUCAAUUUAUAAGUUUUAAUUAAAACGCAUCAAGCAUGCACAAGAUGUUUAAUAUAACUAAUAUUUUCAUAAGUAAUUGAAUUUUUUUUUAUGAAUUAAUUAACUUGAUUAUCAAUAAAUACUUACAUGUAUAAGAUUAAUAUAGUUUCAUAAGUAUUUUAAAAUUGUCUUACAACACACACACACACACACACACAGGGAAAAUGAAAGGUAUGUGAUACCUUUAUGCUAUGUUUGGUUCCCAAAAAAAUUGAGGGAAAAUGAAAGGAGAAAAAAGUAGAGAGGAAAAAUAAAAGAAAAGAAAAAAAGUGAAGAAAAAUAUAAAAUUGAUUAAAGUAAAUACAUUAUUUUUAUAUGUUACUUUAAACUUGUUUCACUUAUUUUAAUUCUUCAAUGUAAAGAUGAAAGAUUUGAAAAUGCAGAAGUCUCUAAUUAUUUUUUAUUAUAUUUUAUUUUAUUUUAUAGUUUUUACAAUACAACCAAACAUAAUAAAAUCAUUUUCUUUAAUUUUUUUUUCUUUUCUUAAUACUUUUCAUGAACCCUUAAGUUAUGUUUGGUUUGCAGAAAAUAUGAGGAAUAGAAAAUAGAAAAGAAAAUUAGAAGGAAAGAAAAAAUGAAGUAAAAUAAAAAUAAAUUUAAAUUUAAUAAAUUAUUUUUAUAUGCUACUUUAAACUUAUUUCACUUAUUUUAAAUUAUUUAAACUCAUUUCUAAUAAAUAAUAAUGGAAAUUGUAGAGAAGUUUGUGUUAUUCAAGCUUUGCAAUGACUUUUCAAGGUGAAGGAAAAUAUUCUUGCUGAAAUUGAAAAAGGAAAUACCUUCUUAAAUAGCCUAUUGACCGAAAACACAUUGCCCUAACAUAUACACACACCUUUAUUAUUUAUACAAUCAUGUAAUACUUAAUCCAGUUAGUGGGAUUCUAGUGGUUGUUUCUAUCUUGGUUUCCAAUAUUUCUGAUUGAUAGUGUUCGAUUAAUGAAAUAUCAUAAAUUUUGACCCUAAUAAGGACCAAUCCCUAUUAAAUGUAAUUGGGUUGACCCAAGACUAAAUGUUAGACCCAACUAAUAAAAACCCAUCUGUUUGUUGGAGUCUAAAUAACCCGGCCUUAGGUAGGGCCCAUGCCUUAUUAUUUUAAGAUGUAGUCCAACUGGUUUGACACUAGAUUGAGUAAAGCCUAAGUUAUGAGCAUCUGUGCAUUUCCAUCCAUCCACAACCUAUUGGCAUGGGCAAACUUUGGUCAAUUAAACCUAUUAUAACUGUAUACAAAAUUUUAAGUUCAAAAGAUAAUUUUCCUUAUUUAGUUAAGAUUCAUAUUAAAAAGGCACAAAGCACGAAUUUUCAUGUUUAAAUUCACAAAUAUCAUGAAAGCUCCUUCAAGCUCUAUGGACCAUUUUAUUUGUAACAUUAUUUUACUCUUAAUUAUCAAAUUAACCAACAAAUUCUUCUCAUUACUUAUUUUUCUUUUGUAAUGUCAUAAAAUUUGAUGUAAAGUAGUAUUGGUCAUCAUUUCAACUUUUAGGUUCCAAUUAGAUGCAUCAAGCAUGUGCAACAUAUUUGAUAUAACUAAUAUUUUUAUAAGUAAUUGAAUUUUUUUUUCUAUAAAUCAAUUAACUUGAUUAUUAAUGAAUACUUUCAUACAUGAUAUUGAUGUAGUUUCAUAAAUAUUUUUAAAUAGUCAUAGAAGUCUUUUAUCUGAUUCACUAGAAAUAAAAAUAAAUUAAACUAUUCUAAUGAAAAUACUUAAUGAUUUGAAGUGAUUGCUUUUGAUUUUAUUUGAUUGCUACCAUUAUUAAUUGUUAGAAAUUGGCAACAAAUACCCAUUUUGCAUCACUUCUAUAUGCAUAGGGGGAAUGAAUUAUAUUUCAUAGAGCUAACAGGGCAAAACUCAUACUUUUGGAAUUAUGGAAAAGGUUGCUAGAAAGCUAAUUAACCAUUUAUAUUAUGAUUAAGACUAGUUGGGUUAGAAAUAAUUCAUAUGGAGAUUAAAAAAAACUAUGUAAUUUAGUUUAGUAGCUAGGGUGCUAUUGUAAUGAUUAAUGAUCUGCAACUUGAACACAUCUACUAGUGCUUUCUACUUGUAUAGCUAAAUUUAUGUUACCACUUUGAACUACAGUACUUACAUGAGAAGAAAGUUAUUCCUUAGUGAUAAUGCAAAAGAAAUUAACUAUCAGUUUUUGUUAAACUAACAAGUGAUAGUUUAGAUAUGGUUUGAAUACACUUCCUUUCUUCUAUUUUUUUAUUUUGAAAAAAAAAAACUCUUUAAUGAAAUAUAAGAAAUCUUAUAUGUAUAAAAAGUAAAGACUUAAACAAAAAAAUUCUUCAAAUUUGAAAAUUUUCGAGAAGUAUUUUUAAGAAUUUGUAUUUUUAGUAUAAUAAUUCCUAUAUUUUGUAUAAAAGUUUUUGUUUAAAAAAAUAGAAGUGUAUCCAAAUUACAAAUUAAUUGUUCAAUUAAGAAUGUUUCUCGGAUCAAGAGAUAAUGAAAGUUGUAGAGAGUUUGCAUUACUCAACCUUUGCAAUUACUUUUUGAAGAUAAAAGAAAAUACCUUCCUACAUAACAUAAAAUGGCAGGUUCUGGUUUGUAAGAAACAAAUAAAUGAUAUAGGAUAUGAAUAAGACUUCCUUUAUAAUAGAUAUGUAGAGAAGAAUAGUCGAUGAUAGGAGGUGAAAAUCUUGUAAUAAAAUAUCAAUAUCGGUUAUAAGAUAAUCAACAUUUUCUCUAUUUCUUGUACCUAUGUGAUUAAGAAUCUUGUAGCUCCCUUAUUGAAAUAUAAUAUAAAAAUAUAAAUAAACUAUUUAGAAGUGCAUGUAGUUUUCAACAUGAGGAAGUUCAAAAGCAAGUUAAUUAUGAUAAUUUUCUGUUGUCUAUAUUGAGCACAAAUUAUUUUUACUAAAGGUUCAAUUGUUCUAUGAAGGUUAAAAGUUUGAAUUGUUUACAUAUGCAAAUGUGAAAUUUGAAAUUUUAUAAUUUUUUAUAAUUUUCUUGUAGAUUCAAAAAGCUUGUCCAUAUUCAAAAAGCUCGAGACCUUGAACCUCAAUUACAACAAGUUCAAAAACACUAGCCUACAACAAUUGAAUAUAUUUACAUCCCUUAAAAAUCUUUCUCUAAGAGGGAACUAUGUUGGAGGAUUUUUUCCGAUCCAAGGUAUGUGUAAUUAUUAUUAUUACUUUUAAUGAUAAAAUAUUAGAAUUGUCAACAUCUUUUUUUUUUUCCCCCUCAAUGGUGUUGCAGAAUUAUGCACUCUGGAAAACUUUGUGAUGUUGGACCUAAGUGAGAAUUUCUUUAUUGGCAUGCAAGGUAAAUACAAAGUGAAGUUUUGGUUAUAUAUAUAUCAUGUAAGAACAUAACUAAAAUCAACAUUCUUUGCCUAUCAAUUUGUGCAUGACUAUUAUUUAGUUAUUCUUCGUAACAUAAUUGAAAGAAUGUCUAGGUGUACAACAUUUAAGAAUUUUACAUGGCACAAUGAAAAACAUGGUAAUCAAUGUAUGCAAUAAAAUUCUAAUAGUUGAAAAAGAAUUUUCUUGUAAUUUUAUGUUCGUGUAUAGUAAUCAAAGAGAAAAUAAUGAAAAUGUAUAUUAGUUAGACUUUAUAUAUCAAUAGACAAAAAAGAAAGAAAAAAAAAAAGAUUAGUUCCUUAACUUAUCCUAAAAUUUUCUAGAUAAUAAGGAGUUUUUUUAUUUUGGGCUAUAAGGUUUACAACCUGAAAAGUGAAGAUGAUUAAUAUUAGUAAUAUAAUUUUGAAAUAUAAAAAUUAAUGAAAUAAUGUUCUCUAUAACUAUAAGUGCAACUGCAACUAUUAAUAAAAGAUAAUAAAAGUACUUUAGACUUUGAAUCCAUGGUUAGGUUUGCAAUUUUUUGAUGAUCAAUAAAGCUACAACUUAUGCUGCAAAAGGCUAUACAAAAUGCAUUAGGAGCAUUGCUAAGCUCAUUUAUCAAUAAAAGAAAUCCAGUAAUACUUUGAUUGGAAAAAACCUAGAAUCAUGUUUGAUAUAUAUAAUAGGUGAAGAAACAAAAUAACAAUUCCAUGGUAUUAGUUAGUUUGAUAUCUCUUUUGUUAUAUGGAAUAACUAUUCCAUUUUAAAAUAAUUUUUUCAUCUUAUCACUAGAACAAAAAAUUUCAGGGGGUUAUAUGGGCUUUUGGGUUUCUUAAGAAUUUAAGCAUUUAUGGGUCACCCAUAUAUAUAUAGGAAGAAUAAAAAAAAUAUUCUAUGGAGACAAGGGUAGACACCCAUAAAUGUACAUAUAAUUAUUUAAAUAAAAAUAUCAAUAAGAAACAAUAUACAACAAAAUAGAAAAUUUUAAUCUUCUUAAAUUUUUUAAAAUAAAAACUAAAUGAAAAAAAAAUUAAGAAGUAAAAAAAAUAAUAAAAAGGUCAAGAAUACAAAUAGAGAAGUAAACAAAAUAAAAAAAAAUACAUAAAUUAAAAUUAAAUUUAAAAAAAAAAUACAUAGAUUAAUAUGAACACCAAAUGAGGUUUUUUGAGAUAGACUUAGUUAGACUUGAACUAGAUGGAUAUUAAAAAAAAAUUUAAAAAAAUCAAAGAAAUAAAAACUAAUUAGAUGCUAAAUAUUGGAUUAAAAUAACCAAAUGAAUAAAGAGUAAUUAUUAAUUUUUAACAUUUUUUAUUCCCUGGAAUUAUUAUUUUGUGUAUUAAAUGUAUUCUGAGUGUAGUGGUAUAAAAAAUGUAGUUAAGAAUACUAUGAAGAAUAAUAAUAGUGAUGAUAAUGGUGACGACACUUAAUACCUUUUAUUGUACAUUUAGAAAAAAUGAGGUUCUUGAUCUUUAUGGAGAUUAUCAUUACUCAUCCGCAAGCAUGUUGAUAGUUGAAACUACUUAAUUAUCAAAAAUUGAAUUUCUAACCUUCAAUUUUUCUCUCUCAAAUGUAUAUGUGGGUGAGAAAGCACUAGGAAGAUUAUAAGGUCUCACAUGUAUAUGAGUCAUAGGAUAAAAAAUAUAGAGACAUACUAGCAUUUAUUUGAUCUAGUGGCAAAUAGAGAAAUAUAACAUAACCAUAACCAUAAUGUUCUAACCUUAUAUAUACCAGAACCAUGUUUCCUUCAUUCAAUUUUGCACUUUUUCUUUUNNNNNNNNNNNNNNNNNNNNNNNNNNNNNNNNNNNNNNNNNNNNNNNNNNNNNNNNNNNNNNNNNNNNNNNNNNNNNNNNNNNNNNNNNNNNNNNNNNNNNNNNNNNNNNNNNNNNNNNNNNNNNNNNNNNNNNNNNNNNNNNNNNNNNNNNNNNNNNNNNNNNNNNNNNNNNNNNNNNNNNNNNNNNNNNNNNNNNNNNNNNNNNNNNNNNNNNNNNNNNNNNNNNNNNNNNNNNNNNNNNNNNNNNNNNNNNNNNNNNNNNNNNNNNNNNNNNNNNNNNNNNNNNNNNNNNNNNNNNNNNNNNNNNNNNNNNNNNNNNNNNNNNNNNNNNNNNNNNNNNNNNNNNNNNNNNNNNNNNNNNNNNNNNNNNNNNNNNNNNNNNNNNNNNNNNNNNNNNNNNNNNNNNNNNNNNNNNNNNNNNNNNNNNNNNNNNNNNNNNNNNNNNNNNNNNNNNNNNNNNNNNNNNNNNNNNNNNNNNNNNNNNNNNNNNNNNNNNNNNNNNNNNNNNNNNNNNNNNNNNNNNNNNNNNNNNNNNNNNNNNNNNNNNNNNNNNNNNNNNNNNNNNNNNNNNNNNNNNNNNNNNNNNNNNNNNNNNNNNNNNNNNNNNNNNNNNNNNNNNNNNNNNNNNNNNNNNNNNNNNNNNNNNNNNNNNNNNNNNNNNNNNNNNNNNNNNNNNNNNNNNNNNNNNNNNNNNNNNNNNNNNNNNNNNNNNNNNNNNNNNNNNNNNNNNNNNNNNNNNNNNNNNNNNNNNNNNNNNNNNNNNNNNNNNNNNNNNNNNNNNNNNNNNNNNNNNNNNNNNNNNNNNNNNNNNNNNNNNNNNNNNNNNNNNNNNNNNNNNNNNNNNNNNNNNNNNNNNNNNNNNNNNNNNNNNNNNNNNNNNNNNNNNNNNNNNNNNNNNNNNNNNNNNNNNNNNNNNNNNNNNNNNNNNNNNNNNNNNNNNNNNNNNNNNNNNNNNNNNNNNNNNNNNNNNNNNNNNNNNNNNNNNNNNNNNNNNNNNNNNNNNNNNNNNNNNNNNNNNNNNNNNNNNNNNNNNNNNNNNNNNNNNNNNNNNNNNNNNNNNNNNNNNNNNNNNNNNNNNNNNNNNNNNNNNNNNNNNNNNNNNNNNNNNNNNNNNNNNNNNAUGCUCCUUUUUUUAGAGUCAAUUGAUGCUUAUAAACAACUUUGUUUGAAAAUAAAAUACAUCGAGUGAUUGCAUCAAGAGAUUGAUGUAAUAAUUGCAUACUUGAUCUUGAUAAUGCUAAUAUGAGUUGACUAAAUAAAUGAGUAUUUACUUAUAAGGUAACCCAUAGAACAUUAUUUGUGGAAAUAUUCAUGCACCUCUACAUAUGUUCGUGAUAACUUAGGUUGAUAAAUUUAAGAAGAACAAAUUCAUAACCUUGGGCAUAGUUAGUAAGAUAUUUCACCAAUAGAGUUUGGUAUCAUGAUUCUAAUUGUUCAAAUUGUUUUAAAGGAGUAUUUUAAAUUGCAUGUUAAUUUGCUUCUAAUAAAUGGAGAGAAACCAAUUCAAGAAGAGAAUUGUACUCAAGCUAUGUAUAGCAUUCAUGAAGAUGUAGAAAAUAUUGAUGAACUUACUUUUGAGCAAGUUGAAAUCAUAAUUAAAUAAAAGAACAAACCCAAGGGUUAAGAUUGUCAAGUAAAACUUUAACUAAAAUUUAUUGAUUUUUUAAAUGCCUAUUAGAGGGACAAUAGAAGUUCUAGAUAGAAAGUAAGAACUUUUCUAAGGAAUCACUUGUUAGAUUUUAAGUGAUCAAUAAAUAUAAUGUCCAAUUUAAAACUUUUAUAAAAGCAAUGCUUCUAAAGAAUAACUUGAUUUGAAUUUAAAGUUAUUAUUGAUAUUUGUUUAUAAUGGAUGUAGUUAAUCAACUGAACAUAGUAAAAAACACAUAAAUUUUUCAAAAUACCUUCUAGUUGUUGGGUAUAUUUAAGUAGUCAUCCAUAUCUCAUUAUCUUUUCACUCACAUACUAAUCUCCUUAUUGAGUAUUUACCAAUUACAAGUAGGUUGAAAGUUACUCGAAUUUAAGUCACUAAUCAAUGUUAACUUGAUAACAAAUAAGUCUCUCUUUGAAACUUGUUUUACAAGAUAGCGAAAUGUAGUCGAUCAAUCAUCAAAACAAUGUUUAAGCAUUAGGAUUUAGUUGUUAAUUUUUAUUUUUUAUUUUUUGUGCUUAAACAAAGACAAAAAUGAUAAAAACUCCUUAAAAGUACAUAGUAAUUGAAUUUAAUUUAUACAUCAAACAAGAACAAACUAGUCUUGGAUUUAAAAUUCAUCAGGUUUUGUAAUUAUAAUUCCUAAAAAUUUGUAAGGCAACAAAAUUAUUGGACACUAGGUUAUUGGGUGUGUAUGACUAAGAGGUGAAGGAGGGUUCAUCUUAUACAAAGGAUGAUUUGAUUAAUUUUAAAGAUUGGAUAAACAAUAAUUGCAUAUUCAAGUAAAAAUAACAUUGCUAAAAAGGAAAAUAAGUAUUUUAGUCCUCAAACCUAAAAUGGCUAAAAAAAUUUAAUUAAUACAAUACAACUUCACCUACAAAAGAAAAAAAAACCCAAAACUUUUCAAUAGCACAACUAAGUCCAUUUAUCAAAAGCUCUAUGAACAACAACAACUAUCAAAUCACAUAAAUCAUGUUGUUUUCAAAGUGCCCUCGAUGUUUUAAAACUUAAGAUAUUACAUAAAAAUCAACCAAUAGUGUAUGACAUUAUAAAAAACAUAUCCAAAUCCAUUGUCGAACUUAAACUAAAUUCAACUUUAUAUGCAUAGUCGCAAGUGCGUCUUUUUGUCCUUCAAUUUGGGUCAAAUUCAGAUGUUAGUUUUUUACACGACAAGGGAUUAUCAAGGUGAUAAUUCAUGCAUAUAAAUAGUAUUACUAAUAUAAAAAAAGAUGGUAAAUGCAAUUUUUUUGUAUUCACUCACCAUUUGGCAUAUCAAUAAGAAAAAAAUAUAUAAUAGGUGUAAUCAAUAAUAUUACUCAUCACUAGAAAGUAUAAUUUUUCAUUUUUUGUCACUAUUUGUGCACUUUGGAAAGCUUGCUAGGUACAACAAAUUAGCUCAAUGAAGAAAUUGAUCAAUUCCUUCAUUUCUAAAUAAAUUUGCAUAUACACUAGAAUAAAAACAACUUUUUAACUUAACAAGUUGACUGAGUCUCAGAACUUAGUAGGUUGAAGACAUAAACUUCCAUCCAAACUCAUUUACUAGCACCACAUGUUGGAAAAAUAAAUAAAAAUCAAAACACUUGAGUAUAGUUGCAAACCAAUCUAAAUAUAGAGUGAGAUCUACCUUUCUUUGAAAGUUUAGAACAAAUUUUUAUUUUUAUGGUAAGACUAUGCAGUACUUAUCCCUCUCUUACAAGUCUAUAAUCAGUCCAAAGCAUGGGAUCGUGCAUAAAUUCUUGAACUCAAUUAGCCUUCAAUCGAUGCCUUUCAAGUAAAUGUAAAACCUGGUGUACUUGUUAUUGAUUCACAUCCUUAUCACUAUUAUCAUUACUUGUUCUUGAAUAUAGAACCUUAUUGUCUAUUAACAAGCAGACCUAUGUUCCUCCAUGAUUCAAGAGUAUUAUGUUUUGUUCAUCAUUAGUUGGUCUUGCUCUAAAGCUUCUUUUUUAUGACUAUCAAUAACCAAACUUAGAUACCAAAAUUUAUGCGAGAGAGCAUGUACUUUAUACAGUCAAGAACUUGUGAGUUUAGAUUUUGUUAUCUAGGUAAAAGAAUAAAUUGGUUUGUUAAAAUAGCUAGCAUUAGGUAUCUAUUCAAUUCCUAUCUUAGACAAUAAAGAUAGAAGUGAUCAAAUACAUUCUUAUUAAGAAACAUUUGAUACCAAAAGUGAUGUAAGACAACAUAGUUCCUCUAUUCAAUCAAGUUUAAGGCUUAGAUGAACCUAUGAAUUUAUAUUAAUUAAUUGGGAAAGAGAAUAAAUAGGCUAAGUAGAAGUGAUAGGAUUGUAAUAGCAUUAAGUUAAUGAUCUUGUUUAGGUCUUCUACUAAAUUAGAGAAGAAACAAACAAAAGUAAUCAAACGUGUUAGUGAUAAUUAUAUCUACUUAACAUUGAGACAAUAGUUGUAUUAAUGGUAAUUAUAUUAUUUCUUGAGAGUUUAAACAAUAUAUAUUGAAAAUAUUUUUAAAGGUUUAGCAACUACCAUGGUUAUAAUCAACUACGAGCUUUUUAUUUUUAAAAAUAUGAAAUAUUAAUAUCUUUACUUUCUUUGAUCUUCUUGUAGGUUUUAAAAGUUUGCCUAAGCUGAAAAAGCUGGAAAUCUUAAACCUUGGUUAUAAUCGGUUCAACAAGACCAUUAUAAAACAGUUGAGUGGACUCACAUCCCUUAAAACACUAGUUGUAAGCAACAACUAUAUUGAGGGACUUUUUCCUUCCCAAGGUAUUGUUUAUUUUUUUAAUAUCCUUAGUAACCACUCUACCAUAAUUUAUUUUUUCAAUUUUAUUUUCUUUCUUGAACCAUCUUACAGAAUUAUCUAUUUUUGGAAACUUGAUGACACUGGAUUUAAGCGAGAAUAGAUUCAAUGGCUCCCUAUCAAUCCAAGGUAAAUUCUAAUUAGAAUUAUCAUUAUAUUUAGGACAUAUAAUAAAUCAAUUAAAUUGUUUUAUCUAUUAUCAUUACUUGGUUAUUUGGAUUUUCUUGAUAUUGUUUAUCAUUUUACAUAGGAAAAUGAAAUUAAAAAAUCAACCCAUGCUUAGUGUUUAAGCAUUGGGCUAGAAGUAUAUUUUUCUUCCCAAUUUAAUCAAAGAGAAAAGUCAUAAAUAACAUAAUUUAACUUAUACCUUAUAUUGAUUGAAGAGGUUAGACUACUUUUGGAUUUAAUGGUCAAUAUUUGUUGAAGGUAGGGUUUCCUAAAUUUGAUCAAAAGAACUUCAAUUUAAAUUACCAUAACUACAUAAAGUUGUGACUAGCAUAAUUAAACUCUUUUAUUAAUAGAUGUUCAUAGACUAGUAUUACAAUCCCACACACACAAAUAAUUAAAAUUUGAAAUUAGACUUCAAAUAACUAUGCAAUAUACGAAACUACAAAAUGAAUGGUAGGUCAUAAUUAAUUAAAUUCGUACUAUAUUCAAUGUUGGUCAACACGUGUCAAGUAAAAGUUUUGGCCUAAGUGUAAGGGCUCACUUGCUCCUAUAUAGAUGUUAUUCACUUUGGGUCAAGGCCUACUUUAAAAUAUCUCUAUACAGUUAUGAGAAGUCUACUAAAUAUAAAGUCGUAGAAACUUUUCUUCUUAGGUGAUUUGGAAUUUCACAUUAGGACCAACAUUUUAUAUAUUUUGAAAACAUAAUUUAAUUAACAUUUUAGAACUAAUUAUUAGUUAUCCAUUUAUAAUCCUAGAGGAAAUUCCUUUUACCUAUGCAAAUUAUAUACCUCUAGUAAUUACCUUUAAUUUCUCAUUUACAACUUCCUAAAAUAAUAUGAAAAAUGACAAAGUGUACAAUAUCUACCAAUAUGGGUGGAAUAUGCAAUGAGACCCACAAUGCUCAAUAUAGUACUAGUAUCUAUGUCAUCUAAUAGCAAUGAAAGUACUAAGUAAUAAAAACAAUUGUUUUGGGCACUUUAUGCAAUUGGCCUUGUAAAAAAAGAAAUCUAAGGUAGUUGGACUCAUUUACUAGUAAUUUAACAUAUGACUAGAACCUAUUGAAUCAUUUGCAAUAGCACUUGCUUUGGUCAUGUCCAAAUUUAUUACACAUGGUGCAAAAAGGGGUGGUGCUAGAGGAUGCUUUGUUUUCCCACUUAUGGAAGUCUCAAUCUUGCUAAUAUAUUUUAUGCCAUGUUUAUCAUAUACAAAUUUAGCCUAAGUGUAAGGGCUCGCUUGCUCCUAUAUAGAUGUUAUUCAUUUUGGGUCGAGGCCUACUUUAAAAUAUCUCUAUACGUUUAUGAGAAGUAUACUAAAUAUAAAGUCGUAGAAACUUUUCUCCUUAGGUGAUGUGGAAUUUCACAUUAGGACCAACAUUUUAUAUAUUUUGAAAACAUAAUUUAAUUAACAUUCUAGAACUAAUUAUUAGUUAUCCAUUUAUAAUCCUUGAGGAAAUUCCUUUUACCUAUGAAAAUUAUAUACCUCUAGAAAUUACUUUUAAUUUCUCAUUUACAACUUCCUAAAAUAAUAUGAAAAAUGACAAAGUGUAUAAUAUGAGCCAAUAUGGGUGGUAUAUGCAGUGAGACCCACAAUGCUCAAUAUAAUACUAGAAUCUAUGUCAUCUAAUAGCAAUGAAAGUACUAAGGAACAAUUUAACGUAUGUUUUGGGUACUUCAUGCAAUGGCCUUGUAAAAAAAGAAAUAUAAGGAAGUUGGACUCAUUUACUAGCAAUUUAACAUAUGACUAAAACCUAUUGAAGAAUUUGCAAUAGCACUUACUUUGGUCAUGUCUAAACUUAUUGCACAUGGUGCAAAAAGGGGUAGUGCUCGAGGAUGCUUCCACAUAAGAAAGACCCUACUUAACUGUUACAAAGGUUAUUUUCCCACUUGUGGGAAUGCUAACCUUACUAAUAUAUUAUAUGCCAUGUUUAUCAUAUACAAAUUUUUCUUUACUAAAUAUUUCUUUAAUGAUCUUGGACCUAAAAUUAAAUAUUUCAUUAGUAUUGGUCAUGUCGUUCCUCAACUUUUCAACUUUUAGAGUUAAAUCUUUAUCUUUAUCAUUGAUAGUUUUAUGUUUAGUCCCUAGAAACUUCACCUUAUUAACAAUAUGUUCAUUUAAUAUGUUGAUAUUUUUAAUUUUCAAAGAAUCAUAGAGCUCAUUAAUUUUAAUGUCUUUUUAUUCACUUUUAUGCUUUCAACCUUUGUUUUUAGUUUUCCUAUAAUAAUGCAUCAUAGACCCCAUGUACAUCAUUAAAAUAAAACUCAUUUUUUUCAUUAGGAUUCAAUUAACCCAAUGGAUCAUAAUCAAAAUUAGCUGCAUAUGAACAAAAGCAAUAAGAUUAUCAUUUUGUACAUCUUUACUUUCAUUUGAGUUCUUAGCCCUACAAUCAUCAAACAUGGAAUUACUCCAAGUCACCUACAUAGCCUUCAUACCUAAUGUUUUUAAGGCAAGGAUAAUCAACAACCAUGUGUCCCAUUCCCCCAAUGGUUCACUACAAAAUCAAGGUACAUAUGUUAUGCUUUCUUUGUUUCAUAGAGAUUAGAGAGGAUAAACAUUGUAUAAAAAAAAAAAUUGUCAUAGUUAAUGUAAGCUAAAACUAAAAAACUUGUUUUUUCAAUUGUGUAAGCAUGUUUUGUUCUUGAUUAAUAUUUACAACAUUCAGAUUUACUAAUGUUUAUAAUUCACAGAGACCUCAUUAACAAGAAGUAACAACUAAUUGCAAGUAACCAUGAAAAAAAAUAAGGAGAAAAAUAAAGGAAAAUCAAGGAAAAUGGAAAAAAUUUUCAUCCCCAUAAAAAAUGCUAAGGAAGAAAAAGGUGAAGAAAGUUUAAAGAAAGCAUAUUUUUCAAAAAUUGAAUUUUCUUUCCCUUAAAAUUGGUAUGGACAACCAAACAAGAAAAUGAUUUUUAAAUUCUUUUUUGACCUUUUUCUAUCAUUCUUUUUUUUUCCCCCUACUCUAUUUCCUUUCCCUCAAACUUUCUAGGUAGUAAACAUUACCUAAGAUAAAUAGGGAAGAAAAUAUUUUAUCAUUUAUUAAUUUAGUAUUUUUCUUACCUUUUUUGUAUUUUAUCCAAAUAUGAGAAAACUAUUUUUCUUUAUUUUUUCUUUUCCUUGUUGCUUUUCAAGAAUCAAGCAUACUUUAAACUCUAAUUAAGAGUUACAUAGAUUUACGAAGAAACAAUGCAACUAGUAACAAAAAAUUAAGGAAAUUUAAUUUUUGAGAGUAGGUAUAAUGAGAUUGGUUUGUUUGAUACAAAAUUUGAAUAAAAAUUCUUUCAAUGAAAAUUCAAGGAAAGGAAAAAAAAAAACAACUUUAUCUCUAGACUAUAAUACUAAAUCACUUAAAAAAUAUCUUAACAUCGUUUAUGUUCAUCUUUCUUUUUAUGGAUUUGAAAAACCCAAUAAUUUGGAGAAAAUUGAUUCAAGGAAGAAUAAUUUUUAGAAUAAAAUAUUAUUAUUUAAGAAGAUCAUAAAUAUUAUAGUCAUUGUUGAAUAUGAUAAAUGAUUUAAAAAAAAUGGUAGUUGGAAAUUUAGAUACUUUUAUAAGACAAAUGAAUUUUUCUAGUAUUGUAUGAAAAAAGGUAAAAUGAUAGGCUUUCAUCAUUUUUUAAAGUAGUUUGUUUAAAUCAUUUUAAUUUAUUUUGAUUUAAGAACAAUAACUUUUAUUACACUAGUUAUUUUGAUUUUCUUUUGAUAGAUUUUGCAAGCUUAAGCAAUUUGGAGCUAUUGGAUUUGAGUUAUAAUUCAUUUAGUGGGAGCGUUCCAUCAUCUAUAAGAUUGAUGUCUUCUCUCAAGUCUUUAUCCCUGGCUCGAAAUCACCUCAAUGGUUCCUUACCAAAUCAAGGUACAUAUAUUGUGAUUACAGGUUUUUCUGUUUUCUUUUUUAAUAUCUUGUUUGUUCUUUAUGCCAAUGAAGUCAUGCAUGUCUAUUAAUUUUUGGUAUUAAAUAAAAAACUUUAUUCUUAAUUCAUAAAGACCUCAUCAACUGUAAGUAACAGCUAGUUGUAAGUUUGGGGGCAUUGACAAGACGAGGAGAUGAUUGGUUACAUGUCUUAUUCUCUUUUGUUGGCUUUUGCCAAUUGAAUAAGCUUCAAGAGUUAGAUCUUUCUUACAACUUAUUCCAAGGGAUCCUUCCUCCAUGUUUGAAUAAUUUGACAUCUUUGAGGUUAUUGGAUCUCUCUUCCAACCUAUUCUCCGGAAAUCUUUCUUCCCCUCUGUUACCUAAUCUCACAUCCCUGGAGUACAUCGAUCUCAGUUACAAUCAUUUUGAGGGUUCAUUCUCUUUCAGCUCUUUUGCUAAUCACUCCAACUUUCAAGUGGUCAAACUUGGAAGGAAUAACAACAAAUUUGAGGUAGAAACUGAAUAUCCAGUUGGUUGGGUUCCCCUAUUUCAGUUGAAAGCUCUUAUGCUAUCCAACUGUAAGCUCAUCGGUGACCUUCCUGGUUUUCUUUGACACCAAUUAAGAUUAACCGUGGUUGAUCUCUCCCAUAAUAACUUGACUGGAAGUUUCCCCAUUUGGCUGCUUGAAAACAAUACAAAAGUAGGAUCUCUAGUUCUGAGGAAUAACUCUUUAAUGGGUCAACUACUUCCCCUGAGACCUAAUAGUCGUAUCACUUUAUUGGAUAUCUCAGACAACCGACUUGAUGGGGAACUUCAACAAAAUGUGGCCAAUAUGAUUCCAAAUAUUGAGUUUCUAAAUUUAUCCAACAAUCCUCCCCUUCAUUUCAUCCAUAUUUGGAUCUACCUUUAAAUCUCUAUUGCAUACAACCCAUAUAUGAUUCCCUCUAAAUUUAGCCUUCAUUUCUUGUUAAGAGGUUUUAAAAGCCAGCAAUUUAAUUUACUUUCAUCCUCUAGAUAGAUGAGAACUCUUAUAUUUAUCCAAUGAUAGGUAACAUUUUUGCAAAUGCUUUUAUUUGAUUUUUUUAAUUGGUCUUAAAAAUAAGUGUUAAUAAAGAUCCACAAUAUAAAAUAAUAAAUUAUAUCUCAAUUGACCUCAAGAUACUAUUUACUUCUACUAACUCAUUUUACAUCUCAAUUGUUCUUAAAAAGUCUAUAAUGGUAAUUAACUAUAGAAUUCAAGUUUUAAUUAUGCAAAAAAUAUAUAAAGGUUUUUAAAAUUAAUAGAAAAAGAGAUUCUGAUAAAUAAUAAGUCAUUGGAACAUUUACUUCUAGAAGUAGAGAAAGAUGGAGGAUCAUAAAAGUUGAAAAAAGAAUAAUUUGGAAGUCAUAAAAUUUUGGAAAAAGAAUAAUACAUAGAGACCUCAUUAACAAGAAGUAACAACUAAUUGUAAGUAACCAUGAAAAAAGUAAGGAGAAAAAUAAAGGAAAAUCAAGGAAAGUGGAAAAUUUUUUCAUCCCCAUAAAAAAUGCUAAGGAAGAAAAAGGUGAAGAAAGUUUAAAGAAAGUAUAUUUUUCAAAAAUUGAAUUUUCUUUCCCUUAAAGUUGGUAUUGACAACCAAACAAGAAAAUGAUUUUUAAAUUCUUUUUUGACCUUUUUCUAUCAUUCUUUUUUUUUUUUUCCUUACUCUAUUUCCUUUCCCUCAAACUUUGUAGGCAGUAAACAUUACCUAAGAUAAAUAGGGAAGAAAAUAUUUUAUCAUUUAUUUAUUUAGUAUUUUUCUUACCUUUUUUUGUAUUUUAUCCAAAUAUAAGAAAACUAUUUUUCUUUAUUUUUUUCUUUUCCUUGUUGCUUUUCAAGAAUCAAGCAUACUUUAAACUCUAAUUAAGAGUUUUAUCUCUAGACUAUAAUACUAAAUCACUUAAAAAAAACUCCUAACAUCGUUUAUGUUCAUCUUUCUUUUUAAGGAUUUGAAAAACCCAAUAAUUUGGAGAAAACUGAUUCUAGGAAGAAUAAUUUUUAGAAUAAAAGAUUAUUAUUUAAGAAGAUCAUAAAUAUUAUAGUCAUUGUUGAAUAUGAUAAAUGAUUAAAAAAAAAAAGGUAAUUGGAAAUUUAGAUACUUUUAUAAGACAAAUGCAUUUUUCUAGUAUGGUAUGAAAAAAGGUAAAAUGAUAGGCUUUGAUCUUUUUUUAAGGUAGUUUGUUUAAAUCAUUUUAAUUUAUUUUGAUUUAAGAACAAUAACUUUUAUUACACUAGUUAUUUUGAUUUUCUUUUGAUAGAUUUUGCAAGCUUAAGCAAUUUGGAGCUAUUGGAUUUGAGUCAUAAUUCAUUUAGUGGGAUCCUUCCAUCGUCUAUAAGAUUGUUGUCUUCUCUCAAGUCUUUAUAUCUGGCUGGAAAUCACCUCAAUGGUUCCUUACCAAAUCAAGGUACAUAUAUUGUGAUUACAGGUUUUUUUGUUUUCUUUUUUAAUAUCUUGUUUGUUCUUUAUGCCAAUUAAGUCAUACAUGUCUAUUAAUUUUUGGUAUGCAAUGAAAAACUUUAUUUUUAAUUCAUAAAGACCUCAUCAACCGUAAGUAACAACUAGUUGUAUGUUUGGGGGCAUUGACAAGACGAGGAGAUGAUUGGUUACAUGUUUUAUCCUCUUUUGUAGGCUUCUGCCAAUUCAAUAAGUUUCAAGAGUUAGAUCUUUCUUACAACUUAUUCCAAGGGAUCCUUCCUCCAUGUUUGAAUAAUUUGACAUCUCUGAGGUUAUUGGAUCUCUCUUCCAACCUAUUCUCCGGAAAUCUUUCUUCCCCUUUGUUACCUAAUCUCACAUCCCUGGAGUACAUCGAUCUCAGUUACAAUCAGUUUGAGGGUUCAUUCUCUUUCAGCUCUUUUGCUAAUCACUCCAAGCUUCAAGUGGUCAUACUUGGAAGGGAUAACAACAAAUUUGAGGUACAAACCGAAUAUCCAGUUGGUUGGGUUCCCCUGUUUCUGUUGAAAGCUCUUGUCCUAUCCAACUGUAAGCUCAUCGGUGAUCCUGGUUUCCUUCGACACCAAUUAAGAUUAACCGUGGUUGAUCUCUCCCAUAAUAAUUAGUCUGGAAGUUUCCCCAUUUGGCUGCUUGAUAACAAUACAAGACUAGGAUCUCUAGUUCUGAGGAAUAACUCUUUAAUGGGUCAACUACUUCCCCUGAGACCUAAUAGUCGUAUCACUUUAUUGGAUAUCUCAGACAACCGAGUUCAUGGGGAACUUCAACAAAAUGUGGCCAACAUGAUUCCAAAUAUUGAGUUUCUAAAUUUAUCCAACAAUGGUUUUGAAGGUAUUCUCCCAUCCUCGAUAGCCGAAAUGAGUUCCUUACAGUCAUUAGAUUUGUCUGCUAAUAGUUUCUCAGCGGAAGUACCAAAACAAUCGCUUGCUGCAAAAUAUUUGUGGCUUCUGAAAUUAUCAAAUUAUAAAUUUCAUGGUGAAAUAUUUUCAAGGGACUUUAACUUGACUCAGUUAGGGUUUUUGCAUUUGGACAAUAAUCAGUUCCAGGGACCACUGUCAAAUGUAAUCUCCAGAAUCUCUAGGUUAUGGGUGUUGGAUAGGUAACAUGACCGAUUUGACUACACUGGUGUUGGGCAACAAUAGUUUUAAAGGCAAAUUACCACCUGAGAUUUCUCAAUUGUUGGGGAUGAUAUUUCUUGACGUUUCUCAAAACGCUCUUUCAGGAUCUCUUCCUUCUUUGAAGAGCCUGGAGUAUUUAGAGCAUCUACAUUUGCAAGGGAAAAUGUUUACAGGAUUGAUACCUAGAGAUUUUCUCAAUUCCUCAUAUCUAUUGACUUUGGAUAUCAGAGACAACAGGUUAUUUGGAAGUAUUCCCAAUUCAAUCUCUAGACUUUUAGAGCUAAGAGGAAACCUUUUAAGUGGUUUCAUUCCAUAUCAGCUUUGUCAUUUGACUAAAAUAAGCUUGAUGGAUCUUUCAAACAACAAUUUUUCUGGGUCAAUUCCCAGAUGCUUUGGUCAUGUCGGAUUUGGAGAUUUCAAAACUGAGCACAAUGUGUAUAUACUUAUGUUAGAUUCGUAUUCAGAAAGCAAUCCUUCUAUAUAUACGGGUUACUUAAUAAAAUAUUUAUUUUUCUCUACUGAACUCCCUGAUGAAGUAGAUGAAGUUGAGUUUGUUACCAAGAAUAGGUAUAGCUCCUACAGAGUAGAUAAAAAUAUUUGUUGGGAAUUUAGAUAUUUUUAUAGGACAAUAUACAAGUAUUCUAAUUUAUAAAAACAAUGCAUUUCUUUAGUUUGGUAUAAAAAAAAUGAAACGAUAGGUAUUGGUAAUUUUUUUUAAAGUAACAAACGUUUUAUUUUAUUUGUAUUUAAGAACAAUGUUUUUUCUUAUACUAGUUAUUUUCAUUUUCUUUUGACAGAUUUUGCAAGCUUAAGCAAUUUGGAGAUACUAGAUUUGAGUUAUAAUUCCUUAAGUGGGAUUAUUCCAUUAUCUAUAAGAUUGAUGCCUCAUCUCAAGUCUUUAUCCUUGGUCGGAAAUCACCUCAAUGGUUCUUUACAAAAUCAAGGUACAUAUGUUAUGAUUUGUUUGUUUCAUAUAGAUUAGAGAAGAUAAAUAUUGUAAAAAAAAAAAAAAGUUGUAGUUAAUGUAAGCUUGAAAUAAGUAUCUUGCCUUAUAAAUUAUAUAAGCAUGUGUUUGUUCUUAAUGAAUCUUUACAACAUUUAGAGUUACCAAUGUUUAUAAUUCAUAAAGACCUCAUUAACGGUGAAUAACAACUAAUUGUAAGUAAUUGUGGAAAUAGUAAGGAAAACAAAAUGAGGGAAAAGCAAGGAAUUAGGAAAUUAUUUUGUUCCCAUAAAAAAAAUGCUAAGGAAGAAAAAGGUAAAAGAAAGUUUUAAAAAAGUGUAUUUUUAAAAAAUUUAUUUCUCUUUCCUUUAAUUUUGCUAUGGACAACCAAACAAGAAAAUCAUUUUAUAAUUCCUUUUUAUUUUUUUCGUUCUCUCUCUCUUUUUUUCCCUACUCUAUUUCUUUUCCCUCAAACUUUCUUGGUAGUAAACACAACCUAAGAUAAAUGGGGAAGAAAAUUUUCAGUUUUUUUUUUAUUUUUUUAGAAUGUUUUCUUACUUUUUAGUAUUUUAUGCAAAUAUAGGAAAAUUAUUUUCUUUUUUCUUUUUUUUUCUUGCUCCUUUUCAAACAUGAAUCACACUUUAAAAGAAAAUUAAUUUUUAAUUAGGAGUUAAGAUAAAUUUAAGGAGAAACAAUGAAUCACAGACAACAAAAAAUUAAGGAAAUUGAAUUUUUGAAAGUAAGUAUAAUCAAAUUGCUUCUUUUGAUACAAAAUUUGAAUAAAAAUUCUUUCAAUGAAAAUUCAAGGAAAGGAAAAAACAUUUUUGUCUCUAGAUUAUAAUACUAAAUUAUGUAAAAAAUCUCCUAGCAUCAUUUAUAUUCAUAUUUCUUUUUAUAGAUUUGAAAAAUUCAACAAUUUGGAAUAAACUUAUUCAAUGAAGAAUAAUUUUUAGAUUUAAAGAUUAUUAUUUAAGAUCAUAAAUAUUACCAUCAUUGUUGAUGUCUAAGAAGAUCAUAUUCAACAAUUUUUUUAAUAUGUUGUUUUUUUAUGGUAAUUAAUUGAUGUCUUGUAAUUUUUAAUAUUUAAUGAAAAACAUUAUUUUAAUUCAUCUAGAGCUCUUAAUUCAUGAAGACCUCAUUAAUGGUAAGUAAUAGCUGAAUGUAAGUUUGGAGUCAAAGACAUGUCAAGGAGAUGAUUAGUUACAUGUCUUAUUCUCUUUUGUAGGUUUCUGCCAAUUGAAUAAGCUUCAAGAGUUAGAUCUUUCUUACAACUUAUUCCAAGGGAUCCUUCCUCCAUGUUUGAAUAAUUUGACAUCUCUGAGGUUAUUGGAUCUCUCUGCCAACCUAUUCUCCGGAAAUCUUUCUUCCCCUUUAUUACCUAAUCUCACAUCCCUGGAGUACAUCGAUCUCAGUUACAAUCAGUUUGAGGGUUCAUUCUCUUUCAGCUCUUUUGCUAAUCACUCCAAGCUUCAAGUGGUCAUACUUGGAACGGAUAACGACAAUUCUGAGGUAGUUGGAAGGGAUAACAACAAAUUUGAGGUAGAAACUGAAUAUCCAGUUGGUUGGGUUCCCCUGUUUCAGCUGAAGGCUCUCUCUCUAUCCAGCUGUAAGCUCACCGGUGACCUUCCUGGUUUUCUUCAAUACCAAUUCAUGUUAGUGGGGGUUGAUCUCUCACAUAAUAACUUGACAGGAAGUUUCCCCAAUUGGUUGCUUGAAAACAAUAUGAGACUAAAAUCUCUAGUCCUAAGGAAUAACUCUUUAAUGGGUCAACUACUUCCCUUGGGACCUAAUACCCGUAUCAAUUCAUUGGAUAUCUCACACAAUCAGUUGGAUGGACAACUUCAAGAAAAUGUGGGCCAUAUGAUUCCAAAUAUGGAAUAUCUAAAUUUAUCCAACAAUGGUUUUGAAGGUAUUCUCCCAUCCUCAAUAGCUGAACUGAGAGCCUUAUGGAUUUUGGAUUUGUCUACCAAUAAUUUCUCUGGAGAAGUACCAAAGCAAUUGCUUGCAGCAAAAGAUUUGGGGUAUUUGAAAUUAUCAAAUAAUAAAUUUCAUGGUGAAAUAUUUUCAAGGGACUUUAACUUGACUGGGUUAUCGUGUUUGUAUUUGGGCAAUAAUCAGUUGACGGGAACUCUGUCAAAUGUAAUCUCCAUAAGCUCUGAGUUGGAGGUGUUGGAUGUGAGCAACAACUACAUGUCAGGUGAAAUUCCAAGCCAGAUAGGUAACAUGACCUAUUUGACUACACUAGUGUUGGGCAACAAUAGUUUUAAAGGCAAAUUACCACCCGAGAUUUCUCAAUUGUGGGGGUUGGAGUUUCUUGACGUUUCUCAAAAUGCUCUUUCAGGAUCUCUUCCUUGUUUGAAGACCAUGGAGAGUUUAAAGCAUCUACAUUUGCAAGGGAACAUGUUUACAGGAUUAAUACCCAGAUAUUUUCUCAAUUCCUCACAUUUAUUGACUUUGGAUAUGCGAGAUAACAGGUUAUUUGGAAGUAUUCCCAAUUCAAUCUCUGCACUUUUGAAGCAGCUAAGGAUUCUUUUGCUGGGAGGAAACCUUUUAAGUGGUUUUAUUCCAAAUCAUCUUUGUCAUUUGACUGAAAUAAGCUUGAUGGAUCUUUCAAACAACUCUUUUUCAGGGCCAAUUCCCAGAUGCUUUGGCCAUAUCCGAUUUGGGGAGAUGAAAAAGGAGGACAACGUGUUUGGACAAUUCAUUGAACUUGGGUAUGGAAUGAGUUCUCAUCUUGUAUAUGCAGGUUACUUGGUGGAAUAUUGGGGGUUCUCAAGUCUAGUAUAUAAUGAAAAAGAUGAAGUUGAGUUUGUCACUAAGAACAGGCGUGACUCCUACAAAGGUGGCAUCCUUGAAUUCAUGUCUGGAUUGGACUUAUCAUGUAACAACUUGACAAGUGAAAUACCUCAUGAGCUUGGAAUGCUAAGUUGGAUUCGUGCUUUGAACUUGUCUCACAAUCAAUUGAAUGGCUCCAUUCCAAAGAGUUUCUCCAAUCUUUCCCAAAUAGAGAGCUUAGACCUUUCUUAUAAUAAACUGGGUGGAGAAAUUCCUCUAGAGCUAGUUGAACUCAAUUUUUUAGCGGUGUUUAGUGUGGCUUACAACAACAUCUCUGGUAGAGUUCCAGAUGCCAAAGCACAAUUUG